UGUCCAUGCUUGCAUCGACCACUCGCAUUGUAUAAUCUUCGUAAAAGAUUUGUUGGACAGAGAAUUUCCCUCCUCUUCCAACAAAAGUGGUGCGAUUAUUGUUUUCACACUCUAAUUCAAGGUUAAUGUAACCACACUGGGGGGGUUGGCCUUUUAUUCGGAAGGGAAAACUGAUAUUCAAAUUCCCACAGAAAGUAGAGCCACAAUCUUGGUUAAUAAGAUGCCUAGCAAAGCAAACACCAGGGAGUAGAAUUACAAAUAAAGCAAACAACGGUAGUUUUUCUUUUAAUUUGGGCAUGUUAAAAUAUUGGGUAGGAUUGAAGAACAACAAUGGGGGUUAACAAUUAAGUUUCCAACUAAAUCAAGGAAAUAUAUUAAGUUUCUAACUUCAAUGUGAGAAGAAGCAUUAUUGAGGACAGAAGACCCCAAUCAAAGGAUAUCAGAUUCCAAGAACAGAGCCAGGAUUACGUUACAAAGGGGACCAAGGGGCAAGACUUUUCAAAAAAGAUAAAUUUCUUUUUUCUUAGCAUAAAACUUCAUAAAUAAAAAUGAAAAAGAGAGAAGAGGGGAGAGUACCUAAGUAACAAGCUUUAUUUUAAUACAUUCUCUAUAUUUUUAUUUUAAUACAUAUAAUUUAUUAUCUCCAUCACUUACACAUAUUAAUAAUAUUAUGAAUUGAGUUAGUAUCAUAAGUCAAUUCAACACUAGUUCACAAUUAAAGAGAAGAAUAUGUAUUUAUAUGUUUAAAUUUUAUUUUAUGCAUAAUUUAAUUUAAUCUUUUUAAUUCAAUAUUUCUUAUGUUAUUAUGAUUAAUUAAUUUUAAAUUAUAAUUUCUAUUAUUUAUUAUUUUUGAAUAUAAAUUUAUAUUAUAAAUUUAUGAUUUUUACAUGAAUGCAUAUGCUAUGGAAUUUUUAGUAUAUAAAAUAUUUUAUGUGAAAAGAAGUGUGAACGAAAGACAAAAGGCGUUGACGAGUAAAAAUAAAGUAAAGGCCGCCUUACAUGACCCAACAAUGGGAGUUUUACUUUUAAAUCGUGAUAUUAUUUUUAUCUCUUUAUAUGAACUUUAAAAAAAAUGCAUUCACUUUAUAGUUGUUGAUCCCAAAACUUCCCAAAAUUUAAUUACUUAAAAUUUACCUUAUCAAUCAAAGACACUUUUAGUUUUUAUAUAAUUUCUUUCGCAAAUUUGUUAUGUAUUUUUUUUUCAUCUAUAUAUGCUAUAAUCUAAUACAUAUUUUUAUUUUAACAAUUAUUGGUCAUGUAUGAAAGAGUAUAAAAUUAAGUUAAGUUUAGAAUUUAUUAUAAUAAUUUUAGAUUCAAAUAGUUUAAUCUAGCCAAUUAUUUUGAAUUUCAUUAUAAUUACUGACUUAUUGAUGAUAAAUUUUACAAUUUACUACGAUUAAUUUGAUUAUCAGAAAACAAAAAUAAAAUAAAAUUUUAAUAUCAUUAAAAAAUUUUAAAUAAAUUUGGGCUAAAUAUAAACCUUUAUCACUUUAAUAAAUUCCAACUACAAUGAGAACGACCAAGACAAUGCAAGUCUCCAAGUCUUCAUGGAAAUACAAAAACAUUGAAGUGGCUGAGAGACGACCAUUAUCGCUUUGGUCCUUUUGUGUUACGUAAGUCCAUCAUUUUUUAUAGUUAGAACCGUCAAGCAAGGCACAUUCCACCUUAACUCAUGCAUCACGCUAGACGAGAUACAAUGCCCAAUUAAAUAAUUUUUUAUUUAUUUUAUUCGACGAACACUUAAGUACUCUUUAAAUAAUUUUUUAAUAUAAUUAUAUGUGUUUUUAUCCUUUUACAAGAAUUUUAAAUAUAAUCCAGAGUGGUAAAUAUUUUGCAUUGAUUCAUUGUUGUUGGGCAACCCGAGGUGACAGACUGAUUGAGUUGAGAAAACCAUUGUUGUUGGAUAAUUCGGGGGUGACAAAUUUGUAUAUCCGUUCCGAGGUCUACUUGAAUACGAUUGAGCUUAUAGACUCGGAAAUUGUUGAUAUGAUCACAUGGAAUUGGGCAUAUAUAAAUGUGUAAUGUACACUGAAUGAUGAACUUAUGCUUGUGAUAUGAAUGGUAAGUUUAAUAAUUUGUUUUCUGUGCACAGAUUAGGUUCGAUUCGAGAAUCUCAAGUAUUAAUUUAGCAUCCAGUGGAGAAUCCUAGACUCAACGAUAAUGCCCUAUAAUAUCAUGUCAGUACGAGACGAGGAACCCGUCGCCCCAACAUAACACUUUGUAGAUUGAGUAUGGGGUAUUACAUUUAAUAUAUUUACACAUAGCCCAAUAGGUAAACCCAAAUUAUCCACUAGGCUAGGCACCCAAUUCAAUUAUCUAAGUAAUUGUAUAUUUAAAUUUUUUAUACUCAAUAUUUAUUAGUAAUGUAGGAUUACUAAAAUUGUAAACUAAUAACAUAUAUAAUAUUGCUCGAUCAAUAAAAUUUAUUUAAAAAGAACCAAAUGAGAACCAUUAUACAACUUUAUAAAGUCGACAACACAUCCAACAUUUAAAGCACAAAGAAACUAGAUAUGUCAACAACAAAAUAAUAAUGCCAACAUUCUCAUAUACGAAAACAAAAUUGUUCUAAAAAUAGAAGAUAGAGCAUCGCACCUAGAGUGUAGAAAUACUUGGAUUCAAUCAUUGUAACAACGAAAAUGGAAACAAGACGGUCAGCAUCCUCAUCAUCACAAUGAAUUCUCCUCUGCAAUGCAAUAACACAAGAAAAUGCUAUUUUAAUAGAAACUCUUAUAAAUAUUUAAAAUUAACUUUUAAAUGCAUCAUAUCUUGAUCUAAAGCAAAAGUUUUAUCAAAACAUGAAAAAUCUAACCAAUACAGAUCAAUUCAACCAAACCUCAAGCUAUCUAUGUGGUUACUUUUAAUUUAUAUAUGAUUUUAAUUACGGUUUAAAUUUAAAUAUUUUUUAACAAAAAUUGUAAAUAUUUAAUAUUGAACAAAUAGCCAAAUUAAUGAAAUUUUUAAUUAUGAACAAUAACUUAACACAUAGGUAGAAGUUUUUUUUUUUUAACUUAAUAAUAUUAAUAGCAAUUGGACACUAUUAAUUGUAUAUGAAAAUAAUGAAGCUUAAAAAUUAAAUUGUAAAGGUAAUAUCAUUGUCAAAUUUAUUCAAAAUUUAUUUUUAACUAUAGUUAUCUAUUUGGAUAUGUGACACACAUCAUAAUAUACAAGUGUAUAUAUAUAUAGGCAAAAUAAUAUAAAGCUAAAAGCUGAGAUAAUGAACUGAAAUAUUUCUAACCUUAUGCAAUAUUUGAACUUGUUAUAGUAACAGUAUCCAAUGAUGUACUUGGCUCAUCAUUAGAGUUCUCACAGUUAUGAACCUCCAUUGUUGUUACAAGAGGAAGUUGAUGGAAUGGCUUAGGAGGCAUCUCAAGGAGUUCAACAUUAGAUUCAAGCAUCUUCAAACUUUACUCAUUGCUGGAUCAGAAGGCAGUAAUUGUAUACAUCCAAAGGCUGUUAUUAUCAUCUUCUUCACCAUUACUUUUUCAUCGUCAAAAAUAUCUCCCAACUCCAAGUCCUCUCCUUGAUCCAAUUUGUCAUAAAUCCAAGAUGGAAAAUACAUUUGACUAGUGUGGUCAGCUAGUCCAUUCACGUUCUUUCUCCUUCCUACUAUUUCCAUUAGUAACAUUCCAAAACUAUAGACAUCAGCUUUAUAUGAGAUGCCUCCAAGAUUUUUGUAAACCAAUUCAGGAGCAAUAUAUCCUAUCGUUCCUCGUGAUGCAGUGAGAGAGAUAAUGCUAUCAUCUACUGAAUACAAUUUAGCAAGACCAAAAUUUGAAAAUUUUGGAUUAAAAUUCUCAUCAAGAAGAAUAUUGUGUAGUUUGAUAUCAAAAUGAAGAAUUUGCAUGUUACAUCCUUGAUGCAAGUAGUGAAUUCCUUGAGCCACCCCAAGCACAACAUCAAACAUUUUUUUCCAACCCAAAGUGUUCUUAUUUUCUUCUGUAAAUAUGAUUUUAUCUAAAGAUCCAUUAGACAUAUGAAGUCAUAUACUAGAGCUUGCUUUGAUCCAUUCACGCAAAAUCUAAUAAGUUUUGUCACAUUAGCAUGAUGAAUUUUCCCAAUAUAAGCAACUUCAUUUCUGAAAUCUUGCCAUUACCCUUUGAUUUGCCCAACGAUUUUACUGCUACAUGAUCCUUACUAUGAAGUUUUCCUUUAAAUACAGAACCGUAAACCCCUUGACCUAAUUUAUUUUUAAAAUUUUUAGUCAUUUUCCUAAUUUUUUUUAAAAUACCUUAUCGGCACCAGAUUAUUUUGGCUUUAAAGAAGCUCUUUAAUCGUAUCAUCCAUAGAUAAAUGUCUUCUUCUCCAUUUGUACGUAACAAGAGCAAGCAGACAAAUUAUCCGAGAAAACGACCACAAAAAGUUAACUCCUCCUUGAAAGGAUUACAAUGCAACACGUCAAUACUUUUGAAAUUAAUCAAAUAAUAUAUAUCUUACAUUCCCAAAAAAGUAUAUAAUGUUAUAGUUUUAUGCUCUUUUAUAAUUAACUACUACUUGAAAGAGGGGCAUAUUUCACUACUUUAUGGAAUUAAUUUAGAAAUAACAGUUAGUUUGUUAGAUAGCAUCAUUGAUGCCUUGCAUUUACUCUUCUAUACCAAAUGAAAAACUUUGAAAGGCCAUUGAGAACCCAAGAAAAAUAAUUUCGAAUUAUGUGUUAUGUUUAUAUACUAGUAGGUGCACCUCAACAAAUUCAAACUUAAAACUUCACACACAAAGAAGUAAAUCAAUAAAUCAUGCAAAUUGGAUACCAAUUAUUUUAACCUCACCAUGGUCCAUCAAGGAUACUCAACUUAUAUAUUCAUGUCAAAUAUACUUUGAAGAAGGACAAAGUACAAAUAUGAUAACCUUCUAUCUUCAUAAAUGAAUCACAAGUCCAGAAUCACCAAAAGAUGCAAGACAACCAAAAAAAAAAAAAGAAUUGAUCGAUUCAAGAGCUAACUUUGUUGGAUGUUUUAGCAAACUAACUUAUAACCUGUGAAAGUUCUAAACAAGAUCAUUAUGAACACAAACUUAACCAAAACUCCAACAUCUUUCUUUACUUGACAGAAAUAUUCUUUCAUAUAAUAGAAGAAGAUUGUUUUCAGCAUUCAAACUCCUUAAAGAAUGCUAUAGAUUUCUUAGUUUUGCAGUGAAAUUACAUAUAAACUUGUAUAGAAUGAUAGGCUCCUAAUUCUUUUUUUGUUCUCCCAGAAUAUAGCUAAUAUUUUUUCUCAACUAGUGCUAGAAUUUGUAUCUGUGCAAAUGUAAAUCUGCAAAUCUAAAAUUAAAUAUACAGUUAUUGCCAAACAGAGAAUAUACGUUCCUGUAAAAAAACACCACGAAUGAAAACGAAAUAUAAUUAUUUCAAGAAAGCAAUGAAACAGCACUAUCAAAGCACUUCUAAUGAAUUUUGGGAAGCAUACUUCUUGGUCGAUACAAUGAAUCGUAGACAUGGAAAGGGAAAUGUUCAAAGCUGUCCAUAUAGUUUCUGAAGGCAAUUUCCAACCCUGACAAUCUGAAUUAUAUAUUCAACAAAUCAAAGUAAAAUUAAUAAAGGGAUGUAAAGGAAAAUUCCAAAGUUGUGUAAAGAAAAUCAAUGUAAGGUAAUUUAAAACAUUAAAUUCUGUUUUGUGGUAUAUGCUAAAAAUAUUACAACAAUUCUUUACAUAUUUUUUUUUUGGUACAAAGUAUGCAAUGUCUAUUACAGUAUUAAGAAUUUUUAGGUAACGAAAGUUAUUCUAUAUAAUGAAAGGUGAGACAAAUUUUAUUUAAAUUAAUUAAUACAAAAUACAAAUUAUAGCAUUAAAAGAUUUUUUUUUUAUUAUGCUAUAAAAGAAUUUUGCGAUAAAAUUUAACUCAUCCACAAUGGUGGAAUUUUUGCGUACUACCAACUAAAUUGAGAAUUCAUGAUAUCUCUUCUUCAGAUAUAUCAAAAAUAAAAAUAAUAUACUUAAAAAAGACACACAUUAUAUGUUAAUAAGGUUUACAGAAUCUAGAAACAUCAUGGUUGUAAAAACAUAAUAAAAUUUAAUUGCCAAAAAUGUGAAUACAAUAAAAGGAGAAAAAACACAGCAGAGGCAGUUGCACAUUGAUCUGUCCAUGCCUCAGUUCGCCUAUUUCUUAUUAAUACAACCGAGAUUGGAUAUGGGUUUUUUCAUUUUAGCCCACGUUGAAUUCAAUUUAAAGGAAAAUAUUUUUUAAUUUAAAUUUAAUUGUAUAUAAUUAAUAAAAAUAUAUUUAAUUUUAUUAAUAUAUAUAGUGAAACAGGCCAUUAAUUUUUUAUUAAUAAAAACAUGCAAUUUUGAACCGUUGAAAAAGAAAAAAAAAUUCUAGUAAUUACUGUUAAAUGAAAAUGGAAAAGCCUUUUGAAUAUUAUCUUGAUUGAUAUUGUAUUAUUAUCAAUGUAAGAGAAUAUGAGUUUGAGUACGCUGAAACUCAUUACCCUCAUAUUUAUGGGUUGGAGAGGAACUAUCGAUAGUUUUAAGUAUUAUAUAAAAAAAAAACAGAUUUUAUCAAACAAAAACAUGAUGUUUAAUUUUAGGUCUUCAUAAAUUUUAGGCACAAAAACAUGAUACUUAAUUAGCAUGAUAAAAUUUAAUAGCGAAAAAAGGUAACAUAAAAUAAGAGAAAAAAAGGUAGGUCAUACAAAAAGCAAAGACAUUUUGUAACUAAAAAUUUCAGUACUCUAAUGAUAUAAUUAGUGAUCCCACCACUCAGAAUGUAAAUUAAAAUCAUUCAAAAAACUUACACAGCAUUAAAUGAAACUUUGUCUUUGUCGCAUUUGAUGUAGUAGCAUACACUCCAUCCAUCCCAAGCACCUUCUAAUAAUUUAGAAUAGAUAUCCAUCGAAAUCACCACUUUCACUAUGCAAGCUUGAUUUAUAUCAGUUGGGUAAGUAUUUCUAUUUAAAAAAUAGAAAUGGGAAGUUGGAAGGAAAGAUGAAGUAUUAAAUUUGAUGGUACAACGAGAAGCCUCAAUAUAAAGUGAUGAUUUUAUAGGUUUCGUGUAGUUCACAACAUACAUGAUGUUAGCCUUUAACUCUCUACCAUAAUAAAAAGGAAAAUGAUCUAAAACAAUAGAAAAAGAAAACAGUUUAUAAUAACUAUAAUCAUAAGAAGAAUAUGCGGAACUAAGAGAAAGGGAGUUGCAAUCAUCCACAUCCAAACUCGCAUCGACCACUCGUAUUGUAGAAUUUUCGUAAAAAAUUUGUUAGACAGAGAAUUUCCCAUUCUCUCCCAACUAAAAUGGCGUAAUUGUUGUUGUCACACUCAAAUUCCAGGUCAUACCAACCACACUGGGGAGGUUGGUUUUUUAAUCGGAAUGGAAAACUGAUAUUCAAAUUCCCACAGAAAAUAGAGCCACAAUCUUGGUUAAUAAGAUGCCUAGCAAAGCAAGCACAGGGAAUAGAAUUACAAAUGAAGCAAAAGCGGCCAUUAGGUGACCAAAGAAUGGUAGUUUUGCUUUUAAUUUUGGAAUGCUAAAAUAUUGGGUAGGAUUGAAGAACAUCAAUGGGGGCAAGGAAAUAUAUAAUAAAAUAUUUAAAAUAUUUUUAGUUGAUAGUUUUUAUAUUUUAUAACUAAAUUUAAAUUUAAAAAAAUAUUUCUUUUACUAUUUAAAUUAAAUUUAAACCGAACUAAUCUAAAUAUAAAAAUAUUUAUCCAAAUCUAACUCAAAUCAAGUUGGUGGGGUCACAUUAGCAGAGAUUGUAGAAAAUGAAGGUGUGUAAAGUUGAAGGAUUAGAUAGGGAUUUGGACUUCAUUUAUGAAAAUGAAAUUGAAGGUAGGUUUAAUUUUUAACUAAUAGAAGAUGUGAUUGAAGCCCAUUCUUUUAGGAAUUUUGGGCUCUUUGAUUUCUGUAUUCCCACUUCAUCACCCAUUCAUUUAUUUUAAUUCUUGGCAGUGUGUGGCCCACUAAAUUUAUUUUAAUUUUAUACACCCGUAUUGUUAUUAGGGAUAAUAUAAUUUUUGACCCCUAAUCUUGAUAGUUAAGUGCACUUCAGUACAUAUUUGUUUUGGUCUAUUUUGUCACUUGAAUUUGACUAUUAGGUAUAUUUUAAUUUCUAAACUUGAAAAAUACAAAAGUUUUAUGAUUCGACUUUUUGAGAUUGUGCUACAUCAUCACAUUAAAAUUAAAAAAUAUAUAUUUAUAUAAAUUUUUAGAGGAUGACGUGGUACAAUCUUUAAGUGCCACGUCCAUUAUUUUAAUAAUUGGAUUUGUGGUUGAAUCAGUCAAAACCACUAGUUCUCGAUUCAACCAGCUUGAUCAGUUUGACUAUUGGACCAACAAUAAUUAAAUAAAUCAUUAAAAAUUCAUAAAAAUCUAAAAAAAUAAAAUAAAAUUUUGUUAAACCGAAUAAUCAUGGUCAACAAUCGAGGGGUUUUCUCAAUUUUCGAUUUUUACCAAUUUCAAGCAAUUUCUUAUUAAAUUGGUUCAACUUCUUUGUUCAAAUCAUUAUAUCGAUUGAUUCUAAAUCCAGCUGGUUUGAUCAUUAUCCCAUGUGAGAUAUUUAAAUAAAAAGAUUUACCCUCUUUCAAAUCACUUACAAAAAAACUCUAAAAAUUCGAGAUAAAACACAAAAAAAAUUGAGAUCCAAAAGAAAAUAAAUGCAUUAAAAAUGUUAUUUGUACGGGUAGUAAUGUAACCAAUUAGUCUUGAUAGGUUCCAAAUCAAUUAGCUUGAUUCAGUGUAAAGCGUAAAUUAUAGUAUAUUUUAUUUGCUCGAUUAAUAAAAUUUAUUUAAAAAGAACCAAAUGAAAACCACUAUACAACUUUAUAAAGUGGACAACACAUCCAACACUCAAAAGCACGAAGAAACUAGAUAUAUAAGUCACCAAUAAAACAAUAAUCUCAACAUUCUCAAACAUGGCAACAAAAAUAUUCUAAAAAAAAGAAGGAAAUAGGACAUCCCACCUAGAGUGUUGAAAUACUUGGACUCAAUCGUUAUAACAACGAAAAAGGAGACAAGACAUCCAACAUUCUCGUCACAAUGCAUUCUCCUCUAACUCACCGGCAAUCUCUGCAAUGCGAUAACACAAUUAAAGGCUACUGUGAUAGCAACUCUUAUAAAUAUUCAAAAAUUAACUUUUAGACACAUCUUAUCUUAAUAUAAGGUAAAUGGUUGAUUCAAACAUGAAAAUUUGAACCAAUUCAUCUCACCUCAAUUCAAUUGAACAUAACUAAAUUGAGACAAAAAUCUAUUCAUAUGGUGUACAUUUAAUUUAUAUAUGAUUUCAAUUAUGGUUUAAAAUUUAAAUACUUUUAACAAAAAUUUUAAAUACUUAAUAUUGAACAAAUAAUCAAAAAAAAUUUAUUAUUAUGAAUAAUAACUUAACACAUAGGUAAAAGUUUUUUUUUUACUUAAUAAUAUUAUUAGCAAUCAGACAUUAUUAAUUGUAUAUAAAAAUAAUGAAGCUUAAAAAUUAAAAUUCAAAGGUAAUAUCAUUGUCAAAUUUACUCAAAAUUAUUUUUAACUAUGGUUAUCUAUGUACAUAUGUGACACACAUAAUAAGAUACUUUUUAUCUAUAUAUAAGACAAAAUAAUACAAAGCCAAAAGGUUGAGAUAAUGAAGUGAAAUGUUUCUAACCUUAUCCAAUAUUUGAACUUGUUAUAAUAACAGUAUUCAAUGAUGUAGUUGUCUCAUCAUUAGAGUUUUCACAGCUAUCAACCUUUAUUGUGAUGUUUUAAGGGGAAGGUGAUGGAAUGUCUUAGGAGGCAUUUCAAGGAGUUCAACAUCAUAUUCAAGCAUCCUCAAGACUUUAUUCAUUGAAGGACGAUCAAAAAGAAGUAAUUGUAUACACCAAAAGGCUGUUAUUAUCAUCUUCUUUGCUAUUUGGACAUUUAUAAUAAUUUUUAAGUCUAAACCAGAAUUGCUUAAACCUAAUUUGUUUUCAAACCUAUAGUAGUCUAUAUCUGUAUCUAUAUACACAAAAGAUAUAUAUACAUAUAUGAUUAAUAAUUACUAUUAAUUAAAACAAUGAAGGCCAAUGUAUUAUGAAAUACUUUAUGAAGGAGAAGAUAUGCAAAGUUAAAUUCCCCUAGUCCAGCUCCUCCUUUUCUUCAUCUCCCUAGGAACCAAGAAUGACACAACUUCUUCUUCCUGAAAAAUGAUAACAACUCCUUUAGUUUGAUACAUGCUAAUUCAGUUUAGUUAAUAAUAUCCUCUUUAUCAGCCUUUCCUUCCACAAGUUUAGUAAUAUUAUAUUGAUUUCAAUCGCUUAGCAAUAAUAAAAUUCUUUAAACCUCAAAACAAAAUUUAUAUAUAAAGACUUACCUUAGAAAGUGCACAAUCUAUAUGAGCAACAAAUAUUCCUGGGCAUUCUUCACAAUAGUAAACAUGAUGGUUUGGGUGUCUUUUUUCUUCACAUGCAUCACAGUAAUGCUCAUCUGAAUCAUCUUCGAUAUACGAAUCUUUAAGAGUUAAAGGAUGGAUGUGGCAUUUGGAUUUGAUAAUUUGAGGUAAGGAUAGACAUUCUAGGUGGAAAUUGAUGAAACACUCAAGACAACGAUAGAAAGAUUGCCCGCUGCAAAUUUCACCACAGUGACUACAAAAUAGUCCAGCAUAGAUAUCAAUGAAGUCACGGUACAUGGCAAAGAAUCGAUCAAAGUCCGUCCCAAAAUAAUAAAGAUGGUGCAUGUGAGAGUCAAGUUUUAGAGGGCGUGUUAGGGAAAUUGCACAUGCAAUAUGGUAGUUGACGCCACAAUCUUUACAACCAUAGUUAUAACUCUUAUGAUAGCCAGAUGGUAACAGCUUUAGUGAACAUGCAUGGCACCCUCCAUAUCUCGUGUAGCUUAGAGUCAAAGUGUGUUGGGAAUGAAAAGGUACUUGCAUUUCUUGUGGUAACCUAAGGCAAGAUUCAUGAAGAACCCAACCACAGCUCAUGCAAUGGUAUGUUGGACCAAAGAUUUGCAGUCGACAAAGAUUGCAUUGUCUUUUAACUAGAGGGUCAGUAAAAUUGCAAAACAGUAGCUUGUGCUUGUGGGUGAAAUGGAAUAGCUCAGUUUCCCUCUCCGACUCUUUCAAUGUUGUGCGCCCACUUUCAGAGGGUGCUCGAGUUGCGCAUUUCAGAUCGAGCUUGAAAUCACAGUGCUCGCAAAGAUAAAAGAAGCCGAAGUACAAAUCUUGACACUUAUCACAUAUAUUUUGGUCCAGCGACAUAGAUGUAGCGUAGAGGUUGAGAUGAUGUUGAGGAUGAAGAGGGUGUUGUAUCACAUCGGGUAAUUUAGCACAGUUUUCAUGUAGGAUAUAUAGGCAUCCUUUACAGAUGUAGCCUGGACCACUAAGUUCUAAACGACAAGCUCCGCAAACCCUUUCCCCCAAGUUUUCAGUUACCUCGCAAAAUUUCAAUGGAUGUUUAUGGAAGACUGGUCGGACCUGUACUUGUAAAUAAACAACCAACAAACCUGUUAAUUCAUCAUGUUAAAUAUAUGUAAAGAAAAUAUAUAUAAUUCCUUUGUUUCCUACUAACCAGAAUCGUUUCAGUCUGCUCCAUUUCCUUCAGCUCCGAAGCUUUAGCAUCCAUGGAUAUGGGAGGGGAGGAUGAUGAGUCCUGUUUUGUUGAUGUUUCCUCCUAAUGUACAGCAAACAUUCCAUUAUUAGAAAACGAGGAAUAAAGUAAUAUAUAAAAGUAAAGCAAACUAAGGAAAGGGUGCGACCUGAUUGAGCACACAUUCAAUAUGAGCAAUAUAUGUGCAUUUUUGGCAAUAAUAAACUUCAUGUGUUGGAUCUCGUUCUUUCUCACAAAUAUCACAGUAAUACUCUCCAAUCUCAUCUUCUCUAAUUGGUUGAUUAAGGAGGAGUGGAUGUCUAUGAUAUCUGUGUUUAGCUAAAGGUGGAACUGGAACACAUUUAAGAUGGAGAUUGAGAUCACACUGCACACAACGAUAAAAGGUGUCUAAACACAGCUCAUGGCAGGAGCUGCAUUGGAAAUGAUAUUUGAGAAUUGGAUCCCUGAAAGUGGGACCAACAUAAGUGAGACCGUGGUUGUGGCCCUCAUGUUUAAGGGUAGGUAAUAGUUUUGCACACCCAAAAUCAAGGUUGAAAUUGCAAAUUUGGCAACCAUAGGCGGCGGUGGAGAAGUCUUUACUCAUACUAAUCCAUUGUGUACAAGCAUUGCAAGUUGCGUCAACGAAAUCCAAGCGAAGAGGGUGUGAUGGAUGGAAAGGAUGGUUCAAUGUUUUGGGUAUCUUAUCACUGCAAAAUUCAUGAAGGAAGAAGCCACAACUUUUACAACCGUAGAAAAUGCCCGCCAGUGGCUUGUCACACCAACGACAAUUAUAAUCAUGUUCUCCCUCAUUGCUAUACUUGUAGAGGACCAGCGGGUGGAUGUGGCAGUAAUGCUGCAUUGCCUGUUUCCUAUCUGCAUUGGAUCUCUGCCUCUUCUUCCUAGCUACAUGAUCAUCACUGCUUGCAAAAGCGCAAACUAAAUCGAGCUCGAAGGCGCACCGACAACACGUGUAAUUGGUGCCCGAAGAAAUCUUCAAACAUAGAUCACAGGUAAAUGGUGCGAAAGGACCAGACCAAUCUAACAUAAGAUGGUGGUGUGAGUGGAGAGGAUGUGUAAUCUCUCGAGGCAGAUAUUGUAUAGCUUUGGCGCACAAUUCAUGCAACCAGAGUUCGCACCUUACGCAUGCAUAGGCUGCACCACAGAUUUUCUCCGUGCAUUUCUCACACCAUUUAUCAUCUGUCUCAUCAUCGAGACAAUGAUAGCCCAUUGAAUGCUCAUGACUGGCAAGUUUGAUCUCCAUAUCUCAAACAAAGAUAAGAUUAAAUGAUAAAAGAUAAUAUGGGAAGAAAACAUUUGAUUUCUAAUUAUAUAUAUAUAUAUAUAUAUAUGUAGGUAUUAAUAGACACUUCAGUUUCAAUCUUUAGUAUUACUUUUAUCUUUGAUAAAAUGCCAUUUAUUGAAAGAUUUAUAGCUUUCAAAUAAUUAUUUAUUAAGUUAUUGGUGAUGUAUCUUAAUAUUGUUCAUAAUAAUAUAUAAACCUGUCAGUUAAUUAAAUAUAAACUAUCAUUAUUAUUAUUUCUUUCUACUAUUGUAUUUCACUAGAAUUAGCCUUUAAAGGACGCCAAUAACUUUUUGAACUAAUGAUAAAAGUAUUAGGUUGUAUGUAUACCUUAUCCCAUACCUUAAUUAUAAAAAAAAAUAAUUAUUCACUCCCAUAUAUAUAUGAAGAAAAUAUUGAUAGUUAAAAAGUAUAAGUAGUUUUUUAAAUUUAAAUUUAAAUUUUAAGAUAAUAACUAUUCACUUUGUGUUUAGAGUACAUAAUUUUUACACAAAUGUGGUAGAGUUUUUAGUUUAAGAUAAUAUUUUAUAUAACUUUUUUUACUUUUUACUUUUUUUUUCCAACUGAAUUAAUUUUCAGUUAACUCAAUUAAAAUUAUAGAAAUGAAUAAUUUUAUGAUACUAUAACUAAUUUAUAUUUUUUAGAAUUAAAAUAUAUUAGGUUGGAUUUUAAAGUAGGCAUAUAUUUCCCAUCAUACAAGAAAAUAAUAUUAUUUUGCGAUUCAUCACGCAAAGAAGUAACAUAUAUUCUUUUUAAAGACAAAGGGCAUAUUUUUAUUUUGGGUAGGACACAACGUUAAGGAAUGUAUCUUUUUCCUUUUGCUUUUUUGGAAUGAUUCUAUUAAUUCUUUGAUAAUAUAUCUACUUGAUUAAUUAGCAUAAAACUUUUUGUUUAAUAUGGCAAGGUUCAUUGGGAUUUAACUUAAGUUUUUUUUGCUUCAUUUUGCUCCAAAUUCUCAUAUAUCAUGUCAGAGGCACUUUUGAGGGGAUUGGCAUUGGCCUCGGCCCCUCUUAAAAUAAAAAAUUAUCAUUUAGGCUCUCUAAAUUUUUUUUAAAAUUUUAAAUUAGUAAAUAUAAAAUUACACUUUGGCACCCUAAAAUUAUAAAAAUUCAAUUUAAUCCUUUAAAAAUUAUAAAGAUAUAGACUAUAAAAAAUUAAAAUUUCUUUUAGCCCCCUAAAAAAUUGUUCUGGCUUCACCCUUGUAUCAUGUUAACUUAUUAUUAGACUAUAAUACUAAAUUUUCCUCCUCUCCCAACCAAAGUGGUGCGAUUGUUGUUCUCACACUCAAAAUUCUAAGUCAUAAUAACCACACUGGGGAGGUUGGUUUUUUAAUGUGGAAAACUGAUAUUCAAAUUCCCCCAGAAAGUAGAGCCGCAGUCUUGGUUAAUAAGAUGCCUAGCAAAACAAACAGCAGGAAAUAGAAUUACAAAUAAAGCAAAAGCGGGAAACAAUGUCAGUUUUGCUUUUAAUUUUGGCCUUUGGGUAGGGAAGAUGAAUAAUAAUGGGAGCUAACAAUUAAGUUUCUAACUAAAUUAGGGAAAUAUAUAAGAAAGCUUCAGUGGGAGAAGAAGCAUUAAUGGGGACACAAGACUUUGACUACUCUUCAGUUUUAGUUGGGAUGAAUAUUUUAUUUUUAUUACAUAUUUUACACCUUUUAUUCUCUCUUAUUUUCUUUUCUGGGAAACACCUCAAUCAAAGUACAUUUAGUUCCAAGAAGAGAGCCAUGGUUAUCUCACCAGGAGGACCAAGGGGACAAGACUUUAAAAAAUAAAUAAAUUCCUUAAGUAUAAAGAAAUUAGAUUUUCAAUUUAGAAUAUAUAAAAUACAUGUAAAUAAGAUCUUACAAUUAUUUAAGUUUAUUUAUUAUCAAAUUAAUAUUUAAAUAUUAGAUAUGAUAGUCAUUUAACCUUAUUUUUUAUCAAAAUAAUAUUUGAUAUUACUUUGUAUUAGUCUAUUAAAUUAAAUUAAAAAUAUUACUAAAUAUUGUUGUUACCGAAUGAAUAUUUAGAUACUACUUAAUAUUAAUUUAUCAAAUUAAAAUUAAAAAUAUUACUAAAUUUAUCAUAAAAUUUUAUAAUUAUAUAAAGAAAUCAAACUAAAAAAAAAUUAUCAAAUUAAAUUAAAUUUAAAAUUAUUACUUGGUAUAUUGUUAGUGAAAAGGAAAAAAAUUCAGAAGCAGAGUUAAAAUAAUUACAUGUGUCCAUUUAUUUAAUUUUAGAUUUUUUAGAAUAAAAUUUCAUAAAUAAAUAAAAAAAUGAUAGAAGAGAGAGAAUCUAAGCCACACGCAUUUAAGCGCUCAACCAAAAUUUUAUUUUAAUGCACAUUAUAUAUUUUUAUUUUAAUAUAUGUAAUUUAUUAUUUUCAUCAUUGCACAUAUUAAUAUUGUUGUACGUUAAUUAAAAUAAUAUAAUGUCACAAACUAACUCGACAAUAACUCACAAUUGAAGAUUAUAUCACAAUGAACAAUUAUAGGAAGAUUGGAAGCAUGUUUUGUCAGCAGUGGAUGCAUAAACCUUUUUAUGGAGUAUGUAAGUUGAGUUCUCCCAACUACAAUGAUUGACCAAAACAAUGCGAGUUCGUCAGAGUCUUUUUUAAAGAAAAAUAAAAGUAUUAUGAGACGUUGAUAGCUAAUUAAGAGAUAAACCCACUAAGUCAAUGCAAGUCAAUUCUUCUUAAAAAAAAUAUAAAAACAAUUGAGGCUCUGGGUUUGACCCACUACGCCUCCUUUUGCAUCAAUUCAUAAGAGAUUUUGUUGCCAAGGAGCUUGAGAAUCCUAUAAAGGUAUCACUUCAAUGAUACAAAGCUACAUAAAUUUUAGUUGUCUUUGAGAUAUUUUCAUAAAAGCAUGUGCAAAAUCUUUUAGAUUUUAAACAAUAUUAUUUAUUUUUAAACAACAUCUAGCAAUGUAUUUUUUAAACAUUUAUUUGAAAAGAACCAAAUGAAAACUAUUAUAUAAUUUUAUAAAAUUGACAACAUAUCCAACAUUUAAAGCACAAAAAAACUAGAUAUGUCAACAAAAAAAUAAUAAUGCCAACAUUCUCAAAUACAGCAACAAAAUUAUUCUAAAAACAAAAUAUAAGACAUCACACCUAGAGUGUAGAAAUACUUGGAUUUUAAUCAUUAUAACAACGAAAAAGAAAACAAAACAUCCAGCUUCCUCAUCAUAAUGGAUUCUCCUCUCACUCACCAAUAGCCUUUGCAAUGCAAUAACAUAAGAAGAGGCUAUUGUGAUAGCAACUCUUAUAAAUAUUCAAAAAUUAACUUUUAGAUGCAUCAUGUCUUAAUCUAAGACAGAAUUUAUCCAAACAUAUGAAAAAUCUAAUCAACUCAACUCAAUUCAAUUCAACCCAACCUCAAUCUAUCUAUGUAGUUUACUUUUAAUUAUGAUUUAAAUUUAAAUAUUUUUUAACAAAAAUUUUAAAUACUUAAUAUUGAACAAAAAAUAGUAUUAAUGAAAAUUUACAAUUAUGAACAAUAACUUAACAUAAAAAUCUUUUGUUUUAGGAAUAAAACUUCAUAAAUAAAAAAGACAACUUUUUUCUUUUUUAAAUUUUAAAAGGGACAAAUAUCAAAACUAUACAUAAAUUAUGGUUUAAUAUGUAAUUGUAUACAUGAACUUUGAUUUUAUGUAAUUUUAUAUAUGAAAUAUUGAUUUGAUCCAAUUUUUAUAAAUUACUAACACAAUUAUUGUUAUAACAUCAUUUUAUAUUUAUAUAUUGCAUAUAUAAAUAAUUAUAUUUAUCCAAUAUAAAAAUAAAUUGAUGUAUUUAUUUCUUUAAAUGUCUAUGAUUAAAUCAAAAUGAAAGUUUCAAAUAUACAUUUGAAUUACAAUUAGAGCUUCAUGUGUAUAAUUGGACCAAAUUGAAGUUCAUGUAUACAAUUAUACAUCAAAUCAAAAUUCAUGUAUAAUUUUGAUAUUUAUCUCUUUCUAAAAUAUAUAGAAACAUUGGCAAACAAAUUUCAACUGUUAAAUCUUUUCAUUUUAUGGUCUCUCCUUGAUUUGUUUAUUUAUUUGAACUUAGGAAGGUUUGAAGUUAUUUCUCUCAACAAAUGAAUACAUCCAUACUAUGUUUAGGAGUUUAAUUGAGAUGGUGCUAUUGUCACUUAUCAAUUAAGUCUCAAUUCAGUUGUAAAAUUAAUAAAAAAGUUCAUUAUUUUUCAAAAUGAAAAAGAAUAUUUUUGAGAUAUUUUUAUCUUUUAUAUGAACUUUAUAAAAAUACAUCCAUUCAAUAAAAUUUAAACUCAAAUAUCAUAAUUUACCUUUUAUCACACUACACCAAAACAGGCUUUUAGCGGCGCUUUUCCCUCAAACGCCGCUAUAGAAUAACCUUUAGCGACGCUUUUCAAACAAACGCCGCUAAAAAUAUAUCUUUUAAAAAAUAAUUUUUUUUCAAAUAAUAUUUAUUUCUAUAAUAAAUAUUAUAUUAUGUUUUAAGGAUAAAUAAAAAAUAUUAUUUAAAUUAAAUUUUCUACAAAAAUUUUAACUUUCAAACUAAAUAUAAAUAUAAAAAUUAAUGAAUUUAAAAUUUAGAAUUUAAAAUGAUAAAUUAAUAACACAAAUAAAAUCCAAAAGUUAGAACACUUAAGUAAAAAUAAAAAUUUAGAAUCAAAACUAAAAUAAAUAAUACAUAUGCAAGGUAAUAAAAUAUACAAUGAAUUUUCUUAAUCAAGUAAAUCUUGGUUACAGAACUAACACAGUAUACAGUAAGUUUCGUCUUUCACAUUUUACAAAAAAAAUAAUAGCAUGUUUGUUUGCAUGCUACCAUGAUCAAAACACAAAAAUGAAGUUCUCCACCUGAUACAAAUUUCUCCUACGAAUGUGUAGAAUCAGAUCUCUAGAUUCUUGGAGUUCUUCAUCUGGUGUUGUCUCGAUGGUUUUGAUUAUUGUAUCAUCUAGCUGGAUUCAAAAAAAGAAUAGAAUGCAAAGCAUGUUAUACAUUUGGACUCCAAAUUUUUAGCAACUCAAAAGAAUGCUAAGCAUGUUGUCCAACCUUCCAGUACUCACAAGGAUCCUGAAUAAAAAUGAAAUCAGACCUCACCACUUCAGAUAAGAAGCCUACACAACUAAUUACACAAAAGAAAAAGAUGAGAAAAAAUAACAAUGUAAAAAAGACAUUUGAAUGAGAUAAUAUAGAACCCAGAGUUAACUCUGUGAAUACCUUCACUUUGAGUGGGUGUACACAGUUCGAUAAAGAUCAGCAAAAAUAGCAAAUCACUUGUGGAUACUAAGAUCUAGCAAGAGCACCCAUUACCAUUAUUAAGGAGGAGUAAAAAAACACUAAAAGAACUAAACAUGUAUUUUGCAAGUAAAUGAAAUAGAUGAUACUAACAGUCUUUAGCACGAUAGCAGAUCUCAUCACCCAAAACUCGCAUAGUCUUCAUGAACCUGCAGGUGGUGUAGCAUGUAUAUUAAGUUUCGCUUACUUAUCCACAUCAAUUCCAUUCUGACCAUUUGCAACAAUAUCAUAUAAGAAUUGCUUCUCCUUUGCACUCUUCAAAGUAAGCACAAAAUAGUGUAUGUGUUAGAUAAAGCAAAGAAACAAAGAAUGUCUGUACUUCAUACUGGAGCAAAAUAUAAAAAAUCCAGUGAUCAACAUGUGCCUACACUUAAAAUAUAAAAAAUCCAGUGAUCAACCGAAAUUAAACUAUUCAUCAAAAUGAUUGCAAUUAACUGAGUUAAAACAUGAUUUUUUUUUCUUUUCUAGCAAAUAUCCAAAGUCUUUUAUACCUUCCCAAAUGGUGAAACAAGCUGGUGAAGUGCUUGAAUUCUGUCUCCUAAUUUUUCUUUCCUCACCUGCCAUAUAACAUAUAUAUGUAUAUAUAUACAAGUUAGAAAAAAAGAAAAAGUAGGUGAUUAAUUUACUAUUUUACUUUCACUUAAACUAUAUUCUCUUUUUCAUACAUUAAUAGAAUAUGAUAGUUACAGCAAAAAAAAAAAAAGAAUCAUCCCUCUAGAAAUCGACAACCAAACAAGGACAACAGUUUUUACCACCCCACAUGUAUUUUGUGUAUGUGUAUAUACACAUAUAUAUGCUUGUAAGUGUGCGUGUGCGUGCAAUCUGUAUUGAGAUAAAAAAAACAUAUAUUUAAUUAUAUAAAAAUUAUGGUAAAAGUAUCAUGGAAGUCCCUGUACUAAAAGUUGGAUUACAUUUUGCCCUUUUACUCAAAUGGUUUAAUUUAAUCACUCAUUCAAUAGCUAUUACCUAAAAUGCUACCACUUUUGAGGUAUAAAAUCAGUGGAAGUCUAAAUCAACAAAGUCCUAAGCCAAUCAAAACAAAGUCACCAUGAAAUGAAAAGAACAAUCUGUUCUUAUCCUUUCGAAACAGUGACCAAAUACAAUGAAUUCAAAAGGUUGUUCUUUUCAUAUCUGCUUAUCAACCAAAUACGCAAUGAGAAAAAAAAAAUCAUGAUCCGCCAGCAGAAAAGCUUGAAAUUUGAAUGGAUCAAAUGAAACAUAAAUCUAAUGUAAAACACACCUGGAGAAAGCUUAAAAGAAGAGCUUUGAUGAGAUUUUCUGGUGUGAGCUCUGGCUGACGCUGCUGAUAUCUUCCUUCUAACUUCCCCAUUAUCGUCCCUCAAAACCCAAUAAUCUGUAAAAUGAAGACUCCCCCAAAUUACUUCAGAUGUCUCUCUUAAAUUCUAUUUAAAAAAAAUUAAAAAUCUAUAAAAAAAUAAAUUACUAUAAAAAAAAGAUAAGUAUGAAUUAAAAAUAUAAUCCCAAAUACUGAUUCAAUUGCAGACUGGGAUUUAUUUCUUACCUCAAAGGUACAGCAAUGGUUGUAACCUCUGUAACCUGUUUGUGAAACCUCUGUAACCUGUUUUACUAGUAAAGCCGAUAAUAAUCCAGAAACUGGUUGUAACCUCCUUGUAUUUGCCUGGGAAACCAGUAAAUCUUCUCAUUAUCAGCAUAUGUUGAUUUUUUUUAUAAUGUCGCAGGGAGGGAGGGAGGGACAGAAAGCAAGAGAGACGGCGUGUUUGCAAAGUUAAGAGUUUUAGGGGGGAAAAUUAGGGGUUUCACGGGGGAAAUUUGGGGAUAAAAUGGGGGAGAAUUUUUAAAAGUGAAAUUAGGGCUUUUAGGGGAAAUUUUGGAAUAAAAUGGGGCCAAGUGAAAUUAUUUUUGCGGCGUUUUUAUAAAAAAAACGCCAGUAAUGCACUUUUUGUGGCGUUUUUUUGAAAACACUACUAAAAAAUUUAAAUUCUUCUAUUGAAAUGGCAUCCUUUUGAGAAAUAUUAAUACAUAGUAACGGCGUUUUUUGCUGAAAAUGCCGCUAAAGCUCUCAUAUUUUUUAUAUUCAAUUAUUGUAUCUUUCAUAUAAAUUAUACAUAAAAUAAUUAUUAAAAUUUUAAGUAAUAUUUAAAAGAAUUAAAUAAUAUUAUAAAUUUUAGUUUUUUUAUUUCAUUUUUAUUUUUGUAUUUUUUUCUUAUAAUUUGGUCCUACCCAAAUUAAAUAAUUACCUAUAUAUCCAUAUCAAAUAUAUCAAAUGGUUUAAAUUAAAUAUUUUUAAAUAUAAAAGCAUUAAUUAAUUGUAUAAAAUUGUAUCAUUUAACAAAUCUCAAAUAAACCUUAAACCCUAAAUUAACCAUUCAAUAUACAGAAAGUCUAUCUAUUAUAUAUCUCUUAAAUAAUAUAAACUAUACCCAUAAUUUCAAUAUAUUAAAUUUAUUAUUAUCUCUUUUACAAUUAUAUAAGAAUAUAUUUAAUAUAUAAAUUAAAAAACUAAUUAAUCUAAACCCUAAACAUUAACCCGACCCUUGAAACCCUAGAUCCCUAACUCCUAACCCCUAAACCUUAAAUCCCAACCUUUAAACCAUAAUCCCUAAAUCUAUAUAUAAUCCCCAAACCUUAAAAUAGUAACUCCUAAACUGACUUUAAAUAUUAAAUUAAUCAUAUACCGUAAACCAUAAACCCUAAACUAUAAUGAUAAUUAAUUAAAUAUUUUAAAAUUAAUACUAUCUUAUAUUUUUCAAUUAUAUAUGAAAUUAUUUAAUAUAUAAAUUAAAAAACAUCUUUAAAAUAUAAAUUAAAAUGCUUUUUUGGAUGAUUUAAUGAAUAUGGUAGGAUUAACUCUAAACCCCUAACCUCUAAAUCCUAAACCCGACCCUAAACCUUAAACCCCAACCCUUAAACCGUAAACCAUAAAAAAUAAUCCCUAAACUAUAAUGAUAAUUAAUUCAAUAUUUUAAAAUUAAUACUAUCUCUUUUACGAUUAUAUAAGAUAUUUUUAAUAUAUAAAUAUCAAACACGUCACAGACACUUAAAACUUUGAGAUAGUUAUACUAUUUUUUAUUUCACUUAUAGGAACCUCAUAUACUCAAGCACUGCAAGUCUUUUGUGAAUUAACCAAUGCUUAUGAAAAUCUACUACUUCCUGUUAUCAAUGCCAACUGGAAUCACAAAUAUUAACAAGAAUCAGACAUAGAUAGCAAAAUUAAUCAAGCACUUUCAAGGGACAUCAGGGACAUCAUUCUAGCAGUUCUUUAAAGAAAUGGAUUUCAAUUCAAAAUUCAGUAGUUCUGUAACUAGCCUAGCAGACAGAUGGAAAAAUAAUAUUUAUUUUAAAGAUCAGUCUACCUCUUAACUGGAAUAACUUUUUGUAAACUUUAACCUUUUGAACUUUUUUUAUUAAUAUAUUUCUUCUAAUACUUGUUAGAGAUAAUCACAGUCAAGAGAUUCAACCAUUAAGAUUCAAUGGAUGGUUAAUAUAAGACCAAACAAAGACAAUGCAUCUAAUUUAAUAAGCUAAGCAGUGCUCAUGAACAAAGCAAAACAGUGUAUAAUAAAUUAUUUAAUAUGUAAAUUAAAAAACACUCAGUAAUGUACCCGAAAAACUUAAAAAUUAUUUUAAAUAAUGUACCCAAAAAACUUAAAAAUAUUUUUUGCGGCCCUUUUAAAAAAACGCCGCUAAAAAUAGAGCAUUAGCGGUGCUUUUUCAAAAACGCCGCUAAAGACCCGAGCAUUAGCGGUGAUUUUCAAAAAACGCCGCUAACGCCCCGAAAAAUCAAAAAAGACAUCGUUGUGCUUGGGUUUUUUGCGGCGCUUUCUGAAAAAUGCCGCUAAUGCUAAUUUUUAGCGUCGUUUUCCAAAAAACGCCGCUAAUGCUUGAUUUUUAGCGGCGUUUUUUAUCCAAACGCCACUAAAAAUGCCGCUAAAAGCCUGUUUUAGUGUAGUGUCAUUAAUCUAUACCAACUUGAGUGAGGAGGACCAAGACAAUGCAAGUCUCAAGUCUUCUUUGAAACACAAAAAUAUUUAAGUGGUUAAGAGCGACAAGCCUUAUUGGUCCUUGUUGGUUAUGUAAGUCAAUUGUAGAGAACGGUUGUUGGAUAUUUCUAAGAAGUAAGUUAAUAGUUAGAACGGUCAAGGAAGGCACAUUCCAUCCCAAUCCAAGCAUCAUGCUAGAUAAGACUACUUAAAUAUUUUUAAAUGUCCUUUUAAUAUAUUUAUAAGUGUUUUCGUCUAUUUUACAUGAAUUUAAAAUAUUGCAAAUUAAAUUUUAUUUAAUUAAAUUUAAACUAAAAACUAAAUUAUAAUUUUAAAUUUAAAUUUAAUUAUCCAAAACAAUUGACUUAAAUUAAUUCAAAAACUUGAAUUUAGAAUUACAUUAAUAGAUUUCAAAUUCGUUUCAUUUUAAAUGAAGUCAAUUUAGUAUUAAGAUGACAAUAGAUCGGGUCAAGCUGAAACAAGAUCCAAUUCUAAAAAAAAAAAUUUAAGUAUUUAGUCUUUUAUCGACCCAACCCUCAAAAGCUAGAUUUUUUUUCUUAUUAAAAAAUAAAAAAAUAUUAAAAAUAUUUUAAUUAAUAUUUCAUAAUUAAAUUUAAAUUUUAAAAAUAUUUUUUUACUAUUUAAAUUAAAUUUGAACCAAAUUGAUCUAAACACAAAAAUACUUAUCCAAGCCUAACUCAAAUCGGAUUAUACGGGAUCAUAAGUGUAGUUUAGCAGAGUUUGUUGAAAGUGUGUGUAAAGUUGAAUGAUUAGAUAGGGAUUUGGAAUUCAUUUAUGAAAAUGAAAUUGAAGGUAGGUUUAAUUUUUUAACUAAUAGAAGAUGUGAUUGAAGCCCGUUCUUUUACGAAUUUUGGGCUCUCCCGCUUCAUCACCCAUUCAUUUAUUUUAAUUCUUGGCAGUGUGCGGCCCACUAAAUUUAUUUUAAUUCUACAUACCUUCGAUAUUGUUAUUUUAGGGACAGUAUAAAUUUUGACCCCUAAUCUUGAUAGUUAAGUGCACUUCAGUACAUACUUGCUUUGGUCUAUUUUGACACUUGAAUUUGAAUAUUAGGCAUAUUUUAAUUUCUGAACUUAAAAAUUAUGAAAGUUUUAUGAUGCGACUCUAUAAGAUUAUGUUACAAUCAUCUCUUGAAAAUUAAAAAACUUUUUAUAUAAAAUUUUAGAGCAUGACGUGGUACAAUCUCUAAGUGCCAUGUCCAUUAUUUUAAUAAUCGGAUUGGUGGUUGAAUCAAUCAAACUAUUAGUUUUCGGUUCAACCAAUUUGAUCAGUUUGAUUGUCGGACCAACAAUAAUUAAAUAAAUCAUUAAACAUUCAUAAAAAAUCUAAAAAAAUAAAAGAAAAUUUUGUUAAAUCGAUUAAUCAUGGUCAACAACCGGGGGUUUUCUCAAUUUUUGAUUUUUACCAAUUUCAAGCAAUUUCUUAUUAAAUUGAUUCAACGUCUUUGUUCAAACCACUAUACCAAUUGAUUCUUGAUCCAAUCGGUUUGAUCAUUAUCCCAUGUGAGAUAUUAAAAUAAAAAUAAUUACCCUUUUUCAAAUCACUUGCAAAAAAACUCUAAAAAUUCGGGAUAAAACACAAAAAAAUUUAAGAUCCAAAAGGAAAUAAAUGCAUUAGAAACGUUAUUUGUACGGGUAGUAAUGUAGCCAAUUAGUCUAGAUAGGUUCUAAAUCAAUUGGUUUGAUUCAGUGUAAAGACUAAAUUAUAGUAAACUUUAUUUGUUUGAUUAAUAAAAUUUAUUUAAAAAGAACCAAAUGAAAGCCACUAUACAACUUUAUAAAGUCGACAACACAUCCAACAUUCAAAGCACAAAGAAACUAGAUAUGUCAACAAUAAAACAAUAAUGCCAACAUUCUCAAACAUGGCAACAAAAAUGUUCUAAAAAAAAGGAAAUAGGACAUCCCACCUAGAGUGUUGAAAUACUUGGACUCAAUCAAUAUAACAACAAAAAAGGAAACAAGACAUCCAACAUUCUCAUCACAAUGUAUUCUCCUCUAACUCACUAGCAACCCUUGCAAUGCGAUAACACAAUUAGAGGCUAUGUGAUAGCAACUCUUAUAAAUAUUCAAAAAUUUAACUUUCAGACACAUCUUGUCUUAAUAUAAGGUAAAGGAUUGAUUCAAACAUGAAUAUUUUAACCAAUACAUCUCAACUCAAUUCAAUUGAACAAAACUAAAUCGACACGAAAAUUUACUUAUGUAGUGUACUUUUAAUUUAUAUAUGAUUUCAAUUAUGGUUUAAAUUUAAAUAUUUAGUAUUGAAUAAAUAAUCAAAUUGAUGGAAUUUUAUAAUUAUGAACAAUAACUUAAAACAUAGGUAAAAGUUUUUAUUUUUUUUACUUAAUAAUAUUAUUAGCAAUCGGACAUUAUUAACAAUAAAAUACUUAUAUAUAUAUAAAAGGAAAAAUAAUUCAAAGCCAAAAGGUGAGAUAAUGAAGUAAAAUGUUUCUAACCUUAUGCAGUAUUUGAACUUGUUAUAAUAACAGUAUCCAAUGAUGUACUUGACUCAUCAUAAGAGUUUUUGCAGCUAUCAACCUUCAUUGAUGUUUCAAGAGGAAGUUGAUGGAAUGGCUUACGAGGCAUUUCAAGGAGUUCAACAUCAAAUUCAAGCAUCUUCAAGACUUGAUUCAUUGAAGGACGAUCAGAAGGAAGUAACUGUAUACACCAAAAGGCUAUUAUUAUCAUCUUCCUCACCAUUGCUUUUUCAUCGUCAGAAACAUCUCCCAACUCCAAGUCCUUUCCUUGAUCCAAUCGGUCAUAAAUCCAAGAUGGAAAAUAUAUUUGACUAGUGUGGUCAGCAAAUGCAUUCACAUUCUUUCUCCUUCCAACCAUUUCCAUCAGUAACAUUCCAAAACUAUAAACAUCAACUUUGUAUGAGAUGCCUCCAAGAUUUUUGUAAACCAAUUCAGGAGCAAUAUAUCCUAUCGUUCCCCGUGGCGCAGUGAGAGAGACAAUGCUACCAUCUACUGAAUACAAUUUAGUAAGACCAAAAUCGGAAACUUUUGGAUUAAAAUUCUCAUCAAGAAGAAUAUUGUGUGGCUUGAUGUCAAAAUGUAGGAUUUGCAUGUCACAUCCUUGAUGCAAGUAGUGAAUUCCUUGAGCCACCCCAAGCACAAUAUCAAACAUUUUUUUCCAGCCGAAAGUGUUAUUAUUUUCUUCUGUAAAUAUGAUUUUAUCUAAAGAUCCAUUAGACAUGAAGUCAUAUACCAGAGCUUGCUUUGAUCCCUCCACACAAAAUCCAAUAAGUUUUGCCACAUUAGCAUGAUGAAUUAUCCCAAUAGAAGCAACUUCAUUUAUGAAAUCUUAGCAAUUACCUUUUGACUUACCCAACAAUUUUAUUGCCACGUGAUGCCCACUACGAAGCUUUCCUUUAAACACUGAGCCAUAACCUCCUUCACCUAAUUUAUCUUUAAAAUUUUUGGUCAUUUUUUUAAUUUCUUUAAAAGAAUACCUUAUUGGCACCAGAUUAUUUUGACUUUGAAGGAACUCUUCGAUCAUAUCAUCCAUAGAUAAAUGUCUUCUUCUCCAUUAGUACGUAACAAGAGAAAGCAAACAAAUGAUCCCAGGAAACGACCUCAAAAAGAUAACUCCACCUUUAAAGAAAUACAAUGUAACACGUUGAAAUCAAACAAAUAAUAUAUAACUUACAUUCUCAGAAAAAAGUAAAUACUGUGAUAGUUUUAUGUUAACUAGUAUUUGAGACUAGUCUAUGGACUAAUCGAGAGUAGUCUGAAUUAUAUGUUAUGUUUUGGUCAUUAGCAGGUAUAUCUCAACAAAUUAAAAUUCAGAAUUUCAAACACAAAAGGAGUAAAUCAUGCAAAGUGGAUACCAAUUAUUCUAACCUCACACAUUCCAAUAGAUUUGACAGGGUCAUGACAUUCACCCAAAUUAACACCUUCGUAACCCCAUCCACUUAGCAAAUUCUAAAGAAAGAACAUGAUUCUUAACCAUGAAGGAUACUCAACUGUUGUCUCUAUUCAUGCCAAAUAAACUUGAAGAAGGACAAAUUAAAAAUAUAAUAACCUUCAAAUUUCAUAAAUGAAACAAAAUCUAGAACCACCAAAAGAUGCAAGAGAACCCCCAAAAAACAGGUUUGAUAAAUUCAAGAGCUAACUUUGUUGAAGUUUUAGCAAUAUGAAUAUCCACCAAACUUAUAACCUGUGAAAGUUCUAAACAAAAGCAUUAUGAAAACAAACUUAAGUAAAACUCUAAUAUCUUUCUUAACUUGACAAAAAAAUUUCUUUUAUAUAGAAGAAGAUUGUAUUCUGCAUUCAAACUCCUUAAAGAGUGCCAUAGGUUUCUUAGUUUUGCAGUGAAAUCAAAUAUAAACUUGUUAAUAUGAUAGGCUCCUUAUUCUUUUUUUUCCCCCAGAAUAUAGCUAAUAUUUUUUCUCAACUAGUGCUAGAAUUUGUAUCUGUGCAAAUGCAAAUGUGCAAAUCUAAAAUUAAAUAUACCUGUUAUUGCCAAACAGAGAAUAUUUCCUGUAAAAAAAACCACGAAUAAAAACGAAAUAUAAUUAUUUCAAGAGAGCAACGAAAUAGCAAAAUCAAAGCACUGCUAAUGAAUUUUGGGAAGCAUACUGCUUGGUCGAGACAUUGAAUCGUAGCCAUGGAAAAGGAAAUGUACAAAGCUGUCCAUAUAUGUUGCGCGGAAGCGUGUGAAAGAGUAAAAUUAUUGUACUGAAAAAUCACACUAAGUUCAAUUCCCAGGAAAGAGAGGUGGAUCACGAGGAUCGCUUACAUACCAGAUCUUUCCUAGCCAGAAUAUCCCUCUAUCGUAAUUUAAUAGCACAAUAAAUCACUACAAUGACACUUGCAAAAUAUGCAGAACAAAAAUAAAGAACACUAGAAUUUUAACGAGGUUCAGCAAAUUUUGCCUACGUCCUCGGGCACUACCAAAUAUAUUUCACUCCAAAAAUACAAGUGAAAGUUUACAAAUAGGGAGAGAGAACAAUUGCCUUAAGUAGAGAAUGGCAAGUGUGGGAUGAAGAAAGUAAGAAAUGGUUAGGCCUAUUUAUAGUUGAGGUUCAAGGAUCAACUUGCAAUGUCCCUAUACAAUUAGGGACCAAAAUUGCAAUUAUCCCAUGCCAACUUUUAACCCAACUUGCCAACCAAUUUUACUUUCUACUUUCGGUGCCCACCCUUUUUGACUUUUCAAACAAUGGGUGGGUUCCAAUAAUCUCCACCUUGAAGAUUUGAUUAGGAUAAUCUUAUCUUCACACAAUUCUUUCUGCCUUUGACAACAAUACUUAAUAGUGCCUUCUUCAACUGUUAAACUUGCAGGAUAUUAAUCAAGUUCAAACAAUGUUCGAACUUGGUUGCUGUUACCACCUUGGUCAUCAUAUCUGCGGGAUUAUUUGCAGUCUUGAUCUUCUGAAGACAAAUUUUCCCCUCUUCAAUAAUUUCCCGCACAAAAUGGAAUCGUACGUCGAUAUGUUUUGUACGUGCAUGAUAGACUUGAUUCUUUGCUAAAUGAAUAGCACUUUGACUAUCACAAUACACAUUAAUAUGCUCCUGAACCAACCCCAAGGUUUUAGCCAUACCUUGUAACCAAAUAGCCUCCUUUACAGCCUCUGUUACAGCCAUGUACUCGGCUUCUGUGGUUGACAAUGCAACUGUAGACUGUAGUGUAGACUUCCAACUUAUUGGUCCUCCAGCAAGUGUAAACACAUAACCGGUGGUUGAUCUUCGUUUGUCCAAAUCACCGGCAUAGUCAGAAUCAACGUACCCAAUAACACCUUUACCAAGUGUAUUAUCCUGCUUGAACAGUAAUCUAACAUCCACGGUCUUCUGAAUAUACCGUAGAAUCCAUUUCACAGCUUGCCAAUGUCCUUUUCCAGGAUUAUGCAUAUACCUGCUCACUAUACUAACUGCCUGUGAAAUGUCGGGUCUUGUACACACCAUUGCAUACAUCAAGCUACCCACUGCAUUAGAAUAUGGAACUUGCAACAUGUAUUCUCGUUCCGUAUUCGUCGAAGGAGAUAGUUGUGCAGAAAGCUUGAAAUGAGAAGCCAACGGGGUACUUACAGGUUUGGUCUGCUCGUUCAUGCCAAACUGCUGUAGUACUUUCUUCAAAUACUGCUUCUGAGACAAGCUAACUCUGCCAUGAGCUCUAUCUCUACAUAUUUCCAUGCCAAGAAUCUUCUUAGCUUCACCUAGAUCUUUCAUCUCAAACUCGAGAUUGAGUUGAGUCUUCAAUCUCUCAAUCUCAACUUUGCUCUUAGAUGCUAUCAGCAUAUCAUCAACAUAUAAGAGCAAGUAUAUGAAAGUUCCUUCUUGUAGCUUCUGAAAAUAUACGCAAUGAUCAAAUUUACUUCUUGUGUACCUUUGCCCUUUCAUGAACUGAUCAAAUCGCUUGUACCACUGCCUCGGAGAUUGUUUCAAUCCAUAAAGCGACUUUGUCAGUUUGCAAACCCAAUUUUCUUUAUCAGCAACAUUGAAUCCAUCAGGCUGAGUCAUAUAGAUUUCCUCUUCCAAAUCACCGUGUAAAAAUGCUGUCUUCACAUCAAGUUGAACUAGUUCAAGAUCGUAUUGCGCAACCAAGGCUAGCAAAAUUCGAAUAGACGAAUGCUUCACAACUGGAGAAAACACUUCAUUGUAGUCUAUUCCUUCUUUCUGAGCGUAACCCUUUGCUACCAAUCUAGCCUUGUAUCGAAUUUCAUUUUUACCAGGAAAUCCUUCCUUCUUUGCAUAUACCCAUUUGCAUCCAAUUGCCUUCUUUCCCUUGGGCAGUCUCACCAACUCCCAAGUCCUAUUUUUAUGAAGAGACUGCAUUUCUUCAUUCAUAGCUUGCUUCCACUUUACACCAUCAGAGUUACUUAUUACUUCUGUGUAAGUGGAAGGAACAUCAUCAUCUGCAAUUGGAAGUGCAUAGGCCACCAUAUCAUCAAAGCGAGCAGGCUUACGAAUCUCUCUUCUUGGCCUCCUAUAUGCAAUUGAAUCUUGUUGCUGUAGAAGUUCUUGGGUCGAAACUUCUUCAUCAUUUGUUCUUUCAAUAUUAGCUGGAUCAUCAUUAACCUUUUCAAACUCCACCUGCUGCAAAGUACUACUGGUUUGGUCAUCCUUUUGUGAAUCCUCGUUCUUCAUCAUGGUUGAUUCAUCAAAAGUUACAUCUCUACUGAAAAUAAUCUUCCUUGUAUCAGGACACCAGAGACGGUAUCCUUUUACACCACCAGUUAUACCCAUGAAUAAUGCUUUCUUUGCUCUUGGGUCUAACUUAGAUUCUUUUACAUGAUAAUAUGCAGUGGAACCAAAAACAUGUAAAGAGUCAUAAUCAGUAGUAGGUUUACCAGUCCACAUCUCCAUAGGAGUUUUUCCAUUUAUUGCAGCUGAUGGCAAUCGGUUAAUUAGAUGGCACGCAUAUGUAACUGCCUCAGCCCAAAAUUCCUUGCCCAAUCCAGCAUUGGACAACAUACAUCGAACUUUCUCCAGUAUAGUCCGAUUCAUGCGUUCUGCCACCCCAUUCUGCUGUGGUGUAUCUCGAACAGUGAAGUGUCGCACAAUGCCCUCAUCUUGACAUACUUGUAGAAAUGGAUCGUUUUUGUACUCAGUACCAUUAUCUGAUCGAAGUCGUUUGACCUUUCGACCAGUCUGAGUCUCCACCAUCUUCUUCCAUUUCAGAAAUGCAUCCAAAACUUCACUUUUUCUUUUCAUUAGAUACACCCAUACUUUUCUUGAAUAAUCAUCAACAAAAGUAACAAAAUAGUGCAUACCUCCCAAAGAAGCUACUUUGGUAGGUCCCCACACAUCACUGUGAACGUAGUCCAGAAUUCCUUUCGUAUUGUGAAUUGCUGGACCAAAUUUUACCCUCUUCUGCUUGCCCAGAACACAAUGUUCACAGAAUUCCAUUUUGCAAGAAUUUGCACCUUUCAAUAAGCCUUGCUUCACCAAUGUCUGCAAAGCUUUUUCACCAGCAUGUCCCAAUCGCAUAUGCCAUAAUCUGGUAGCCUCUGAAUCUACAUCUUUUGUAGAAACUGUUGAUGUUGAUCCAAUAACUGUACUUCCAUUUAAAAAAUACAAGUUAUUUCUUCUUGUGCCUUUCAUCACCGUCAGUUGCCCAGCUACUACUUUUAGUAAUCCAUCUCUCAAAGUGAUUGUGAGCCCUUUAGAUUCUAGGGCACCUAAUGAGAUGAGAUUUUUCUUCAGGCUAGGUACGUAGCGAACAUCUGUCAAGACUUGGAUUGAGCCGUCGUGAUUCUUCAAUUGGACUGUACCCACUCCCAUUGUCUUACAAGCACUAUCAUUGCCCAUAAGAACAAUUCCACCUUCUAGCUCUUUAAGACUAGAAAACCAGUCCUUAUUAGGACACAUAUGGUAAGUACAUCCUGAAUCCAAAAUCCACUCAUCCGUUUGACAUGCCAUUGCCAUGCCAACCAAGCUAAAGUCUGACUCCUCAUCAUGCUCCGCUACACAUGCAUUAGAAAUAGCCUUGCCCUUUUGUAGCUUAGGACAAUUCUUUUUCCAAUGCCCUUUUUCACGGCAAAAGGCACAUUCAUCUUUGGCGGGUCUCCCUUUGGACUUUCCCCUUCUACCAGAUUUGCUGCUGUGUGAACGACCUCUUACUGUUAAGACUUCUGCGGUUGUAUCUCUGUGAUCUCUUUUAUCUUUCUUUCGAGUCUCAGAUCUAUACAACGCACUACAGACUGCAUCAAAUGUGAUCGUGUCCUUCCCAUGAAGCAAUGUGGUGGUAAGAUGAUCAUAUUCAUCAGGAAGGGAAUUCAACAACAAUAAUGCCUUGUCUUCAUCUUCAAAUUUCUCAUCCAAAUUUAGCAAGUCUGCUAAAAUUUUAUUGAAUGAGUUCACAUGGUCAUUCAUCGACAUACCGGGUGCAUACGUGAAUCGAUAAAGUUUCUUUUUCAUAUAAAGCCUAUUUUCAAGACUUUUCGUUAGAAACUUUUCUUCCAAUGUAUCCCACAGCUUCUUCGCUGAUGUCUCCCUCAUGACGGAGUACUUCUGCUCUUUGGCCAAACAUAGGCGGAUUGUACCACACGCCUGUCUAUUGAUCUUGGCCCACUCCUUGUCAUCCAUCUUGUCAGGUUUUUCUUCAAGGGCUAUAUCCAGCUCUUGCUGACAUAAGACAUCCAGGAUCUCACACUGCCACAUACCAAAAUUAUUGGUACCGUCAAAUUUCUCUACUUCAAAUUUUGCAUUUGUCACAGUAGUCCUUGCUGAUGACGAUGCUGCUGCCAUUUUUCUCCUCAAUCCCAACUACUGUAUACGUGAACAGUACCGUAUACGUGAAUAGUGCCGUAUACGUAAAUAGUACUGUAUAUGUGAAUAGUGCCGUAUACGUGAAUAGUACCGUAAACGGUCGUAUUCCCCAAGUACGAACCUGGCUCUGGUACCAAUUGUUGCGCGGAAGCGUGUGAAAGAGUAAAAUUAUUGUACUGAAAAAUCACACUAAGUUCAAUUCCCAGGAAAGAGAGGUGGAUCACGAGGAUCGCUUACAUACCAGAUCUUUCCUAGCCAGAAUAUCCCUCUAUCGUAAUUUAAUAGCACAAUAAAUCACUACAAUGACACUUGCAAAAUAUGCAGAACAAAAAUAAAGAACACUAGAAUUUUAACGAGGUUCAGCAAAUUUUGCCUACGUCCUCGGGCACUACCAAAUAUAUUUCACUCCAAAAAUACAAGUGAAAGUUUACAAAUAGGGAGAGAGAACAAUUGCCUUAAGUAGAGAAUGGCAAGUGUGGGAUGAAGAAAGUAAGAAAUGGUUAGGCCUAUUUAUAGUUGAGGUUCAAGGAUCAACUUGCAAUGUCCCUAUACAAUUAGGGACCAAAAUUGCAAUUAUCCCAUGCCAACUUUUAACCCAACUUGCCAACCAAUUUUACUUUCUACUUUCGGUGCCCACCCUUUUUGACUUUUCAAACAAUGGGUGGGUUCCAAUAAUAUAGUUUCUGAAGGCAUAUGUCAAGCUUGACAUUCUGAAUUAUAUAUUCAACAAAUCAAAGUAAAAUUAAUAAAGGGGUGUAAAGGAAAAUUCCAAAUUUGUGUAAAAAAAGCAAUGGAAGGUAAUUUAAAACAUUAUAUUCUGUUUUGUGGUAUAUGCUCAAAAAAAUUAUAACAAUUCUUUACAUUUUUUUUGUUUGCAAAAAGUAUGCAACAUGUAUUACAGUAUAAGAGCUUUUAGGUAACUAAAACUAUUUAAUAUAAUGAAAGGUGAGAUAAAAUUAAUUAAUCCAAAAAGUAUAUAUUAUAGCAUUAAAAGAGUUUUUGCAAAAAAAAAAUUAAACUCAUCCACAAUGGUGGAAUAGUUACGUACUACCAACUAAGUUGAAAAUUCAUCAAAACUUAAAAAUGAAAAUAAAAAGAGAGCCAUUAUAUUUUAAGAAAGUUUGCAGAACAUUGUGGCUGUAAAAACAUAAUCAAAUAUAAUUGUCCAAAAAGAAGACAAAACAGCAGAGGUAGAUACUAAAUUAGAAAUGCUUUUAGUUCAUUUGAUUGUUAGAUGUUGAUCAAUUUUAGAUGCAAAAUCAUAAUACUUUAUUAGCAUCAUAAAAUUUAAUUGCAAAAAAAGUAACAUAAAAUAAAACAAAACAAAAAGUAGUAGUUGUAACUAAAAAUUCCAGUAUGAUGCACACUCAAAAUGCGAACUUAAAUUAUUAAAUAAACUUACAUAUCUUUCAACAAAACAUUGUUUUUAUAGUCGAAGCAACUCUGGUAAUCGCAUUUAUCCCAUUCGACCCAAAAACCCUCUAAUAGUUUUUUGUAGAUAUCCAGCGUAGACAUGCCUGUUAUAUUAUCAACCAUAAUUGGAACCUCCACUUCGAUGGUGCAAGCUUGAUUGAUAUAAGAUGGCUGGGUGUUUCCAUUUAAAAAAUAGAAAUGGGAAGUUGAAAGGGAAGAGGAGGUAUUGGAUUUGAUGGUACAACGAGAAGCCUCAAUAUAAUUAUGUGAUGAUUUUAUAGGUGUCGUGCAAUUCAUAACAUAAAUAAUGCUACCCUCUAACCUUCUAUUGUUGUAAUGACUAUAAUAAUAAUAAUUAUUAGAAGAAAGGUAAAAAUUUGAUAGCUCAUAAUCAUAAUAAUCUACAGAAGUAAGAGAAAGGGAGUUGCAAUCAUCCAUGUCCAAGCUCGCAUCGACCAUUUGUAUUGUAUAAUUUUCGUAAAAGAUUUGUUGGACAGAGAAUUUCCCUCCUCUCCCAACCAAAGUGGUGCGAUUAUUGUUCUCACACUCAAAUUCAAAGCCAUAAUGACCACAGUGGGGAGGUUGGUUUUUUAAUCGGAAUGGAAAACUUGUUGGGUAUGGGUCCCAUUAUGUGGAAAACCCAUAUUUUCUGCCACAAUGUUUUGCCUUCUUUUUUGGUUUUGUCAAAAGCCAAUUUUUUUAGCCUUUUAACGUGGGAGUUGGCAGAAAUUUUAGUAGAGCUAAAACAAAAAAAAAAAUCUCAAAUUAAAACGGAGAGAAAGAGAGAAGAAAAUUUCAGUUUUUCAAGUUUGGUGCAGCAGUGAUCAACUCUUCGAUCGAAGGUUCAUCCGUGGUUCAAUUGAGCUAAUUUUUGGACAGCAGCUAGGCGAUAAGGUGUUCUUGACUUUGUACGGUCGGAUUUUUCAUCCGAGUCUUGUAGCGUCGGAAAUACCCAUUUUUCAGCAGCUACAUUUUUGGUGAUGUUCUCUCAUUUUUCUCUCUUUUGCUAAAGAUUACAUAUUGUUAGCCUUGUCGGAGUUGAAUGCUUGUUGUAGGCUUGAUAUUGUGAUCUUGUAGUCGAACAUUUGAUGAUAGUAGAGCUCUUUAUCGGACUCUAAAGUCCCGUGGUUUUUACCCUUGAUUUAAAGGGGUUUUCCACGUAAAAAUAUCGGUGUCUCUAUUUAUUUUUGUUGUGGUUCCAUUAGUUGAUUUGUGGUUGAUUAAGGUUGCUAGAGAACAUAUCUUGGGCUAUUGUGCUUGCCAUAAUUUUUGACAGGAGUUAUAAGGAGAGAAAGAACACCGGUUGUGCUUUCGCUUUGUUUCGGUUGUUCGGUUUCUUCCCAACAAACUGGUACCAGAGCUUGGUUAUUGUGUCAGAUAAUUAUGGAAAUUAAUACGAGCAAGAUGAUUAUGUUGAAUGGCACAAAUUAUCAACUUUGGCGGAAUAAAAUGAAGGACUUGUUGUUUGUGAAGGCUUUGCAUCUUCUGGUCUUUACUACUCAAAAACCCGAUUCGAAAAGUGAUGAAGAAUGGGAAUUUGAGCAUCAACAAGUGUGUGGCUUUAUUCGGCAAUUUGUUGAAGAAAAUGUUUACAACCACAUUGAUCAGGAGACACAUGCUCGAACAUUGUGGGAGAAGCUUGAAAGCUUGUAUGCUUCGAGGUCGGGCAAUAACAAGUUAUUUUUGCUGAAGAAAAUGAUGGCGCUGAAAUGUAAAGAAGGAAUGUCUAUAGCUGACCAUGUUAGUGAAUUUCAGAGUGUGAUGAAUCAGUUGCUUGGUAUGGGUGUCAAAUUUGAUGACGAGAUUUUAGGACUUUGGUUGCUUGCUACUCUACCAGACUCUUGGGAGACCUUUCGAGUCUCACUCAUUAAUUCUGCCCCACAGGGUAUUAUUACUUUGGAUUUGGCUACGAGUGAUGUGUUGAAUGAAGAGGUUAGAAGAAGAUCUCAGGGCUCUACAUCACAGUCCGAGGUGUUGGUUAUCGAGAACAGGGGGAGAAAUAGAGACAAAGAUGGAAAUGGUAGAGAUAAAAGCCGAAGCAAGUCAAGAUCGAGAUACAAGAAUCUUGAGUGUCAUCAUUGUGGUAAGAAAGGUCAUAUCAAGAAAUAUUGUUUCAAGUGGAAGAAAGAGAACAAAGGUGGUGGUGAUAAACACGAUCGGAAUGACGAUGAAAAAUUCGAGCGUGUUGCUACUGUUACUCGUGAAGAUCUGUUAGUUAUUUGUGAUGAGGAUUUGGUCAACCUAGCAUACGACAAGACUAGUUGGGUGAUUGAUACUGGUGCAUCACUUCAUGUCACGUCGAGGAAGGAAUUCUUCACAUCUUAUACUCCUGGUGAUUUUGGGGUAUUGAAGAUGGGUAAUGAUGGUUUGGUUUCGGUUAUUGGUAUGGGAGAUGUUAGCUUGGUAAGUAACAAUGGAACAAAGUUAACUCUCAAGGAUGUCAGACAUGCACCGGAUGUCCGUUUGAAUUUGAUUUCUGCAGGAAAACUUGAUGAUGAGGGAUUCUGUAACACCUUCAGUGAAGGGAAGUGGAAGCUGACUAAAGGCUCCUUGGUUAUGGCUCGAGGAAAGAAGAGCUCAAAUUUGUACUUGAUGCAAGCUUUGACUUCUCGAGAGACGGUGAAUGUGACACUGAAUGACAACUCAACUGAGUUGUGGCAUAAACGACUCAGUCACAUGAGUGAGAAGGGGCUUAGCUAUUUAGCGAAGAAGAAUCAACUUUCGGGUUUAAAGAAUGCUACACUGAAGAAUUGUGCUCAUUGUCUAGCAGGAAAGCAGAAAAGAGUUUCAUUUAGAAGCCAUCCUCCUCAUAGGAAAUCAGAGUUGCUAGAGUUGGUCCAUUCAGAUGUUUGUGGUCCGAUAAAAGUAAGAUCACAUGGUGGUGCACUUUACUUUGUGACUUUCAUUGAUGAUUGUUCAAGAAAGCUAUGGGUUUACACUUUGAAGUCUAAAAAUCAAGUCUUUGAGGUGUUUAAACAGUUUCAAGCAUCAGUUGAAAGGGAAACUGGGAAGAAGUUGAAGUGCAUUCGUACUGAUAAUGGUGGCGAGUACACAGGGUCAUUUCAUGAGUAUUGUCUGCGACAGGGAAUCAGACAUCAGAGAACACCACCAAAGACUCCACAGUUAAAUGGGUUAGCUGAAAGAAUGAACCGAACAUUGAUUGAGAGAGUCAGAUGUUUGUUGUCAGAUGCAAAGUUACCAAGAUCGUUUUGGGCUGAAGCUUUGAAUACAGUGACACAUGUGAUAAAUCUGUCUCCUAGUGUUCCUUUGAAAGGUGAUGUGCCAGAUAGAGUUUGGUUUGGUAAAGACGUGUCAUAUGAUCACCUACAUGUGUUCGGUUGUAAAGCAUUUGUUCAUGUUCCAAAGGAUGAAAGAUCCAAGUUGGAUGCCAAGGCUUGACAAUGCAUUUUUAUUGGUUAUGGUCUAGAUGGUGAGUUUGGUUAUAGACUCUAUGAUCCAGUUCAGAAGAAACUCGUGAGAAGCAGAGAUGUUGUCUUCAUUGAGGAUCAGACCAUUGAUGACAUUGAUACGACGGAGAAAGUGGAAUCACAAGGUAGUGGUGACUUGAUCGAUGUGAAUCCAGUUCCCCUAGACUCUUCACCAGAUCCUAUCCAGGAUGAUGUGCAUGGUGAUGUUAGUGGUGACCAUCAGACUAUAGGUGACUUUGAUACUCCCAUGGAUGAUGUUGUGAAUGAUCAACAACAAGCACCUAUAGCUCCACCAGCAGUUCCACUUCGAAGGUCUUCCAGAGAUCGACGAUCUUCUGUCAGGUAUUCUCCUGAUGAAUAUGUUCUUUUGACUGACGGGGGAGAACCUGAAUGUUAUGAAGAGGCUAUGGAGAGUGAAUGCAAAGAUCAGUGGGUUGAAGCGAUGAAAGACGAACUUUAAUCCUUGCAUGAGAACCAUACUUUUGAAUUGGUGAAACUGCCUAAGGGCAAAAGAGCUUUGAAUAAUCGGUGGGUUUACAGGUUGAAGCAAGAAGAGAAGUCUUCAUCUCCACGAUACAAAGCUAGAUUGGUCGUCAAGGGUUAUACUCAGAAAAAGGGGGUUGAUUUUGAAGAAAUAUUUUCUCCGGUUGUGAAGAUGUCCUCUAUCAGAACAAGUGGAUGUGAAAACUGCUUUUCUUCAUGGUGACUUGGAAGAAGAGCUUUACAUGGAGCAGCCAGAGGGUUUUGUUGCACAAGGGAAAGAGGACUAUGUGUGCAGAUUGAAGAAGAGCUUGUAUGGUUUGAAGCAAGCUCCAAGGCAAUGGUACAAGAAGUUUGAGUCUGUUAUGGGGGAGCAAGGCUACAAGAAGACUGCUUCUGAUCAUUGCGUGUUUGUUAAGAGAUUCUCUGGUGAUGAUUUUAUUAUUCUUUUGCUCUAUGUUGAUGAUAUGCUUAUUGUUGGUCAGAAUGCUUCUAAAAUUGAGAAGUUGAAACAAGAGUUGAGUAAAUCCUUUGCAAUGAAGGAUUUGGGGCCAGCAAAGCAAAUUCUUGGCAUAAGACUGACACGUGAUAGAAAGGCCAAGAAAUUAUGGUUAUCACAAGAGAGGUACAUUGAGAAAGUACUUCAAAGGUUUAGUAUGGACAAAGCUAAAGCGGUGAAUACUCCCUUUGCUAUGCACUUUAGAUUGAGUGUUAAGCAUAGUCCUUCCACAGAAAAGGAGAAGGAAGAGAUGCAGAAAAUUCCUUACUCUUCAGCCGUGGGUAAUUUGAUGUACGCAAUGGUUUGCACGAGACCAGACUUGGCUUAUGCCGUUGGUACAGUUAGUCAGUUUCUUUCUAAUCCAGGCAGAGAGCAUUGGAAUGCAGUGAAGUGGAUUAUGAGAUAUCUUCGUGGCACUUCCAACAUGAAACUUUGUUUCGGCAAUGAGAAACCUGUUCUUGUUGGGUAUACAGAUUCAGACAUGGCCGGAGACAUUGACUCGAGGAGACCUACUUCAGGUUACUUAAUCACUUAUGCAGGGGGAGCUGUGGCAUGGCAAUCGAGACUGCAAAAGUGUGUUGCAUUGUCCACCACCGAAUCAGAGUUCAUUGCAGCAACCGAAGCGUGUAAGGAGAUGCUUUGGAUGAAGAAGUUUGUGCAUGAGCUUGGUUUUACUCAAGAGAAGUAUGUCCUGUACUGUGAUAGCCAGAGUGCUAUUCAUCUUGGUAAGAACUCAACUUUUCAUGCUAGAUCUAAGCAUAUUGAUGUGAGGUACCAUUGGAUACGAGAUGUUCUUGAAGCUAAGCUGUUAGAGCUUGAGAAGAUACACACUAAUGAUAAUGGUGCUGAUAUGUUGACGAAGGCCUUACCAAGAGGAAAGUUUGAAGCAUGUUGUUUGACCUCCGGCAUGGAGGCAUUCCCCACAUAGUUGGAGGGGGAGAUUUGUUGGGUAUGGGUCCCACUAUAUGGGAAACCCAUAUUUUCUGCCACAAUGUUUUGCCUUCUUUUUUGGUUUUUUCAAAAGCCAAUUUUUUUGGCCUUUUAACGUGGGAGUUGGCAGAAAUUUUAGUAGAGCUAAAACAAAAAAAAAUCUCAAAUUAAAACAGAGAGAAAGAGAAGAAAAUUUCAGUUUUUCAAGUUUGGUGCAGCAGUGAUCAACUCUUCGAUCGAAGGUUCAUCCGUGGUUCGAUUGAGCUAAUUUUUGGACAGCAGCUAGGCGAUAAGGUGUUCUUGACUUUGUACGGUUGGAUUUUUCAUCCGAGUCUUGUAGCGUAGAAAAUACCCAUUUUUCAGCAGCUACGUUUUUGGUGAUGUUCUCUCUUUUGCUAAAGAUUACAUAUUGUUAGCCUUGUCGGAGUUGAAUGCUUGUUGUAGGCUUGAUAUUGUGAUCUUGUAGUCGAACAUUUGAUGAUAGUAGAGCUCUUUAUCGGGCUCUAAAGUCCCGUGGUUUUUACCCUUGAUUUAAAGGGGUUUUCCACGUAAAAAUAUCGGUGUCUCUAUUUAUUUUUGUUGUGGUUGCAUUAGUUGAUUUGUGGUUGAUUAAGGUUGCUAGAGAACAUAUCUUGUGCUAUUGUGCUUGCCAUAAUUUUUUACAGGAGUUAUAAGGAGAGAAAGAACACCGGUUGUGCUUUCGCUUUGUUUCGGUUGUUCGGUUUCUUCCCAACAAAACUGAUAUUCAAAUUCCCACAGAAAGUAAAAGCCAUAAUGAACACAGUGGGGAGGUUGGUUUUUUAAUCGGAAUGGAAAACUGAUAUUCAAAUUCCCACAGAAAGUAGAGCCGCAGUCUUGGUUAAUAAGAUGCCUAGUAAAACAAACACCAGGAAAUAGAAUUACAAAAAAAGCAAAAGCGGGCAUUAGUUUUGCUUUUAAUUUUGGCAUGCUAAAAUUUUGGGUAAGGAAGAAGAACAAUAACGGGGGUUAAUGAUUAAGUUUCUAACUAAAUCAGGGAAAUAUGUAAGAAAACUUCAGUGGGAGAAGAAGCAUUAAUGGGGACACAAGACUUUGACUAGUCUUCAGCUUUAUUUGGGAUGAAUAUUUUAUUUUCGAUCAAUUUUUUACACUUAUUUUUUUAUUUUUUUUCUGGGAAACACCUCAGUCAAAGCACAUCUGAUUUCAAGAUGGUUAUGUCACCAAGUUAUUUCUCUAAUGCAUCUGUAUUGUUUAAGAGUUUAAUCUUUCCAUUUUAUGGUUGAUUUGAAUAUUUACUUAAACUUAGAAAGGAAGGUUGAAAGUUAUUUCAGUAAUGUAUUUAAGAGUUUAAUUGAAUUAAUGUCAUCUGUUUCAAUUUAAUUGUGAAAUUAUAAAAAAAAUUGUAAUUUGUACAAAAUAACAAAUGUUAUUUUGAGAGUAUUUCGGAACAAAGUUAGAAAUAUUUAUGGGACCAUGAUAUUUAUAUAAAGUAGACGUAUAAAUAAAGUGUUUUUAAAUUUGAGGUAGUUUUCAUCACCCAAAACAAAAUUUAUAAAAGUAAAAUAGGUUAAAUGCUCAAUCUAUAUUAGAUAUUGCGAUUAUUUAAGUUCAUUUUUUUAUCAAAUUAAUAUUUCAAUACAACUUCAUUUUUAGAUAUGGUAAUCAUUUAACCUUUUUUUUUACUAAAUUAAUAUUUAGAUACUACUUUGUAUUAGUUUAUCAAAUUAAACUAAGAAUGUUACCAAAUAUAUUUUACCAAAUUAAUAUUUAGAUAUACUACUUUAUAUUACUUUAUAUUAGUUUAUUAAAGGGCCUAUUACGGGGAUCAUAUCCCCUUUGGGGUGCCUUGGAAAGUUUCCAACAACAUUUGCUUGUUUUGUCGGACCCUCGUGUAAAAUGGGACAUGAGUUCGUUGGGUGGUCUGACAUGACACACAUUCCACAUAACCGUGCUGGGCUUGUUUUAUCUGUAAGUAAAUUUUGAACAACGCUAGUAAGCUUAUCACAUAAUCGUGCUGGGCUUGUUUUAUCUAUAAGCAAAUUUUGAGCAACGUUAGUAAGCUUAUCAAUUUUGUCUUCUAGAGAUAGAGUACACUUAACCUAUGAUCCCGUCUCGUGAGUUCUAUAGCCAGUCGGAAUUGUUGAGUAUUUGUAGCCAUGGUUGAAAUCAACUCACUCACUUUCUGGGGCAUCAUAUUAACAAGUGCCCCUCCACUAGCAGCAUCUAUCAUUUUCAUUUCCAUUUGGAGUAAUCCCUAAUAGAAAUAUUACAAGAGUGAAUGUUCAAUCAGUCCAUAUUGUGGGCAACUUGCACACAAAUUUUUAUAUCGCUCCCAGUAAUAAUAGAGCGAUUCAGUCUCCUUUUACCGAAUUCUUAUGAUGUCUCUCCUUAAUUCAACUACUCCAGCUGCUGGAAAGAACCUUUCAAGAUAUAAACGAGACAUGUCAAAUCAUGUAUUGACAAACCUUGGAGGUAAAUAAAAUAGUCAUUCUCUAGCAGAAUCGGCUAAAGAGAAAGGAAAAACACAAAGUUUAAUUUGAUCAUUGAUUACUCCCUGAGGUUUCAUGCUUGUGCAAACCAUACGAAAUUCCUUGAGAUGGGUAUGUGGAUUUUCAUUUGUAAUCCACAGAAGGUAAGCAAUAGAUAAAUCAAGUCUGAUUUUAACUCGAACGGUGUUCCUCCCACCGUAUAAGUUAUAGAUGGGGGAGGUUGUUCAUCUGGGGCUGCUACGAGUUGGCAUAUAGUUUGCUUUACCAUAUCGUCUGGUUCGUCAAAUGAGAGAAUGUCCUCAAUGUAAAAUCCUAUUUCAAACUGGGGUUAUGGUCGUUUAUUGCAUCGAGUGGCUUCUCUUCGCAGUUUUUGAGCCAAAUUCUUUAUUUCUGGUUCAAAUUCUAGAGACCCCGAUUCUGACACGGUCAUAAGGAAAACAAACGAAAAUUUAAAAAAAAUUUAAUCCCCGACAACGGCGCUAAAAUUUGAUGGGUGUCGAAACCACUAAAUAAAUUAAUUCCUACAAUAAAAUAACUCUAAACAGUAGUAAAGAGUAGUAAGGUCGAUUCCACAGGGAUUGGUGAUUAUGAUCAACUUUUGUGUUUUUCUUAUAAACAGAAUUUAUGUCGCGGCGAUAAUCGUGGCAAUAGACAUGUCCACGACUCUAAACGACCUACUAAAAAAAAGAAAUUAGGGGAGUUUCGAAAUGUUUAGAAAUUAAAUAAUUGAGAUAGCAUAAAUAAACAAUUAAAUAAAUUAGAAAUUAAAUUAAAUUAGAAAAUUAAAUUCGAAUUUUGUAAACAGAAAUAAUAAGCCUUAGCCUUCGAGUCGGUGAAUUUCGAUUUCUGAACUGAUCCUCGAAAAUUAGUUUUCUCCUCCAAACAAAAAGCUAGUUAUAGCAGCUAGAACGUCCUAACUCUCAAUUCUUUCUCUAGUAGUUGAUUUCGGUACUACCUACAAACCAACCCUUAUUGAUUAUCUAAUCAGAAUACACGCGUUCGCAAUUCAAGAUUCCGAUAGCCUUAUGUUCUGAAGAACCCAACUCGAAUUAACGGCCUCAACCAUGCUUGACGUUUAAAUUUAAUCACUAUCUCCCUUGAUUUGUUCGCGAAAGUCUGAAUACAGCACGGCUGACUCGUCUCUCCAAUUGUCCGCCAAAACAACUCCAACCCAACACGCUUUUUUAAUUGAAAUCAAGUUAACUUUAAGGAAUGAAUUUGUCAAUCCCGAUAUUUUGGAGAGAUGGUGAAUACCGAUUUGAAGAAUUUUUAGUGCGGAUACAUUUCUUACGAUUCCUAACUGGAAAGAAUACCGGCCUAAAGCUAAUUUAAAAUUAGUGAAGCCUGAAAUUAAUCAAACUUUGGUUGGUUAUAGAAGUGGAUUUGAAUGGAAAUGGUGGUUGGUGAAAGGGAAAGGGCCUGGGAAACAAUUAAGCUAAAACAUUGAAAUGGAAACAAACUCUUACACGCAAAGUAAGAAAGAAAAUAAAAUGAUUUUUUUUUUCUAUUCACUUGCCAAGCAAAUCAAGGUGUAUUUUUUCAAGUUCACCAUGGCACCUAUUUAUACAUAAAUAAUAUGCUAAAAUUAGGCUAGUCUCACCUACCCACUAAUUACAUGAAAUAAAUAUCAGAUUUUUUUUUCUAAUUUUUCCUUUUACAAAGUCAAAAAUCUUAUCAGUCCCUAAAUAUCUCCAAAUUUUUAAUUCGACUCCUCUUCAAUUGCUUAUCAUUCAAUUUAAUCAUUUUCUUCUUGUUUUCGAAUUAAAGCAUCCGAAUUUCAUUCUUGACAAUAUUUAAACAUAAAAUUCACUAAUUAGCAAAAAUUAUUCAAAAGCAAAUUGAUUUGAGUACGUAAAAUAUGCAAAAUAAAUAUACUAUCAUUAUAAUAAUUUUAUAUUCAAAUGGUUUAAUCUAACUAAUUAUUUUGAAUUUCAUUGUCAUGAAAAUAUACAAUUUAUUAUGAUUAAUUUUAAAAUUAUUAUUUGGAACAUUGUAAGUAAGAUUAAGAAGAUCACAUGUCCAUUUAUUUAUUUAUAAAUUUUUAAAUAUAAUUUAAAGACCACUUGUUAUUAUUUAACUUUUGCUUGUGGAAUUUUUAUUUCUAUCAAAUAAUAAUCCUUAAAAUCAUUAUCUAAAAAGGAAAAAAUAUUAAUAUUUAAAAGGAACAAAUCAAUGAAACUUCCUUCUUCUUUUUUUUUUUGAAAAAAAGUCAAUGCAAGUAUUAAGUCUUCUUUGAAACACAAAAAAAACAUUUAAGUCGCUAAGAGCGACAACAACCUUUAAUUAAACAAAUAUAAUGAUAAGAAUAUAUAUAAUAUAAUAUUUGUCUAGUUUUCUUUUGGACGUACAAUACUUGUCUACUUAAUUUACUUAUUUGAUUAUUUUAUUUAUAAAGUAAUAAAAAUGUUAAUAUUUUUAUUUCAAAUGAAACAUUAUAAUGUCAAAACAUUUUAUAAAAAUACUUUUUAUUGUUGUGUCCUGUCAUACUCGUAUCCUUAUUUUAAAAAAUUAUCAUAUCACUAUGUUCGUAUCAUGUCGUACUCGUAUUACAUGUCUUUGUCCGUGUUUCAUAAAUAGUUUUUAAAUUUUAUUUUAAAAUAAUUAUAUAUAUCUUCAUUUAUUUUGCGUGAGUUUAAAAUAAUAAAAUUUAAAUAUAGAUAUAAGUUCUAUUAAUUUGUAUAAAAAAACCAUUUAAUUAAAUUUAGAUUCAAAUCUAAAGUCUAAAUUUAAAUUUUAAUUAUCACAACAAUCAACUUAAAUUAAUUCAAAAGCUCAAUUUCAAAAUCAAAGGUCUACAAAAGUUGAAUCAUUAUAUGUGUGCUUCGGGUAAUUACUUAUUUCGCCUAAAUUGAAGCCCCCUUUUUUUAGGAAUUUCGGGUCUCUUUAGUUACUUUUUGAAUCAUUAGAUAUUGUAAUUAUUUAAAUUUUUUUUAUCAAAAGGAAAAUUCUUUUUUUUUUAGAAUAAAACUUCAUUAAUAAAAAAGAUCAUGAGAGAACCCAAGAGGAAGUUGAUGUUUACUUGACUCACUACACCAAAACAGGUUUUUAGGGGCAUUUUUAGUGGCGUUUAGACAAAAAAUGCCGUUAAAAAUCGAGCAUUAGCGGCGCUUUACAUAAAAUGCCGCUAGAGAUUGAGCAUUAGCGGCGCUUCCAGGAAAGCGCCGCUAAAAAUGAGCAUUAGCGGCAUUUCUUGGAAAAACGCCGCAAAAAACCUAAGCCCAAAGGCAUCAUAUUUUGACAUUUCGGGGCAUUAGCGGCAUUUUUGAAAAAGCGCCGCAAAAAGAUAGAAAAAUAUUUGUUAAAAAUGGAAAAAUUAAAAUACUAUUAUUUAAAAUAAUGUUAAAAUUUUAAAAGAUACGAUUGAUUCUUAACAAAUAUAAUUGUAAAAGAUACGAUAAUAUUAAUUUUAAAAUAUUUAAUUAAUUAUUAUUAUAAUUUAGGGUUUAAUAUAUAUGGUUUAGGUUAUAUGAUUAAUUUAGGAUUUAAGGCUAGUUUAGGAGUUACAGUUUUAAGGUUUAUAGAUUAUGGAAUUAGGGAUUAUGGAAUAGGGAUUCUGGUUUAAGGGUUGUGAUUUAGGUGUUAGGGGUUAGGGGUUAGGGAUUCGGGUUAGGGUUUAGAUUAAUUAGUAUUUUUUAAUUUAUAUAUUAAAUAAUAUUUAGGGGUUAGUAGUUAGGGGUUAAGGGUUUGGGGUUAGGGGUUAGAGGUUAAGAGUUAGUGAUUUAAGGUUUAGAGAUUCGGGGUCGGGUUAGGGUUUAAGGUUUAGAUUAAUUAGUAUUUUUUUAAUUUAUAUAUUAAUUAAGUUCUUAUAUAAUUGUAAAAGAGGGGUUAGGGGUUUAGGAUUUAAGGUUUAUGAUUUAGGGUUUAAGAGAUAGGGGUUAGGGUUUAAGGCUUAGAUUAAUUGGUGUUUUUUAAUUUAUAUAUUAAAUAAUUUCUUAUAUAAUUGUAAAAGAGAUAAUAUUAAUUUUAAUUUAUUAAAAGUAUGAUUAUAGUUUAAAUUAUUUAAGAGAUAAUAGAUCAAUUUUAUAUAUAUUAAAUGGUUUAGGAUUUAAGGUUUACUUUAAAUUUAUUAAAUGAUAAAAAUUUAUACAAUUAAUUAAUGUUUUUAUAUUUAAAAAUAUUUAAUCUAAAUUUAGAUUAAAUAGUUUAAACCAUUUCAUAUAUUUAAAUAUUAGAUUUAAAAAAAUUGAUAAAUAAAUAAAUUAAUGUAACAAAUUGAUAUGGAUAGGUAACUAUCUAUUUUGGAUAGGACCAAAUUAUAACAAAUAAAAAUAAAAUACAAAAACUAAAAUCAUUCCACAUCGAACAUCUAGCAAAAUAGUUAUAUUUUAGUUAAGAAGAAAUAUCUCUAAUAAAAUGAAGAUUAGAUCGGAAAAGAAUAAUAUAAAAUCAUGAUUAACGUCUCAAUCUUUAAUAGAAAUUUGAUAUGUGAGAGAUUGAUUGCUUACAUUGGAUAAUUCUAACUUAAUAAUUAAUUACAGUCAUUUAAUCAUUUGUUUUCUUAUUAAAAUAUAUAAUAUUUAUUUUGAGAGUACUUAUUUUUUUAUAAAAAUCCAAUUUAUAAAAAAUAGUAAUAAUCAAUAUUUUAUAAAAUCACUUAACUAAUAAUUUUUAGCAGACAAAAUAAAAGAUUUUUAGCAGAGCAAAACGACGCCAUUUUGUUCAAAAUAAAAUUUUUUUUGCGGCGUUUUUAAUAAAAACGCCGCAAAAGAUAAGCAAUAGCGGCCGCAAAAAUCAUUUUACUUUAAAAAAAAGGCGCGUUUUAUCCCCAAAUUUCUCCACCUGAAAUCUCCAAAAGGAGCUCCGCCACUAAAGCAGAUAAGGUUUUUGGAAUUCCUUUUGUGCUUGCUCUUUGUUAAAAAAGACUUUUGUUCUAUUCGGUAUUUGCAGGAAAAAAAAAGAUAAUGUGUUUGGUAUUUUUGUUUCCGUUAUAAAUUUUUUAAGGAAAGGGAGAUGAAGAAAAAGGGAGAAGAAAAAUGCUGCAACUAUGGGUAAUUUAUCCCUACUUUGCCCUACUUUUUAAACCAUGGUAUGAGAUAGGCUGGUCUCCUAAUAUUUCCUUAACAGCUAAAAAUAAGCAUUAGCGGCGCUCUUUAAAAAAACGCCGCUAAAGAUUAAGCAUUAACGACGCUUUUAAAAAAGUGCUGCAAAAAAACCUAAGUCCAAUAAUAUUUUUUUGAGUUUUUGGACUUUAACAGUAUUUUUAAAAAAGCGCCACGAAUGUUCUAUUUUUAGUGGCAUUUUUUAAUAAGCACACUAAUGCUAAUAUUUAAUCUAAAUAUAUAAUUUUUUGCUUAAAGAAAUUGGCGCUGAUUUUUUCCCCAAAUUUCCCCUAAAACCCAAAAACUAAAAAAUCCCAAAUUCGCGCUGAUUUGUUCACAAAAUCCCAAACGAAAAAAUUUGGAGGAGCAGAACGAGGCGCUGCGAUUCCUCCCUCUGCGAUUCGAUUGUUAGCUUCUCACUGUUCUCAGCUCGUUAAAUCUAAUGGAAAGCGAUUGUUUCUCAUCGACACUUUAGCUUUGGUAAAUUACAAUGAUUCCUUCUUUUGUUUUAGAAACUGUAUUUUUGUUUGAUAUUUGGAAUCUUGAAAAUAUCUGAAGACAUGGUGCAUUAUACUUAUAGGUUAGAGGAUUAGAGGCGGAAGGUCUGCCGUCGAAGCAAGCCGAGGCAAUAACAGCAACCAUGACUGAAGUUUUGAAUGACAGCUUAGAAAAUGUGUCUCUUUCAGUUGUUUCCAAGUUUGAGAUGCAGAAAGUAAGCUCUUUUUUUUAAUGCUUCCAUACGUUGUAUUCACUAUGGAAACUUAAUUUUUGUCUUGAUAGAGUGAAAUGACUCAAGAAUCCAAUCUGUCGAAGCUCAAAUCAGAAGUUCAAAGCUCUCAGGUAUUUACUUUUUUGUAAAUGGACUUUGCGAACUUAUCGAUUUUAGUCUCCUUUUUAUGUGUUUUCGACUUUUGGUAUUAAUGAAGUCCCUUCUAGUUGGGUUUGUUCUUAUUAAUGGAAGAAAGCUUAACAUUUGGCCCAUUGCAAAUUGCUAUAGAGACAGUGUUAACAUGUCUAGGCCCUUCUUCACGCUGUAGUAAGUUGAUUUGAGACUCCUAAUCUUAUUUUUAAACAAUAACCGUUGAUUGCUUGACUAGGGAAACAGUAUUGAAUGAUUGGCUAUGAUCCAAGAAACCAUCAAUGGACUUCGAUAUUUACUUUUAGAUUAGAUGAAAUUGCUUCAGUAGGUUGAUUGAUAGAGAGGGUUGUGCAUACAGCUGAUCAGAACUCAGGACUACUGCAUUUUAGGGAAAGAGGAAAAAUUACUAGCUCAGAUUUUGAAUAUAUAUUACUGCAUUUUAGGGAAGGAUAUAUUCUUGUUUUCUGGUAGGACAUGGCUUCAUAACUCUGUUAUGCUCUUGUUAAAUAUUAUUUUGCCUUCAUCUUGUGUUAGUACAUGGUGGGUUCACUCUCAGUCUUUAUAAUUUGUUCCUUGUCUUUAGCCUUGCAACUGAGGAUUGUACCUAUUUGAUUUUUGUACUUUUAAGGUCAUAGUGCUGGUCUAUUUAAUCUGGGAAAUACCUGCUACAUGAAUUCUACUGUACAAUGCCUCCAUUCUGUUCCAGAGUUGAAGUCUUCUUUAGUAAAGUAAGUGCCUUCUUUACCUAACAAUGUAUUAUGAGAGAAUAUGGAACUGGAUUUGUAUGUUUUUUGUAUGAUGCAGAUGUAACGUGCACUGCCUUAAUUGUGAUCAGAUAUUCACAUUCAGGAAGAAACAAUGAUGUGGAUCAGACUUCUCAUAUGUUGACAAUUGCCACACGUGAUAUAUUUGGUGAACUUGAUAAAAGUGUAUAGCCAGUUACACCUAUGCAAUUUUGGACGGUUUGUUCCCUUUUUCCUUGUCACUUUUAUUUUGAAUCCCUGUGUUCUCUUUGAUCUCUGAAGCUAUAGGAUAUCACUAGAUGGAAGAAACGCAUCUACUAGAAUUUAGGUGAAAUAUUUUUAUAUUGCACGCAACAUAUUUGUAGGUGUACCCGAUUUUAUUUUGGUAAUUUUAUUCACAUAAGGUAAAGUCCACGAAAACAGUAUUAUUGUGCCUUGUUUAACCAUUUUUGCUAAUUCUGUUGAAUUCUCUUUCCUUAUUGAUCUAAUCUUUUUACCAUUUAUUUCUAGAGCUUCAUGCAAAUAUUUUUCUAUUCUGUUGUCAACAGAAUUGUUGCGUUGUAUUUCGAAGUUCAUUAAAGGAAUUUCUCUUUUUUUCUGUUUUUUGUUGCUAUAUGGCACUUAGUUUGAAGGAAGGUAUGGAGAAACUUAUUGUUUAUGUGUAUCUUGGUUUCAGUUGUUGCGUAAAAAGUAUCCUCAAUUCGGCCAGUUGCAUGGUGUCUUCAUGCAGCAGGUUUUGUUCUUUUCUCGUUUUUUUAGUCAACUGUACCCAAUACUCUUUUGUCUUAGAUUUGUUUAUAUUCUGAUAUGUAAUUUGGGGUCUUUUACAGGAUGCUGAAGAGUGUUGGACACAACUUUUAUACACCCUUUCUCAGUCUCUUCGAUCAGCUGGUUCUAGGUAGGUUUCUUGUUCUUUGUCAUUUAGAUAUUCUGAGUUAUACUUACUGGCUAAAUUUGAGCAAGUCCAUGGUGCCCUUAACAACUGAAACUACUGAAACAGUUUGAAGCUGUUGCUUUUGGUUUAUCAAACUUUUUCUUCAAAAUUAGGGAUCUCUUAUUUGGAGCAGUGUUACCUUGCAUAGUUCUUUUGCCACUGCAAUGCUUCUCUAGCAUAUAUCUUUCUAAUUUAGCAGCAAACAUCUCUUUUAGAAAAAUAAUUCUAAUCUCUCGCUGUCUUUUUUUCUUCUUUCUACAGUGAAAAUAUAGAUACUGUAAAGGACCUUUUUGGUAUUGACCUUGCAAGCAGGUAGAUAUCUACAGAUUUGAUUGUCAUUUUUUUCUUUUUAAUAAUGAUGACAUUACCUAGUUAGACAAUUUAUAUAUGCUGAUGCCAUUUUCUAUAACUGUUGAAGAAUUGUUGCUGCUAUUCAAAUUUUCAAAUACCACUAGUGCCGUUCAUGUAAGAAAUACAUGUAAAAGUAUAUCAUCUUUAUACUGAGAGAAAAGAUAAAGAAUUUCAAAUUUCAACUAGUCUAAACAAGCAUAACCAGAACAUCCUUCCACUUAUGCUUACAUCGAUAUAGUUUGUGCAGUUUUUAAGUUCAAAUCUGUAUUCCUUUUUGUCCUAGCCACUGUUCCAUGCAGUUUUCAUUACAAAUUAAUGAUUCAUCGUUCUGUAGCUUCAUUGGCUUCCAAAUGAAGAAUACUAUUUCUAAUCGUUAACGCAUUUAUUGUUAACAUGAGUUAAUAAUAUUUCUGUAUUUUGGGUGUUUGGUUGAUGAGAAAAUAUAAGAAAAUUUGGUAAAAGAUUUUUGAUGAGAAAAAAAUUAUAAAUUUAUAAUUGUUAACUAGUAGAUUGAGCUAGGUAAUGAUGAUGGUGCUAAUUUUCCUGCAAUCAAAGAGAAGUUUGGUCAGUACAUGGUGAGUAGGUGCUCCACCUUUACAGCGCAAACAUGUUUACAACAUUGCUACAUAGUUCACUUAAGUUUUUAAUAAGAGCUUGAUCUGAAUUUCAGACCUUGCUUCAGGUGACGAUGAGUGGGAAUGGGCAAGUUCCAUUACUGGCUAUUUCAAGCUAUUUGUUGAAACCAUUAAUGUCUUCUCUACUAACAAAAGUCCUACUGCAAAUGUACAUUUUUUUCUGAAAUCUGUCAUGUUUACAUACUGUUGAUUGAAUUGUGCAAGAGCCCUAAUACUUUUCUUAGUUCAUUGGCAGGGAAGAGGAAAGCAAAGUUCUAUAAAUACUGGAGCAAUGCAAUUUAGCUUUGGCAGUAUCAUCUAUAUCUUACAUCCCCCAACCGUUGAAGCUCACUGAAUUGAUAUGCACACAAGAUUGGCUGCAGAUGCAAUCAGAUGAUAUGUAUGUGCAUUAUCUUUGAUUUUUUCACACAAUAUCAAUUUUGGUUCAUUAUAUAUCACUAAAAAGAUCUUCCUGCACAGGAGAAUGGGUGCGUAUUCUAGUAUCUGUUGCAAUACACUUUAGGGAGCAGUACUCGAAGUACUUGUUCUUCAUAAGCUUAUUUCUUAAACAAAAUAACUUAUAUUGUGUAGUAAUUGAUUGUGAGGUAGCUUUAUAGGUAUCUGAGUCUUUUUAUACUAACUAUUUAUUGCAAUUGGUUCCAAAUAUUUGGUGAAUUCAAUUAUUAAUUUGCACUGCUAGUUUCGUGGUGUCAUAUGCCUUUUGUGUUAGAAUUUGAAUUGUUCCCCCUAAACAAUUUUCUCUAUGUACAGGUUUGAUUGUGGCACGUUUAUGUUAAAAUAUAUCGAUUUCUAUAGCAAAGGCUUAAGUCUUUGUUUUGAGCAGGUAAGUCCAUGGAACAAUUUUUUAUUCUUGUAGUUCAUGUUUUAUUUUGAUUUUUCUGUGAUUAAACUCUAGUACUCAGGGCAGUAGUUGUUGGGAUGUAAAAUCUGUUGUCCAUCUGCCUAAAUAUAUGACAAAAGGCAGAAGUACAUAUUGGAGAUACUCUCACAUGCACAUUCAUUCGUUUGAAACCCAAUAUCUGGUUAUUUGUCUUUGAACUGAGUUGGAUUUUUCCAUGCUUAUGUAGGAACACAUGCCCUAUUUUCGUUUAAGGACUGCCAAGGAAAUUCUGAAACUGAAAGCUGAUUGAUCGGAUGUGUAUGCCGGCUUUCAUCAACUACUUUUGAUGGCCUUACUAGGAAUUGAAAUGGUUUGCAAAGAGAUUGCUUCUUCUGAUCUGAUUUUUCAAUAUAAAUACUGGACAAAGUAUGGAUAUUUCUAGUCAGUUGCAUUUACUGCUAUUAGUAAAAUAGGAUUCUCUUCUUAGGAUCUUAGUUUCUUCACUUGUAUUAGACUCAACAAUGGCUUGCAUUGCAUUGCAUUGGUGUUGAUUUUACAAUUUUUAAUUUUUAUUAAUUAUUUACGUUUUCUCACUUUUAGUAAUUUUUAUUAUUAUUUAAGCUUCCUUUAUUUGCCUUCUUUUAUCAUUUUCAUAGAAAAUUUAAUUUAAAUAAUAUUUUUUUAUUUAUCCUUAAAAGUAUAUUUAAAGUUCAAAUUUAAAAAAUAAAACAUAAUAUAAUAUUUAUCAUAAAAAUAAAUAUUAUUUGAUUAAAAUAAUUUUUUUAAAUGUUAUGUUUUUUGCGGCGUUUUUGCGAGAAGCGUCGCUAAAGGUUUGUUCUUUAGUGGUGUUUGUGACGAAAGCGUCGCUAAAAGUAAUAGAUUUUUAGGGCGUUAGUAAUAAAAGCGCCGCUAAAGGUCAUGGUCUUUAGCGGCACUUUUUACGACGCUUAAGACAACGCCGCUAAAAGUUUAUUUUGCUGUAGUGACUCAUCAUUAGAGUAACAAUAUUUCAACUUGUUAUAGUAACAAUAUCCAAUGAUUUACUUGACUCAUCAUUAGAGUUCUCACAACUAUGAACCUCCAUUGAUGUUUCAAGAUUGGAAGUUGAUGGAAUGACUUAGGAGGCAUCUCAAGGAGUUCAACAUCAGAUUCAAGCAUUUUCAAAACUUUACUCAUUGAAGGACGAUCAGAAGGCAGUAAUUGUAUACACCAAAAAGUUGUUAUUACCAUUUUCUUUACCAUUGCUUUUUCAUCGUCAGAAACAUCUCCCAACUCCAAGUCUUUUCCUUGAUCUAAUCGGUCAUAAAUCCAAGAUGGAAAAUAUAUUUGACUAGUGUGGUCAGCAAAUGCAUUCACAUUCUUUUUGGUCAGCAAAUGCAUUCACAUUCUUUCUCCUUCCAACCAUUUCCAUUAGUAACAUUCCAAAACUAUAAGCAUCGGUUUUGUAUGAGAUGCCUCCAAGAUUUUUGUAAACCAAUUCAGGAGCAAUAUAUCCUAUCGUUCCUCGUGCCACAGUGAGAGAGACAAUGUUAUCAUCUACUGAAUACAAUUUAGCAAUACCAAAAUCGAAAACUUUUGGAUUAAAAUUCUCAUCAAGAAGAAUAUUGUGUGGCUUAAUAUCAAAAUGUAGAAUUUGCAUGUCACAUCCUUGAUGUAAGUAGUGAAUUCCUUGAGCCACCCCAAGCACAAUAUCAAACAUUUUUUUCCAGCUCAAAGUUUUCUUAUUUUCUUCUGUAAAUAUGAUUUUAUCUAAAGAUCCAUUAAACAUGAAGUCAUAUACCAGACCUUGCUUUGAUCCCUCCACACAAAAUCUAAUAAGUUUUGCCACGUUAGCAUGAUGAAUUGUCCCAAUAGAAGCAACUUCGUUUAUGAAAUCUUGGCCACUACCCUUUGACUUGCCCAACAAUUUUAUUGCCACAUGAUGCCCACUACGAAGUUUUUCUUUAAACACUGAGCCAUAACCUCCUUCACCUAAUUUAUCUUUAAAAUUUUUAGUCAUUUUUUUAACUUCUUUAAAAGAAUACCUUAUCGGCACUAGAUUAUUUUGGCUUUGAAGGAACUCUUCGAUCGUAUCAUCCAUGAAUAAAUGUCUUCUUCUCCAUUUGUACGUAACAAGAGCAAACAAACAAAUUAUCCCAAGAAAUGACCUUAAAAAGAUAAUUCCACCUUUAAAGAAAUACAAUGUAAUACAUCAGUACUUGUGAAAUUAAUCAAAUAAUAUAUAACUUACAUUCUCGAAAAGGUAUAUAAUGUGAUAGUUUUAUGUUAGUUUUAUAAUUAACUACUACUUAAAAGAGGGGCAUAUUAAUUUCACUACUUUAUGGAAUUAAUUUAGAAAUAACAGUGAUGCCUUGUGUUUACCCUUCUAUACCAAAUGAAAAACUUUGAAUGGCCAUUGAGAACCCAAGAAAAAUAAUUCCGAAUUAUAUGUUAUGGUUUACAUUCUAGCAGGUGCACCUCAACAAAUUCAAACUUGGAACUGCACACACAAAGGAGUAAAUCAUUCAAAUUGGAUACCAAUUAUUCUAACCUCACCAUGGUCCAUCAAGGAUACUCAACUUUUAUAUUCAUGUCAAAUAUACUUGAAGAAGGACAAAGUACAUAUAUAAUAACCUUCAAUCUUUUUAAAUGAAACAAAGUCUAUAAUCACCAAAAGAUGCAAGACAACCGAAAAAAAAAAAGAAUGGAUCGAUUGAAGAGCUAAACUUUGUUGAAUGUUUUAGCAAUAUGAAUAUUCACCAAACUUACAACCUGUGAAAGUUCUAAACGAGACCAUUAUGAACACAAACUUAACCAAAACUCCAACAUCUUUCUUUACUUGACAAAAAAAUAUUCUUUCGUAUAAGUAGAAGAAGAUUGUUUUCGGCAUUCAAACUCCUUAAAGAAUGCUAUAGAUUUAUCAGUUUUGCAGUGAAAUUAAAUAUGAACUUGUAUAGUACGCGAUAGACUCCUUAUUCUUUUUUUCCCCCAAGAAUAUUGCUAAUAUCUUUUCUUAACUAGUGCUAGAAUUUGUAUCUGAAAAAAUGCAAAUCUGCAAAUCCAAAAUUAACAAUACCUGUUAUUGCCAAACAGAGAAUAUAAGUUCCUGUAAAAAAACGAAAUAUCAUUAUUUCAAGAGAGCAGCGAAAUAGUAAAAUCAAAGCACUUCUAAAUUCUAAUGAAUUUUGGGAAGCAUACUUCUUGGUAUAGAAUCGUUGACAUCGUAGUAGACAUGGGGGCCAUGGAAAUGGAAAUGUACAAAGCUGUCCAUAUAGUUUCUGAAGGCAUAUUUCAAGUUUGACAAUCUAAAUUAUAUAUGCAACAAAUCAAAGUAAAAUUAAUAAAGGGGUGUAAAGGAAAACUCUAAAUUUGUGUAAAAAAAUCAAUGGUAAUCUAAAACAUUAUAUUCUAUUUUGUGGUAUAUGCUCAAAAAAAUUACAACAAUUCUUUACAUAUUUUUGUUUGCAAAAAGUAUGCAACAUGUAUUACAGUACAAGAGUUUUUAGGUAACAAAAAUUAUUUAAUAUAAUGAAAGGUGAGACAAAAUUUAUUCAAUUAAUUAAUCCAAAUUAAAAAAUAUACAUUAUAGCAUUAAAAGACUGCGAAAAAAAUAAACUCAUCCACAACGGUGGAAUAUUUACGUACUGCCAACUAAAUUGCGAAAAAAAGUAACAUAAAAUAAAAGAAAAAAUAAAGGUAGGUCAUACAAAAAGAAAGGGAAAAAGAUAAUGGUUCAUAAUCAUAAGUAUCAUAAUAAUAAUAUACAGAGCUAAGAGGAAGAGAGUUGCAAUCAUCCGUGUCCAAGCUCGCAUCAACCAUUCGUAUUGUAUAAUUUUCGUAAAAGAUUUAUGGGACAGAGAAUUUCUCUCCUCUCUCAGCCAAAGUGGUGCGAUUAUGGUUCUCACACUCAAAUUCAAAGCCAUAAUGACCACACUGGGAAGGUUAGUUUUUAAAUCGGAAUGAAAAACUGAUAUUCAAAUUCCCACAAAAAGUUGAGCCACAAUCUUGGUUAAUAAGAUGCCGAGCAAAGCAAGCACAGGGAAUAGAAUUACAAAUGAAGCAAAAGCGGCCAUUAGGUGAACAAACAAUGGUAGUAUUGCUUUUAAUUUUGGCAUGCUAAAAUUUUGGGUAGGAUUGAAGAACAACAAUGGGAGCAAGGAAAUAUGUAAGAAAACUUUAUUGUGAGAGGAAGCAUUGUUGAGGACUGAAGACCCCAAUCAAGGCAUAUCAGAUUCCAAGAACAGAGCCAGGAUUACGUCACCAGGGAGACCAAGGGAGCAAGACUUUUCAAUAACAAAAAAAUCUUUUGUUUUAAGAAUAAAACUUCAUAAAUAAAAAAGAAAACUUUUUCUUUUGUAAUUUUUAAAAGGUACAAAUACCAAAACUUGAAUUUAAAAAUAGAUUUAGAGUUAGUUUCAUUUUAAAUGAAGCCAAUUUAGCAUUGAAUUGAUCAUAGAUCAGGUCAGGCUGAAACAAUAUUUAAUUCUAAAAAAAGUUUUAAGUCUUAGGCUUGUUUUCGACCCAACUCUCAAGAGCACAUUUUUUCUUAUUCAAAAAUAAUAAAAUAUUUAAAAUAUUUUUAAUUGAUAUUUUAUAUGUACUUUAUAAUUAAAUUUAAAUUUAAAAAAUAUUCUUUUUAUUAUUUAAAUUAAAUUUGAAUUGAGCCGAUCUAGAUACGAAAAUACUUAUCCAAGCCUAACUCAAAUUGAAUUGAGUUGUAUGGGGUCACAGCUGUAGUUUAGCAGAGUUUGUUUAAAUUGAAGGUGUGUAAAGUUGAAUGAUUAGAUAGGGAUUUAUGAAAAUGAAAUCGAAGGUAAGUUUAAUUUUUGAACUAAUAUAAGAUGUGAUUGAAGCCCAUUCUUUUACGAACUUUGGGCUCGUUGAUUUCUGUAUUCCCGAUUCAGCACCCAUUCAUUUAUUUUAAUUCUACAUACCUUCCGUAUUGUUAUUUAGGGAUAAUAUAGUUAAGUGCACUUGUACAUAUUUGUUUUGGUCUAUUUUCACACUUGAAUUUAACUAUUAGGUAUAUUUUAAUUUUUGAAAUUGAAAAAUAUGAAAGUUUUAUGAUGCGACUCUAUGAGAUUGUACUACAUCAUCACUUGAAAAUUAAAAAACUAUUUAUAUAAAUUUUUAGAGGAUGACGUGGUACAAUCUCUAAGUGCCACGUGUAUUAUUUAAUAAUCGGAUUGGUGGUUAAAUCAGUCAAACCACUAGUUCUCCAUUCAACCAGUUUGAUUAGUUUGACUGCCGGACCAACAAUAAUUAAAUAAAUCAUUAAACAUUCAUAAAAAUCUAAAAAACAAUAAAAGAAAUUUUUGUUAAACCGAUUAAUCAUGGUCAACAGUUGGGGGUUUUCUCAAUUUUCAAUUUUUACCAAUUUCAAGCAAUUUCUUAUUAAAUUGAUUCAAUUUCUUUGUUCAAACCAUCAUACCAAUCGAGUCUCAGUCCAAUCAGUCUGAUCAUUAUUCCAUGUGAGAUAUUAAAAUAAAAAAAUUUACCCUCUUUCAAAUCACUUGUAACAAAACUCUAAAAAUUUGGGAUAAAACACAAAAAAUUUAAGAUCCCAAAUAAAAUAAACGCAUUAAAAAUAUUAUUUGUACAGGUAGUAAUGCAGCCAAUUAGUCUAGAUAUGUUUCAAAUCAAUUGGUUUGAUUCAAUACAAAGCCUAAAUUAUAGUAAAUUUUAUUUGCUCGAUUAAUAGAAUUUAUUUAAAAAGAGCCAAAUGAAAACCACUAUACAACUUUAUGAAGUCGGCAACACAUCCAACACUCAAAGCACAAAGAAACUAGAUGUCAACAAUAAAACAAUAAUGCCAACAUUCUCAAACAUGUCAACAAAAAUAUUCUAAAAAAAAGGAAAUAGGACAUCCCACCUGGAGUGUUGAAAUUCUUGGACUCAGUCGUUAUAACAACAAAAAAGGAAAUAAGACAUCCAACAUUCUCAUCACAAUGCAUUUUCCUCUUACUCACCAACAACCUCUGCAGUGCGAUAACACAAUUAGAGGCUAUUGUGAUAGCAACUUUUAUAAAUAUUCAAAAAUUAACUUUUAAACACAUCUUGUCUUAAUAUAAGGUAAAGGGUUGAUUCAAACAUAAAAAUUUUAACCAAUUCAUCUCACCUCAAUUCAAUUGAUCACAUAACUAAAUUGAUACGAAAAUCUAUUCAUACAAUGUACAUUUAAUUUAUAUAUGAUUUCAAUUAUGGUUUAAAUUUAAAUAUUUUUUAACAAAAAUUUUAAAUAUUUAAUAUUGAACAAAUAGUCAAAUUUCGAAAUUAUGAACAAUAACUUAACACAUAGGUAAAAGUUUUUUUUUUACUUAAUAAUAUUAUUAGCAAUCGGACAUUAUUAAAUUGUAUAUGAAAAUAAUUAAGCUUAAAAAUUAAAAUUUAAAGGUAAUAUCAUUGUGAAAUUUACUCAAAAUUUAUAAUAUAGUUAUUUAUGUACAUAUGUGACACACAUAAUAAGAUAAUUAUAACACUCCUAACCCGUAUCUAUCACUGAAACAAGGUUACGGAGCAUUACCAGAGUUUACAAAUCAAAUAAAUAGACAUUUCAAACAUUUCAUAUCAUAUAAUAUUCAUGUCAGAAAUCAAUCGAAAACAAAUAUAUUGUUAUUUAUACGAGCCCUCGAGGCCCAAAAUAUGCGAUAGAAACAAGUUGGGAUACUCAAAGAAUUUUUUAGAAAACAUUGAAAUUUUUCAAAGUUGUAAGGGUCACACGCCCAUAUGGGCAUUCGAAAUAGGGGCAUACGGCCGUGUCCCAGCCCGUGUCUGUGCUCGUGUAACUCUCUGACUUGGGUCACACGGCCAAGCCACACACUCGUGUACUAGGCCGUGUGAGCAUACUGACUUGCAUUAUUAAGAAGAUAUAGGGGGCACACGACCGUGCCACAUAGCCGUGUGUCACAUACGGUUGAGACACACGCCCAUGUCCCUACUAUAGGUGUCCAUGGGCCGGGUGGCCCGGCCUGACCUGACGGCCCGCCCCGAAAUAUGGGAGGGUUCGGGCAAAAAUAUAGGCCCGAAAUAUGGGUUUAGGGAAAAAAAUGAGGCCAGUUUCGGGCCUCGGGCACCACUUUUUUGGCCCGGGCCCGGCCCGAAUAUAAUAAAUAUUUAUUUUUUUAUUCUUUCAAUUUUAAAAUAUUUUUAAAAUACUUUUUUUAAUUUUUAUUUUUAAAAUAAUUUUUUGGUGUUUAUUAAAAAAUGGGCCGGGCCAGACUUGGGCUUAGGAAUUUUUUCCUGGCCGGGCCUGGACAAAAUUUUAUGCCCAUAUUCCGGGCUAGACUGGGCCUAGGCCUAGGUCACGGGCAAAAAAAUUUCUGGGCCCAGCCCGGCCCAUGGACACCUCUAGUCUCUACCCGUGUGGACGAAAAUAAGCCAUUUUCCAAACCAUAUUUCUCAUCCAAUUUGAUACUAACCUAAACACAACAAUUUGCAUAUAACCAAGUCAUACUAAAUUAGAAAUGCUUUUUAGUUUUUUAGUUUUUUUUCAUUUGAUUGUUAGAUUUUCAUAAAUUUUAGAUGCAAAAUCAUGAUACUUGAUUAGUAUCAUAAAAUUUAAUUGUGAAAAAAAAAGUAACAUAAAAUAAAAGAAUAAAAAAACAAAGAUAGAUGUUGUAACUAAAAACUCGAGUCUGACACUUAAAAUGCAAACUGAAAUUAUUAAAGGAACAGACACAUCUUUAAACCAAACUUUGUAAUAGAAACACCCACCCAUCUUAUAUCUUUAAACCAAACUUCCCAUUUCUAUUUGGGAUAUCAAUGGAAACACCCACCCAUCAGUCUGAUGCACACCAAACUAGUCUUUAGCUUUAAUUGGGAUUAAUAUUUUAUUUUUGAUCAAUUUUUUACACUUUUUUUUUUUUUGGGAAACACCUCAAUCAAAGCACAUCUGAUUUUAUAAAAAUACUUUUGAUUGUUGUGUUCUGUCAUACCCGUAUCCUUAUUUUUAAAAAUUAUCAUAUCAUGCCGUACCCUCGUUACAUAUAUGUAUUUGUGCUUCAUAAGUAGGUUUUAAAUGUUAUUUUAGAAUAAUUAUAUAUGUCUUCAUUUAUUUUGCAUGAGUUUAAAAUAAUAAAAUUUAAAUAUAGGAUAUAAGUCCUAAUUAAUUUGUAUAAAAAAUUAUUUAAUUAAAUUAAAUCCAAAUCUAAAAUCUAAAUUUUAAUUUUAAUUAUCACAACAAUCAACUUAAAUUAAUUCAAAAGCUUAAAUUUGAAAAUACAUGCGUUUCAUUUUAAAUGAAGUCUAGCUUAGCACAGUUAAAUAUCAAAAGUCUAUAAAAGUUGAAUCAUUAGAUUGGAUUAUAUGUGUGCUUCGAGUAAUUACUUAUUUUGCCUGACUUGAAGCCCAUUUUUUUUGGAAUUUCGAGUCUCUUUAGUUACUUUUUGAAUAUUAAAUAUUACAAUUAUUUAAAUUUAUUUUUUUAUCAAAAAUAUUUUUUUUUAGAAUAAAACUUCAUAAAUCAAAAAGAUCCUAAGUCACAACGUAUCACUAAGUCACAAUGCAUCAGGCUUACACUAAUACACCUAGUACCGAUUCUUAGUUAUGUCUUUGAAAUAUCUUCACUAAACAAAUUCGAUUGUCUCAAUUUUAUUUAUUUAAAAUCAAAAUUAUAUAUAUAUAUAUUUAUUUAGCUCAUUUAAAUGAUAUUUAUUUAAAAUGAAUUAAAUGAGAAUCAUUAAACAAUUUUAUAAAGUUGACAACACAUCUAAUAUUUAAAGCACAAAAAAAUUCGAUAUGUCAAUUACAACAAAACAAUAAUACCAACAUUCUCAAAUACGGCAACAAAAUUGUUCUAAAAACAAAAGAUAAGGCAUCACAACUAGAAUGUACAAAUAUUUGGAUUCAAUCAUUAUAACAACAAAAAAGGAAACAAAACAUCAAACAUCCUCAUCACAAUGGAUUCUUCGGUGACUCGCCAACAACCUCUGCAAUGCAAUAAUACAAAAGGAGGUUAUUGUGAUAACAACUCUUACAAAUAUUCAAAAAUUAACUUUUAGAUGCAGCAUGUCUCAAUCUAAGGCAAAGGGUUUAUCCAAACAUGAAAAUUUUAACCAACUUAAUUCAAUUCAAUUCAACUCAAACCUCAAUCUAUCUAUGUAGUUUACUUUUAAUUUAUAUAUAAUUUCGAUUAUGGUUUAAAUUUAAAUAUUUUUUUGACAAAAAAUAUAAAUAAAACAAAUAGUGAUAUUAAUGAAAAUUUGUAAUUAUGAACAAUAACUUAACGCAUAGGUAAAAGCUUUUUUUUUUUUACUGAAUAAUAUUAUUAGCAAUAGUACAUUAUUAAUUGUAUGUGAAAAUAAUGAAGCUUAAAAAUUAAAAUUUAAAGAUAAUAUCAUUGUCAAAUUUACUCAAAAUUUAUUUUUAACUAUAGUUAUCUAUGUACAUAUGUGACACACAUAAUAAGAUACUUAUAUAUAUAUAUAUAUAUAAUAAUAAUAAUAAUAAGGCAAAAUAAUACAAAACCAAAAGGUAAGACAAUGAAGUGAAAUAUUUCUAACCUUAUGCAAUAUUUGAAAUUGUUAUAAUAACAGUAUCCAACGAAAAUUAGACAUCAACAGAAUGAUUACGUAAAAACUUAAAUCCAAUUGUUACAUAAUAUGAAAAAUAAAAUAAUUAUAUUAUGUAAAUAGAUCAUUCCUGAUUACAAUGAAUAAUAAUCCUUACAAAAAAAUUUAAUAAUUCAAAACUAUAAACAAUAAUUUAUAAACGAUAUUAAAAUAAAAAUAUUAGAAUUUUAAUAUACAAAAAUUUAUAUAGAAAUAUUUUUUGAAGUUUUACAUCAAUUUAAAAAAAAUUGAAAUUGGUAAACGUCCACACUUCAAAAAUCAUUUUUGAUUUUAUCCUUGUUAAUAAUUUUCUAUCGAUUUACAAAAAAAAAAAAAUAAUGAAAAUACAGACAAUAUCUCACAAAAACAUUUUGUAUUAAAAUAAAGAUUUAAUUCUUGUUUUCGAAAUCGUAACGGGUUUGUUUGAUCAAAAACCUGUUAAAGUAUCGGUUCAAAGAGAGGUAAAAAUUUGAUUGACUCGUGAGUCAGUAUGAACUAGUUGAAUCAAUUUAAAAAUCAAUUGAAUAGAUGAUUGAAUCAGUUGAACUAUAUUUUAUAAUUUUUAAUAAUUUUUAAUUAUUUAAUUUGAACCAGACGAAUUAAAUGGUUUGACUAGUUUGGCCAAGGUUGCUCAAAUGGAACUAAACAGAUUAGUCAUAUCAAUUAAAUUGGAAACUUAUAAUAGUGUUGAUUCAAAAAAUAAAAUAUUGAAUCAAUUAAUUUGAGAACUGAUACAAACCUAUUGAACCAAAUAAAAAAAUUAAUUAAACUUAAUUUUAGUAUUUUUAUUUUAAUAAUUUAUUUAAUCAUUAAGAUUAAUUAGAACAAUGAACCAAUGAUUUAAAUUUCGUCAUAAUCUAAUUCUAAAAAUUGUGGAUUUGAGCGCUCCCAAAUUUCCCUUCGCUUUCUCUCUCUCUCUCUGUUCUUCAACAUCGUGUUUAGAUCCGUCCCUCCCAUCCUUGAAAGAUUCCAUCUUUGACCCUUCUUCGUUGAAUCUAUCAAACAAAUUAGGGUUCCGAUCUGUUACUUGUUGUGUUCGUUUAAAAAAAAAAUUUCUUUGCCUCAAAAUUUCAUCUUCAGAAAAAGAAAAAAAAAGGAGAGAGAGAGAGAGAGAGAGAGAGUUUUCGAUUUUCCUUGAUUUUGCUUGAGAUUUAUGUUCUAAUCUGAAAUUCAUUACCUUAAUGAUUUGCUAUAUCGGUUCGAUCUCCAUUACGAUUGCUUGAUUUUGUGUCGGAUUUGGGGUUAAAUCCAAGCUUGGGCGUUUUUACAUUAAAUCAGUAACCAUCGGCCCAAACUCUACGCCUCUUUCUAUCUGGAAAAUUUUUACAUUAAAACAAACGGAGUUUGAAAGUUAAAAAUUGACAUUCCAUUGAAUUUAAGUUUGAAAGUUUGGCUCAACUCACCGAUUACACCCGCUUACAUGAAGUAGAAGCCCUUAUUACAUCGAUACAUCUGUGUGUGUGUGUGUUUUCCGCUUCCUCUUCUUUCUUUUGGCCCUUUUUUAUUUUUCUCAAAAAUCCUCACCUACAGCUUACUCCAUUCCCUGACAUUUUCUCUUAAAAUUACACUGAAAAAGCUCACAUGUUCCCCAAACUUCAUCUAUUACUCAAGUUUCGAUUCCUUGUCUCCGCAUCCAACCGCCACUGUACACAGUCAAACUCUGUUUUUCGAAUUACCGCCACCUAUUCGACGAUAUGCCCAAACCAAGUUGAAAGCCCGAAUGAAGAAGCUAUAGAGCAUCCGAGAGACUCCAUCGAGAUUUUCAAGCAAUGGGGUUGCUGUGAAAACGAUUUGUUGAAGAUCUUUUCACGCCAACCUUCUUUGCGCAACGCUCAAGCUACUUCCCUUUUAUCCAAACUCAACUUGCUGAGUAGCUUGGGACUCAGCGGUUCCGACAUUGUCAAGAUGGUCAAUUGUCGUCCUCGUUUCUUUUGUUCUCGUAUCAAUAAUUGCUUCGACGAGCGGAUUGAGUUCCUCGUUAACCUGUUCGGGUCGCGAGAAAUGCUUCGUAAAGCACUUGUUAGGAACCCUUCACUCUUGACCUAUGAUUUUCACAAUACCAUGAAACCAGUCAUUGCAUUGUACGAAGAGAUUGGCAUUAGUGGAAGUGAUUUGAUUGCUAUGCUCAUCUCACGUCCCACAUUGAUCCCAAGGACUUCUUUCAAUGAGGAGAAGAUGGAAUACAUAAAGAAAACAAGGGUUUCAAAAGGUUCCAAAAUGUACAAGUACGUAGUUUCACUCAUCGGAAUAUCGCGGAUCGAGACUACGUGAAAAGGUGACUAACUUGGAGAAAUUCGGAUGUUCAGAGGAAGAGAUUUGGAGUUUGUUGGGACGUUCUCCUCUUAUUUUGACACUCUCGGUUGAUAAGGUUCAAAGGAACAUGACAUUUGUUUUGGGAACCAUGAAGCUGUCUCCAAGAGUGGUUCUUGAGCACCCGUUUUUGUUGUUCAGCAACCUCGAAGCCGUAUUGAAACCGCGGAUAUCGUUGGCUCGGAAACUAAAGGAAAUGGAGCUUGAUCCGCAGAUUAAAGGAUCGAUCAUGUUGACAGCAUUGAGGAUGACGGAAAAUCGAUUCUUGAAUGUGUUUAUUAAAUGCCAUCCACAAGAUGUGGCAAAUGAACUGUUGGAGUUCUAUAAACAUGCCAAAGGUCUCAAGCCAUUGGCCGAAUCAUCGAAAAAAAUACUGCGUAAAGGAUUUCCAUUUUGAACAUUUUCGUUUGUUUGUUUGGUGCUGUCUUCGUUUUCUUUUUGUUCAUCCAUGUCAAGGGAUAUUUCGGUUAAAUUUUCAGAUUUAUAACUUUUAUUCUCAAAGGGAUAAUGUGAGACUCAAAAUUUUGGGAUAUAAAAAGGGAUGCCUCUUCGUGUUUCAUUGGUGUUCUCUCUCUGCCUAUAUCCCUUGUACUCCUCGUGAUGAAGAGUUGAAAUUUUUUCUAUGUAUGAUGGCUGGAGGGAAUAUAGAUUAUGAAACUCCACCAUUAUUAACUUUGUACGCUCAAUUGGCACCGGUUAAAGCGUGUUUAAAGGCGUAUUUUCUUUUUAUUUAAGAGUUUAAAAGAGAUUAUGAUUUGUGAACAAUAAUUUUUUAAGGUAAAUCUAAUUCUAUAUAUUUUGACCGAUGAUUAUUUUUAUCCUUAAGGUAAAUUUGUGUUAAUUUUGGUUUGGAUGAUGUUUAUUAUUUUUAUUAAUUACUUUUCAACACGGAUAAAAUCUUGCACCAAUUAAAAUUCAUAUAUUAUUAUUAAUAAAAGAUAAAUAAACAAAUUAAAUCUUUUUAAAUGUCUUUUAUAAAUUAGUUUCUUAUUUAUUUUUAAAGUUUAUUAAAUAAUAUUAUUUUAUUUUAUAACUAAUGUAAAGUAAUAUAUAAGGUAAAAUAAUAUAAAGCUAAAAUGAAGUGAAAUGUGUUAAGAAAUGGCUUAAAAUUGGUAGUGGAUUGUUGUUGUUGGUAGUGGGUUGUUGGUGGUAGUGGAUUAGUGGAUGGUUGUUGGUGUCCAUUUUCAACCACAAAUCUUUGCCAAAGUUUUGGACAAUUAUGUCCUUGAACUCUCUUAUAAAUAGAGAGGUUCAUUAGCCAUAUAAAUCAUCCCAAACCAAGAGAGAGCAAAGCUUGUUCUUUGAAAGCUAGGAUUUUAGCUUUCGGAUUUUCUAUAGGGGUUGAGAGUUGUGAGGUUCUCGGGUUGUGUCUUGAGUGUAAAACACUUGUAAUCUUCAUCUUGUUAUAGUGAAAUUUCUUUUCGCCUCUGCCCGUGGACGUAGGCAUUAAAGCCGAACCACGUAAAUCCUUGUGUUCACUUUAUUUUUCGUUUCGGUCAAUUUACUUGUAGUCAUAUCGGAGUUCUCGAAUCGAUCCUUUCCGCAACAAAUUGGUAUCAGAGCGUAGUUGAAGGAGUGAUAAUAUUUUCUGAAUUGCCCUGUGACUGCAGCUUUGUCUGAUCUUUCACAUCAGGAAGAAAAUAUUAUCAUUCAUUCAAAGGUUCCAAAUUAUGGCUACAAGUGUUUCAUCGACUAAGUAUGAUGUCGAGAAAUUUACCGGAAAAAAUAGUUUCAGUUUAUGGCGCAUCAAGAUGCGGGCAGUGCUGGUUCAACAAGGAUUGCUAAAAGCAUUGUCUGGUAAAGAUAAAUUACCAAGCACGCUUUCGGAAGAGCAAAAGGAUGACAUGCUAGAAAGAGCACAUAGUGCUAUUCUGCUAUGUCUAGGAGAUGAAGUGCUACGAGAAGUAGCGGAUGAGAAAACCGCGUCCGGUUUGUGGCUCCGGUUAGAGAGCAAGUACAUGACGAAGUCAUUGACGAACCGGCUCUACCUCAAGCAAAGACUCUAUGCCCUGAAGAUGGAGGAAGGUACACCUGUUUCCCAGCACCUGGAUAAAUUCAAUUCCAUUAUCAUGGAUUUGAAUAAUAUCGAUAACAAAAUCGAUGAUGAGGACCAAGCAAUAAUUGUUUUGUGUUCUUUGCCUCCCUCGUAUGAGAAUUUUGUUGAUACAAUGAUGUACGGUCGUGAUGACCUGACUCUAGAGGAGGUGAAAAAUGCCUUAAGUUCCAGUGAGUUGAGGAAGAAAAUCACUGGUAAGGUGGUCGAAAACAAUGAAGGCGAAGGCUUGGUUGCUCGAGGAAGAUCCAAGGCAAAGGGUGGAAGUUCAAGUAAAAGCCAUCCUAGAUCGCAGUCCAAGAAGAGAAUACAGUGCUACUACUGUAAGAAGUACGGGCACAUGAAGGUAGAUUGUCCGAAAAGGAAGGAGAAAUCAGAAUCACAGGAGCAACAAAAUGAUCGUGCGAAUGUAGCUGAUGCAGAUUCUUCAAGUGAUGCCGAGAUCGUUCUUGCAGUAUCCGACUCUUACGCUGGUGGGAGAUGGAUUCUUGAUACGGGAGCUACAUUUCAUAUAAGUACUUCGAAAGAUGCAUUCUCAACAUACGAGAAGCAUUCUGGUUCAGUACUAAUGGGAAAUGACCACGCAUGUCAAGUCAUGGGGAUUGGCACAGUUCGUAUAAAGAUGUUUGACGGUAUUGUUAGAACUCUAACUGAUGUUCGGCACAUUCCAGAAAUGAAGAAAAAUUUGAUCUCUUUGAGUACGUUGGACAAGAAAGGCUUUCGGUACUCUGCUGAAGGUGGAGUUCUCAAGGUAUUCUCGGGUGCUUUGACUGUGAUACGUGGUAAUUUGGAGCGGGGCCUUUACUUCCUCGAUGGUUCCUCGGUUACAGGUGUUGCGGGAGUGUCAUCAUCAGAUGAUCUAGAUUCUGACACCACGAAGUUAUGGCAUAUGCGGCUCGGGCAUAUGAGCGAGAGAGGCUUAUCGGUGCUAAGCAAACGAGGAUUAUUGUCUGGGCAGUGUACAGGAAAGUUGAAUUUCUGUGAGCACUGCGUCUUCUGUAAGCAGACUCGGGUAAAGUUCAGCACUGGGAUUCACAAGACAAAAGGCACAGUGGAUUACUUCCAUUCUGACCUUUGGGGGCCUUCUCCGACAAUUUCUAAAGGUGGUUACAGAUAUCUGCUUACCUUUAUCGAUGAUUACUCGAGAAAGGUUUGGGUGUAUUUUCUGAAGAGCAAGUAUGAGGUUCUCAUCAACUUCAAGCAAUUUAAAGCUUUGAUCGAAAAUCAAACAGGAAAGAAGAUCAAGCGAUUCCGGACGGAUAAUGGCUUGGAGUUUUGCUCAGGUGAAUUCAAUGAGUUCUGCAAAAAUGAAGGAAUAGUGAGACACCGCACUGUUCGUCGAACACCACAACAAAAUGGAGUUGCAGAACGCAUGAAUAGAACUCUCUUGGAGCGAGCUCGUUGCAUGCGAUCAAAUGCUGGGCUCGGUGAAGAAUUUUGGGCUGAAGCUGUUAAUACUGCUUGUUAUUUGGUUAACAGAUCUCCGUCAACAGCUAUUGAGCUGAAGACUCCUGAGGAAGUAUGGUCUGGUUCUCCUGCUGAUUACUCUGGUUUAAGAGUGUUUGGCUGCCCUGCGUAUGCUCAUGUAAAUGAGGGAAAACUCAAACCGAGGGCGAAGAAAUGCAUAUUUCUUGGAUACGGCCAAGGGGUGAAAGGAUACAGGUUGUGGUGUCCUGAUCCGGUUUCGUCCAAGUUCAUCAUCAGCAGAGAUGUGACUUUUGAUGAGUCAUCCAUGCUUCGAUCCACCACAAAUUCCCGGGAAAAGGAGGAGUCAGAUAGAAUGGGAGAUCACGGUGUUGAGAAGCAGGUGGAGUGUCAGGUGGACGCUCCAAUUCCUACGGAAGGUACUUCAGUCCAGGAUGAUCAAGUUGAGGUGCAAGAUUCCGAUGAAGAUGAGUCACCUCAAGAAAAACCAUAUAGCAUUGCCACUGGAAGAACGAAGAGACAAAUCAAACCAAAUCCGCGUUACGCUAAUCUGGUGUCUUUCGCGCUCAGUGUGGCGGAGUCCAUUGGUAUAGAACCUUCCAGUUAUAAUGAGGCUGUCACGUGUGAUGAGUCGGCACAGUGGGCAAUUGCUAUGAGUGAGGAGAUAGAAUCUCUUCACAAGAACCAUACUUGGGAGUUGGUUAAGCCGCCAAGUAACCAGAAGAUAGUUGGUUGCAAAUGGGUCUUCAAGAAAAAGGAAGGCAUCCUAGGGGUUGAAGCAACUAGAUUCAAGGCACGAUUGGUUGCUAAAGGCUUCACUCAGAAAGAGGGGAUUGACUACAAUGAAGUUUUCUCCCCAGUCGUAAAGCAUUCUUCCAUUCGUGUAUUACUUGCCAUGGUGGCCAAGUCUGAUCUAGAACUUGAGCAGCUUGACGUAAAAACGGCGUUCUUGCAUGGUGAGCUCGAGGAAACAAUCUACAUGCGUCAACCAGAGGGUUUUACAGUUCCUGGUAAAGAAGACCAUGUCUGUCUAUUAAAGAAGUCUUUAUAUGGAUUGAAACAAUCCCCAAGGCAGUGGUACAAGCGGUUUGAUAGCUUCAUGAUUCAGCAUGGUUACACAAGAUGUGACUAUGAUGCUUGUGUCUAUCAUCGGAAGCUCUCAGAUGGUUCGCACAUUUAUUUGUUGCUGUAUGUUGAUGACAUGUUAAUUGCUUCCAAAAACAUGUCGGAAAUCAACAAGUUAAAGUCGCAGUUGAGUGGUGAGUUCGAGAUGAAGGAUCUGGGUGCUGCCAAGAAAAUUUUGGGCAUGGAUAUUCACAGAGAUCGCAAGGCGGGCAAGCUUCGUGUGUCGCAGAAGAACUACAUUGAAAAGGUUCUUCAACGCUUCGGCAUGGAUAAAGCGAAAACUGUGAGUACUCCGUUGGCACCACAUUUCAAACUCUCUGCAGAGUUGUCACCACAAUCUGAUGAAGAAAAGCAGCAAAUGUCUCACAUUCCAUACUCGAGUGCAGUUGGAAGCGUGAUGUAUGCAAUGGUUUGCACUCGUCCAGACAUUUCACAUGCAGUUAGUGUGGUCAGCAGAUACAUGAGUUGUCCUGGCAAGGAACACUGGCAGGCCGUGAAAUGGAUUCUCAGGUACUUGAGAGGUUCUGCAGAUUUAUGCUUGGUAUAUGAUCAGAGUGACUGCACUAGCAGUGUCACGGGCUAUGUGGACUCUGAUUAUGCUGGAGAUCUGGACAAAAGAAGAUCUCUGACGGGUUAUGUUUUCACUUAUUCUGGAGGAGCCAUUAGUUGGAAAGCUGUGUUACAGUCUACCGUAGCCUUAUCUACGACUGAGGCGGAAUAUAUGGCGUUAGCAGAAGCAGUGAAAGAAGCAUUGUGGAUGAAAGGUCUAGUAAGCAGUUUGGGUUUACAACAGGAUUUCACUGUUGUAUUUUGCGAUAGCCAGAGUGCCAUACAUCUGACUAAAAAUCAGAUGUUUCAUGAACGGACCAAACACAUUGAUGUCAGAUAUCAUUUUGUUCGGGAACAUGUUACGCAAGGUGACAUUGUUAUCAGCAAGGUUGCUACCGAGAAGAAUCCUGCAGAUAUGUUAACUAAGGUGAUCCCUGCAUAUAAGUUCAAGCAUUGCUUGGACUUGAUAGGUAUUCGGGAUUGAUUAGCGCCAGAGAGGCGUUUGGAAGAGGUGAUCCAGUUCGAGGAAUUCACUAUGAUGUUCAGCUUGGUAAAUUUCAAGCCAAGGUGGAGAUUUGUUAAGAAAUGGCUUAAAAUUGGUAGUGGAUUGUUGUUGUUGGUAGUGGGUUGUUGGUGGUAGUGGAUUAGUGGAUGGUUGUUGGUGUCCAUUUUCAACCACAAAUCUUUGCCAAAGUUUUGGACAAUUAUGUCCUUGAACUCUCUUAUAAAUAGAGAGGUUCAUUAGCCAUAUAAAUCAUCCCAAACCAAGAGAGAGCAAAGCUUGUUCUUUGAAAGCUAGGAUUUUAGCUUUCGGAUUUUCUAUAGGGGUUGAGAGUUGUGAGGUUCUCGGGUUGUGUCUUGAGUGUAAAACACUUGUAAUCUUCAUCUUGUUAUAGUGAAAUUUCUUUUCGCCUCUGCCCGUGGACGUAGGCAUUAAAGCCGAACCACGUAAAUCCUUGUGUUCACUUAUUUUUCGUUUCGGUCAAUUUACUUGUAGUCAUAUCGGAGUUCUCGAAUCGAUCCUUUCCGCAACAAAAUGUUUCUAACCUCGUACAAUAUUUCAACUUGUUGUAAUACCAGUAUCCAGUGNNNNNNNNNNNNNNNNNNNNNNNNNNNNNNNNNNNNNNNNNNNNNNNNNNNNNNNNNNNNNNNNNNNNNNNNNNNNNNNNNNNNNNNNNNNNNNNNNNNNNNNNNNNNNNNNNNNNNNNNNNNNNNNNNNNNNNNNNNNNNNNNNNNNNNNNNNNNNNNNNNNNNNNNNNNNNNNNNNNNNNNNNNNNNNNNNNNNNNNNNNNNNNNNNNNNNNNNNNNNNNNNNNNNNNNNNNNNNNNNNNNNNNNNNNNNNNNNNNNNNNNNNNNNNNNNNNNNNNNNNNNNNNNNNNNNNNNNNNNNNNNNNNNNNNNNNNNNNNNNNNNNNNNNNNNNNNNNNNNNNNNNNNNNNNNNNNNNNNNNNNNNNNNNNNNNNNNNNNNNNNNNNNNNNNNNNNNNNNNNNNNNNNNNNNNNNNNNNNNNNNNNNNNNNNNNNNNNNNNNNNNNNNNNNNNNNNNNNNNNNNNNNNNNNNNNNNNNNNNNNNNNNNNNNNNNNNNNNNNNUAGUGUGGUCAACAAAUGCAUUCACAUUCUUUCUCCUUCCAACUAUUUCCAUCAAUAACAUUCCAAAACUAUAAACAUCGGCUUUGUAUGAGAUGCCUCCAAGAUUUUUGUAAACCAAUUCAGGAGCAAUAUAUCCUAUUGUUCCUCGUGCUGCAAUGAGAGAGACAAUGCUAUCAUCUACUGAAUACAAUUUAGCAAGGCCAAAAUCGAGAACUUUUGGAUUAAAAUUCUCAUCAAGAAGAAUAUUGUGUGGCUAGUUAUCAAAAUGUAGAACUUACCCAAAAGCUCGUUUUUUAUUCGAAAAUAUUAAUAAUGUUUUUAAUUGAUAUUUUACAUAUUUCUAUAAUUAAAUUUAAAUUUUAAAAUUUUUGUAUUAUUUAAAUUAAAAUAAAAAUAUUUAUCCAAGCCUAACCCAAAUCGAGUUGGGCCGGGUGGGCGAUCCGGUCAUGAUAGGAAAGGAAAAAAAAGGAAAGACGAAGCCUAAACAGGCAGUGUGCAGCCCACUAAAUUUAUUUUAAUUUUACAUACAUUCCAUAUUAUUAUUUAGGGAUAAUAUAAUUUUUGACCCCUAAUCUUGAUAGUUAGGUGGACUUUAGUACAUAUGUCUUUUUUGUUCUACUUUGACACUUGAACUUCACAAUUAAGUAUAUUUUGGUUCCUAAACUUAAAAAUUUUGAAAGUUUUAUGAUGCAACUCUCUGAGAUUGUGUUACAUCAUCACUUAAAAAUUAAAAUAUAUAUUUAUAUAUCAUCUAUUGAGCCUGCCCAAUCAUUGUCAACAAAACCAAGGAGCUUCAUGCUGUCAACCUUGAUAAACAUCAUCCCAAAGCUUAGAGUACCUUUGAUGUACCUGAUAACUCUCUUACCAGCUUGAAAAUGGCUCACAUUGCAGCAAUGCAUGACCCUGGACAGGAGGCUGACUGCAAACAUUAUGUCUGGUCUUGUGGCUGUCAAGUACAGAAGGCUACCUUCUCGAAAUCACCCUGGCUGGUCAACUUUUCUCCAAUAGCAACUGGUGUGCUAGUUGCUUUACUGUUCAACAUGGAGAACCUGUUUAGAAUUUUCAAGGCAAAAGCCUUUUGGCUUGGGAAAAUCCCUUGUUUAUUCUGAGAUACUUCCAUACCAAGGAAAUAGGUCAUUUCUCCUAAGUCUGACAUCUCAAACAUGCUCUCCAUUUUUCCUUUAAAGUCUGUCAACAUAGCAUUGUUACUUCCUGUCACUAGCAAAUCAUCCACAUCGCUUUUUCAUCGUCAGAAGGCAAUAAUUGUAUACACCAAAAGGUUGUUAUUAUCAUCUUCUUCACCAUUGCUUUUUCAUCGUCAGAAACAUCUCUUAACUCCAUGUCCCCUCCUUGAUCCAAUCUGUCAUCAAUCCAUGAUGGAAAAUAUAUCUGACUAGUGUCGUCAACAAAAGCAUUUUCAUUCUUUCUCCUUCCUAUCAUUUCCAUCAACAACAUUCUAAAACUAUAAAUACCGGCUUUGUAUGAGAUGCCUCCAAGAUUUUUGUAAACCAAUUCAAGAGCAAUAUAUUCUAUUGUUCCUCGUGCCACAGUGAGAGAGACAAUGCUAUCAUCUAUAGAAAACAAUUUAGCAAGAUCAAAAUCGAAAACUUUUAAAUUAUAAUUCUCAUCAAGAAGAAUAUUGUGUGGUUUAAUACCAAAAUCAAAAACUUUUGGAUUAUGUUGAUAAGUAUUAGUCCCAUAUGCAUGGGAGAGUAUUAAGUUGAAAUAUUAAAUUUAGAGUUUAUUAUAAUAAUUUUUUAUUCAAACGGUUUAUUCUAACAAGAGCGGAAACUUUUAUAAUUUAAUACAAUUAAUUUUAUUAUUUUAUAAUGAAAAGCAAAAGAAAAAGAAGAUUUUAAAUUGUAAAAAAAAUUUAAAUAAAUUUGGACCUUAUACUUGUAGAUAAACCUUUAUCAAUUUAAUAAAUUCCAACUAUAAUGUGGAUGACCAAGAGAAUGCACGUCUUAAGUCUUCAUUGAAACACAAAAGCAUUUAAGUCUUUGAGUUUUUAUAUCAUCGCUUUGGUCCUUUUGUGUUAUGUAAGUCGAGCUAGGCAUAUUCCACCCAACCCAUGGAUCACGCUAGACGAGAUUUCAUGUCUAAUUGUAUAGAUCUUUUAUUUUAGUCGACAACUACUCAAGUAUUUUUAAAAUAUUUUUUAAUAUAAUUACAUAGGUUGUUGAUUUUAUUUUAUAAUCUCUUUUUAUUUUGCUUAAUUUUAAUUUUAUUUUUCAAUUCUAAACUCCUUUAUUUUUAUUUUACAUGUUGAUUAAAGAAAUAAAAUUAUCGCCUUUCUUUAUGGAUAUGACCUUACUUGUUGCUAUCUACUAAUUUUAUAUUUUUUAAGUAGGUUUUUAUUGUUAUAGAUCUCCACAACUUAACAAAUAAGAAUUUGAGCCCAAAGAGAUAUUGAAUUUGGUGGUGCAAUAGAAUAUUUUCAUUGCUUUUGUGCAAUUCUAAACAUUCAUAACACUACUACGCCUAUUAGGAACAUAAAACAAAAAUAAAGAGAUCCCAUUGAAAAAUCCAAGUCCAUGGAACAGAGAGUAGAUUUCUUGGAUAUUCUCAUAUUCAAGUUCACACCUACAAUAACCACACUGGCGAGAUUGUUUUUUCAAUCGCACGGCAUAAAUGUUAAUUAAGUUCCCAAGAGCGGCAAAGCAUGAAAGAAUAAAUUUAGAAACAAAUCAAAAGCGGCCAUUAGGUGGCUAAACAAAGGGAGUUUUUUCCUAUAAUUUGGGAUGCUCGCUGCAAACUUUGAUAGGGAACAAAAAUAUAAAUCUGCCGACAUAUACAACACACAUGAUAAGAUACUACAUACGUAUAAAAGAAAAUUAAUAUAAAACUAUAAAGGUGAGAUAAUGAAAUGAGAUAUUUCCAACCUCAUUAGACAUUUGAAUUAAUUAUAGUAACAGCCGAGGAUGAUGUACUUGGCUUAUCAACAGAGCUCUCACAACCAUGGACUUCCAUCGAUGUCUCAAGAGGAAGUUGAUGGAAUGGCUUAGGAGGUAUCUCACAGAGUUCAAUAUCUCCUUCAAGCAUCUUUAGUACUUUGCUCAUUGAAGGACGAUCAAUAGGUAAUAAUUGUAUGCACCAAAAGGCUGUUAUUAUCAUCUUUCUCACCAUUACUUUUUCAUCAUCAGAAACAUCUCCCAGCUCCAUGUCCUCUCCUUGAUCCAAUCGGUCAUAAAUCCAUGAUGGAAAAUAUAUUUGACUAGUGUGGUCAGCAAAUGCAUUCACAUUCUUUCUCCUUCCAACUAUUUCCAUCAAUAACAUUCCAAAACUAUAAACAUCGGCUUUGUAUGAGAUGCCUCCAAGAUUUUUGUAAACCAAUUCAGGAGCAAUAUAUCCUAUUGUUCCUCGUGCUGCAGUGAGAGAGACAAUGCUAUCUUCUACUGAAUACAAUUUAGCAAGGCCAAAAUCGGAAACUUUUGGAUUAAAAUUCUCAUCCAGAAGAAUGUUGUGCGGCUUGAUAUCAAAAUGUAGAAUUUGCAUGUCACAUCCUUGAUGCAAGUAGUGAAUUCCUUGAGCCACACCAAGCACAAUAUCAAACAAUUUUUUCCAACCCAAAGUGUUCUUAUUUUCUUCUGUAAAUAUGAUUUUAUCUAAAGAUCCAUUAGGCAUGAAAUCAUAUACCAAAGCUUGCUUUGAUCUCCCUACGCAAAAUCCAAUAAGUUUAGCCACAUUAGCAUGAUGAAUUCUCCCGAUAGAAGCAACUUCAUUUAUAAAAUCUUGGCCGUUCCCCUUUGACUUAUCUAACAGUUUUAUAGCCACAUGAUGUCCACUACGAAGCUUUCCCUUAAACACCGAACCAUAGCCCCCUUCACCUAGUUUAUUUUUAAAAUUUUUAGUCAUUUUUUUAAUUUCUUUGAAAGAAUAUCUAAUUGGUGCUAGAUUGUGGCUUUGAAGAAACUCUUCAAUCUUAUCAUCCAUGGAUAAAUGUCUUCUUCUCCAUUUGUAGAUAACAAGGCCAGACAAACAAAGUAUCCCAGUCAAAACCCUCAAUAUGAUGACCCCAACUUCAAAAACAAGAAAGUAUUGUAGAACAUUAGUACUUUGUGAGGUCAAAAACGAAUUAUCUACAUUCUCAAAAUGUCUAUACACGUGACAAUCGCGUGCUCCCUUAAAAGAUAAAAUUAAGAUAGAUUUAAAUUUUUUAAAAAGUGGUUUGUAGUUUUUAUAACUUAAAAUCAAAUUAUUAAUAUAAAGAAUCUUUCAUUUUUUUCUCAAAUUAAAUGUGGAUAUAUAUAUAGUUUUUUUUCCCCUAUUUCUCAAUGUCUUGGAUAUAUAUAAAAUUGAGGCCAUAAGUAUACCUGUUACAACAAAACAAGUAUGAUCGGUAUCUGUGGAAACACAAAAACAAAAAGAUACAUCAAUAUUACCAGAGAGUAAAAAGUUCAAAGAUCAGUAAAAAACAAAUAAAACCUGCAAAUCACACCAUCUCAUCAGCCGACCCAAAAAAAAAAAAACCAUACCAUGAUAGUAAUAAAUUACAGCUGAAAUGCACCCAAAAUAGACACUGAUGUGAUAUGACACCGCGCACAAUCUGCAGUAUUCAGCACACCUAAAUAAGCCAAGCUAUUGUAGAUGGGACCAAUGAGUUAAACAUAAGAGUAAAUUUUAUGCAACACUGUAUUAACAUUUCUUUUUAAUGUAUUUUAUAUUAAAAUUACAAUAUAUAUAAAGUUACAAAUUUUAUUGUGAAAAAAAAAAGUAAAAGGGAUCAAAUUAGCUUAUUAUAAAAGUAGAUUAUGUUAUAUGUACCCAAAAGAAAUUUUGGCAGAUUGUCUUCUAAGAUUAUACAAAAAUUAUUAACAACUGAGUAUUAAUAACAUAUCAAAUAUUACAACAGUUAAUUUACGUAUUUUUAUAGUAAGAAGUAUGCAACAUCUAUUGCAUACAAAUUUUUUGUGUUUCGAAAAUAAAAGAUAUUAUCUAAACUAAAAAUUGUAAAAGAAAGAAAUGUUUGUUUAUAAUUUAAAAAAUUAAUUAUUUUAAGUAAUUUAAAUAAAGCUAAAUUAAGUUGGAGAAGAUAGUAAAUAUAAUUGAAUGUAUAAUAAUACUUUGUUAUUUUUAAAAUUUGUUGAUGUGACAUUAUUUUACUGGUGCAUAAAACUAUACUUUUUAGAAUUGUACUAAUAUUUAAAGAAGGUAUAAUUACCAAAUAAGUUAAUAGAAUAAAAGAAGACAAAACAGCAGAGGCAGUUGCAUUCAAUUUAAAGAAAAAUGUUUUUUUAAUAAAAAUUUAAAUUUACAAAUUUAAUAAAAUUAUAUAUUUAAUUUUUAUUAAUAUAUAUAGUGAAACAGGCCAUUAAAUUUCUAUUAAUAAAAGUUGUUGCCGUAAUUAUAGUAAUUACUACUAAAAAGCUAUGAAGGUAUUUUUUUCUAUGAUUGGGAAGUGCACAGAUUUUACGAACAAAAACAUCAUCUUUAAUUAGCUAAUAAAAUUUAAUUGCGAAAAAGAACAUAAAAGAAAUAGGUAGGUCAUACAAAAAGCAGAGGCAGAUACUAAAUUAGAAAUGCUAUUAGGUUUUUUUUUUUUUUUCAUUUGAUUGUUAUGUCUUAAUAAAUUAUAGGUAAAAAAAACAUGAGAAUUAGCAUGAUGAGAUUUAAUUGUGAAAAAAUAAUAACAUGAAAUAAAAGAAAAAUAAGUAAGUCAUACAAAAAGCAAAGGCAAAUGUUUUAACUAAAAAUAUCAGUUUGAUGAUGUAAAGAGCGAUGCACACUCAGAAUAUAAUUGAAAUCGUUGAAGAAACCUACACUUCUGUAAACCAAUUUUUGUUUUCAUUGCACUGGUAGUCAUGCCAGUAUCUAAUUGUCCAAAAAGAAGACAAAACAGCAGAGAAAGCAGAGGCAGAUACUAAAUUAGAAAUGCUUUUAGUUCAUUUGAUUGUUAGAUGUUGAUCAAUUUUAGAUGCAAAAUCAUCAUACUUAAUUACCAUCAUAAUAUUUAAUUGUGAUAAAUGUAACAUAAAAUAAAACAAAACAAAAAGUAGAUGUUGUAACUAAAAAUUCCAGUAUGAUUCACACUCAAAAUGCAAACUUAAAUUAUUAAAGAAACUUACAUAUCUUUAAACCAAACUUUGUUUUUAUUGUAGUAGCUACUCUCGCUAUCCCAUCCACUCCAUACGACCCAAAAACCCUCUGAUAGUUUUUUGUAGAUAUCCAGCGUAGACAUGCCUGUUAUACUAUUAACCAUAAUUGGAACCUCCGCUUCGAUAGUGCAAGCUUGAUUGAUAUCAGAUGGGUGGGUGUUUCCAUUUAAAAAAUAGAAAUGGGAAGUUGGAAGGGAAGAGGAGGUAUUGGAUUUGAUGGUACAACGAGAAGCCUCAAUAUAAAGUGAUGAUUUUAUAGGUUUCGUGCAAUUCAUAACAUAAAUAAUGCUACUCUCUAACCUUCCAUAAUCAUUAUGAUAAUAAUAAUGAUAAUUAUAAUAAUAAUAAUGAUAAUAAGUAUUAUAAGAAAAAUAAUCUACAGAAGUAAGAGGAAGGGAGUUGCAAUCAUCCGUGUCCAAGCUCGCAUCCACCAUUUGUAUUGUAUAAUUUUCGUAAAAGAUUUGUUGGACAGAUAAUUUCCCUCCUCUCCCAACCAAAGUGGUGCGAUUGUUAUUCUCACACUCAAGUUCAAAGCCAUAAGGACUACAGUGGAGAGGUUGGUUUUUUAAUCGGAAUGGAAAACUGAUAUUCAAAUUCCCACAGAAAGUAGAGCCGCAGUCAAGAUGCCUAGCAAAACAAACAGCAGGAAAUAGAAUUACAAAUAAAGCAAAAGCGGGCAUUAGGUGACCCAACAAUGGCAGUUUUGCUUUUAAUUUUGGCAUGCUAAAAUUUUGGGUAAGGAAGAAGAACAAUAAUGGGGGUUAAUGAUUAAGUUUCUAACUAAAUCAGGGAAAUAUAUAAGAAAACUUCAGUGGGAGAAGAAGCAUUAAUGGGGACACAAGACUUUGACUACUCUUCAGCUUUAUUUGGGAUGAAUAUUUUAUUUUCAAUAAAUUGUUUACACCUUUUAUUCUUUUAUCUUUUUUCUGGGAAACACCUCAAUCAAAUCACAUCUAAUUCCAAGAACAGUGCCAUGCAAGCAAAAGAAAAAGAAAUUUUAAUAUUAUUGAAAAAAUUUUAAAUAAAUUUGGACCAUAUGCUUGUAGAUCAACCUUUAUCACCUUAAUAAACUCCAAUUACAAUGAGGAGGACCAAGAGAACGCAAGUCUUUAGUCUUUUUUGAAGCACAAAAACAUUUAAGUGGCUGGGAACAACCUUUUGUGUUAUGUAAGACAACUAUUUGUUGCAUCUUUCUAAAAAGUAAGUUCAUAGUUAGAAGUGUCAAGCAAGGCGGCUCAAUGCCCAAUUGUAUAGAUUCUUUUUAUUUUAUUCCACGAAUACUUAACUACUUUUCAAAUAAUUACUUGAAUUUAAAAUAAAACAAAUUAAAUAUAAGAUAUAAUUUCUAUUUAUUUAAGUUUAAAUUCAAAACUAAAUUCUAUUUCUAAAUUUUAAUUAUCUAAAACAAUCGACUUAAAUUAAUUUAAAAACUUAAAUUUGAAAAUACAUGAAGAGACUUCAAAUUCCGUUUUAUUUUAAAUGAAAUCAGUUUAGCAUAGAGGUGUCUAUGGAUCAGGUCAAGUCGAACCGAAGUUCAGCUUCAAACAAUUUCUAAGUCCUAGCCUGUUUUUGAUCCAACUCACCCAAAAGCUCGAUUUUUAUUCGAAAAUAUUAAAAAUGUUUUUAAUUGAUAUUUUACAUAUUUUUAUAAUUAAAUUUAAAUUUAAAUUUAAAUUUUUUAUUAUUAUUUAAAUUAAACUAUAAAAAUAUUUAUCCAAACCUGAACUAAAUCGAGUUAGGCCGGGUGGGCGAUCCGGUCAACACAGGAAAGGAAAAAAAGGAAAGACGAAUCCUAAACAGGCAGUGUGCAGCCCACUAAAUUUAUUUUAAUUCUACAUGCAUUCCAUAUUAUUAUUUAGGAAUAAUAUAAUUUUUGACCCCUAAUCUUAAUAGUUAGGUGCACUUUAGUACAUAUAUCCUUUUUGCUCUACUUUGACACUUGAACUUCACAACUAAAUAUAUUUUGGUUCCUAAACUUAAAAAAUAUGAAAGUUUUAUGAUGCAACUCUCGGAGAUUGUGUUACAUCAUCACUUAAAAAUUAAAAAUAUAUAUUUUUAGAGAAUGGCGUGGUACAAUCUCUAAGUGUCACAUUCAUUAUUUUAAUAAUCAAAUUGAUAAUUGAACCAGUCAGACCACUACUACUCGAUUCAACUAGUUUGAUCAGUUCGACUGUCGGACCAAUAAUAAUUAAAUAAAUCAUUAAACAUUCAUAAAGUUCGAAAAAAAUAGAAAACAAGAUUUAUUAAACAGAUUAAACAUCGUCAACAGCUGGGGUUUUUCUUAGUUUUUUUUUACCAAUUUCAAGUUUUUUUUUAUUUAAUUGAUUCAACCUCUUUGUUCAAACCAUUAUACUGAUCGACUCUCAAUCCCAUCAGUCUAACCAUCCAAUCCACUCCUAUACUAGUAACACUGAUCACAUUAUCAAAUCUUAAUAGAAUUCAAGUUUAAGAGACCAUAAUAGACUUGGUUGCCAAGUCUAGAUGCCACAGUGGACCAAAAGAUUUACAAGUACCAAAGUAAACCUAAUUGUCAAGUUCAGGGCCAAAAUUUAUAUUAUCCUUUAUUUUUAUUAGUUUCACUACAAAAAUUAUAAGAGUUUUACAAAUUGCACAAAAAGAAAACCUGAAAAACAGAAUAGGUGCUUGAGGUAGAGUUUAUAUAUAAUUGGUAAAAAUACCAAGGAAGCUCCUGUACCUAGUGGUAAAUUGUAUUUCGGUUCAUCUACUGAAAAAUGGAAAAUUUAGUUUUUAUACAUUUUGAAAUGUGAAAAUUCUAUUAAAUGAUGACUUGGACAAGUGGAAAAUUAUUAUUUACUAGUAAACUAUAAAAAUGGUCACUCAACUAUUAAUUUUUUCGAUUUAGUCGCUAAACUUUUCAAAAUUAAAUAUUUUAAUUACCUUGAGCUUAUGUGGUUUUUUUUAUUAGUCUAGUAACAAAAUUAUCCCACUAAUAUUUACAUAUUUUAUCAAUUUGGUCUUAAACAUAAAAAAAUUAAUAAAUUUGGCCCUCCAUAUUUACAAAAUUGACCAAUUUAAUCCUAACUAUAAGAUUUUCUUAAAUAUUUCUUAAAAAAAAUAUUUUUAGCCAUUUAUAACACAUCCCAUGUGAGAUAUUAAAAUAAGAAAAAAAAUUAUCCUCUUUUAAAUCACUUGUAAAAAAAUUCGAAAAAUUCAGGAUAAAACACCAAAAAAUUUAAGAUCCAAAAGAAAACAAAUGCAUUAAAAACGUUAUUUGUACAGGUAGUACUAUAGCCAUUUAGUCUAAAUAGGUUCAAAAUCAAUUGGUUUGGUCCAAUGUGAAGUAUAAAUUAUAGUAAAAGAAAUUGUUACAAGUGACAUGAAAGAGGAUGCUAUUUUUCUUAUUUUAAUAUCUGACAUGGAUUAUCCCGGUGAAUUAUAAAAGACUAAUAAUGAUUUUUUAAAAUAUAUACAUUUAAUUUUUAAAUAUAUAUAAUAAAUUUUCUAACUGCAAAUAUAUAUAUAAAAAGUCAACAACAUUAAAAAUACCAAAUUAAGGGAAAACUUUGCAAUUUUAUGAAGGUUGAGGUGUAGCAUGCUAUGUUCCUAGCAUUUAAAACAAGUACUUGAACUUCAUACCAUGGUAUGUUCCUUAUGAUAUUGCAAACACCGUCUUAAUUAUAUUUAUGGCAUUUGUGGUAUAAUAUGAUACCAGGGAAGAAAGUUAGGUAAGAAAUUAAAAUUUUAUAUAAAAAUUAAAUAAUACUUUAAUUGAAAUGGUAAUAUUAAAAUUUUGAUAUGUAUAUGUUUCCGGUUCAAAUUUUAUCAUAGUAUUAUUUUAUUAAAAAGAUAUGAAAAAAUAAGAACACUCUCAUAUUUAAUAUUUCUUACUUUGUAUAUGAAAUGAUAUUUUAGUAAUAUCUCAAUUGAUUUCAUGACUAAUUGACUCAUGAUACGAACUCAACCAAAAAUUUAAUUUAAGUAUAGAUUUAACAAGUACUUAAUAGUAAUAUCCCUAACUAUGUAACUUGAAACCCAAUAAAUCAAACCUAGACCUACCCAUGGGUCGGGGCCACUAAGCCUAGUCGAAGCCCUACCUGAAAAAUGGGUUUGGGAAAAAAUAAUGCAUGUUUAGAAAACAAGUCGAGCCUUAAGUAAGACUUUUUUGUUUAGGCUCAGCCCAAAUUUGUAAAAAAAAAUUGUUGUUUUCUCACUGCCUUACUGUCAUUUCACUAUUAUGUUGCUACUAUUUUAUUAUUAUUGUUUGGAUAUUAUAUAAUUCUUAUUUUAUUGUUAAUUUUGCUACUAUUUUAGAGUCAUUUUCUUGUCAAGUUGCACAUAUUUUAGUGUUUUUUAAGUACAAAUAUUUUUAAUUUAUUUUCAAUUUGUUGAAAAACAUUUGUUUUAAUGUUUUUAGUGUUCUUGAUUAAUUAUAUAUUUUUAAAUGAUAUAAAAAAAUUUAAUACGGGUGAGCCGGUCUUGACUUGGGUUUUAUCAUUUUUAUUUAGGUUAGCUUGAACAAAAUUUUAGGCUCAUUUUUUAGGUCAAGCCGAACCCGAACCUAUCAAAUAGGUCUAAAAUUUUGUCAAAACCCAACUUGACUCAUGGACAGAUCUAAUCAAACAUACGUAAUUUCCAUUUCUUUAAAAAAAUCUUUCAUUAAAAAUUUUAAUUUUACUAAAUUCAAUUUAAAAAAAACAAGUUUAAUUUAAUCUCAUUCAUCAUUUCCUUUAUAGAAUAAUACUUAAUAUACUAUUAGAAUAUGAGUCUCAGACACUAUAAAUGAAUAGUAAUAAUAAAAUAGAUUAUUAUUGGGUAAAAAUAAUAAUGAAAAAUUUAUAAAUAAAUAUUAAAAAUCUUGUUAAUAUUAAAUAAGAAAAAUAAUAUAACAAUUAUACUACAUUUGAUUGGAGUAUUAUUUUCUUUCACAUGUUUUAGUCAUCUGUUAGAUAUAAAUUAAUCACAAUUGGUAAUUUUUAAGGGUAAUUAUACCAACAGUCAUUCAAAUUUGAUACAGCUGACAAAACAGUAACUUAGGUUUUAAUUCAGUCACUCAACUUUCAAAAAAUGACAAAACUGUCCUUUUAACCAUUUUUAUUAUAGACAUAACAGAAAAGUGACAUGGCAGUUGACGGCUUCCUUGUUGUCAUUAACCAACCAGUUGGACACUAAGCAACAAUUUAAACAACCCCUUUUAGCAUCACUUUAGGGUUUAGGCAAUAGAAGAAGAAGAAGAAGAAGAGGAAGAAAAAAUAGAAAGUUGCACCAAUUUGGGGACCUAAGUAAUACCAGAAAUCCAUUAGAAUUUCUGGAUUUGGCAUCAUGAUGACUGAAGCUCCUCAAAGUUGCAAAGUUCCUUUGCCUUCCUUGACUAGGAAAGUCCCUUUCCAGUAGCCGCUUUAUUUCAAGCUUGGAUUUUGCUUCGCCUAUAUCAAUAGAUGCAAACUUGAGCAGAGUGGAGAUAAAAAUUUGGGUUUGUGGGCAUUGUAUUAAGACCUUGGUUGACUCCAACUCAGUUUAAAUAGGAAAGACACCACGGUAGGGAUCGAGAAUUCGACAGCUUAAGGUUGUAGUCAAUGCAACAAGCAUUUGAAUGCUUAUCAAGGGUCUAAGUAACCUCUUCAUGAGAACAGUCACAUUGGAGGGAUGAUAAAUAAAGUUUGCUAAGUAUGGCCAAAAUAAGAAAAAAAAGUACAGAUCUUGGAUAAAUUUGUAUCAGAUUUAGACCUAUCUUCAGGUUUAGUAGACCUAUAUUCAGAUUUAGACCUAUCUUCAGGAUUAGGACCUUGGUUGACUCCAACUCAGUUGAAAUAGUAAAGACAUCGUGGUGGGGAUCGACAAUCCGACAGCUUAAGGUUACAGUCAAUGCAACAAGCAUUAAGAAGGAAAAAAGUACAGAUCUUGAAUAAAUUUGUAUCAGAUUUAGACCUAUCUUCAGGUUUAGUAGAUUUUGACAUCCCAAAUAGAGAAAGGCGUUUAAUCACAAAAAAGAUGUUAUCUCAGUAUUGGAUUUUACAGGAAAUGAAGAAAAAAUAUCAGAUCUUCCUCAUGAAAUGAGAAAUAAUUUCUUAUUUUUGAAUAAAACCUAGAAAGAUGAAAAGAUGAAAUCUUGAAGUGAGAAAUCUCGCAACAAAGUGAAAUGAAAAUUGCAGAUGAAAAAUACCAAUCAAUUUCUAACCCUUAACCCUGUUAAUCGAUUUUUAAUUUGAUUUUUUAAUCCUUAACCAACCUUGAACCCUGAAAUUGAUUUCUAACCCAACACUCUGGUUUGUUAACUAUUGUUUCUAAUCCACAAUAGCAACAACUAAAGGAAGAAGAAAAAGUAUAUCGGGGAAAAAAACGUUAACGGUUUUACAGUCUCUUCUUCUUCUUCUUCUUCUUCUUCUUCUUCUUCUGUUAUUAGGGUUUUUUUCUAUUUCUUCUUAAAUUGGGAAGGUUUCCACGUGGACAUAUCCAACGUGGGUAGUUCGUUGGCCAUGUUAGCUAGUUAACUGGUCACAUCACUUGUCUCCUUAGGUCUGUAACGGAAAAUAUUAGUAGGUGACUGAUUUGUCACUUUUUGGUAACGUUAGUGACCAGUUUGUCAAUUUUUAAAGUUGAGUGACUGAAUUUAAACCUAAGUGACUGUUUUGUCAACUGCAUCGAAGUUGGAUGAUUGUUGGUGUAAUUUACCCAAUUUUUAACCACUCUAUGACUUGUUUAUGAUAAAAAAGAGCAAAAUUUUUUGCUUAUUUUGAAGGGAUCUUAUUUUUUAAGUUUUUACUCUCUUUUUUAAUUCCUAUAUAAUUUGUACUAAUUAUUUUAAAACAUGUGUUAAAUAAUUUUUUUGUGAAAAUAGAAUGUUGGUAAUGACAAUAAAUCACAAAGAAAAGAGAAAUAAAAAUAAAGAACACAUAGAUUUUUACGUAGAAACCCUUUCGGGAAAAAACCACGAGCAGAGGAGAAGAAAGUUUAUUAUGUCGAAUUUGAAUGAUUUACAAGAGGAGUUUCGACUACAUCUAUUUAUAGGUUGAAAAAAAACUAAUUCUAAUCAAAGUCAAAUAUAUUAUGCUAAUAAAUGCUAAAUAUAUUAUGCUAAUAAAUGCUAAAUAUAUUAUACUCAUAAAUACUAAAUUUUCUAAAAAGAAGAUAUAUUUUGUUUAACUCGACUUGCAAGCAAUCUCUUAGAAUUUGGGUCACACAACUCUAGUAAUCUCCACCUUGACACGAAUUCUCAAUGAACAAUUUCUUCAUCGAGAACUCUCAACAAACAAGUUUUUCACCUCUUCUAUAAAACCCCUUAAAGGUUUAACUUCAACAAAGAACACUAAUCAAGUCUAAGCAAUGCUCAAACUUGGUUAUAGGAAGUGACUUAGUCAUCAUAUCUACAGGAUUUUCAUGAGUACUAAUUUUGCUCACAACAAUAUCAUCACGAGCAAUAAUAUCACGAACAAAAUGAUACCGAACAUCCAUGUGUUUUGUUCUCUCAUGGAGCAUUUGAUCUUUUGUAAGGAAGAUGGCACUCUGACUGUCACAAAAUACUAUAUUGAUUUGAAGGUCUUCAUUGAGAUCACUAAAGAGUCUCUUCAGUGGUUGAUAAAGUAACUGUAGUUUGCAAAGUGGCUUUCCAAUUGAUUGCACAACCUCCAAUUAUAAAGACAUAACCUAUGAGAGAUAUUCUUCUAUCAAGGUCUCCAGCAAAAUCAGCAUCAACAUACCCAAUGACUCCAUCUCUAGUUCUUCCAAACUGUUAGGAAACAUCAGCAAUACCUCGUAAGUAUCUUAAAAUCUACUAAACUGUUUUCCAAUAUUUUUUACCGAGAUUCACCAUGUAUCUGCUAACUGCACUAACUGCAUAUGAUAAAUAUGGACAUGAACAAACCAUAACAUACAUAAGAGAUCCUACUGUACUAGAGUAUGGAACAUGUGACAUGUACUCAAUCUCAUCAUCUGAUUGUGAAGACAAAGCUGAUGAAAGUCUGAAAUGGGCUGUUAAAAGAGUACUAGCAGGCUUAGCAUUCUGCAUAUUGAAUCUGGUAAGAACUUUCUCAAUCUACCCCUUUUGACUUAGGUACAAUUUACUUGCUUUUCUAUCUCUGAGAAUCUCCAUAUCAAGUAUCUUCUUUGUUGGUCCCAAAUUUUUCAUUUUAAACUCUUCACUUAGUUAGGCUUUGACCUUUCUUAUCUCUCCUUUAUCUUUUGUUGCUAUCAACAUGUCAUCAACAUAAAUGAGUAGAUACACAAAAGAACCAUCACUGUUUUUCUUAAAGUAAACACAACUGUCAAAGCUACUUUUUUUAAAAUCAUGAGAAGUUAUAAAGGAACCAAACCUUUUGUAACACUGUUUUGCUAACUGUUUCAAACUGUAAAGGGAUUUUUUUAGCAAGCAAACAUAGUCCUCUUUUUCUGAGACUGUAAAACCCUCUGGUUGUUACAUGUAAAUAUCCUCCUCAAGUUCUCCAUGCAAAAAUACAGUUUUUACAUCUAACUAUUCAAGCUCUAAAUCAUGUAUAGCCACAAUGCCAAGCAAAGCUCGAAUCGAACUAUGUUUCACAAUUGGGGAGAACACAUCUGUGAAGUCCACUCCUAAAAUUUGACUGUAACCCUUUGCAACAAGUUUUGUUUUGUAUCUAGGUUCUUCAACUCCUGGAGUCCCUUCUUUCUCUUUAAACACCCAUUUACAAUGAACAACUUUUUUACCGUUAGGAAGUUUCACAAGAUCGUAUGUUUUGUUUUUGUGGAGUGAUUUCAUCUCCUCUUGCAUAGCAAACAUCCACUUUUUUUAGUCUUCAUAGCUAAACGCAUCAGAAUAAUUAGAUGGCUCUUGAUUUGCAUCUAUAUCUUCAGCCACAUUUAAAGCAUAAGCAACUAGAUCAGUCUUAGCAUACUUCUUUGGAGGUUUAAUUUCUCUUCUAGUUCUGUUUUUAGCGAUAGAGUAUUAUGGUGAAGAAGCAGCUCUAUUUUAAAUUUUUUUGUACUGGCUUGAGGAGUAGACUCUGUUGUAGAUUCUAGAUUAAUCUAAUGCUCUACCUGCUUUUGAUUUUCUUUAUUUGAAGAGUCUUUAAGAGAUAAGUUAGGUCACAUGUAACAACCCGGUUUGACUCUAAUCGGAAUAGUAGUUUUGGGACCACAAAUCUGAGUCCUAAAAAUAUUUCAAUAUUAUUUUGUGUGUUUACUUUGUGUGCAUUUGAUUGUGUGAAAUUUUCGUGUUUUAGUUUUGUUGUUUGAGUGUCCGAUUAAAAAAAAGGAUUAAAUCGCGAAAAAUAAAAAUUUAGGGGUUAAUUAUAAAAGCACCUAAUUGUUGUUGUCUUUUUAAAUGGAAGGAUUUAUGAUGCAAUAAGACCAUAAAGUAGUGAGUGGGUGAUAAUGGUCAAAAAUGACCUUAUAUUAUAAGGUUUAUAUAAUUUGUAUUAAAGGUUAAUAUAGUAAACUAAUAAUUAAAUAAACAUAUGAUAUAAUAAAUCAAUUGAAGCCAUUAUUUUCAUUCUUCCUUUGCUGAAAGUUAGAAAAACAAAUAGGGUUUAAAAGCUUUGAGGUAUCCGGUCAUUAACAAGCUUAAUUCAAGGUAUGUUUUACUUCGGUUUUUGAUAAUUUUUACGUUUUUGAGAUCGUUGCUUCGUGUUCUUCAAAACCCAUAUCUUAAUUUUGUGAAUUGUGGAUGAUUUUGAAAUGUGCCAUUGAUGAAUGCUUGAGUUUUAUGAUGUUAGUAGGUGAAAUAUGAAAUAUAUUUGUUAGAUUAAUAUAUUUUGUAUUGGAAUUUUUAGUGAAAUUGAGUAAAUAGGGCUAAAUUGUGAAAUUAAAUUUUUGGGGAACUAAAGUGUGAAAUAAAUGCAAUGUGUGGACUUGUAUGAGAACCAUGAAUAUUCGGCCCUUGUGUGGUAUGGGCAAAUUUUGUAUAAAUUGUGUUUUAUGCAAUAGGGACUAAAUUGCAAAAAGUGUAAAUAUUAGGGGCAAAAUAGUAAUUUUCCAAAUUAUUUGUUUUUGGAUUAAAUUGAAUGUGUUAAUAAAUAAAUUAUCUUAUUUUGAAUAUAUUUAGAUCGAGAACCAAAGAAAUCGGAGUUAGAUCGGCGAAAAGCCAAAUUAGUCGAAUAAUCGUCCGACUUCGAUUUUCCAUCGUCCGAGGUAAGUCUAUUAGCUAUUUAAUGUUAUUAAAUCAAUAUAUAUAUGUAUGAAUAUCUAUUAUGUUGUUGUUGAGCUAUAAUUAAAAGUAAUUUAAUUGAAUAAAUUCAAAUUAUAAAUGGUAUAAAUAUGUAUAUACAAUGUUCAAAUAUAUAGGUAUAUGCUUAUAUAAAUUUUUGAACUAAGUUAAAGUAUGAAUGGUAUAAAGUUAUAUAUAUAUAAAUUCAAAUAAUUAUAUAUGUAUCUAUAUGUAUACAUAUACUUGAAUUUGGUUGGUUGUAUGAGAGUUAUAUAUAUGUGCACUUAAGAUUCAAAUAUAUGUAAGUAAAAACAUGUAAUUCUUGCUUAAAUUAAAGAUAUGUAUAAUACAUAUGUAUACAUAAGUUUCGAACAUAUAGAUGUAUGUAAAAACAUUUGGGUUUGAUUAAAAGUAUGUAUGUUGUAAUUGUACAGAUAAUUUCGAAUAAGUAAGUAUAUGGAGUUGGAACAUCUAUAUAUAUAUGAAUAAGUCUUGAUUAUAUUUUAAGGUAUAAAUGUUAAAAACGUACGUGGGAGUUCGAAUAUAUCUAAAUGUAUAUUUGUGUACAGAUUCUUGAAUUGAAUCGAAUGUAUGAUUCGCAAACUCUUUUGUGAUUGAAUAUGGACUACAAUGAAUGUGUGUUUGCUGUUAAUAAGUAUUUGAGGAAAUUAUUCUGUAUAUGGGAAAAAUUGAGAUUUUCAAGCAUAGCGCUUAGCAGGCUUAUUGCCGGUGAAACACUUCAGACUAUAUGUCUAGCAGGCUUAAUGCCGGUGAAAUAUUUCAGACUAUAUGUCUAGCGGGCUAAGUGCCGGUGUACUGAAUCAGGCUUAAAGCCUAGCAGGCUAAAUGCCGGUGAAUCUGUUUUAAGUAUGUGAUUAGGUGUACAAUUAUAUGAUUUUGGAUAUAUUUAAUUGAUAAGUAUAUUUAUAUAUAUACAUUUGGCUAAGUGCGUUUGAUGAUUAUAUAUAUAUCCGGCUUAUACAAUUGAGAAAUAUAUAUAUGCUCUGGGAUUAUGCAUUUGAUAAAUAUAUACUUUUAAAUAUUCGGUACACAUAUUUGAUUAGUAACUAUAUAUGCAUUCGAGAUAUAUAUAUACCUUGGUUUAUAAGUAUUUGAUGAAAAUGAAUGCAUUCGUUCAUAUGUAUUAGAUUUGUAUUGGUUUAAAGUUUAAAAUGAGUAUUCAUACACAUUCGGUUAUGAUAUGUGUAUAAUAUAUAUAUGCUCGGUUGUAUACAUUCGUUGUAAUGUUGUUUGGUAUAAAAAUAUAUAUUCAAUUGAUCGCUUUCGACAGGUAUGCAUAUCUGUCUAUAAAUGAAAUGGUCUGAGUACAAUAAUAUAUAAAUAUUAGUUAUUCGUGUUAAUUGAAAUCUCAGUGAAAUAGAUUAAAAAGUAACUUUAUUUAUAUAUUUAUAUACAUUUAGUUAUGCUGUAGACUUACUAAGCUAUAAAAGCUUACUUUGUUUGUUUUCGUCCAUUUGCUUUUAUAGAUUUUGGAGACGCGUUACGAGCUCGGGGAUCAUCAACAUAGUCCAUCACACUAUCGACUUCUUUUGGUAUUUUGUUAAAUAUUUGAACUCAAUCUUAUGGCAUGUAUAGGUUUGAGUAUGAUGUUAAUUACAUUUUGAUUGUAAAUUAUAAUAGUUAUGCGAAAGUAAUUAAAUUUUUACGUUGUGAUCAGUUUGGUUUUAACAUUGUUGAAUUUGUUCGGUAAUGCCUUGUAACCCUAAUUCGGCGACGGAUACGGGUUAGGGGUGUUACAUCACAUAACAGUUUCAUAAAAAACAACAUCUCUACUAAUCACAACAUUUCUAUUUUUAGGACACCAUAACUUAUACCCUUUUACACCAGCUUUAUAACCAAGAAAAACAUAUUUAAUGGAUCUCAAUUCCAAUUUUCCAUUAUCAACAUGAGCAUACGCAGGACACCCAAAGAUCUUUAAAUCAGAAUAGUCAGCAGGAUUACCAAACCAUACCUCUUGUGGAGUCUUUUUCUCAAUGGCAACGGAUGGAGAUUGGUUGAUCAAAAAACAUGCAGUAGAGGCUACUUCGGCCCAAAAUGACUUUGGUAAGUUGGCAUUUGACAACAUACAUCAAACCUUCUCCAUGAUCAUUUUGUUCAUUCGUUCUGCAACGCUAUUUUGCUGUGGAGUAUAACGAACUGUCAGGUGUCUCACAAUCCUUUCUAACUUGCACAAUUUAUUAAACUCAUCAGAGUAGAACUCUAAGCCACUGUUUGUGUGGAGGUAUUUUAUUUGUUUUCCAGUCUAUUUUUCAACCAUAGUUUUCCAAGACUUAAAUGCAAAAAAGACAUCGCUUUUCUGCUUUAAGAAGAACUCCCAAACUUUUCUGGAAAAACCAUAAAUAAAAGUUAGCAUAUUAAUUAGCUCCAUCUCUCGAAGGCACUCUGGAUGGCCCUCACAGAUCAAAAUGAAUAUACUCUAAUGUUUCUUUCGUGUUAUGGAUUCCUCUAGUGAAUUGAAUUCUCUUUUGCUUCCCAAAAACGUAAUUCUCACAGAACUUCAGUUUGUAAAAUCCUUGCCCAAGAAGAAGUCCUCUUUUUCCCAAUUAUGCCAUGUCAUUCUCACUCAUAUGCCCUAGGUAUAUAUGCCAAAGUUUAGUAAUAUCAUCAUCUGACAAGGAAGAGGAUGCGACAACUGUAUCACCAGUAACAAUAAAACUUUGCAAAACAUAUAACUUUGCAGUUUUUCUCUGCCAUUUCAUUACAACGAGGGAACCUUUGGAAAUCUUUAAAAACUCCACUUUCAGUUGUGUAUUUGUACCCUUUUGAAUCAAAUGCACUCAACGAAAUUAACUUUCUCUUCAAUUUUGGAACAUGUCGUACGUCACUAAGUGUCUGACAAGUCCAUCAAACAUCUUAACUUUAAUUGCUCCAACACCUGCAAUUCUACAUGAAGCAUUAUUUCCCAUCAAAACAACACCUUCAAACACUGUUUCGUAAGUUGUAAACCAAUCCUGAUUGGGACUCAUGUAGAAGGUGUAGCCCGAAUCAAAGACUCACUCCUCGCUCACUUUAGAAUUGUAGAUAGAAACGACUAAAAGUUCACCAUCGCUAUAGUCUUCUACAACAUCAAUUUUACCAAAAUUUUCUGGUUGUUUUCCAUUUUGAUUCGCAACCUCCCUUUUGAUAUUGUUUUGUAGCUUAUAGCACUCAGAUUUAAUGUGCCCUUUCUUCUUGCAGAAGUUACAAGAUUUACCUCUGUUUGAAGACUUUGAUCUACCUUUAGAUUUACCGUGAGGAUUCCAUUCUUGUGUCGUUCCAUGAUCAUUAUCAACAUUCCGAUCUUAUCUUCUAUGAACAAUGUAACCCUCUCACUGAGAGUUAGUUUUAACUACAAGAUGCUUCAUCUUAUCAUAUAAGGUUAAAGAAUCAUAAACCUCAUCAAUUGUGAGAGACUCAAGGCUAUAUAAAAUGGCAUCUCUAAAGGUUGAAUAAAACGGGGACAACAAACAAAGUAGAAUCAACUCUAGAUCUUCCUUAUCAUACUGAACCUCCAUGGCUUCCAAGUUUGAGAGAAUUUCUUUAAACAUUGUUAAGUGUUCGUGCACAGACGCACCUUCCUCCAAACGAUGAGCAUAAAAACGCUGCUUCAUAUGCAGCUUGCUAGUUAGAGUUUUUGACAUAAAUAUUUGUUCCGGCCUCUUUCAUAAUCUAGCGGUGGUAUUCUCCUUUAUCACAUCCUGUAAAAUUUCAUUAGACAAGUGCAGAUGUAACUGUGUUAACACGUUUCGAUCCUUGCGGUUCUUCUCUUCCACCGUCAAUGUUGAAGGCAUCUUAUCUAUCCCUAGCAGGGUUUCCUCUAAGUCUAUCUGUGCAAGAACUACCUGCAUCUUUAUCUACCACAACGCGAAUCUGGUUUUGCGAUCCAACAGCGAAAUUUCAUACUUCAAAUACGCCAUUACCGUGAUUGAGAUGAACAAAUCGAAAGCUCUGAUACCAAUUUGUGAAAAUAGAAUGUCGGUAAUGAUAAUAUAUCACAAAGAAAAGAGAAAUAAAAAUAAAGAACACACAGAUUUUUACGUGGAAACCCUUUCGAAAAAAACCACGGGCAGGUGAGAAGAAAAUUCACUAUGUAGAAUUCGAAUGAUUUACAAGAGGAGUUUCGACUAUAUCUAUUUAUAGGUUGAAAAAACCCUAAUUCUAAUCAAAGUCAAAUAUAUUAUGCUAAUAAAUGGUAAAUAUAUUAUACUCAUAAAUAUUAAAUCUUCUAGAAAGAAGAUAUAUUUUGUUUAACUUGACUUGCAAGCAAUCUCUUAGAAUUUGGGUCACAAAAAUAACAUUUUUAACCAUACUGAAAACCAUUUUUUAAUUAAAUAUAAGUACUUAAUAUUUAAUUAAAUUAAAAAGAAAAGAGAUCAAUUCUAAAAUUAUGUAUGGACUUUGAUUUAAUUUGCAAUUGUAUAUAUAAAUUUUAAUUUGGUGUAAUUAUACACGUGUAACUCUAAUUGUGGUUCAAAUAUAUACUUGAAACUUUAAUUUUAAUUUAACCAUAAACAUUUAAAGAAAUAAAAACAUCAAUUUAUUUUUAUAUUGAAUAAAUAUAAUUAUUUAAGUGUGCAAUAUAUAAAUAUAAAAUGAUGUUAUAUCAAUAAUUGUGUUAAUAAUUUAUAAGAAUUGGAUCAUAUCAAAAUUUCAUAUAUAAAAUUAUUAAAAUUUAUAUAUAGAAUUGUACAUUAAACCCAGAGUGCAUGUAUACAUAAUUAAUAGAUUGUACAUAGGAAGUAAGUUUUGCUUAGUGUAAUAUAACUGUCAUUCAAGAUUACGCAUUCAUUUCAGACAAAGCACACACCCUUUGAAAUUCAAGUUUUGAUUCAGAUUCUUUCUUCUUCUUUUUUUAAUAAAAUCUCUAUGAAAGGUUUUUUUUUUUUUUAAUUCCUUAACGGUAGUGAUUUUGGGUUAUGGAGAAAAAAGGAGUGAAAAGUUGUGAUUUUUGUGGAAGUAGGGAUUUUUCUGUUUUAAUAGUUUUAGAAAUGGGUUUGAUGGAGAUUUCAAUAAUGCUUCAUGUUGGAUUAGUUUUGUUGCUACUUUGGAUGCUUUCUCAAUUCAAUCUUUGCCAUCCACUCCCUUAUUUCCUGUCUCUCAUCUACCUCUAUUUGGUUAUUCAUUCAUCUUCUGCUGAGAAUAAAAAAUGAAUCUUUUUUUUCUUUAUUUUUGAACUUGGAUUGAACUUUUUUUUUUAUUGUUUUUGUUACAAAAAUUCCUUUUAUUUCUUUGUUCAUCAAAGGUUCAUGAAAUGUAUGUGACGAGAUUGAGGAAGAAAUUGGAGUUGGAGGAAAUAAUGCACAAAGAAACUAGACAUGUCAACAACAAAACAAUAAUGCCAACACUCUCAAACGCAACAACAAAAAUGUUUUCGAAAAGGAAAUAGGCAUCACACUUAGAGUAUAGAAAUACUUGGAUUGUAACCAUGAAAAACGAAAUAAGAUAUCUGUUGCGGAAAGGAUCGAUUCGAGAACUCCGAUAUGACUACAAGUAAAUUGACCGAAACGAAAAAUAAAGUGAACACAAGGAUUUACGUGGUUCGGCUUUAAUGCCUACGUCCACGGGCAGAGGCGAAAAGAAAUUUCACUAUAACAAGAUGAAGAUUACAAGUGUUUUACACUCAAGACACAACCCGAGAACCUCACAACUCUCAACCCCUAUAGAAAACCCGAAAGCUAAAAUCCUAGCUUUCAAAGAACAAGCUUUGCUCUCUCUUGGUUUGGGAUGAUAAAUAUGGCUAAUGAACCUCUCUAUUUAUAAGAGAGUUCAAGGACAUAAUUGUCCAAAACUUUGGCAAAGAUUUGUGGUUGAAAAUGGACACCAACAACCAUCCACUAAUCCACUACCACCAACAACCCACUACCAACAACAACAAUCCACUACCAAUUUUAAGCCAUUUCUUAACAAAUCUCCACCUUGGCUUGAAAUUUACCAAGCUGAACAUCAUAGUGAAUUCCUCGAACUGGAUCACCUCUUCCAAACGCCUCUCUGGCGCUAAUCAAUCCCGAAUACCUAUCAAGUCCAAGCAAUGCUUGAACUUAUAUGCAGGGAUCACCUUAGUUAACAUAUCUGCAGGAUUCUUCUCGGUAGCAACCUUGCUGAUAACAAUGUCACCUUGCGUAACAUGUUCCCGAACAAAAUGAUAUCUGACAUCAAUGUGUUUGGUCCGUUCAUGAAACAUCUGAUUUUUAGUCAGAUGUAUGGCACUCUGGCUAUCGCAAAAUACAACAGUGAAAUCCUGUUGUAAACCCAAACUGCUUACUAGACCUUUCAUCCACAAUGCUUCUUUCACUGCUUCUGCUAACGCCAUAUAUUCCGCCUCAGUCGUAGAUAAGGCUACGGUAGACUGUAACACAGCUUUCCAACUAAUGGCUCCUCCAGAAUAAGUGAAAACAUAACCCGUCAGAGAUCUUCUUUUGUCCAGAUCUCCAGCAUAAUCAGAGUCCACAUAGCCCGUGACACUGCUAGUGCAGUCACUCUGAUCAUAUACCAAGCAUAAAUCUGCAGAACCUCUCAAGUACCUGAGAAUCCAUUUCACGGCCUGCCAGUGUUCCUUGCCAGGACAACUCAUGUAUCUGCUGACCACACUAACUGCAUGUGAAAUGUCUGGACGAGUGCAAACCAUUGCAUACAUCACGCUUCCAACUGCACUCGAGUAUGGAAUGUGAGACAUUUGCUGCUUUUCUUCAUCAGAUUGUGGUGACAACUCUGCAGAGAGUUUGAAAUGUGGUGCCAACGGAGUACUCACAGUUUUCGCUUUAUCCAUGCCGAAGCGUUGAAGAAUCUUUUCAAUGUAGUUCUUCUGCGACACACGAAGCUUGCCCGCCUUGCGAUCUCUGUGAAUAUCCAUGCCCAAAAUUUUCUUGGCAGCACCCAGAUCCUUCAUCUCGAACUCACCACUCAACUGCGACUUUAACUUGUUGAUUUCCGACAUGUUUUUGGAAGCAAUUAACAUGUCAUCAACAUACAGCAACAAAUAAAUGUGCGAACCAUCUGAGAGCUUCCGAUGAUAGACACAAGCAUCAUAGUCACAUCUUGUGUAACCAUGCUGAAUCAUGAAGCUAUCAAACCGCUUGUACCACUGCCUUGGGGAUUGUUUCAAUCCAUAUAAAGACUUCUUUAAUAGACAGACAUGGUCUUCUUUACCAGGAACUGUAAAACCCUCUGGUUGACGCAUGUAGAUUGUUUCCUCGAGCUCACCAUGCAAGAACGCCGUUUUUACGUCAAGCUGCUCAAGUUCUAGAUCAGACUUGGCCACCAUGGCAAGUAAUACACGAAUGGAAGAAUGCUUUACAACUGGGGAGAAAACUUCAUUGUAGUCAAUCCCCUCUUUCUGAGUGAAGCCUUUAGCAACCAAUCGUGCCUUGAAUCUAGUUGCUUCAACCCCUAGGAUGCCUUCCUUUUUCUUGAAGACCCAUUUGCAACCAACUAUCUUCUGGUUACUUGGCGGCUUAACCAACUCCCAAGUAUGGUUCUUGUGAAGAGAUUCUAUCUCCUCACUCAUAGCAAUUGCCCACUGUGCCGACUCAUCACACGUGACAGCCUCAUUAUAACUGGAAGGUUCUAUACCAAUGGACUCCGCCACACUGAGCGCGAAAGACACCAGAUUAGCGUAACGCGGAUUUGGUUUGAUUUGUCUCUUCGUUCUUCCAGUGGCAAUGCUAUAUGGUUUUUCUUGAGGUGACUCAUCUUCAUCGGAAUCUUGCACCUCAACUUGAUCAUCCUGGACUGAAGUACCUUCCGUAGGAAUUGGAGCGUCCACCUGACACUCCACCUGCUUCUCAACACCGUGAUCUCCCAUUCUAUCUGACUCCUCCUUUUCCCGGGAAUUUGUGGUGGAUCGAAGCAUGGAUGACUCAUCAAAAGUCACAUCUCUGCUGAUGAUGAACUUGGACGAAACCGGAUCAGGACACCACAACCUGUAUCCUUUCACCCCUUGGCCGUAUCCAAGAAAUAUGCAUUUCUUCGCCCUCGGUUUGAGUUUUCCCUCAUUUACAUGAGCAUACGCAGGGCAGCCAAACACUCUUAAACCAGAGUAAUCAGCAGGAGAACCAGACCAUACUUCCUCAGGAGUCUUCAGCUCAAUAGCUGUUGACGGAGAUCUGUUAACCAAAUAACAAGCAGUAUUAACAGCUUCAGCCCAAAAUUCUUCACCGAGCCCAGCAUUUGAUCGCAUGCAACGAGCUCGCUCCAAGAGAGUUCUAUUCAUGCGUUCUGCAACUCCAUUUUGUUGUGGUGUUCGACGAACAGUGCGGUGUCUCACUAUUCCUUCAUUUUUGCAGAACUCAUUGAAUUCACCUGAGCAAAACUCCAAGCCAUUAUCCGUCCGGAAUCGCUUGAUCUUCUUUCCUGUUUGAUUUUCGAUCAAAGCUUUAAAUUGCUUGAAGUUGAUGAGAACCUCAUACUUGCUCUUCAGAAAAUACACCCAAACCUUUCUCGAGUAAUCAUCGAUAAAGGUAAGCAGAUAUCUGUAACCACCUUUAGAAAUUGUCGGAGAAGGCCCCCAAAGGUCAGAAUGGAAGUAAUCCACUGUGCCUUUUGUCUUGUGAAUCCCAGUGCUGAACUUUACCCGAGUCUGCUUACCGAAGACGCAGUGCUCACAGAAAUUCAACUUUCCUGUACACUGCCCAGACAAUAAUCCUCGUUUGCUUAGCACCGAUAAGCCUCUCUCGCUCAUAUGCCCGAGCCGCAUAUGCCAUAACUUCGUGGUGUCAGAAUCUAGAUCAUCUGAUGAUGACACUCCCGCAACACCUGUAACCGAGGAACCAUCGAGGAAGUAAAGGCCCCGCUCCAAAUUACCACGUAUCACAGUCAAAGCACCCGAGAAUACCUUGAGAACUCCACCUUCAGCAGAGUACCGAAAGCCUUUCUUGUCCAACGUACUCAAAGAGAUCAAAUUUUUCUUCAUUUCUGGAAUGUGCCGAACAUCAGUUAGAGUUCUAACAAUACCGUCAAACAUCUUUAUACGAACUGUGCCAAUCCCCAUGACUUGACAUGCGUGGUCAUUUCCCAUUAGUACUGAACCAGAAUGCUUCUCGUAUGUUGAGAAUGCAUCUUUCGAAGUACUUAUAUGAAAUGUAGCUCCCGUAUCAAGAAUCCAUCUCCCACCAGCGUAAGAGUCGGAUACUGCAAGAACGAUCUCGGCAUCACUUGAAGAAUCUGCAUCAGCUACAUUCGCACGAUCAUUUUGUUGCUCCUGUGAUUCUGAUUUCUCCUUCCUUUUCGGACAAUCUACCUUCAUGUGCCCGUACUUCUUACAGUAGUAGCACUGUAUUCUCUUCUUGGACUGCGAUCUAGGAUGGCUUUUACUUGAACUUCCACCCUUUGCCUUGGAUCUUCCUCGAGCAACCAAGCCUUCGCCUUCAUUGUUUUCGACCACCUUACCAGUGAUUUUCUUCCUCAACUCACUGGAACUUAAGGCAUUUUUCACCUCCUCUAGAGUCAGGUCAUCACGACCGUACAUCAUUGUAUCAACAAAAUUCUCAUACGAGGGAGGCAAAGAACACAAAACAAUUAUUGCUUGGUCCUCAUCAUCGAUUUUGUUAUCGAUAUUAUUCAAAUCCAUGAUAAUGGAAUUGAAUUUAUCCAGGUGCUGGGAAACAGGUGUACCUUCCUCCAUCUUCAGGGCAUAGAGUCUUUGCUUGAGGUAGAGCCGGUUCGUCAAUGACUUCGUCAUGUACUUGCUCUCUAACCGGAGCCACAAACCGGACGCGGUUUUCUCAUCCGCUACUUCUCGUAGCACUUCAUCUCCUAGACAUAGCAGAAUAGCACUAUGUGCUCUUUCUAGCAUGUCAUCCUUUUGCUCUUCCGAAAGCGUGCUUGGUAAUUUAUCUUUACCAGACAAUGCUUUUAGCAAUCCUUGUUGAACCAGCACUGCCCGCAUCUUGAUGCGCCAUAAACUGAAACUAUUUUUCCCGGUAAAUUUCUCGACAUCAUACUUUGUCGAUGAAACACUUGUAGCCAUAAUUUGGAACCUUUGAAUGAAUGAUAAUAUUUUCUUCCUGAUGUGAAAGAUCAGACAAAGCUGCAGUCACAGGGCAAUUCAGAAAAUAUUAUCACUCCUUCAACUACGCUCUGAUACCAAUUUGUUGCGGAAAGGAUCGAUUCGAGAACUCCGAUAUGACUACAAGUAAAUUGACCGAAACGAAAAAUAAAGUGAACACAAGGAUUUACGUGGUUCGGCUUUAAUGCCUACGUCCACGGGCAGAGGCGAAAAGAAAUUUCACUAUAACAAGAUGAAGAUUACAAGUGUUUUACACUCAAGACACAACCCGAGAACCUCACAACUCUCAACCCCUAUAGAAAACCCGAAAGCUAAAAUCCUAGCUUUCAAAGAACAAGCUUUGCUCUCUCUUGGUUUGGGAUGAUAAAUAUGGCUAAUGAACCUCUCUAUUUAUAAGAGAGUUCAAGGACAUAAUUGUCCAAAACUUUGGCAAAGAUUUGUGGUUGAAAAUGGACACCAACAACCAUCCACUAAUCCACUACCACCAACAACCCACUACCAACAACAACAAUCCACUACCAAUUUUAAGCCAUUUCUUAACAAUAUCCAACAUCCUCAUCACAAUGGAUUCUCCUCUGAUUCAUUAGUAGCCUCAACAAUGUAAUAACACGAUUAAAAGUUAUCGUAGCAGUAACUCUUAUAAAUAUUAAAAAAUUAAUUUGUAAAUACAUCGAUCAUGUCUAAAUCUAAUCUAAGUCACGGUUGAUCUAAACAUGAAAAUUCUAACCAAUUCAUCUCAAUUCAAUCCAACUAAACCUAAACUAAAUUGACACAAAAAUCUAUUUAUAUAAUUUACUUUUAAUUUAUAUAUAAUUUUAGUUAUGAUUUAAAUUUAUACAUUUAAUAUUGAACAAAUAGUCAAACUAAAGAACAUUGGCAAUUAUGAUCAAUAACUUAACACAUAGGUAAUUAAAGAAAAUACUAAUAUAUAUUUAUAUUUAUAUUUAAGCCAAAAUAAUAUAAAGCUAAAAAGUGAGAUAAUGAAGUAAAAUAUUACUAACCUUAUGCAAUAUUUGAACUCGCUAUAGUAACACUAUCCAAUGGUGUACUUGGCUCAUUAUUAAAGUUCUCACAAUUAUGAACCUCCAGUGAUGUUUCAAGAGGAAGUUGAUGGAAUGGCUUAGGAGGCAUCUCAAAGAGUUCAACAUUAGAUUCAAGUAUCUUCAAGAUUUUACUCAUUGAAGGGCGAUCAGAAGGUAGUAAUUGUAUACACCAAAAAGCAAUUAUUAUCAUCUUCUUCACCAUUACUUUUUCAUCGUUAGAAAUAUCUCCGAACUCCAAGUCUUCUCCUUGAUCCAAUCGGUCAUAAAUCCAAGAUGGAAAAUAUAUUUGACUAGUGUGGUCAGCAAAUGCAUUCACAUUCUUUCCCCUUCUAACUAUUUCCAUCAAUAACAUUCCAAAACUAUAAACAUCGGCUUUGUAUGAGAUGCCUCAAUAUAAAGUGAUGAUUUUAUAAGUUUCGUACAAUUCAUAACAUAAAUAAUGCUAACCUCUAACCUUCCAUCAUAAUAAUUACCAUGAGGAUAAAUAUAAGAAUAAGAAUAAGAAUCUACAGAAGUAAUUAAGAGGAAGAGAGUUGCAAUCAUCCGUGUCCAACAAUCAACCCCUCCCAGAGUAGGCUGUCGAGGAGCCUCCUGCACAUCAUAAAUAGCACGAGUUGUACGCCCCAAAGCAUUUGCCAAGGACCAUCAAGAUGAAGGUCAAUAACAUUUGUGUAAAUUUGGAGUGCUACCUUACAGCCAAGACUAACAGAAUAGUGACUGUUUGGAUUGAAAUGCCAAAUGAGUCAGUUCGGAGUCGGAUACAAGCAAAGUAGCAUUCGAAGCAUCCGUUGCGCAUCAUAGGAGAUAGAAGACCUUGAGUUACAUGAUUUCAUUUUGAGUAUUGAAAAUUGAAAAUAGGAUAAGUACCAACCACUAAUAUAUUAUCAGCAAAAUCUCCCAAUUGAAAGAACAAAAGAUGCAUCUAUACUAUGUUUAAAAGUUUAAUAGAGUUUAUGGUUAUCUAUCAAUGAGGUAUCAACUCAAUUGUAAAAUCAUUAAAAUCUUAUUAUUUUGUUAAAAUAAAAAUAUUAUAUUGAGAGUAUUUUAUUUUUUAUUAAACUUUAUAAAAUUCAUCCAUUUAAUAGAAUUUGAACCCAAAACAUCAUAAUCCUUAUUACCUAAAUUUUACCAUAUUAAACAAAGCCACAUUUAGCUUUUAUAUCAUUUUUUAAAUAAGCUUGUUAUAUCAUUUUUUUUCACCCAUGUGAGGGUGCCAUAAUCUAAUAUAUCUUUAUUUAAUAAGUAAUAAUCCCAUAUGCAUUAGAGAGUAUUAAGUUGAGUUAUUAAAUUUAGGGUUUGUUAUAUUCUAACGACUAAUUUUCAAUUCCAUUGAAAUGAUUUAUAGGUGAUAAAUUUUACAAUUUAAUACGAUUAAUUUUAUUAUAUUACAAUGAAAAACAAAAGAAAAAGAAGAAUUUAAUAUGGUUCAAAGUUUUUAAAUAAAUCUGGACCAUAUACUUGUAGACAAACCUUUACCAUUAAUCUAUUCCAACUUCAAUGAGAACGACCAAGACAAUGCAAGUCUCAAUAGUCCUGUUUGAAACGCAAAAGCAUUCAAGUGGUUGAGAGCAGCAAGCCUGAUCCCUUUUGUCCUUUUGUGUUAUGUAAGUCAAUUGUAGAGAACGAUUGUUGGAUAUUUCUAAAACGUAAGUUAAUAGUUAGAACCCUUGAGCAACGCACAUUCCACCCCAACCCAUGCAUAACGUUAGACAAGACUCAAUGACUAAUUGUAUAUAUUUUUAAUUUUAUUCAACAACUACAUAAGUAUAUUUUUAAAUGAUUGUUAAUAUAAUUACAUGUAUUUUCAUCUAUUUUAUAUGAAUUUAAAAUAUUACAAAUUAAAUAUAAUAUAAGAUAUAAGUUCUAUUCAAUUAAAUUUAAAUUUAAAUUCAAAUUUUAAAUUAUCCAACAAUAUAAAUAGUAGACAUAAAUUCAAAGAAAAAAAUUUGGGGUUUAGCUGGAAAAUUACCUCUCAAAUUCCACUAAAAUAAAUAAAUAGAGUUUAACUCGAAGAUUACCUCUCAAAUUUAACUGAAAUAUGAAACAUACUCAAUAAUAAAGGUAUCAAUUCAAAGGUAUAAAGCUACAUAAAUUCUUAGUUAUGUCUUUGAAAUAUUUUCAUAAAGGCACGUGCAAAAACUUUUUGAUUCUAAACAAAUUCAUUGUCUCAACAUUACUUGUCGAAACCGUUUUUUGAAAACAAAGAUCUAGUUGUCGACUUUAAAAAUAAAACAGCAGUCGCCACCGAUCCUUUAUUAAGGUGUGAUCGGCUCACCUUUAAAAAUUAUUUUGGUCUACGAAUUUUGAGAAAACGAGUUCGGGAGUCAGUUACGCACGAGGAAGGGUUAGCACCCUCGUAACGCCCAAAAUCGGUACCAAAUUGGUUAUUUGAUGUCUUAGUGUCGAAGGUUAAAAAGAUUUUUAAAAUAAACUCAAUUGAUGGAAUUUGAAAAAGGAUAAUCAAUUGUUCAAGUCAUGUAAAGAAAUCGAGUCCCAAUACGUUAGGGUACAAUUCCUCAUAAUCCCCGAACUUUGAAUAUCACUUUAUUUUAUGUGAAAAUCUUCCUUUUGAGAAAGUAACAUGCCACACCAAAUACGUUAGGACACGACAUGUUAAGUUCCAAAAAAUGAUUUUUAUACUCAUGCAUUUUGAAUAAAGAAUAUUCUCGGUUAUUUUAGAUUGACAAAGAAAAUCGGAACCCAAUACGUUAGGGCUCAAUUCCCUCGAAAAUCCCAAACUUCGAAUAUUGCUUUUAUUCAAAAAAAAACUUUGAAUCAAGAGAAUAAUUUCAAUGUUUUGUCAAAAACCAAAAUAUAUCUUCUUGUUCAAAAGGAAAUGACAUAAUGUUAAUAGACAACAUGGAAUACAUACAUUAAUUUAAAUUAUACAUGUACAUGUAUUAUGAAAUGUCAAUGCAUAUAUAUACAUGUAUGCAAAAAGUUAUGGAAAUAAAAUAAUAAAAUAUAUAAAAUAUGGACAUGUAUUUACCAAAUAUGUAUAUAUAUACACACAUAUAUUUAUGAAAAAUAAAAACGUAUUUAGAGUCAUACAGAUAUAUAUAAAUCAUUAAAUAUAUGGAAAAAAAUGAAAAUAUGUAUAUAAAAGAUGUAUGUAUAUAGGUAUAUAUUUACAAAAUAAAAAAAAUGUAUAAGUAUACACGUAUUGGUAAAUCAUGAAAAUACAUAUAUGUAUAUUAAAAUACUUAUAUAUAUGUACAAUAUAUGUAUAAAUAAUGGAGUAUAUAUAGAAUAAUAAAAUAUUUAUAAUAACUCAAAAAUACAAAAAAAAUGUAUAUAUAUAAUAUAAAAAAUGUGUAUUUUGAAUUGUAAAAUAUGAGAAACAUGUGUGGAUUUUAAAAUGUAUAUGUAUACAUACAUAUAUAUAUGUUUGUAAAAAAAAUAAAAAUUAUGAAGAAUAAUAUAAAAACAUACAUAUACACGUAUUUACAAAAGUAAAAAAAAAUUUGAAGCUGAAAUAUAAAAGUAUAUAUAUAACUGUCAUUGAAGGGCGAUCAGAAGGUAGUAAUUGUAUACACCAAAAAGCAAUUAUUAUCAUCUUCUUUACCAUUACUUUUUCAUCGUCAGAAAUACCUCCGAACUCCAAGUCCUCUCCUUGAUCCAAUUGGUCAUAAAUCCAAGAUGGAAAAUAUAUUUGACUAGUGUGGUCAGCAAAUGCAUUCACAUUCUUUCUCCUUCCAACAAUUUCCAUCAAUACAUUCCAAAACUAUAAACAUCAGCUUUGUAUGAGAUGCCUCAAUGUAAAGCGAUGAUUUUAUAGGUUUCGUGCAAUUCAUAACAUAAAUAAUGCUAACCUCUAACCUUCUAUCAUAAUAAUUACCAUAAGGAUAAAUAUAAGAAUAAGAAAAGAAUCUACAAAAGUAACUAAGAGGAAGGGAGUUGCAAUCAUCCGUGUCCAACAAUCAACCCCUCCCAGAGUAGGCUGUCGAGGAGCCUCCUGCACAUCAUAAAUAGCACGAGUUGUACGCCCCAAAGCAUUUGCCAAGGACCAUCAAGAUGAAGGUCAAUAACAUUUGUGUAAAUUUGGAGUGCUACCUUACAGCCAAAACUAACAGAAUAGUGACUGUUUGGAUUGAAAUGCCAAUUAUGAGUCAGUUCGGAGUCGGAUACAAGCAAAGUAGCAUUCGAAGCAUCCGUUGCGCAUCUUAGGAGAUAGAAGACCUUGAGUUACAUGAUUUCAUUUUGAGUAUUGAAAAUUGAAAAUAGGAUAAGUACCAACCACUAAUAUAUUAUCAGCAAAAUCUCCCAAUUGAAAGAACAAAAGAUGCAUCUAUACUAUGUUUAAAAGUUUAAUAGAGUUUAUGGUUAUCUAUCAAUGAGGUAUCAACUCAAUUGUAAAAUCAUUAAAAUCUUAUUAUUUUUAAAAACAAAAAAAAUUAUAUUGAGAGUAUUUUUAUUUUUUAUUAAACUUUAUAAAAUACAUCAAUUUAAUAGAAUUUGAACCCAAAACAUCAUAAUCCUUGUACAGACCCAAUUUCUGCCCGGCCCACUAACAAAAAGAACCCAAUACCCACAAACCCAAUAACCCACCUAAACACUAACCCAUACCAGCAGACCCAAUUACCAGGCCCAGUGGCCCAAAAUUUUAAAAUCAUUUCAGAAACCCUAAUCCCCUUAACCCUAGCCGCCUCUUCUGAUCUUUCUGCUACUACUGCCGCCAUCACCUACCCUCUGCCACCGCCACUGUUUCGCCCACUUGCACCACCUGCUCCACCUGCAAAACAAAGGAGAACACGCAAACAAAGAAGGACAAAACAGUAGAAACAAUAAUAAAAUAAAUUGUGUAAAAAUGGCUAUAUAAAGGCCAUUCAAACGAAUUGUAAGGGGUUCGGCCCCUCUUUCACUAUUUCAAGAAAUAAAAAGGGCAAAGAAAACGGAUUCAAGAAAUUUUUCUUUUGGUAUAAACUCUAUUUUCUUUUAUUUAUAUUUUUCUCUUUAUUUUUCUUCCAUCCGAAACUGUUUGAUCCUUUAUUCUUAUUUUUAUUUUUCUUUUAUUUUUAAAAACAUAUAUAUAUAAAUAUAAUAUAUAGAUUUUAAAAUAAAAAAUAAUACCUUUUUUGAAUUUUUUGGCCACCAUACACGGUGGCCGGCGCGACGACGGAGCGGCGGCGACGUGGUGGCCAAGUUCGUCGGAUUCUGGGCAGUGCUGGAGAGGGGGAGAGAAUAUUUUUGAGAAGAAGAGUUUUUUUUUUUUAAGGAAAGCUGAAAAUGAUUUUUUUGGGGGGAAACCUUGACUUUUAUAGGCCCCCCAAAACGACGUCGUUUUGGGCAAGCCUCUUAGGUACCAAAACGGCGCCGUUUUAAGGCCGGCCUGAAAACCGACCCGACCCGCCUGAAGGAUCCGCGUGUUUUCGACGGAAGGGAUAAUUGCGUUUUCAGGCCUUCCGCUUUUAAAUAAUUUUGCAAUCAAGUUCUUUCCUUUUUUUAAAAUUCGCCCUAUAUUUUAUUUUCAUUCACAAUCUGGUCCACUUUGAAAUGCAGUGUUUUGGAGGGUGGGGAUUAUUUCCAUUUUGGUCCCCCUCUUUCCGAGCGUGUCACAAUUUAGUCUUUUCAGUCUUUUUUAUUUGAAAUUCGCUCAGUAUUUUUAUUUUUACUUCGAUUUAGUCCCUUUUUUAGUAGUAUUAUUAUUAUUAUUAUUAAUUAUUGCUAGUUUUAUUUUCCUUAAACCUAUUCGUCACUGCUUUGAUUAGUAUGUUAACUUGUUUCAUUAUUAUUAUAGCUUUCUUUUUUAUAAUAUAUGUACAUAUACCUAUGAAUAUUUUAUAUAUAUAUAUGCAUACAUAAUUAUAUACAUAUAUAUACCUUAUAAUAUUAAUGCGUACAUAGUUUUAUUUAUUAAAUAUUUUUAUACUCUAUAUUUUUAUACACUUGUAUAUAUACAAACAUCUAUGUUUCAAUUCAUAUAAAUAUAUGUACGUAUACAUAGUUAUGUGCUUUAUGUACCUAUUAUAAUUUGUUUACAUGUUUAUAUAUAUCUAUACAUAUAUUUUUAUAUUUCGUGAUAGUUAUAUGUACACAUAUACAUGUAAAUACUUAUAUUUUAUGCCUCAUAAUAUAUAUAUUUUCAUAUUUUCAUAUUUUAUGAUUUUCAUCUAUUUUCCUUUAUUGUUAUUGUAAUUUUCAUGUGUAUUUGUUUAUUUAUUUAUAUGUCUAUUUUUUUAUGUUUUAGUUUUUUUUAUUUGUUAUGAUAUAUGCACAAUUAAUUUAGUUUAUUAUUUGUUUUGUUUUUUUUUAUUCACACAAUCAUGUUCAAUAUUUCAUUAUGCAUAUAAAUAUCAUAUUUCAAAAGGAAAAAUAUUUCUAAAUGAGGCAAUGUUUUGCGUUUGGAAGUUCGAGAAAACAUGCCCUAAGGUGCUGGGUGUCGAUUUUUCUUGUUCAACCAAAUAGCUUAAUAUCCUUUUAAAUUUUUAAAAUAAGGCAAUGUUUUGCGUUUGGAAAUUCGAGAAAACAUGCCCUAAGGUGCUGGGUGUUGAUUUUUCUCGUUCAACCAAAUGGCUUAAUAUCCUUUUAAAAUUUUUAAAAUAAGGCAAUGUUUUACGUUUGGAAAUUCGAAAAAACAUGCCCUAAGGUGCUGGGUGUCGAUUUUUCUCGUUCAACCAAAUAGCUAAACAUCCUCUUGAAUUUAAAUUCAUGCCAUUCGAGUUUUUAGGAUCGUAUUUUAAAUUUCUUUGAAGUUUUCAGUUUUUCGACACUAAGACAUUAAGUAAUCAACUAGGUACCAAUUUUGGGCGUAUCGAGGUUGCUAAUCCUUCCUCGUGCGUAAUCGACUCCCGAACCCGUUUUUCUGAAUUUCGUGGACCAAACUUGUUGUUUUAAUAAAAUCAAAUUGUUUAUUAAAAACAACCACUUUUUGAGGUGAUCCGAUCACACCUCAACAAAAAGGAUCGGUGGCGACUCCCGUUUUCGUUCUCAUUUUUCAAAACCCAAGUCGACCCCAUUUUCCAUCCAAAAAAAUGGUGUCAACAGCUUGGCGACUCCACUGGGGACUUUAAAUAAGAGAGUCAAGCCACGAGUUGAUUAUUUCUUGUCUUUUUUGUCGAAAGUUGAAAAUUUGAUUUAAAUAUACGAUCCUCUCAUUGCAUUCCAUUUGUUUUGAGUUAUAGUUUUCAUUAUGUUUUGUAUUUUAAAUUUUUAUAUCUUUCUGCACAUUGCAUUGCAUGACCGUUAGUCACACCUUUUAAGUGGGAGUGAGAAGCUACUCCUUCGUGAGGUUUUCACCUCCGUACAGGAUAGUGGAUCGCUUUCGGGAUACAUCCGUACCUGUGUCUUCGUGAGAUUUUCAUCUCCGUGCAGCCAUAGGGAAAUGUAUUCCCCUGAAUUGAACUCGGUCUGUAUGAGCCUAUAAUGGGUGAAGAUCGAGGAAUAUGCUGGUUCGGGUACCUUAUCUUUAGAACCAACCCACAUAUAGUGGACUUAGGAACUUAACCUAGGUAGAGCCACUCCAAAUCCCUAGUAUUUACCUGAUUAGGUUUUUUUUUUGUUUUCCGUGCUUGCUUAUGUUUUGUUCUAACCCUUCUUGUUGUGUUUUGAUUAUGAUUGCAUUACAUUGCAUUUGCAUCUUAGGAAAGAGAUAUUGAUUCAAGUUCGAUUACUAAAUUAGAAAGCUUGUCAUGGAAUACGGAUUCCUUGAUAAAGUGGAAAACAAUACGACUGCCCGAAUAUAUUCUGAGAAACACAAGAAUGGCGAUGUAAGAGUUUGUGAUCCUACUUCGUGGCCUAAGGAUUCAAGGAAAUUGUCUAAGAGCCUUCAACAUUCCACUCACUUAAAGAAGCUGACGAGCCUUAUGAAGAUGGGCAGAUGAUGGAUCACGACCAAGAUCAAGAAAAUGAGCUAGCAGUGACAUUUAUUGAAAAUUGGCGAGAUUACCUUAAACAUGCGGAUAAAGAAAAAAGGACCGAUGUUUCUUGGAAUAUGACGGUGAGGCCGUACAUAUAUCCGUUUUAUGUAAGGGAAUUUGUUUUCUAGAAAAGUUUCCUAAAUGUAAUUGAAUCAGAAUCAACGUCUCUUUAGGCAUUCAUUUCAUGCAUUUGCAUUACAUUGCAUUACAUGCAUUGAAAGAGUCUAAACGAGUAAAUUUAUUUCAGCUAACCUGGAAAACCAACCAACCAAACAAAGACUAGAGAAAUGGAACGAAGGUUGGAAAAAUUAGAGCGAAUGCAGAUUCAGAUGCAGGAGCAAUUAACUGAAUUUCAACAGGAGACGAGAGAUCAGAUGCUAGAAUUACGGAGAACUAUGAUAAACCAGUUUAACCGAUUGCUAGCUGGAAAGUCAAAAGAAGUGAAAGACCCGGUGGUUUACUUUGGGGUUGAUAAUGAGGAUCUUGUCUAUUCCUUAGAUUGUACUCCGACAAGUGUCCAGGUUCAGCUAGAUGGGCGUCCACAAUGAGCACUUUUUACUGUCGGAUCCCAAUAUUAUCAGACUGGUACAUCGACACCAGUGAAUUGCCUGACAGGCUUAGAAUCCAAUUUGAGGAAUGAUUUAGCUAGUCCUGUUGCUAAUCUAGCCGAAAUAAAGAAGAUGAGGAUAGAAUACCCAGAUACUAAAAAGGCACUAGGGAAGAAGGCGAAUAAAGAGGAUAAUGCAGGCAGAUAUAACAAGGGCCACUCAAAACCAAUCACUACAGGCCGGCCAAAGACAGAAACCACCAGACAUCGGAAUCCUUUAAAGCAAGAAUCUGGAGCGAAACCAGGUACUGAGAAGCUCCAGUUCAUACCAAUUCUGAUGUCAUAUAGUGAGUUAUACCGAAGCUUAUUUGAUGCACGUGUGGUGUCCCCCUUCUACUUAAAACCCAUACAGCCUCCGUAUCCCAAAUGGUAUGACACGAACGUAUAAUGCGACUACCAUGCGAGAAUUACGGGGCAUUCAAUAGAGAACUGCAUUGCCUUUAAGAAACUGGUUGAAAAGCUCAUUAAUAUGGGGGUUGUCAGAUUUGAUGACUCGUCUAGCGCAGAAAAUCUACUACCUAGCCAUAUUGAUAAUGGGGUAGACAUGAAGGUAGGAAGGGGAUCAGUUAUUUCUGAUUCAGGAGGAAAUAAGGGAAAGACACGGAACCAUUGCGAUUUCCAUCAUGAGAGAGGGUUCGAGACCCAAGAGAGUGUGGAAUUCAAGGCCUUGGUUCAGGACAUGAUGGACGAUAAGGGGAUGAAGCUUCGUGAGGAAAUUAAAGAGGAGGAAAACAUACGUUCAAUGUUGGCAAGCGUUCACACCAAUGACAUAUUUGAAGACACGAAUGAAAAGGAACCUUGUUAGAUAUCUGCCCUUAUAAAUCUGGAGUGUUCUAAGCAACUGGGCUGCGAAAAAAAUCCCUUUAGUUUUUAGGGCUUAUCUAGAGUAAUGUUCAGAACAUUUUGUUGUUUUAGCCUAAAGCGAUAUAAAUUCCUUUGUGAAAUAGGUUAAUGUAUGAACGUUAUUAUUCUAAUAAAAUACAUCUUUGCAUUCCUUUUUGAGCUAAUAUUCUUUCAUUUAUUUUGAAUAAUUAUUUCUGAUUCUUUCAUUCUUUUGAAUUUUCUUCCAAACCAUCAUUCAUUCAUUCAUUCAUAAUUAUAUGAUACAAAUAAUUAUUCAUGAAUCUAUACAUUCUUUUGUAUAUUCUUUGGUACUUGCUAUGGGUCCCCGGAUAUCAAUUACGUGAAUGACUGCUACAGACCCAGAUUUUCCUUUUGAGUGAGGCAUGUGUUCAGAGGGAUCUCAAUGCUUUGAAAAUGAUAAAGAUUGUAGUUUAUCUCCUAACUUGUUAAGGAUGGUUGAACAAGAGGAUAGACAGAUCCUACCUCACAAGGAAUCAUCAGAAAUUGUGAGCUUAGCGAGGAUUAGAAUUGACCUGAUCGCAGAGACGAAGCAACACCUUGUUGAGGCACCUCUAGAUUUCGAAGAGAUCUUUGUAGGAUCAUACCAGGAUAUGCCUGGGUUAAAUGCCGAUAAUGAAAUCUGCACAACAGCACGAUGUCAGAAAUUUACAGUAUGAAUGAUGUAAUUCUUUACCGGGGCAAUGUCUUUCUCGUGGAGUCAGCAUAGUUUUGCCCAUUUGAAGUUGAAUUUCCGUCUCUUCAAGUUGUUGUUGGGUCCAUCCUGAUUAAAGAGGAAGAUCCAAAGUUUUUUGUCGAAGUUGCAUCCCAAAAGGCUCAGAUCAAAAAAGUGAAGAAAAAGAAAAAUCAAAAUCAAAGUCAAAAUGAAAAUGAAAAUGAAAAUGAAAAUGAAAAUGAAAAUGAAAAAAUCAAAAAUCAAAAUAAAAAAAACAAAAAGAAGAAAGAAGAAAAAAAUCAAAAUCAAGAUCAAAAUAAAAAUGAGAAAAAGAAAGAAGAAUGAAAAAGGAGAAAUCUAGAUGAAAAAAUCAGAAUGAAAAAGAAAAGAAAAAAGAAAAGGAGAGGCUAAAGCGAAAACUCGCAAAGGGCGCUUUGUGACCAAAUGAGGUUUUGAAUUGAAAACCCGAAAAGGGCGACUCAAAUUUCGAGCACAAUGAGGCAUGAACAUCACCAUUAUCAGAGACUUCUAAUGGGCAUUGCUUCAUUUUGAGAGGCUACUUCAUGAGCCAAAGUCAUCGUAUACCGAUACAGAAUUUCAGAGAAGAGGUUAUUGGAGAAUGCAUUGAGCUUAAACAAUAGCACGAUCGCUGAGGUCUCAAAUUAACUCAGAAGUGGACACCACGAUUCGUCACUGAAUUGCCUAGAAUUGAACAUCGAAAAUUGAAGGAAAAUGACUGAGACUUAGGGUCUGUUUGAUUGCCAGUAAAAUGUUUUCCGUAAAAUGAUUUCUGGAAAAUGGUUUACUUUUCUGUAAAAUGAUUUACUGGAAAAUAUUUUCUGGUGUUUGACUGAAUCUGUGUAAAAUAUUUUUUGCUGUUUGGCAGAUUUUCUGAAAAUAUUUUCGAAAAAGUUGUUUUUACAUAUAUUAAUAUAUAUUAAUAAUUUUUUAUAUUUUAAAUUAUUUUUACAUAUAUUGCAAUGAUUUAUUUAUAAUAAUACUCAAUUAUUAAGCUACAAUAUUAGUCGUUAUAAAUUGAAAAAAACUAAUAUCAAAUAAAUUAUUUGUAAUUGUGUUAAAAAAACAAGUAUUGAAUAAUUAAAAAAACAAGUUAUUGGAAAAUCGAUAAACAGAAGCAGUUUUCUACCGGAAAUGAAGGAAGGAAUGAAGGAAGCGAUAAAGAGGAGAGCACGGAAAAUGUCUUACGGAAAUUGAAAGGGUAAGACAUUUUCCCUAAAAUGUAACCCAUUUUCCCUUGUUUUGGAGUUCAUUUUCCAAAUGGAAAAUGUUUUCCGCCAAUCAAACGCUGAAAAAGUUGAAAAUGAUUUUCCGGAAAAUCAAUUCCGUCAAUCAAACAGACCCUUACAAGGAUUGGCAUGAGAAAUUACUAUUUGCCUUCCUUGCUUGUCGAACAUCUGUACCGGGGCAAUACCUUUCUCUUUGGUUUGCGGGGUUUAGGUAGUUUUACCUAUUGAAAUCCUUUCUCUCCAGGUAUUAUUUGAGCUAGAAUUGGAUGAAGCAGAAUGGAUCCAAUCGCGAUGAGAUCAGUUGAACCUAGAAAAAAGGUUAAAAGCUAUUCUUCAGGGUCGGAUGUACCGGAAACAAGUGAUACGAGCCCAUAAUGAACAGUGUCAUAUCAGAGAAUUCCACGAGAGGGUUGGAUGUCGAAAAAGAUCAUUCCUCUCUAAAAAUGAUUCCAGAGGGAAAUAAAUGCCAAACCGGGAAUGUCCCUACGUUGUAAAGAAGACAUUCUUCAGAAGAGCACUGAUCUUGAGUAAGAUUGCUAGUCCUAUAAACUCGGAUCCAGUCAAGAAAUACUUCGUUUAAAGAAUGAGGAAGGACCAAGGUGAAAACCCGCAAAGGGCACUCUAAGUCAAAAAAAAUGAAAUGAAAAAUGAGAAUGAAAAAUAAAAAAUAAAAAAUAGAGAGGCUAAGGGGAAAACCCGGAAAGGGCGCCUUAGGCCAAAGGGGAUUUGAGUUGAAAACCUGAAAAUGGCGGCUCAAAUAUUUGUUCAGAAUGGGGCAUGAGGCGAUCAGAGCGAUUCGAAUUUUGAUCAUAUUGGGGCAUGUGGUGAUCUUGCUAUGCCUGAAUCAACAGGAAAGGAUAGACGACAUCUUGGGGCAUCGACAGAGCACUGUAGAUCUCCUAAACACAUGUCCAACUCAAAAUGGUCUUCAGAAAGUUUGUACAGAGAAGUUCAAGUAGCGAUAUCUGGAGCACCCAAUCCUCACAUUAUUUGUUAUUCUUGGAAUAUUUUUUCUUUCCAAGAUAUACAUCCCCAAUUAAUUUCUUCGUCAUCCUUCUUUACAAUUUUUGGUAAUUUAUUCCUUUUGAGCUAUGCUCAGAAUCAAUUUUAUUCUUAUCCAUUGUUAUGACCCUUUUUGCAAAGCAUGUUGCAUUAGAAUAAUGAUUAAUGGACUAAUAAUACUUUCACAAUGGAAGUUUUGCAUAUUACUCUAGAAGUUUCUAAAUAAUAUAGGAGCCUAAAGCAGUACUAUUGUUUAGAACACACCAAUUUUUAAAGGUUGGAAAUUUGAGAAGGAAUAGUCUAAAUUUAGACUUUCUCUUUGGAUUUUUGUUUUCAAGUGCACUGAAUGAACAAAAUGACAAGAUGCCAUGUCAAUGGCAAAGCUUAAACGAACAAACAAGCAAUGAUCAUCAGGCAAUAGGAAGAGGUUACCUCGGAGAAGAGAGCCUUCAUUUGUGCAUGAGCAUUUGGUAUGACACCUUGGGGAUGAGGUAAAGGACCAAAGAGUUUCACAUUCAAUAUCAUUGAAUUGCGAUAGGAGAAGAUUGAGAAAGGCCAUACAUUUCUACCCUUUGGUUAUAGUGGGAGAUUGAUGGUGCAAAUUUUAUGUCCCAGUGGAUUGAACUUUGACGUUCAUAGUGGGGGGCAAUCAGAUUAAGUGAUCCUUUGGAUAUGCUAGCCGAGCAAGAAGGUGGUAUAGCACGUCAGUAAUAAAGCCUUAAUAUGCUUUUGUGUGAUGAUAACCUAAGCAUUAAGGAAUCAUUUUCAUGACAUUUUGCAUGUCAUUCAUACACAUCUAGUUAGGAGCAUUUGAUUCGUUCUGAUCAUGUCAUCCUAAUCUCUAGGCACAAUUAGGUUCAUAAAAUAGAACAUACAGGUCAUGUUCCCUAGAGAACAAAUCAGUGAACAUCGAAAACAAAGCCUUGCCUUCAUUGGUUACAGUGAAGCUGGUUAAAGAAGCAGAUCUUGCCUUCCAGCAUUAACAGCGAAGCAGAUCGAAAACAAAUCAUUGCCUUCAUUGGUUACAGUGGAGCUGGUUAAAGAAGCAGAUCUUGCCUUCCUGCGUUAACAACGAAGCAGAUCGAAAACAAUCCUUGCUUCAUUGGUUACAGUGGAGCUGGUUAAAGAAGCAGAUCUUGCCUUCCUACGUUAACAACGAAGCAGAUCGAAAACAAGCCUUGCCUUCAUUGGUUGCAGUGGAGCUGGUUAAAGAAGCAGAUCUUAUCUUCCUACAUUGACAGCGAAGUAGAUCGAGGACACAAGCCUUGCCUCCCUUAGUUGUAGGGGAGCAGAUCAAAGACAGCAAAUCUUAUCUUCAAGUGUAAGGAAGCGGAUUUAAGCCACAAGUCCUAUGUCCCUGACCAGCAGUGGAAUAGGUUGGAAAUUUCAGAUCUUAUCUCCCUGAGGUUACAGCGGAGCAGAUCGAAGACAUAAUCCUAUCUCCCUGAAGUUACAGUGGAGCGGAUUAAAAUAAAGGAUCUUAUCUCUCUGAAGUUACAGUAGAGUAGAUCGCAUCAGGUCUUAUUUCCCUGAGGUUACAGCGGAGUAGACCGAAAAAUUUCAGAUCUUAUCUCCCUGAGGUUACAGCGGAGCAGAUCGAAGACAUAAUCCUAUCUCCCUGAAGUUACAGUGGAGCGGAUUAAAAUAAAGGAUCUUAUCUCUCUGAAGUUACAGUAGAGUAGAUCGCAUCAGGUCUUAUCUCCUUGAGGUUACAGCGAAGUAGACCGAAGAAUUGCAGAUCUUAUCUCCCUGAGGUUACAGCGGAGCAGAUCGAAGAUAUAAUCCUAUCUCCCUGAAGUUACAGUGGAGCGGAUUAAAAUAAAGGAUCUUAUCUCUCUGAAGUUACAGUAGAGUAGAUCGCAUCAGGUAUUAUUUCCCUGAGGUUACAGCGGAGUAGACCGAAGAAUUGCAGAUCUUAUCUCCCUGAGGUUACAGCAGAGCAGAUUAAAGACAUAAUCCUAUCUCCCUAAAGUUACAGUGGAGCGGAUUAAAAUAAAGGAUCUUAUCUCUCUGAAGUUACAGUAGAGUAGAUCGCAUCAGGUCUUAUUUCCCUGAGGUUACAGCGGAGUAGACUGGAGAAUUGCAGAUCUUAUCUCCCUGAGGUUACAGCGGAGCAGAUUAAAGACAUAAUCCUAUCUCCCUGAAGUUACAGUGGAGCGGAUUAAAAUAAAGGAUCUUAUCUCUCUGAAGUUACAGUAGAGUAGAUCGCAUCAGGUCUUAUUUUCCUGAGGUUACAGCGGAGUAGACCGAAGAAUUGCAGAUCUUAUCUCCCUGAGGUUACAGCGGAGCAGAUUAAAGACAUAAUCCUAUCUCCCUGAAGUUACAGUGGAGCGGAUUAAAAUAAAGAAUCUUAUCUCUCUGAAGUGGCAGUAGAGUAGAUUACGUCCAAGUCAAAUCUCCCUGAAGUUGCAGUGGAGUAAGUUAAAAUCCCAAACCUCACCCCCUGAAGGUACAACAGAGUGGAUUGAAGCUACAAGUCUUGUCUUUUUGAAGUUGCAGCGGAAUGGAUAGAAGCAACAAUGUACAGUGGACUGGAGUGAAGCUACUUGAAGAGAAGCGUCAAGAGAAGUCAAGACUCGGCGAAACCGGGCAAAAAAUUGGUCUUUCUUAGUCUUUGCUCUGUUAUCGUUACACGACAAUGAGCAAAGAGGGGCAGCUGUACAAACCCAAUUUCUGCCCGGCCCACUAACAAAAAGAACCCAAUACCCACAAACCCAAUAACCCACCUAAACACUAACCCAUACCAGCAGACCCAAUUACAAGGCCCAGUGGCCCAAAAUUUUAAAAUCAUUUCAGAAACCCUAAUCCCCCUAACCCUAGCCGCCUCUUCUGAUCUUUCUGCUACUACUGCCGCCAUCACCUACCCUCUGCCACCGCCACUGUUUCGCCCACUUGCACCACUUGCUCCACCUGCAAAACAAAGGAGAACACGCAAGCAAAGAAGGACAAAACAGUAGAAACAAUAAUAAAAUAAAUUGUGUAAAAAUGGCUAUAUAAAGGCCAUUCAAAUGAAUUGUAAGGGGUUCGGCCCCUCUUUCACUAUUUCAAGAAAUAAAAAGGGCAAAGAAAACGGAUUCAAGAAAUUUUUCUUUUGGUAUAAACUCUAUUUUCUUUUAUUUAUAUUUUUCUCUUUAUUUUUCUUCCAUCCGAAACUGUUUGAUCCUUUAUUCUUAUUUUUAUUUUUCUUUUAUUUUUAAAAACAUAUAUAUAUAAAUAUAAUAUAUAGAUUUUAAAAUAAAAAAUAAUACCUUUUUUGAAUUUUCCGGCCACCGUACACGGUGGCCGGCGCGACGACGGAGCGGCGGUGACGUGGUGGCCAAGUUCGUCGGAUUCUGGGCAGUGCUGGAGAGGGGGAGAGAAUAUUUUUGAGAAGAAGAGUUUUUUUUUUUAAUGAAAGCUGAAAAUGAUUUUUUUUGGGGGAAACCUUGACUUUUAUAGGCCCCCCAAAACGACGUCGUUUUGGGAAAGCCUCUUAGGUACCAAAACGGUGCCGUUUUAAGGCCGGCCCGAAAACCGACCCGACCCGCCUGAAGGAUCCGCGUGUUUUUGACGAAAGGGAUAAUUGCGUUUUCAGGCCUUCCGCUUUUAAAUAAUUUUGCAAUCAAGUUCUUUCCUUUUUUUAAAAUUCGCCCUAUAUUUUAUUUUCAUUCACAAUCUGGUCCACUUUGAAAUGCAGUGUUUUGGAGGGUGGGAUUAUUUCCAUUUUGGUCCCCCUCUUUCCGCGCGUGUCACAAUUUAGUCUUUUCAGUCUUUUUUAUUUGAAAUUCGCUCAGUAUUUUUAUUUUUACUUCGAUUUAGUCCCUUUUUUAGUAUUAUUAUUAUUAUUAUUAAUUAUUGCUAGUUUUAUUUUCCUUAAACCUAUUCGUCACUGCUUUGAUUAGUAUGUUAACUUGUUUCAUUAUUAUUAUAGCUUUCUUUUUUAUAAUAUAUGUACAUAUACCUAUGAAUAUUUUAUAUAUAUAUAUGCAUACAUAAUUAUAUACAUAUAUAUACCUUAUAAUAUUAAUGCGUACAUAGUUUUAUUUAUUAAAUAUUUUUAUACUCUAUAUUUUUAUACACUUGUAUAUAUACAAACAUCUAUGUUUCAAUUCAUAUAAAUAUAUGUACGUAUACAUAGUUAUGUGCUUUAUGUACCUAUUAUAAUUUGUUUACAUGUUUAUAUAUAUCUAUACAUAUAUUUUUAUAUUUCGUGAUAGUUAUAUGUACACAUAUACAUGUAAAUACUUAUAUUUUAUGCCUCAUAAUAUAUAUAUUUUCAUAUUUUCAUAUUUUAUGAUUUUCAUCUAUUUUCCUUUAUUGUUAUUGUAAUUUUCAUGUGUAUUUGUUUAUUUAUUUAUAUGUCUAUUUUUUUAUGUUUUAGUUUUUUUUAUUUGUUAUGAUAUAUGCACAAUUAAUUUAGUUUAUUAUUUGUUUUGUUUUUUUUUAUUCACACAAUCAUGUUCAAUAUUUCAUUAUGCAUAUAAAUAUCAUAUUUCAAAAGGAAAAAUAUUUCUAAAUGAGGCAAUGUUUUGCGUUUGGAAGUUCGAGAAAACAUGCCCUAAGGUGCUGGGUGUCGAUUUUUCUCGUUCAACCAAAUAGCUUAAUAUCCUUUUAAAUUUUUAAAAUAAGGCAAUGUUUUGCGUUUGGAAAUUCGAGAAAACAUGCCCUAAGGUGCUGGGUGUUGAUUUUUCUCGUUCAACCAAAUGGCUUAAUAUCCUUUUAAAAUUUUUAAAAUAAGGCAAUGUUUUAUGUUUGGAAAUUCGAAAAAACAUGCCCUAAGGUGCUGGGUGUCGAUUUUUCUCGUUCAACCAAAUAGCUAAACAUCCUCUUGAAUUUAAAUUCAUGCCAUUCGAGUUUUUAGGAUCGUAUUUUAAAUUUCUUUGAAGUUUUCAGUUUUUCGACACUAAGACAUUAAGUAAUCAACUAGGUACCAAUUUUGGGCGUAUCGAGGGUGCUAAUCCUUCCUCGUGCGUAAUCGACUCCCGAACCCGUUUUUCUGAAUUUCGUGGACCAAACUUGUUGUUUUAAUAAAAUCAAAUCGUUUAUUAAAAACAACCACUUUUUGAGGUGAUCCGAUCACACCUCAUCAAAAAGGAUCGGUGGCGACUCCCGUUUUCGUUCUCAUUUUUCAAAACCCAAGUCGACCCCGUUUUCCAUCCAAAAAAAUGGUGUCAACAAUCCUUAUUACCUAAAUUUUACCAUACCAAACAAAGCCACAUUUAGCUUUUAUAUCAUUUUUUAAAUAAUCUAAUAUAUCUUUAUUUAAUAAGUAAUAAUCCCAUAUGCAUUAGAGAGAGUAUUAAGUUGAGUUAUUAAAUUUAGGGUUUGUUAUAUUCUAACGGGUUAUUUUCAAUUCCAUUGAAAUGAUUUAUAGGUGAUAACUUUUACAAUUUAAUACGAUUAAUUUUAUUAUAUUACAAUGAAAAACAAAAGAAAAAGAAGAAUUUAAUAUGGUUCAAAGUUUUUAAAUAAAUCUGGACCAUAUACUUGUAGACAAACCUUUACCAUUAAUCUAUUCCAACUUCAAUGAGAACGACCAAGACAAUGCAAGUCUCAAUAGUCCUGUUUGAAACGCAAAAGCAUUCAAGUGGUUGAGAGCAGCAAGCCUGAUCCCUUUUGUCCUUUUGUGUUAUGUAAGUCAAUUGUAGAGAACGAUUGUUGGAAAUUUCUAAAACGUAAGUUAAUAGUUAGAACCCUUGAGCAACGCACAUUCCACCCCAACCCAUGCAUAACGUUAGACGAGACUCAAUGUCUCAUUGUAUACAUUUUUAAUUUUAUUCAACAACUACAUAAGUAUAUUUUUAAAUGAUUUUUAAUAUAAUUACAUGUAUUUUCAUCUAUUUUAUAUGAAUUUAAAAUAUUACAAAUUAAAUAUAAUUAAUAUAAGAUAUAAGUUCUAUUUAAUUAAAUUCAAAUUCAAAUUCAAAUUCAAAUUUUAAAUUAUCCAAUAAUAUAAAUAGUAGACAUAAAUUUAAAGAAAAAAAUUGGGGUUUAGUUGAGAAAUUACCUCUCAAAUUCAACUAAAAUAAAUAAAGAGAGUUUAACUGGAAAAUUACCUUUCAAAUUUAACUGAAAUAUGAAACAUACUCAAUAAUAAGGGUAUCAAUUCAAAGGUAUAAAGCUACAUAAAUUCUUAGUUAUGCCUUUGAAAUAUUUUCACAAAGGCAUGUGCAAAACUUUUUGAUUCUAAGCAAAUUCAUUGUCUCAAUAUUACUUAUUUAAAAUCAAAUCCACAUUUAUUUUUAAACAAAAUCCAACAAUGUAUUUGGCUCAUCCAACAAUUUAUUUUUAAAUGGCAUUUAUUUAAAAAGAACCAAAUGAGAAUUAUUAUACAACUUUAUAAAGUCGAUGACACAUCCAACAUUAAAAGCACAAAGAAACUAGAUUGGCCAACAACAAAACAAUAAUGCCAACAUUCUCAAAUACCGCAACAAAUUUGUUCUAAAAACAAAAGAUAGCGCAUCGCACUUAGAGCGUAGAAAUACUUGAAUUCAAUCAUUGUAACAACGAAAAAGGAAACAAGACAUCCAACAUCCUCAUCACAAUGGAUUCGCCUCUCACCCGCCAACAACGUCUGCAAUGCAAUAAAACAAGAAGAGGCUAUUGUGGUAGCAACUCUUAUAAAUAUUCCAAAAUUAACUUUUAGAUGCAUCAGGUCUUAAUCUAAGGUAAAGGGUUUAUCCAAACAUGAAAAAUCUAACCAACUCAAUUCAAUUCAACCUAACCUCAACCUAUCUAUAUAGUUUACUUUUAAUUUAUAUAUAAUUUCUUUUAUGAUUUAAAUUUAAAUAUUUUUUAACAAAAAUUUUAAAUACUUAAUAUUGAACAAAUAGUCAUAUUAAUGAAAAUUUGUAAUUAUGAUCAAUAACUUAACACAUAGGUAAAAGUGUUUUUUUUUUUACUUAAUAAUAUUAUUAGCAAUAGUACGUUAUUAAUUGUAUAUGAAAAUAAUGAAGCUUAAAAAUUAAAAUUUAAAGACAAUGCCAUUGUCAAAUUUACUCAAAAUUUAUUUUUAACUAUAGUUAUCCAUGUACAUAUGUGACACACAUAAUAAGAUGCUAAUAUAUAUAAGGCAAAAUAUUAUAAAGUUAAAUGGUGAGAUAAUAAAGUGAAAUGUUUCUAACCUUAUGCAAUAUUUGAACUUGUUAUAGUAACAGUAUCCAAUGAUGUACUUGGCUCAUCAUUAGAGUUCUCACAGCUAUGAAUCUCCAUUGAUGUUUCAAGCGGAAGUUGAUGGAAUGGCUUAGGAGGCAUAUCAAGGAGUUCAACAUCAGAUUCAAGCAUCUUCAAAACUUUACUCAUUGAAGGACGAUCAAAAGGCAGUAAUUGUAUACACCAAAAGGCUGUUAUUACCAUUUUCUUUACCAUUGCUUUUUCAUCGUCAGAAACAUCUCCCAACUCCAAGUCCUCUCCUUGAUCUAAUCGGUCAUAAAUCCAAGAUGGAAAAUAGAUCUGACUAGUGUGGUCAGCAAAUGCAUUCACAUUCUUUCUCCUUCCAACCAUUUCCAUCAGUAACAUUCCAAAACUAUAAACAUCAGCUUUGUAUGAGAUGCCUCCAAGAUUUUUGUAAACCAAUUCUGGAGCAAUAUAUCCUAUCGUUCCUCGUGCCGCAGUGAGAGAGACAAUGCUAUCAUCUACUGAAUACAAUUUAGCAAGACCAAAAUCGGAAACUUUUGGAUUAAAAUUCUCAUCAAGAAGAAUAUUGUGUGGCUUGAUAUCAAAAUGUAGAAUUUGCAUGUCACAUCCUUGAUGUAAGUAGUGAAUUCCUUGAGCCACCCCAAGUACAAUAUCAAACAUUUUUUUCCAGCCCAAAGUGUUCUUAUUUUCUUCUGUAAAUAUGAUUUUAUCUAAAGAUCCAUUAGACAUGAAGUCAUAUACUAGAGCUUGCUUUGAUCCCUCCACACAAAAUCCGAUAAGUUUUGCCACAUUAGCAUGAUGAAUUGUCCCAAUGGAAGCAACUUCGUUUAUGAAAUCUUGGCCAUUACCUUUUGAUUUGCCCAACAAUUUUAUUGCCACAUGAUGGCCGCUACGAAGCUUUCCUUUAAACACUGAGCCAUAACCCCCUUCACCUAAUUUAUCUUUAAAAUUUUUAGUCAUUUUUUUAAUUUCUUUAAAAGAAUACCUUAAUGGCACUAGAUUAUUUUGGCUUUUAAGGAACUCUUCGAUCAUAUCAUCCAUGGAUAAAUGUCUUCUCCUCCAUUUGUACGUGACAAAAGCAAGCAAACAAAUGAUCCCAGGAAAUGACCUCAAGAUAACUCCACCUUUAAAGAAAUACAAUGUAACAUGUUGAAAUUAAUCACAUAAUAUAUAACUUACAUUCUCAGAAAAAAGGAUAUAGUGUGAUAGUUUUAUGUUAACUAGUAUUUGAGAGAGUGGCAUAUUUCACUAGUCUAUGGACUUAACCGAGAGUAGUCUGAAUUAUAUGCAUUGUUUUUGUCAUUAGCAGGUAUAUCUCAACAAAUUAAAAUUCAGAAUUUGAAACACAAAAGGAGUAAAUCAUGCAAAGUGGAUGCCAAUUAUUCUAACCUCACACAUUCCAAUAGAUUUGACAGGGUCAUGACAUUCACCCAAAUUAACACAUUCGUAACCCCAUCCAAUUAGCAAAUUCUAAAGAAAGAACAUGAUUCUUAACCAUGAAGGAUACUCAACUGUUGUUUCUAUUCAUGCCAAAUAAAAUUGAAGAAGGACAAAUUAAAAAUAUAAUAACCUUCAAAUUUCAUAAAUGAAACAAAAUCUAGAACCACCAAAAGAUGCAAGAGAACCCCCCAAAAAACAGAUUUGAUAAAUUCAAGAGCUAACUUUGUUGAAUGUUUUAGCAAAAUGAAUAUCCACCAAACUUAUAACCUGUGAAAGUUCUAAACAAUACCAUUAUGAAAACAAGCUUAACUAAAACUCUAACAUCUUUCUUAACUUGACAAAAAAUUUCUUUCAUAUAGAAGAAGAUUGUAUUCUGCAUUCAAACUCCGUAAAGAGUGUCAUAGCUUUCUUAGUUUUGUAGUGAAAUUAAAUAUAAACUUGUAUAAUAUGAUAGGCUCCUUAUUCUUUUUUUCCCCCAGAAUAUAGCUAAUAUUUGUUCUCAACUAGUGCAAAUGCAAAUCUGCAAAUCUAAAAUUAAAUAUACCUGUUAUUAGCAAACAGAGACGAUAAGCUCCGAAGAAUCUGGAUUAUAUAUUCAACAAAUCAAAGUAAAAUUAAUAAAGGGGUGUAAAGAAAAAUUCCAAAUUUGUAUAAAAAAAUCAAUGGAAGGUAAUUUAAAAAAUUAUAUUAUGUUUUGUGGUAUAUACUCAAAAAAGAAAUACAACAAUUCUUUACAUAUGUUUGCUUGUAAAAAGUAUGCAACAUGUGUUACAGUAUAAGAGUUUUUAGGUAACUAAUAUGAUUUAAUAUAAUGAAAGGUGAGACAAAAUUUAUUCAAAUUAAUUAAUCCAAAAAGUAUAUAUUAUAGCAUUAAAAGAGUUUUUGCCAAAAAAAAUAAACUCAUCCACAAUGGUGGAAUAUUUACGUACUACCAACUAAAUUGAAAAUUCAUCAAAAAUAAAGACAAAAUAAAAAGAUAGACAUAAUCAAAUAUAAUUGUCCAAAAAGAAGACAAAACAGCAGAGAAAGCAGAGGCAGAUACUAAAUUAGAAAUGCUUUUAGUUCAUUUGAUUGUUAGAUGUUGAUCAAUUUUAGAUGCAAAAUCAUCAUACUUAAUUACCAUCAUAAUAUUUAAUUGUGAUAAAUGUAACAUAAAAUAAAACAAAACAAAAAGUAGAUGUUGUAACUAAAAAUUCCAGUAUGAUUCACACUCAAAAUGCAAACUUAAAUUAUUAAAGAAACUUACAUAUCUUUAAACCAAACUUUGUUUUUAUUGUAGUAGCUACUCUCGCUAUCCCAUCAACUCCAUUGGACCCAAAAACCCUCCAAUAAUUUUUUGUAUAUAUCCAGCGUAGACAUGCCUAUUAUAUUAUCAAUCAUAAUUGGAACCUCCGCUUUGAUAGUGCAAGCUUGAUUGAUAUCAGAUGGGUGGGUGUUUCCAUUUAAAAAAUAGAAAUAGAAAGUUGGAAGGGAAGAGGAGGUAUUAGAUUUAAUCGUACAACAAGAAGCCUCAAUAAAAAGUGAUGAUUUUAUAGGUUUCGUGCAAUUCAUAACAUAAAUAAUGUUAAAAUUAUAAGAAAAAUAAUAAUGAUAAUUAGAAAAAAGGUAAAAAUAUGGUUUAAAAUAAGGAUAAGUAUCAUAAUAAUCAGGAUAUACAGAAGUAAGAGGAAGGGAGUUGCAAUCAUCCGUGUCCAAGCUUGCAUCCACCAUUCGUAUUGUAUAAUUUUCGUAAAAGAUUUGUUGGACAGAUAAUUUCCCUCCUCUCCCAACCAAAGUGGUGCGAUUAUUGUUCUCACACUCAAGUUCCAUGACAGGAGAACCACAGUGGGGAGGUUGGUUUUUUAAUCGGAAUGGAAAACUGAUAUUCAAAUUCCCACAGAAAGUAGAGCCGCAGUCUUGGUUAAUAAGACUCCUAGCAAAACAAACAGCAGGAAAUAGAAUUACAAAUAAAGCAACAGAGGGCAUUAGGUGACCCAACAAUGGCAGUUUUGCUUUUAAUUUUGGCAUGCUAAAAUUUUGGGUAAGGAAGAAGAACAGUAAUGGGGGGUUAAUGAUUAAGUUUCUAACUAAACCAGGGAAAUAUAUAAGAAAGCUUCAGUGGGAGAAGAAGCAUUAAUGGGGACACAAGACUUUGACUACUCUUCAGCUUUAUUUGGGAUGAAUAUUUUAUUUUCAAUAAAUUGUUUACACCUUUUAUUCUUUAAUCUUUUUUCUGGGAAGAGCCAUGGUUAUCACAAGCAAAAGAAAAAGGAAUUUUAAUAUUAUUCAAAAAAAAAAAAAAUUGGACCAUAUGCUUGUAGUCGUAGAUCAACGUUUAUGACCUUAAUAAAUUCCAAUUACAAUGAGGAGGACCAAGACAAUGCAAGUCUUUAGUCUUCUUUGAAACACAAAAACAUUUGUUGCAUCUUUUGUAACUAUUUGUUGCAUCAUUCUAAAAAGUAAGUUAAUAGUUAGAAGUGUCAAGCAAGGCGACUCAAUGCCCAAUUGUAUAGAUUCUUUUUAUUUUAUUCCACGAAUACUUCACUACUUUUCAAAUAAUUACAUGAAUUUAAAAUAAAACAAAUUAAAUAUAAGAUAUAAUUUCUAUUUAUUUAAGUUUAAAUUCAAAACUAAAUUCUAUUUCUAAAUUUUAAUUAUCCAAAAUUAAUUUAAAAACUUAAAUUUAAAAAUACAUUAAGAGACUUCAAAUUCCGUUUUAUUUUAAAUGAAAUCGGUUUAGUAAAGAGGUGACUAUGGAUCAAGUCAAGCCGAAUCGAAGUUCAGUUUCAAAAAAUUCCAAGUCCUAGAGCCUAUUUUUGAUCCAACUCACCCAAAAGCUCGUUUUCUAUUUGAAAAUAUUAAAAAUAUUUUUAAUUGAUAUUUUACAUAUUUUUAUAAUUAAAUUUAAAUUUUAAUAAAAAUUAUUAUUUAAAUUAAACUAUAAAAAUAUUUAUCCAAAUCUGACCCAAAUCGAAUUAGGCCGGGUGGGCGAUCCGAUCAUGACAGGAAAGGAGAAACAAGAAAGACGAAGCCUAAACAGGCAGUAAAUUCAUUUUAAUUCUACAUACAUUCCAUAUUAUUAUUUAGGGAUAAUAUAGUUUUUGACCCUAAUCUUGAUAGUUAAGUGGACUUUAGUACAUAUAUCUUUUUUGUUCUACUUUGACACUCGAACUUCAAAUAUUUUGGUUCCUAAACUUGAAAAAUAUAAAAGUUUUAUGAUGCAACUCUGUAAGAUUGUGUUACAUCAUCACUUAAAAAUUAAAAAAAUAUAUAAAUAUUUUUAAUUAAUAUUUUAUAUAUCUCUAUAAUUAAAUUUAAAUUUAAAAAAUAUUUUUUAUUAUUUAAAUUCAACUCAGAUUAAAUCAAAAUAAAAUGUAAAAAUACUUAUUCAAAUCUGACCCAAAUUGAGUUGGGCCGGGCAGGCUACCCAGUCAUCUCAAGUCUACUUUAGCACAGGUAAGUAAAGUUGAAUCAUUAGAUUGGGAUAUAUGUGUGCUUCGGGUAAAUACUUAUUUGGGCUGAAUUAUUUGGACUUCAAUUAUGAAUUUAAUUUUUUACUAAUAUGUGUGAGAAGCCCAUUCUUUUAUGAAUUUUGGGCCACUUCGGUUUCGUCUUCAGGAAUUAAACAUUCAUAAAAAUCUAAAAAAAUUUAUUAAAUUAUUAUUUAUUAAUUAAACCAGUUGAUUAUUCAAUCGGUUUGACCACUAGUUCUUGAUUCAACUCAUUUGAUCGGUUCAACUACCCAACUAACAAUAAUUAAAUGAAUGAUUCAACAUCCAUAAAAAUCUAAAAAAGAAUAUUAAAUCGAUUACAUAUGUUCAAUAGCCAAGUUUUUUUUUUACUAAUUUCAAACAAUUUUUUUAAUUUAAUUGAUUCAACCAUUUUGUUCAAACUAGGGUGUUCGCAAAAGUCUCGACUCUCCUAAAAUGGAAAAGUUUUUAUUUAAGUCAUUUAAAAUUUUUAAAAUUUUAAAUUAAUAAAGGUAAAUUACACUUUGGCCCCAUAAAAAUAUAAAAAUUUGAUUUAAUCCUUUAAAAAUUAUAAAGAUAUAGGCUAUUAAAAUGGUGAAAUUAUAUUUUUACUUCGUAAAAAUUACAAUUUAAUUUCGACUCCCUUUUUUUUUUUUGAUUUCGCCCCUAAUUCAAACCAUUAUACCGGUUGGUUCUUAGUCCAAUCAAUCCAACCAACCAAUCCACUACUAUUUCAGUAAAAUUGGUCAUAUCAUCAAAUCUUGAUAGAAUCCAAAUUUAAAGGACCAAAAUAGAUCUAAUUGUCAAACUCAAAUACCAAAAUGGAUCUAACUUAAAAGCAAUAUUGAAACAUGUCUUUCUUGUUUUCUCCGUCUCUUAAAACCCCCUGACCUUUGUUUUUUUUUUUUUUUAGUCUUUGAGUUCCUUAGAGAGUUGGUUCAUAUUUUAGGAUAUUGUUUCAUGCUUUUGGCUUGCGAGUUCUUUGUAUUGUAAUGGUAUUUUUUGUAUUAGUGUGAGGAGUAUUGUGGUGUUAUUUUGCUAUCCAUUGAUUCGUUUUGGGUGAAGGUUUUAUUUUGAGCCUUUGUGUUUGUAUGGGAUACCUUAUCUUCGAGUUCUGGGUUUUUCUUUAAUAUAUUUCUAUCGGUUCGAAAAAGAUGGAAGUCUAGAUUUGAUUUGGAGAUAAAAUUGUGUUUUAAUUUUUGUGUACUUUCCUGAUUUUUCUAAAUAAUAUUUUUUUCUGCUUCAAUCCAACUACAAUACUUGCAUUAUAAACAACUAUUUCAUUGAAUUUCUUUUUUAUUUUAAAAAUACUUUUUAAACUGUUUUUUUUCUAGAGAUUCUCUAAAAUUUUCUAUUAAAAACUUUAUAUAUUUGGUAAAAGGAUUAAAGAAGUUCCUGUACUUAGUGAUGGAUUGCAUUUCAACCCUUUUAUCGAAAAAAAUUGACAAAUUAAUUUUUAUACAUUUCAAAACAUACAAAUUUGUCGCUUCGUUAAAAUUUUUCUACAUUUUAACCUAUUCAUCAUUUCCUUUGCAGAAAAAUAGUUGAUAUACCAUUAGAACAUGAGCCUCAAACAUUAUAAAUGAAUAAUAAUACCUCGGUCUAUGAAGAAGUUAUGUUACAUUUGAUGGAAUAUCAAAGGAAAAUUUUUCGUUUAUUUUAAAAAGAUUUUAUUCAAUUUUCUAAUUGUAUAUAUAAUUGAUAUUAAUUAUUUUUUAUUUUAAGUUUAAUUAUUUUAAAACAUAUUUAUUAAAUAACUUUUUUUGGUGUUAUUAAUUAAACAUCAAAUGCAGCAUUAAUAUUGUAAGUCUUCCGUUAUUUAAUAUUUAAAUAAUAUGAAAUUGAACAUUUAAACGUAAAAUAUAAAAUUAUUCUUAAUAAUUUAUAAUAAAGGGAAUAAUAAAACAGAUGAUUAGAUGAAAUCAAGAAUCAGGUUAAAUUCACACCUGACCAUGGAAAUAUUUGUGUCGAUAUGAUUUAUAAACAGGGUUUAGCCAUGAUACUUUUCUGUGAGAGGCAAAAUCAAAAUUUUUCUUUUCACUUAAAAACUUAAUAUUUUAAUUUUUCCUCAAUUUUGUCCAUUCAAACAUGUUAAGACUGUAUGGUUUGAUUUACCUGUUGGUACGUAAGCUUAUUCAUGCAAAAGUGUCCUUUUAUCAAUUAAAAAGAACAGCAAUAAGGUAAAACGUCAGUUUUUAAUAGAGUCUGACUGCGUCGUCGGCAAAUGAGUGUAGAAUCUUUUACGGUAAGCAAAAGCAUGCUAUCCUAUUUUCCUCCAAUAGCAUAUUUAUUUAUCAUUAAUAAUUACUUUCAUUUUAAUUGUAAUAAAAAUUUAUGACAUAAUUCAUCGUUUACAAACACCAUCUUCAUAUAAUAUUUAAAUUUUCUUUUAGAUAAUUUAUGAUUAUAAUUCUUGAACACAUAUGACAUAAUGGAUGAUUAUUUGGUAUAGCUGAUAGUAAAUUUUUAAUUUCAUAAAUAGAUUUGAAAGUUUGAUAUAUAUUUUAAGUUGUAUUUAAAAAAAAUAGGAUAUAUGAAAAUUUUUCAAUCUCGCUUAUUGAGUUAAUUAAUAAUCCAUAAAAAAAUAUUACUUUGUAUGUUUUAAUUCUUAAUUAAUUUUAGAUAUUUGACUUCUAUUAAUUUAAAUGUUUUAAUGUUUUUUUUGAAUUAAAAAAAGUGUGUAUUUAAUUCUUCAUAAAACAAAUUAUUUGUAAAUAAUCAUAAAUCGGUAUAAGAAGAUCAAACCUAAUAUAUCAAAGCAACUAAUAGCGGAUUGAUUGUUUGAUUUCAAAUGUUUAAAUUUGAUAAUCAAUCAAUUUAAAGAUACAAUGAGAUGUAAUUUUGUAAAUUAGAUAUCUCAAUCUUAGUAUUAAAUGAUUGAUGACUCUAAGCUACUUAAAAACAAGAAGACAAUCAAUCUUCACUUUAAUUUAUAUGAUCCAAAGUUCUUAACACCAUUUCAAAGAACCGUUCAGAAAUUAUAGAUACAAGAUCUAAUCAAAACAUCAAGUAACGGCCAAAUCAAAACCCACCAAAGAGAUAUCCAAAGUCUCAAAUCUGGAAUUAAAGGUCAACGUAACCACAUCAUACAAAGAAAUGCUCCCACCACUCCACUUCGGGACAUGUACAAAAUCUGAUUUCUUCGAUCACUACUUGAAAGAGUUGAUAAUUCUCAUAUUUAGAAUUAUUUUAAUUUAGUUUUUAUAGUAUUUUAGGAGUAAAAUCUUUUUUAUUAUAGUUUAUAGUUUUUGAAAUUAAUUAGAUUUUAUUUAAUUUUCCGGAUUUAUUAGCUAUAUUUUUCUCCAUUGUAAAUUUGAGAUAAAAAAAAUGAAAGAGUUGAAAUAUAAAGUAAGAAAGGAUGAAAUCUUCUACUCCACUUGAUCAACUUUACAGUGAACAUAUUUUUAAAUUCAGAAAUUUUGAUAGCAAUUAUUCCUUCUACCAUAAUUUUUUAUUUGGUGGAGCUCCUAAUAAAAGUCAAAAAGAAAAAAAAAGUAUGGGUUUGACCAAUAUUUUAUGGUUCAUUUUUUAUAUAUUUACUCUAAUCUCUGUUUCUAAAAAAUAUCUUAAAACAUUGAAAAAAUAUAUAGUUUAAUUAGCAACAAAUACGCGUUUUUUAUUCUCAAAUUAUUGGUCCAAUCGGUUGAUUUAGUUAGAGAUUCAAAUAUUAUUUAUGAUUUUAAUAUAAAAUAUGAGAAAUGAUGUUCACAUUUCAAAUGAUGUUCAAAUUGAUGGAAACAGUCAAAAAAGAAAAAAUCCUGAGAUGUCAAGUUUACAUUUUAAAACUGGAAGAAAGAAAUCCUCAAAGCAAAUUGGAGGGGCUGCAAGAUUGUCCAGUCAAAUAGAAAAACUAUGCAAUGCAGCUGACAAUAUGAGUCAAGCCACAUCUAGUUUGACUCCUGUUAUGGAUCCAUAUGGUAUUCCACAAGCAGUCAAAAUGCUUGACAGCAUGUCGGAAGAAGUUCCAGAAGCUAGUCCGCUAUACUUUUUCGCACUUAGAUUAUUGCUCAAUAAGGACAAGCGAAUUAUGUUUUUAUCAAUUAAUCCUAAUAUUAGAGCUUUGUGGCUUAAGACGGAAAUGGAGGAUAGUUGAAAAUUUUUUGAUCUUCUAGGGUUUAAAGAUAUCUAUUUAUGUGUAAUCUUCUAGUUAUAAUGGCUUAAGCGAAUUAUGUUUUUAUCAAUAGUUAUUUAUGUUUAGUUUUUGGAUAUUGAAUUUAUGUGCGAAUUAUGCUUUUGGAUAUUGAAUUUAUGUGUAAUCAAUUAUGUUUUAUUAAUAGUUGUUUAUGUUUGGUCUUUAGAUAUUGAAUUUAUGUUCCACUUAUUUUUUAUUAAAUUAAUUUUAUUAAUGGUUGUUUAUAUGUGAUUUUGGAUAUAAAAUUUAUUCACAGGUGAUGAGUAUAGUUGAGGAUUAUAGCAGUGAUGAAAGUGAUGAUCAAAGGGAAAAGAAAGAGAUGUUACAACGCAUGGAAUGUUUUAACCGAAUAUUUGUUGUUGCAUCUUCUUCCAUGCAAUUAUAUUACGAGAAGUAUAUAUUGAGGCAACCAUGCAUGGAUUCAAAACAGUCAGGUGAGACAUGGAUCCGAGAGAUCCUUGACGGUCACGAAUCACGUUGUAUGAUUAAUUUUAAGAUGUCUAAAAUGGUAUUCACAAGUUUGUUGAGAGUUUUGGAGACAAGAUACAACUUGCAAACUUCAAGAAACAUAUCUUCUACUGAAAUGUUGGGAAUUUUUUUAUACAUCUUGGGCACCGGUGCAAAAGUUUCCCAAUGUCGAGAAAGAUUUCAAAGGUCUGGAUCAACAAUAAGUCGAUACUUUGCAGUUGUGCUUGAGAAAGUUUCAAGGAUGGCCAUUGAUCUAAUUGCACCUGAAGAUCCUUUUUUUAGCUCAAUACCCGAACAAAUACAUAAUGAUUCUAGAUAUAUGCCGCAUUUUAAGGUUAAAAUUUAAUUUCAUAUUAUUAUAUUUUAAUAUAUUUGGUCGACUAAAAAUAUGCACGAGAGUAAUAUGAUUAUUUGUUCAGGAUUGUAUAGGUGCAAUUGAUGGUACUCACAUUGCGGCUAUUCUUCCACCAAAUGAACAAAUUCCCUAUAUUGGAAGAAAAGGUAUCCCGACUCAAAAUGUUAUGGCAGUAUGUGAUUUUAAUAUGUGUUUCACAUUUGUCAUGGCUGGAUGGGAAGGAUCGACACAUGACACUAGAAUAUUUCUUGAUGCAAUUCGAGAUCUAAAAUACAAAUUUCCGCACCCUCCAAAUGGUUAGAUAUUUUAUUUAUAUGUGAUUUUUUAAAUAAUAAAGUAAGUUCUUUAAUUGAUUUUUUAUUAAAAAAAUUCUUGAAUUAAUUGUUUGUUAUAUUAUGACUUGUAGAAAAAUAUUAUCUUGUUGAUUCUGGAUAUCCUCAAAUGAAAGGUUAUCUUGGACCAUAUAGAGGUCAACGAUAUCAUUUACCUGACUUCCGAAGAGGUAGACCGAUUUCUGGUAAAGAAGAGAUAUUCAAUCAUUCACAUUCAUCAUUACGUAGUGUGAUUUAACAAACUUUUGGUGUUUUAAAAAAAAUGGGCCAUUUUAAGGGAUAUGCCAAGUUAUAGUUUUGAAAAGCAAACGGUGAUCGUUGUUGCUAUAAUGACGAUACACAAUUUUAUCCGAAAACAUGUUGGUCAAAAUGAUGUAGAUUUUAUGGAAUACGAAGAUAUUAACUCGGCAUAUGAGAAUAGUAUUGAUUCAGAAAAUGCGCAUGGGCCACAAAGUGAUGAUGAUGACGACGACGACGACGAUGAUAGUAAUGAUGAUGGUGAAUCAAACAUUUUUAGUGGUUUUGAAAUGGAAUUAACAAGAGAUGCUAUAGUUUCUAGUUUAAUGAAUUCAAUUUAAAUUGUAAAUGCUAUUGUAAAAUUUUUAGUAUUUAUAUCUGAUAUAUAAAUAUUAUCCCCUUUUUAAAACUUCAAUCCAAAUAUAUCUAAUAUUUUAAUUUGUUAAGUUUAUGUUUUCUAUGUUAUAUUAAUAUCUAAUAUGAGUUAUAUAUUCAAAUAUAUUUUAAAAUAAAAUAAUACAAGCGUGUUAAAAGUAUUAAUUAAAAAUAAAAAAUAAUUUUUAUAAUAAUACAAUCGUGUCAAUAUCUAAUUACAAAUAUUUAAAUAUUUAAAUAUAGUUUAUAUAUUCUAAUUAAAUUUUAUAAAUAAUUAAUAUUAAUUACUUAGAAAUAUUUAAAAUUAAUAUUAUAUAUUAAAAUAUUAACAAUAAGUUAUAAUAAAUUAUUUUUUUAUAUUUUUGCUAAAAUAUCAUAAUAUUAACUAAUUUGAACAUUAUUUAAAAACAUAUUUGUUACUUUAUAAUCUCAUGUCUAAAAUGGACAUUUUAUUCUUCAAAAAUACUUUUUAACACUAAUAGCAAACACUCAAAUUUUUCAAAAGCACUUCUUAAAAAUAAUUCUCAAAAGCAUUUCUCAAAAGUAACGAAAAACUAGCCCUUAACGCCCCGUUCUUCUGCACGUUUUAGAAGUGCUUUUGGCUGAAAAAUCCUUUUCCUUUAAAAGGAAUGAAGAACAGCCUCCUUUUCUUCUGAAAAUUUCACCAUCAGAAAAGGACUUCUCUCCAGAUGAAAAGUUAAAAUUUCUCUUUUUUUUCAGCUUAAAGUGCUUUUGGCUGAAAAUUGACCAAAUUAACCUAUCGUCUUCUCCCACAAACUUUCUUUCCCCUCCUCUGCUGGUUCUUUGGAACUGUCUUCUCCCACAAACGUGCUUUUGGCUGAAAAGAACAGAAAUUUGAUUUCUCAAAUUUUUCCACAAACGUGCUUUGGAACUGUCUUCUCCCACAAACGCUCUCCCACUCCCGCGACGGGGCGCUGUCAAUCGGCUGUGCUUCAGGGUCGAAGGAAGCAUAUGGAAGGUCUCACUGUCUGCAUGCUCGAUCUCCACAUUCCCUUCCCGAGUAUCUCUCUUUCUUCAUAUCUUUUUUUUUGUGCGGCUUCGUGGUUUUAUUAGAAUGCGUUCAUAGGGGAAUUAGUCUUACGAUUAAUAUUUUCUCUUGUAAAAAGGAUAAAUUGAUGUUGCAAUUUAAUGACAGUUUUUAUGCUAUGGAUUGAGAAUGAGAUUCUAGGGUUUUUCAUUGAAUGAAUUUGCUUUUGGUUGUUUUAUUAACAAACUUCAUCGCUUCGCUUAAGAAAAAAAAAAUCCUUCUUUUAAGAUUGAAUUUAUGAAGUUUUAUCGGUUAAUUAAAUGCUUAGCUCUUUUCUAAUGACUGUAACCAAUGUAGCAAUGAUAUUAAAGAAGGUUUAGUUAUAAAAGUGGAGAGAUAUUAUGCUAAACCGAACUACUAACUUCAAUAGUUUACUUCUUAGUGUUCUUAUAGAGGCAAUUUUGUUUGAAAAGGAUCUUUCUAAACAAUGUAAGAUUUGGUAUUUUUGCUUAUUUUGUGAUGGUUGAAGAAGUUUGUGCGUAUCACUGAUUUAAUAACUUUGUCUAACGUCUCAUCCUAUGUUUUAUUUUUAAUACAUAAAUUUUUGAUACAUUGGAGCAGGCAAAAUUGGGGUUAAGGAAGUUUCAGUCGGAGUUGUUGCAGUUUUUGAUGGUCAUAAUGGUGCUGAAGCUAGUGAGAUGGCUUCAAAACUUUUACUGGAGUAUUUUGCUCUAUAUACAUAUUUCCUUUUGGAUGCAACUUUUUCCUUUGUAUUGAAGAAGCAGUCAAGUAGGUUGCCAAAUGUAGGAGAAGGGGAUAUUGUUUUCUGUUGCGGAAAGGAUCGAUUCGAGAACUCCGAUAUGACUACAAGUAAAUUGACCGAAACGAAAAAUAAAGUGAACACAAGGAUUUACGUGGUUCGGCUUUAAUGCCUACGUCCACGGGCAGAGGCGAAAAGAAAUUUCACUAUAACAAGAUGAAGAUUACAAGUGUUUUACACUCAAGACACAACCCGAGAACCUCACAACUCUCAACCCCUAUAGAAAACCCGAAAGCUAAAAUCCUAGCUUUCAAAGAACAAGCUUUGCUCUCUCUUGGUUUGGGAUGAUCAAUAUGGCUAAUGAACCUCUCUAUUUAUAAGAGAGUUCAAGGACAUAAUUGUCCAAAACUUUGGCAAAGAUUUGUGGUUGAAAAUGGACACCAACAACCAUCCACUAAUCCACUACCACCAACAACCCACUACCAACAACAACAAUCCACUACCAAUUUUAAGCCAUUUCUUAACAAAUCUCCACCUUGGCUUGAAAUUUACCAAGCUGAACAUCAUAGAAACUCCAAGCCAUUAUCCGUCCGGAAUCGCUUGAUCUUCUUUCCUGUUUGAUUUUCGAUCAAAGCUUUAAAUUGCUUGAAGUUGAUGAGAACCUCAUACUUGCUCUUCAGAAAAUACACCCAAACCUUUCUCGAGUAAUCAUCGAUAAAGGUAAGCAGAUAUCUGUAACCACCUUUAGAAAUUGUCGGAGAAGGCCCCCAAAGGUCAGAAUGGAAGUAAUCCACUGUGCCUUUUGUCUUGUGAAUCCCAGUGCUGAACUUUACCCGAGUCUGCUUACCGAAGACGCAGUGCUCACAGAAAUUCAACUUUCCUGUACACUGCCCAGACAAUAAUCCUCGUUUGCUUAGCACCGAUAAGCCUCUCUCGCUCAUAUGCCCGAGCCGCAUAUGCCAUAACUUCGUGGUGUCAGAAUCUAGAUCAUCUGAUGAUGACACUCCCGCAACACCUGUAACCGAGGAACCAUCGAGGAAGUAAAGGCCCCGCUCCAAAUUACCACGUAUCACAGUCAAAGCACCCGAGAAUACCUUGAGAACUCCACCUUCAGCAGAGUACCGAAAGCCUUUCUUGUCCAACGUACUCAAAGAGAUCAAAUUUUUCUUCAUUUCUGGAAUGUGCCGAACAUCAGUUAGAGUUCUAACAAUACCGUCAAACAUCUUUAUACGAACUGUGCCAAUCCCCAUGACUUGACAUGCGUGGUCAUUUCCCAUUAGUACUGAACCAGAAUGCUUCUCGUAUGUUGAGAAUGCAUCUUUCGAAGUACUUAUAUGAAAUGUAGCUCCCGUAUCAAGAAUCCAUCUCCCACCAGCGUAAGAGUCGGAUACUGCAAGAACGAUCUCGGCAUCACUUGAAGAAUCUGCAUCAGCUACAUUCGCACGAUCAUUUUGUUGCUCCUGUGAUUCUGAUUUCUCCUUCCUUUUCGGACAAUCUACCUUCAUGUGCCCGUACUUCUUACAGUAGUAGCACUGUAUUCUCUUCUUGGACUGCGAUCUAGGAUGGCUUUUACUUGAACUUCCACCCUUUGCCUUGGAUCUUCCUCGAGCAACCAAGCCUUCGCCUUCAUUGUUUUCGACCACCUUACCAGUGAUUUUCUUCCUCAACUCACUGGAACUUAAGGCAUUUUUCACCUCCUCUAGAGUCAGGUCAUCACGACCGUACAUCAUUGUAUCAACAAAAUUCUCAUACGAGGGAGGCAAAGAACACAAAACAAUUAUUGCUUGGUCCUCAUCAUCGAUUUUGUUAUCGAUAUUAUUCAAAUCCAUGAUAAUGGAAUUGAAUUUAUCCAGGUGCUGGGAAACAGGUGUACCUUCCUCCAUCUUCAGGGCAUAGAGUCUUUGCUUGAGGUAGAGCCGGUUCGUCAAUGACUUCGUCAUGUACUUGCUCUCUAACCGGAGCCACAAACCGGACGCGGUUUUCUCAUCCGCUACUUCUCGUAGCACUUCAUCUCCUAGACAUAGCAGAAUAGCACUAUGUGCUCUUUCUAGCAUGUCAUCCUUUUGCUCUUCCGAAAGCGUGCUUGGUAAUUUAUCUUUACCAGACAAUGCUUUUAGCAAUCCUUGUUGAACCAGCACUGCCCGCAUCUUGAUGCGCCAUAAACUGAAACUAUUUUUCCCGGUAAAUUUCUCGACAUCAUACUUAGUCGAUGAAACACUUGUAGCCAUAAUUUGGAACCUUUGAAUGAAUGAUAAUAUUUUCUUCCUGAUGUGAAAGAUCAGACAAAGCUGCAGUCACAGGGCAAUUCAGAAAAUAUUAUCACUCCUUCAACUACGCUCUGAUACCAAUUUGUUGCGGAAAGGAUCGAUUCGAGAACUCCGAUAUGACUACAAGUAAAUUGACCGAAACGAAAAAUAAAGUGAACACAAGGAUUUACGUGGUUCGGCUUUAAUGCCUACGUCCACGGGCAGAGGCGAAAAGAAAUUUCACUAUAACAAGAUGAAGAUUACAAGUGUUUUACACUCAAGACACAACCCGAGAACCUCACAACUCUCAACCCCUAUAGAAAACCCGAAAGCUAAAAUCCUAGCUUUCAAAGAACAAGCUUUGCUCUCUCUUGGUUUGGGAUGAUCAAUAUGGCUAAUGAACCUCUCUAUUUAUAAGAGAGUUCAAGGACAUAAUUGUCCAAAACUUUGGCAAAGAUUUGUGGUUGAAAAUGGACACCAACAACCAUCCACUAAUCCACUACCACCAACAACCCACUACCAACAACAACAAUCCACUACCAAUUUUAAGCCAUUUCUUAACAUUUUCCAAGUGCUUAAUUGGGACAAAGAGAUUGGAAAGCAUGGCUUGAACCUUGAAAGGUGAUAUCAUGUGUAACUCAGACCAUAUUUAUGUUUGAGUUCCUUGUUUUAGAAAAUGGAUAUAGCUGUUGCUUGCUGUUGACGAUUCUUAACCCAAAGUAUUAAUGCUUGCUCAGAUUAUUAACCCAAUGUUUAUUUCAUCAUCUUAAAGUUGCUUCCUGUUUGCUUCUACCUGCUAUUCAGCUGGUUGUGGGAAUUAGCCAUCCCUGGUGGAUUUCUCUGACAUUUUUCAUUGGAAGCUGUAUUAGGCUAGUGGAUUGGUCUUUGACUAGCAAUUUUCUAGGACUAUUCAGGUGAUUGCUUCUUGACUCUUUGUACAUUGUUCUAUUUCAUUUUCUUUGUCAAUGAAUUUGGUUUUAUCAUUGGUUAAUGUUUUUAGUAGCUUAUGUUCUGUUUCUUUUUUGUCAAGGUUGUGGAAGGCUCUCCAGUUUUAUGCAGGCUUCAGCAUUUUCAUGCUUUAUGUGUAUCAACUCCUUAUAGAGUUCUCAAGUAUGUUACAGUGGAUAGCUGAUUUUGUUGGUCUAUUCAAAAUAUGUUCAACAUCUGAGUGGACUGAAAUUUGCUCUUCUGUUUCUCUUGUACUUUAUUACAUCAUGGUAUGUACUAGUUUUAUUACUAUAGGUCUGAUUCUGUUUAAAGAUUUUAGCUGAACCUUUUAAUGAAAUGCAAUUCACUCUUCCCUCUUCCUAGAAUCUUAUAUUAUGAAAUUGACUUCAUUUGAGUCUUUCCUGUGUCUGACAUUUGUCUAUCUAAUAGUCUUUUCCCCAUAUUACUAAUUUAAGAUGGUUUGAAGUGUUUUCUUUCUAUAAGAAAAAUUUCCCGAACAGAUAUGAAGUAAUUAGUUGCAAACUAGACUUUGGAGAUUGAUGACAUUUUUGCCAUUCUGGAUGCAAUUUUUAUUCAAUUUGCUCAAUGAAAUUGCAAUUGAAAAUUUGAGAGCUUCCUAGUUAGAAACCACAUAUUUAUAUAAUAUAUGUUUUUAAUAGUUUUGAACAAGUUAAAUUAAUUAUAAAGAAAUAAUAUAAUUGAGAACAAGAUUAGAGCAGCUCGUUUGUACAUCUCAAUCUUAAUAUUAAGUGAUUGAUGACUCUAAGCUACUUAAAAACAAGAAGACAAUCAAUCUUCACUUUAAUUUGUAUGACGCAAAGUUUUUAAAACCAUUUCUAAGAACCGUUAAGAAAUAAUAGAUACAAGAUCUAAUCAAAACAUCAUGUAACGACCCAACCAAAACCCACCAAAGAGAUAUCCAAAAUCUCAAAUUUGGAAUUAAAGGUCAACGUAAACACAAAAUUCUCCAAAAGUAUUAUGAGUUCUAACCUUUUAAUGGGUAUAAUUUUUAAGGUUUUACAAUAGCCUAUUUACAUGCAAAAUUUGUAGCCCAAAUAAUAAUAAAAUAAUAUAAACUAAUCAAUGUUUAACUAAAAUAAAUAAAUAGAGUUUAGCUGAAAGAUUACCUCUCAAAUUUAAUCGAAAUAUGAGGCAAGGUAUCACUUCAAUGGUAUAAAGCUACAUAAAAUCUUAGUUAUGUCUUUGAAAUAUUUUCAUAAAGGCAUGUGCAAAAACUUUUUCAUUCUUAACAAAUUCAUUCCACUCAAUAUUAUUUAUUUAAAAUCAAAACCACAUUUAUUUUUAAACAACAUCUAAUAAUGUAUUUGGCUCAUCCAACAAUUUAUUUUUAAACGACAUUUAUUUAAAAAGAACCAAAUGAGAAUCAUUAUACAACUUCAUAAAGUCGAUGACACAUCCAACAUUUAAAGCACAAAGAAACUAGAUAGGCCAACAACAAAACAAUAAUGCCAACAUUCUCAAAUACGGCAACAAAUUUGUUCUAAAAACAAAAGUAAGCGCAUCGCACCUAGAGCGUAGAAAUACUUGAAUUCAAUCAUUGUAACAACGAAAAAGGAAACAAGACAUCCAACAUCCUCAUCACAAUAGAUUCUCCUUUGACCCGCCAACAGCGUUUGCAAUGCAAUAAAACAAAAAGAGGUUAUUGUGAUAGCAACUCUUAUAAAUAUUCCAAAAUUAACUUUUAGAUGCAUCAAGUCUUAAUCUAAGGGAAAGGGUUUAUCCAAACAUGAAAAAUCUAACCAACUCAAUUCAAUUCAACCCAACCUCAACCUAUCUAUAUAGUUUACUUUUAAUUUAUAUCUAAUUUCAAUUAUGGUUUAAAUUUAAAUAUUUUUUAACAAAAAUUUUAAAUACUUAAUAUUGAACAAAUAGCCAUAUUUAUGAAAAAAUUUGUAAUUAUGAACAUAACUUAACACAUAGGUAAAAGUAUUUUUUUUACUUAAUAAUAUUAUUAGCAAUAGUACGUUAUUAAUUGUAUAUGAAAAUAAUGAAGCUUAAAAAUUAAAAUUUAAAGACAAUGUCAUUGUCAAAUUUACUCAAUUUAUUUUUAACCAUAGUUACCUAUGUACAUAUGUGACACACAUAAUAAGAUGCUAAUAUAUAUAAGGCAAAAUAUUAUAAAGUUAAACGGUUAGAUAAUGAAGUGAAAUGUUUCUAACCUUAUGCAAUAUUUGAACUUGUUAUAGUAACAGUAUCCAAUGAUGUACUUGGCUCAUCAUUAGAGUUCUCACACCUAUGAACCUCCAUUGAUGUUUCAAGCGGCAGUUGAUGGAAUGGCUUAGGAGCCAUUUCAAGGAGUUCAACAUCAGAUUCAAGCAUCUUCAAAACUUUACUCAUUGAAGGACGAUCAGAAGGCAGUAAUUGUAUACACCAAAAGGCUGUUAUUACCAUUUUCUUUACCAUUGCUUUUUCAUCGUCAGAAACAUCUCCCAACUCCAAGUCAUCUCCUUGAUCUAAUCGGUCAUAAAUCCAAGAUGGAAAAUAUAUUUGACUAGUGUGGUCAGCAAAUGCAUUCACAUUCUUUCUCCUUCCAACUAUUUCCAUCAGUAACAUUCCAAAACUAUAAACAUCGGCUUUGUAUGAGAUGCCUCCAAGAUUUUUGUAAACCAAUUCAGGAGCAAUAUAUCCUAUCGUUCCUCGUGCCGCAGUGAGAGAGACAAUGCUAUUAUCUACUGAAUACAAUUUAGCAAGACCAAAAUCCGAAACUUUUGGAUUAAAAUUCUCAUCAAGAAGAAUAUUGUGUGGCUUGAUAUCAAAAUGUAGAAUUUGCAUGUCACAUCCUUGAUGUAAGUAGUGAAUUCCUUGAGCCACCCCAAGUACAAUAUCAAACAUUUUUUUCCAGCCCAAAGUGUUCUUAUUUUCUUCUGUAAAUAUGAUUUUAUCUAAAGAUCCAUUAGACAUGAAGUCAUAUACUAGAGCUUGCUUUGAUCCCUCCACACAAAAUCCGAUAAGUUUUGCCACAUUAGCAUGAUGAAUUGUCCCAAUGGAAGCAACUUCGUUUAUGAAAUCUUGGCCAUUACCUUUUGAUUUGCCCAACAAUUUUAUUGCCACAUGAUGGCCGCUACGAAGCUUUCCUUUAAACACUGAGCCAUAACCCCCUUCACCUAAUUUAUCUUUAAAAUUGUUAGUCAUUUUUUUAAUUUCUUUAAAAGAAUACCUUAAUGGCACUAGAUUAUUUUGGCUUUUAAGGAACUCUUCGAUCAUAUCAUCCAUGGAUAAAUGUCUUCUUCUCCAUUUGUACGUGACAAAAGCAAGCAAACAAAUGAUCCCAGGAAAUGACCUCAAGAUAACUCCACCUUUAAAGAAAUACAAUGUAACAUGUUGAAAUUAAUCACAUAAUAUAUAACUUACAUUCUCAGAAAAAAGGAUAUAGUGUGAUAGUUUUAUGUUAACUAGUAUUUGAGAGAGUGGCAUAUUUCACUAGUCUAUGGACUUAACCGAGAGUAGUCUGAAUUAUAUGCAUUGUUUUUGUCAUUAGCAGGUAUAUCUCAACAAAUUAAAAUUCAGAAUUUCAAACACAAAAGGAGUAAAUCGUGCAAAGUGGAUACCAAUUAUUCUAACCUCAAACAUUCCAAUAGAUUUGACAGGGUCAUGACAUUCAGCCAAAUUAACACAUUCGUAACCCCAUCCAAUUAGCAAAUUCUAAAGAAAGAACAUGAUUCUUAACCAUGAAGGAUACUCAACUGUUGUUUCUAUUCAUGCCAAAUAAACUUGAAGAAGGACAAAUUAAAAAUAUAAUAACCUUCAAAUUUCAUAAAUGAAACAAAAUCUAACCACCAAAAGAUGCAAGAGAACCCCCCAAAAAACAGAUUUGAUAAAUUCAAGAGCUAACUUUGUUGAAUGUUUUAGCAAAAUGAAUAUCCACCAAACUUAUAACCUGUGAAAGUUCUAAACAAUACCAUUAUGGAAACAAGCUUAACUAAAACUCUAACAUCUUUCUUAACUUGACAAAAAAUUUCUUUCAUAUAGAAGAAGAUUGUAUUCUGCAUUCAAACUCCGUAAAGAGUGUCAUAGCUUUCUUAGUUUUGUAGUGAAAUUAAAUAUAAACUUGUAUAAUAUGAUAGGCUCCUUAUUCUUUUUUUCCCCCAGAAUAUAGCUAAUAUUUGUUCUCAACUAGUGAAAAUGCAAAUCUGCAAAUCUAAAAUUAAAUAUACCUGUUAUUAGCAAACAGAGACGACAAGCUCCGAGCAAUCUGGAUUAUAUAUUCAACAAAUCAAAGUAAAAUUAAUAAAGGGGUGUAAAGGAAAAUUCCAAAUUUGUGUAAAAAAAUCAAUGGAAGGUAAUUUAAAACAUUAUAUUAUGUUUUGUGGUAUAUACUCAAAAAAAAAAUACAACAAUUCUUUACAUAUGUUUGCUUGUAAAAAGUAUGCAACAUGUAUUACAGUAUAAGAGUUUUUAGGUAACUAAAAUGAUUUAAUAUAAUCAAAGGUGAGACAAAUUUUAUUCAAAUUAAUUAAUCCAAAAAGUAUAUAUUAUUGCAUUAAAAAGAGUUUUUGCGAAAAAAAUAAACUCAUCCACAAUGGUGGAAUAUUUACGUACUACCAACUAAAUUGAAUAGACAUCAAAAAUAAAAAGAAAAUAAAAAGAUAGACAUAAUCAAAUAUAAUUGUCCAAAAAGAAGACAAAACAGCAGAGAAAGCAGAGGCAGAUACUAAAUUAGAAAUGCUUUUAGUUCAUUUGAUUGUUAGAUGUUGAUCAAUUUUAGAUGCAAAAUCAUCAUACUUAUUUACCAUCAUAAAAUUUAAUUGCCAAAAAAGUAACAUAAAAUAAAACAAAACAUAAAGUAGAUGUUGUAACUAAAAAUUCCAGUAUGAUGCACACUCAAAAUGCAAACUUUAAUUAUUAAAGAAACUUACAUUUCUUUCAACGAAACUUUGUUUUGGUAAUCGCAUCUUUUCCAUUCGACCCAAAAACCCUCUAAUAGUUUUUUGUAGAUAUCCAGCGUAGACAUGCCUAUUAUAUUAUCAACCAUAAUUGGAACCGCCGCUUCGAUAGUGCAAGCUUGAUUGAUAUAAGAUAGCUGGGUGUUUCCAUUUAAAAAAUAGAAAUGGGAAGUUGGCAGGGAAGAGGAGGUAUUGGAUUUGAUGGUACAACGAGAAGCCUCAAUAUAAAGUGACGAUUUUAUAGGUUUCGUGCAAUUCAUAACAUAAAUAAUGCUAUAAUCUAACCUUUUAUAACCAGAAAGAAAAUAAUUAUUAUUAUAAAAAAAAAAUUAUUAUUAUUUUUAUUAAUACCAUUAUAAGAAAAAUAAUCUACAGAAGUAAGAGGAAGGGAGUUGCAAUCAUCCGUGUCUAAACUCGCAUCGACCAUUCGUAUUGUAGAAUUUUCGUAAAAGAUUUGUUGGACAGAGAAUUUCCCUCCUCUCCCAACCAAAGUGGUGCGAUUAUUGUUCUCACACUCAAGUUCCAUGACAGGAGAACCACAGUGGGGAGGUUGGUUUUUUAAUCGGAAUGGAAAACUGAUAUUCAAAUUCCCACAGAAAGUAUAGCCGCAGUCUUGGUUAAUAAGACUCCUAGCAAAACAAACAGCAGGAAAUAGAACUACAAAUAAAGCAAAAGAGGGCAUUAGGUGACCCAACAAUGGCAGUUUUGCUUUUAAUUUUGGCAUGCUAAAAUUUUGGGUAGGGAAGAAGAACAACAAUGAGGGUUAACGAUUAAGUUUCUAACUAAACCAGGGAAAUAUAUAAGAAAGCUUCAGUGGGAGAACAAGCAUUAAUGGGGACAGAAGACUUUGACUAGUCUUCAGCUUUAUUUGGGAUGACUAUUUUAUUUUCAAUAAAUUGUUUACACCUUUUAUUCUUUUAUCUUUUUUCUGGGAAACACCUCAAUCAAAGCACAUCUAAUUCCAAGAAUAGAGCCAUGGUUAUCACAAGCAAAAAAAGGAAUUUUAAUAUUAUUCAAAAAAUUUUAAAUAAAUUUGGACCAUAUACUUGUAGAUCAACCGUUAUCACCUAAAUAAAUUCCAAUUACAAUGAGGAGGACCAAGACAAUGCAAGUCUUAAGUCUUCUUUGAAACACAAAAACAUCACUGCAAAAUAGACUUUUAGCGGCAUUUUUUAGGCCUAUAGCGGCGCUUUUAGGCGUCGCUGGAAAUAGAGCGUCGCUAAAACUAUUUCCGGCGCUUUCACAAGCACCACAAAAAUGCCGCUAUAAACAUCGCCGCUAAAUUUUGCGGCGUUUAUAUGAAAAAACGCCGCUAUAGAACAUGAUCUUUAACGACGCUUUUAUCACAAACGCCGCUAAAGAACAUGGCCUUUAGCAGCGUUUUUAUCACAAACACCGCUAAAGGUAAUAAUCUUUAGUGGCACUUUUAUCACAAACGCCGCUAAAAUAAUAUGAUCUUUAGCGGCGCUUUACCCACAAACGCCACUAAAGAUCAUUACCUUUAGCGGCGCUUUUAUAAAAAACGCCACUAGCUUUUAAAAAUAUUAAAUAUUAAAAAUCACACAUUAUUAAUAUUACAAAUUAAUUAGUAUUGGAUAUAUACUUCUAGUCAAAAAGAUGGUAUUUAAUCAUAUAAUAAAUUAAUAUUUUUUAGUCAAAAUAUUGAAAAAUCAUGUUAAUAUUUAAAUAGCAAAAUUACAAGUUCAAAUAGUGCAACUAAUUGAUUGGAAAAAAAAUGCACAAGUUCAAAAUGUGCAGUAAUAAACUUAAAAAUUUAUAGGCUAAAAUGGAAAUUACCUUUUGAAAUUAGACUAAAAUAGGUUUACUACAUUCACUAUUUACUACAUGGGUUUAUUGCUUCUAUAAACUCCAAUUAGGCAUUGAAACAGGGGUGUUUAUAUAUUACAAAAAAGCAUGAAAAAAUAGGAGUCCAUCUCCACACCUCAGAAACCAGGGCAAAUGCAUACCCCAACAUUGCCCUCGUAUUCAGCAUCCAUCUCCAGCUGCUUCGACGAAUACGGAACGAGAAUACAUGUUGCAAGUUCCGUAUUCUAAUGCAGUGGGUAGCUUGAUGUAUGCAAUGGUGUGUACAAGACCCGACAUUUCACAGGCAGUUAGUAUAGUGAGCAGGUAUAUGCAUAAUCCUGGAAAAGGACAUUGGCAAGCUGUGAAAUGGAUUCUACGGUAUAUUCAGAAGACCGUGGAUGUUGGAUUACUGUUCAAGCAGGAUAAUACACUUGGUAAAGGUGUUAUUGGGUACGUUGAUUCUGACUAUGCCGGUGAUUUGGACAAGCGAAGAUCAACCACCGGUUAUGUGUUUACACUUGCUGGAGGACCAAUAAGUUGGAAGUCUACACUACAGUCUACAGUUGCAUUGUCAACCACAGAAGCCGAGUACAUGGCUGUAACAGAGGCUGUAAAGGAGGCUGUUUGGUUAUAAGGUAUGGCUAAAACCUUGGGGUUGGUUCAGGAGCAUAUUAACGUGUAUUGUGAUAGUCAAAGUGCUAUUCAUUUAGCAAAGAAUCAAGUCUAUCAUGCACGUACAAAACAUAUCGACGUACGAUUCCAUUUUGUGCGAGAAAUUAUUGAAGAGGGGAAAAUUUGUCUUCAGAAGAUCAAGACUGCAGAUAAUCCCGCAGAUAUGAUGACCAAGGUGGUAACAGCAACCAAGUUCGAACAUUGUUUGAACUUGAUUAAUAUCCUGCAAGUUUAACAGUUGAAGAAGGCACUAUCAAGUAUUGUGGCUAGGAAAGACUUGGUAUUUAAGUGAUCUUCGUGAUCUACCUCUCUUUCCUGGGAAUUGAACUUAGUGUGAUUUUUCAGUACAAUAAUUUUACUCUUUCACACGCUUCCGCGCAACACACAAUCUUGGUUAAUAAGUUGCCUAGCAAGACAAACACCAGGGAAUAGAAUUACAAAUAAAGCAAAAUGGGGCAUUAGGUGGCCCAACAAUGGCAGUUUUGCUUUUAAUUUGGGCAUGCUAAAAUUUUGGGUAGGGAAGAAGAACAACAAUGAGGGUUAACGAUUAAGUUUCUAACUAAACCAGGGAAAUAUAUAAGAAAGCUUCAAUGGGAGAAGAAGCAUUAAUGGGGACAGAAGACUUUGACUACUCUUCAGCUUUAUUUGGGAUGAAUAUUUCAUUUUCAAUAAAUUGUUUACACCUUUUAUUCUUUUAUCUUUUUUCUGGGAAACACCUUAAUCAAAGCACAUCUAAUUCCAAGAACAGAGCCGCGGUUAUCUCAAGCAAAAGAAAAAGAAGAUUUUAAUAUUAUUCAAAAAUUUUAAAUAAAUUUGGACCAUAUACUUGUAGAUCAACCUUUAUCACCUUAAUAAAUUCCAAUUACAAUGAGGAACAAGACAAUGCAAGUCUUAAGUCUUCUUUGAAACACAAAAACAUUUAAGUGGCUGAGAGCAACAACUGUUAUUGCUUUGGUCCUUUUGUGUUAAGUAAGACAACAGUUUGUUGGAUAUUUCUAAAAAGCAAGUUCAUAGUUAGAACUGUCAAGCAAGGCGACUCAAUGCCCAAUUGUAUAGAUUUUUUUUUCUUCCACGAAUAAUACUUAACCACUUUUCAAAUAAUUUUAUUAAUAUAAUUACAUGUUUUUAUCCAUUCGACUGUGAUACUCGAACUUGACAACUAGUUAUAUUUUGGUUCCUAAACUUAAAAAAUAUGAAAGUUUUAUGAUGCAACUCUCUAAUAUUGUGCUACAUCAUCACUUGAAAAUUAAAAAAAAAAUUAUAUAAAUUUUUAGAGAAUGGCAUGAUACAAUCUCUAAGUGUCACGUUCAUUAUUUUAAUAAUCAAGUUGAUGAUUGAACCAGUCAGACCACUAUUACUCGAUUCAAUUAGUUUGAUCAGUUCGACUGCUAGACCAACAAUAAUUAAAUAAAUCAUUAAACAUUCAUAAAAUUCUAAAAAGGUAGAAAACAAAAUUUAUUAAACUGAUUAAACAUGGUCAACAGCUGGGGUUUUUUUAAAAUUUUUUUAAUUUUUACCAAUUUCAAGUAAUUUUUAUAUUUAAUUGAUUCAACAUCUUUGUUCAAACUAUUAUACCGAUCGAUUCUCGGUCCAAUCAAUCUAACCAUCCAAUCCACUCCUAUACUAGUAACACUAAUCAUAUUAUCAAAUCUUGAUGGAAUUCAAGUUUAAGUUUAAGGGACUAUAGUAGACUUAGCUGCCAAGUUUAGAUAUCAAAGUGGACCAAAAUUUUCGCUUAUUUUAAAGAGAUCUUAUUUUUCUAAAAGUUUUUACUCUUUUUUUUAAUUACUAUAUAAUUUGUACUAAUUAUUUAAAACAUGUGUUAAAUCAUUUUUAACCAUACUCAAAACCAUUUUUUUAAUCAAAUAUAAGUACUUAAUAUUUAAUUAAAUUAAAAAGAUCAAAGAGAUAAAUUUCAAAAUUAUAUAUGAACUUUAAUUUAAUGUACUGCAAUUGUAUAUAUGAAUUUUAAUUUGGUGCAAUUAUACACUUGUAACUCUAAUUGUGGUUCAAAUAUAUACUUUAAACUUUAUAUAUACAAUUACACAUUAAACCAUAGUGUAUGUAUACAUAAUUCAUAAGUUGUACAUAAGAAGUAAGUUUUGGUUAGUGUAAUAUAACUGUGAUUCAAGAUUACGCAUUCAUUUCAGACAAAGCACACCCUUUGAAAUUCAAGUUUUGAUUCUGAUUCUUUCUUCUUCUUUUUUUAAUAAAACCUCUAUGAAAGAAUUUUUUUUUUAAUUCCUUAACGGUAGUGAUUUUGGGUUAUGGAGAAAAAAGGAGUGAAAAGUUGUGAUUUAUGUGGAAGUAGGGAUUUUUCUGUUUUAAUAGUUUUAGAAAUGGAUUUGAUGGAGAUUUCAAUAAUGCUUCAUGUUGGAUUAGUUUUGUUGCUACUUUGGAUGCUUUCUCAAUUCAAUCUUUGCCAUCCACUUCCUUAUUUCCUGUCUCUCAUCUACCUCUAUUUGGCAAUUCAUUCAUCUUCUGCUGAGAAUAAAAAAUGAAACUUUUUUUCUUUAUUUUUGAGCUUGGAUAUUGAACUUUUUUUUUAUUGUUUUUGUUACAGAAAUUCCUUUUAUUUCUUUGUUCAUCAAAGGUUCAUGAAAUGUAUGUGACGAGAUUGAGGAAGAAAUUGGAGUUGGAGGAAAUAAUGCACAAAGAAACUAGACAUGUCAACAACAAAACAAUAAUGCCAACAUUCUCAAAAGCAACAACAAAAAUGUUUUAAAAAAGGAAAUAGACAUCACACUUAGAGUAUAGAAAUACUUGGAUUGUAACCAUGAAAAACGAAAUAAGAUAUCCAACAUCCUCAUCACAAUGGAUUCUCCUCUGAUUCAUUACUAGCCUCUGCAAUGUAAUAACACGAUUAAAAGUUAUUGUAGCAGUAACUCUUAUAAAUAUUAAAAAACUAACUUGUAAAUACAUCGAUCAUGUCUAAAUCUAAUCUAAGUCAAGGUUGAUCUAAACAUGAAAAUUCUAACAAAUUCAUCUCAAUUCAGUCCAACUAAACCUAAACUAAAUUGACACAAAAAUCUAUUUAUAUAAUUUACUUUUAAUUUAUAUAUAACUUUACUUAUGAUUUAAAUUUAUACAUUUAAUAUUGAACAAAUAGUCAAAUUAAAAAAUUUUGGUAAUUAUGAACAAUAACUUAAGACAUAGGUAAUUAAAGAAAAUACUAAUAUAUAUUUAUAUUUAUAUAUAAGGCAAAAUAAUAUAAAGCUAAAAAGUGAGAUAAUGAAGUAAAAUGUUUCUAACCUUAUGCAAUAUUUGAAUUCGCUAUAGUAACACUAUCCAAUGGUGUACUUGGCUCGUUAUUAGAGUUCUCACAAUUAUGAACCUCCAUUGAUGUUUCAAGAGGAAGUUGAUGGAAUGGCUUAGGAGUUCAACAUCAGAUUCAAGUAUCUUCAAGAUUUUACUCAUUGAAGGGCAAUUAUUAUCUUCUUCACCGUUACUUUUUCAUCGUCAGAAAUAUCUCCGAACUCCAAGUCCUCUCCUUGAUCCAAUCGGUCAUAAAUCCAAGAUGGAAAAUAUAUUUGACUAGUGCGGUCAGCAAAUGCAUUCACAUUCUUUCUCCUUCCAACUAUUUCUAUCAAUACAUUCCAAAACUAUAAACAUCGGCUUUGUAUGAGAUGCCUCAAUAUAAAGUGAUAAUUUUAUAAAUUUCGUGCAAUUCAUAACAUAAAUAAUGCUAACCUCUAACCUUCCAUCAUAAUAAUUACCAUAAGGAUAAAUAUAAGAAUAAGAAUCUACAGAAGUAAUUAAGAGGAAGGGAGUUGCAAUCAUCCGUGUCCAACAAUCAACCCCUCCCAUAGUAGGCUGUCGAGGAGCCUCCUGCACAUCAUAAAUAGCACGAGUUGUACGCCCCAAAGCAUUUGCCAAGGACCAUCAAGACGAAGGUCAAUAACAUUUGUGUAAAUUUGGAGUGCUACCUUACAGCCAAAACUAACAGAAUAGUGACUGCUGUUUGGAUUGAAAUGUCAAAUGAGUCAGUUCGGAGUCGGAUACAAGCAAAGUAGCAUUCGAAGCAUCCGUUGCGCAUCAUAGGGGAUAGAAGACCUUGAGUUACAUGAUUUCAUUUUGAGUAUUGAAAAUUGAAAAUAGGAUAACUACCAACCACUAAUAUAUUAUCAGCAAAAUCUCCCAAUUGAAAGAACAAAAGAUGCAUCUAUACUAUGUUUAAAAGUUUAAUAGAGUUUAUGGUUAUCUAUCAAUGAGGUAUCAACUCAAUUGUAAAAUCAUUAAAAUCUUAUUAUUUUUAAAAACAAAAAAUAUUAUUUUGAAGGUAUUUUUAUUUUUAAUUAAACUUUAUAAAAUACAUCAAUUUAAUAGAAUUUGAACCCAAAACAUCAUAAUCCUUAUUACCUAAAUUUUACCAUAUUAAACAAAGCCACAUUUAGCUUUUAUAUCAUUUUUUAAAUAAGCUUGUUAUAUCAUUUUUUUUCACCCAUGUGAGGGUGCCAUAAUCUAAUAUAUCUUUAUUUAAUAAGUAAUAAUCCCAUAUGCAUUAGAGAGUAUUAAGUUGAGUUAUUAAAUUUAGGGUUUGUUAUAUUCUAACGAGUUAUUUUCAAUUCCAUUGAAAUGAUUUAUAGGUGAUAAAUUUUACAAUUUAAUACGAUUAAUUUUAUUAUAUUACAAUGAAAAACAAAAGAAAAAGAAGAAUUUAAUAUGGUUCAAAGUUUUUAAAUAAAUCUGGACCAGACAAACCUUUACCAUUAAUCUAUUCCAACUUCAAUGAGAACGACCACGACGAUGCAAGUCUCAAGUCCUGUUUGAAACGCAAAAGCUUUCAAGUGGUUGAGAGCAGCAAGCCCGAUCCCUUUUGUCCGUUUGUGUUAUGUAAGUCAAUUGUAGAGAACGAUUGUUGGAUAAUUCUAAACGCAAGUUAAUAGUUAGAAUCCUUGAGCAACGCACAUUCCGCCCCAACCCAUGCAUAACGUUAGACGAGACUCAAUGACUAAUUGUAUAUAUUUUUAAUUUUGUUCAACAACUACAUAAGUAUAUUUUUAAAUGAUUGUUAAUAUAAUUACAUGUAUUUUCAUCUAUUUUAUAUGAAUUUAAAAUAUUACAAAUUAAAUAUAAUAUAAGAUACAAGUUCUAUUCAAUUAAAUUUAAAUUUAAAUUCAAAAUUUAAAUUAUCCAACAAUAUAAAUAGUAGACAUAAAUUCAAAGAAAAAAAUUUAGGGUUUAGCUGGAAGAUUACCUCUCAAAUUCGACUAAAAUAAAUAAACAGAAUUUAACUCGGAGAUUACCUCUCAAAUUUAACUGAAAUAUGAAACAUACUCAAUAAUAAAGGUAACAAUUCAAAGGUAUGAAGCUACAUAAAUUCUUAGUUAUGUCUUUGAAAUAUUUUCAUAAAGGCAUGUGCAAAAACUUUUUGAUUCUAAACAAAUUCAUUGUCUCAAUAUUACUUAUUUAAAAUCAAAUCCACGUUUAUUUUUAAACAACUUCCAACAAUGUAUUUGGCUUGUAAUACCCAAUUUUAGCUCGGGCUCACAUAUGGAAACAUAAUCUUCAAGGAUAUGUAAUCUUAGAUAUGAUAUGUGCAAUCUUGGAUAUGAUAUGUGCAAUCUUGGAUAUGAUAUGCAAUCUUAGAAGAUAUGAUUUUGUAAUAUUAGAGAUUUAAUUUGUAGAUACCCUUUAAUCUUAGCCGUUGAUGUAAUUGGUCUGUACCGUUGGAUUUGGGGAGGCUCAACUAUAAAUAGAGGCCUCUCCCUUUAUUGUAAAGGGGGGAGAAAAAACAAUAAAAAAGGGAGAACGAUUGGCAGUUUUUUAAAGGUGACUUACUGUUUUUUUUUCAAUUAUUUAUUUAUGAUUUUAAAAAAGGAAGAAGGUGAUACCACUACGAAUUUUAUUUAUUUAUUUUUAUUUAGCCCUAAUAAAGUGACGCGUUUCAAAGGAUGGGAAUAUUUUUCCAUUCGAGGCCUAUGAGUUAUUCGCGCCUUUUAAUUGGGCCCUACAUUUUUUUCCCUUUAAUUAUGUUUUUGUUGCAAUUUAAUCCCUUUUGUAUUUGUGCUUUUACUAAUUAAUUGAUUAUUAUUAUUAUUUAUUAAUCCUAUUAUUAUUUCUACUAUUAUUGUUAUUAUUAUUUUCAUUAUUUCUUCUUAUCAAUUUACUUAAAUUUCAUGCGCAUAGCUUUAUCUUACUUUGUAUUUUAAUUUAUAUUACUAUUAUAUGUCAUUAUUUAAUUUUAUAAUAUAUUUUUCCUAUUCCUUUUAUAUAUUUGCCUCCAAAUAUGGUAUAUCUUCAACGAUUUUGGUUUUAUUUUUUAUUCAUUUAAAUAUAUUUCUAUAUUUUAAUAGAUUUAUAUAAUAAUAUUUUUUUACAAUACCAUGCUUUGUAUAUAUACAUGAUUGAUAUUAAAUUAUUCUUGUUAUAAAUUAUAGAUUUCAUUUUCGUCUUAUUACCAUAUAUAACUUUCCUCUUAAAAAACUAUUUUAUUAUAUUUUACCUAUUUUAUUGUAUUUCGUUUACUUCAAAUUCUUUUUACAUAUAUUAUUGUAUAUUAUUAUAAAGUCUUCUACUUUUCUAAAUAUACGUAUUUUACAUAUAUCACUUUUUUUCCCUAUUUAUUGCCAAUAUGGUGCAAGAUUGUUGUACUUGUUAUUGCGACAUUAUUACACACAUUCAGUAUCACAUUACAUCAUCUUCUUAUUCAAAUUUAAAAAAAAUAGGAAUUUUAAAAAUUGAGAUAAUGCUCGUAUUUAGGAUUUUCAAGGAAAUUGAGCCCUAACGUACAUUGGGUUUCGAUUUUUUUUGUUAAAUCUAACGAUCGAGAGUUGCUCAUUAAUCAUAAAAAAAAUAAAAUGAAAAGCUUGUUGUCGGGAAUUUAAUAUGUUGUGUCCUAACGUAUUGGAUGUGAUGUAUUUUUUUCUCGAUACAAAGAUUUUUUUUUAAAUAAUAACAAAGGAAGUAUUCCAAGUUUAGGAUUUUGAGAAAUUGUGCCCUAACGUAUUGGCCCGCGAUUUCUUAAAUCUUAAACAAAUGAAUAUUCUUUUAAAUUUUAUCGCUCGAGUAUUUUGGCCUAAUUCAUUUUUGAGGGAUUAGAAUGUCGUGCCCUAACGCAUUGGGUGUGACAUUUUUUUUCCUCCGAAAUGAUAAGAGUCUUAAUAAGUAACGUUUUUAAGUUUUUGCUAAGGAUUAUAUUUUUCAAAAUUUUUGACAUUAAGACACUAAUUAAUUAACUAGGUACCAAUUUUAGGCGUUACGAGGGUGUUAAUCCUUCCUCGUACGUAACCGACUCCCGGAUCCAUUUUUCUAAAACUCGUAGACCAAAUCUAUUUUUUUAGGUGAUCCAAUCACACCUCAAUAAAAUAUUGGUGGCAACUCCCAAUUUUUUGUUUUUUAAAAGUCGACAAAUAAAUUUUUGUUUUUCAAAAAAAUGGUUUCGACAUGGCUCAUCCAACAAAUUAUUUUUAAACAACAUUUAUUUAAAAAGAACCAAAUGAGAAUCAUUAUACAACUUUAUAAAGUCGAUGACACAUCCAACAUUUAAAGCACAAAGAAACUAGAUAGGCCAACAACAACAAAAAUAAUACCAACAUUCUCAAAUAUCGCAACAAAUUUGUUCUAAAAACAAAAGAUAGCGCAUCUCACCUAGAGCGUAGAAAUACUUAGAUUCAAUCAUUGUAACAACGAAAAAGGAAACAAGACAUCUAACAUCCUCAUCACAAUUGAUUCUCCUCUGACCCUCCAACAGCGUCUGCAUUAAUGCAAUAAAACAAGAAGAGGCUAUUGUGAUAGCAACUCUUAUAAAUAUUCCAAAAUUAACUUUUAGAUGCAUCAGGUCUUAAUCUAAGGCAAAGGGUUUAUCCAAACAUGAAAAAUCUAACCAACUCAAUUCAAUUCAACCCAACCUCAACCUAUCUAUGUACUUUACUUUUAAUUUAUAUGUAAUUUCAAUUAUGGUUUAAUUUAAAUAUUUUUUAACAAAAAUUUUAAAUACUUAAUAUUGAACAAAUAGCGAUAUUAAUGAAAAUUUGUAAUUAUGAACAAUAACUUAACACAUAGGUAGGUAAAAGUGUUUUUUUUUUACUUAAUAAUAUUAUUAGCAUUAGUACGUUAUUAAUUGUAUAUGAAAAUAGUGAAGCUUAAAAGUUAAAUUUUAAAGGUAAUGUCAUUGUCAAAUUUACUCAAAAUUUAUUUUUAACUAUAGUUAUCUAUGUACAUAUGUGACACACAUAAUAAGAUGCUAAUAUAUAUGUAAGGCACACUACACCAAAACAGGUUUUUAGCGGCAUUUUUUUAUGCCUUUAGCGGCGCUUUUUAGCGUUGCUAAAAGUAUUUGUGGCGUUUUUGGAAGCGCCGCAAAAAAUGCCGCUGUUCUCAACGCCGCAAACGUUUGUGGCUUUUUUAUAAAUAAACGCCGCUAUAGAUUAAGACCUUUAGCGGCGCUUUUUCAACAAACGCCGUUAUAGAUCAGGAUCUUUAGCGGCGCUUUUUUACAAACGCCGCUAUAGCUCAAGACCUUUAGCGGCGCUUUUUCAAAAAACGCUGCUAUAGAUUACGACCUUUAGCGGCGUUUUUUUCACAAACGCCGCUAUAGCUCAAGACCUUUAGCGACGCUUCUCGCAAAAACGCCACUAAAAACAUAACAUUUAAAAAAAGUAUUUUAAUCAAAUAAUAUUUAUUUUUAUGAUAAAUAUUAUAUUAUGUUUUAUUUUUUAAAUUUGAACUUUAAAUAUACUUUUAAGGAUAAAAAGUAUUAUUUAAUAGAAAAUUUUAACUUUAAAACUAAAUAUAAAAAUUAAUGAAUUUAGUUUUAGAAUUUAAAAUAAUAAAUUAAUAACACAAUUAAAAUCCAAAAGUUAGAACUCAAGUUGUCGUAAAUAUUAAAGUAAUAUUUACACAUUGCAAGGUAAUAAAAAAUACAAUGCAUUUUCUUAAUCAAGUAAAUCUUGGUAAUAAAAAAUACAAUGCAAACUACAUCUGCUACAUUCCUGGUUAUCCAAUCUUCAUGUACCCUGCAGAAUUGGGAAAAUAAUUAUAGUGCAUUAAAACAAAAAUUGAUAUUGACAAGUUAAAUGUGAAAGGAAAACAACAUGAAUGCAAAAAUUAAUACUCGAGGAAAUUGACAACUUAGCUAUCUCAACCAUGGAAAUGAAUUAGAUAUUGAAUAAGAGAGAUUACAGCAAUGAAACCAAUGAAUUCCUAGUUUACAUAUGUAUGUGCCACUGGACUUGUUAAGUGAAGAAUGAGAACCAAAUUUUUUUCAAUGACUACAGGACAUAAGACCAAGAGCAUCAAAAGUUUCCAAACAUGAAACAACUAAUCUAUUAAGCAAGUCAGAAAAUCAACGAGCUUAUUGUUUUAGCUAAUAGUGGAACAAGGAGACAAUUGAGAUCAAUUGAGACUAACCUCGGCUGAGAUGCAGAAGUUUCACGACAAUCAGAAAAGAUCACCUUGAUAUACUUAUAAUCUUCGCACCAUAAAUAAUCAAAGUAAUAAUCAUCGAUAUUAUUCACCUUGUUGCCUAACCUCACAUAAUAAUCAAAAUAAAUUUUAAAACCGCUCAAAAAUUUUAAAUAGAUUACAUCAACAUAUAUUGAGCAUAGCAACCUUCUAAAGAGAAAAUCAAACAAAUCAACUAAACGAACAUAGAAAAAUUGAUGCUUCAAACCAAAACACCAGAAUUUACUUUACCUCCAUCCCAUGGGGUGUCAUCAAGUCUGCAAAUCCAUCAAGUAAAGACAUUAGCACAAUUUAAUAGAACUUUAAUCUAAAAAGAAAGUACAUAAAGAUUCUCUAGUCUUAUUUCAUAAUAUACCCAAAUAUAACAGCAUUCCAAAGCAUAAUGUUGUUAUCUUGAGGUGCACCACUAAUUCCUGCACAAAAUAAAUGAUAAAAAAGGCCACAGUUCUUUAGCAUAAACAGCAAACAAAUUAGAUGAAAACCGGACUUCUACAACUAAACCGAGUUGUAGUAACAGUAUCCAAACGCCGCUAAAAGCCUGUUUUGGUGUAGUGGCAAAAUAUUAUAAAGUUAAACAGUGAGAUAAUGAAGUGAAAUGUCUCUAACCUUAUGCAAUUUUGAACUUGUUAUAGUAACAGUAUCCAAUGAUGCACUUGGCUUAUCAUUAGAGUUCUCAUAGCUAUGAACCUCCAUUGAUGUUUCAAGAGGAAGUUGAUGGAAUGGCUUAGGAGACAUCACAAGGAGUUCAACAUCAGAUUCAAGCAUCUUCAAAACUUUACUCAUUGAAGGACGAUCAGAAGGCAGUAAUUGUAUACACCAAAAGGCUAUUAUUACCAUUUUCUUUACCAUUGCUUUUUCAUCGUCAGAAACAUCUCCCAACUCCAAGUCCUUUCCUUGAUCUAAUCGGUCAUAAAUCCAAGAUGGAAACUAUAUUUGACUAGUGUGGUCAGCAAAUGCAUUCACAUUCUUUCUCCUUCCAACCAUUUCCAUCAGUAACAUUCUAGAACUAUAAAUGUCAGCUUUGUAUGAGAUGCCUCCAAGAUUUUUGUAAACCAAUUCAGGAGCAAUAUAUCCUAUCGUUCCUCGUGCCGCAGUGAGAGAGACAAUGCUGUCAUCUACUGAAUACAAUUUAGCAAGACCAAAAUCAGAAACUUUUGGAUUAAAAUUCUCAUCAAGAAGAAUAUUGUGUGGCUUGAUAUCAAAAUGUAGAAUUUGCAUGUCACAUCCUUGAUGUAAGUAGUGAAUUCCUUGAGCCACCCCAAGUACAAUAUCAAACAUUUUUUCCAGCCCAAAGUGUUCUUAUUUUCUUCUGUAAAUAUGAUUUUAUCUAAAGAUCCAUUAGACAUGAAGUCAUAUACCAGAGCUUGCUUUGAUCCCUCCACACAAAAUCCGAUAAGUUUUGCCACGUUAGCAUGAUGAAUUGUCCCAAUGGAAGCAACUUCAUUUAUGAAAUCUUGGCCAUUACCCUUUGACUUGCCCAACAAUUUUAUUGCCACAUGAUGCCCACUACGAAGCUUUCCUUUAAACAAUGAGCCAUAACCUCCUUCACCUAAUUUAUCUUUAAAAUUUUUAGUCAUUUUUUUAACUUCUUUAAAAGAAUACCUUAUCGGCACUAGAUUAUUUUGGCUUUGAAGGAACUCUUCAAUUGUAUCAUCCAUAGAUAAAUGUCUUCUUCUCCAUUCGUACGUGACAAGAGCAAACAAACAAAUUAUCUCAGGAAAUGACCUCAAAAAGAUAACUCCACCUUUAAAGAAAUACAAUGUAACACGUUGAAAUUAAUCACAUAAUAUAUAACUUACAUUCUCAGAAAAAAGGAUAUAGUGUGAUAGUUUUAUGUUAACUAGUAUUUGAGAGAGUGGCAUAUUUCACUAGUCUAUGGACUUAAUCGAGAGUAGUCUGAAUUAUAUGUUAUGUUUUGGUCAUUAGCAGGUAUAUCUCAACAAAUUAAAAUUCAGAAUUUCAAACACAAAAGGAGUAAAUCAUGCGAAGUGGAUACCAAUUAUUCUAACCUCACACAUUCCAAUAGAUUUGACAGGGUCAUGACAUUCACCCAAAUUAACACAUUCGUAACCCCGUCCAAUUAGCAAAUUCUAAAGAAAGCACAUGUUUCUUAACCAUGAAGGAUACUCAACGGUUGUCUCUAUUCAUGCCAAAUAAACUUGAGGAUGGACAAAUUAAAAAAUUAAUUAAACUGAAUUUUAGUAUUUUUAUUUUAAUAAUUUAUUUAAUCAAUAAGAUUAAUUAGAAUUAGAGGUGUUCAUGGGCCGGGCGGCCCGGCCCGGCCCGGUCCGGUCCAACAGCCCGUCCGAAAUAUGGGAGGGUUUGGGUAAAAAUAUAGGCCCGAAAUAUGGGCUUGGGCAAAAAAACGAGGCCCGAUUAAAAAACGGGCCGGGCCUCGGGCACAACUUUUUUUGGCCCGGGCCUGGCCCGGCCCGAAUAUAAUAAAUAUUUUAUUAUUUUUUUAAUUUUAAAAUACUUUAAAAAUACUUUUAUUAAAUUUUUUAAAUUUUAAAAUUUUUUUAAAAUGCUUUUUUAAUUUUUUUAAUUUUAAAAUAUUUUUAAAAUACUUUUUUUAAUUUUUAUUUUAAUUUUUAAAAUAAAUUUUUGGUAUUUAUUUAAAAAAUAGGAUAGGCCCGGGCUACAAAAUUUUUUCCUGGGCCCGACCCGAACCCGACCCAUGAGCACCUCUAAUUAGAACAAUGAACCAAUGAUUUAAAUUUCAUCAUAAUCUAACUCUAAAAAUUGUGGAUUUGAGCGCUCCCAAAUUUUCCUUCGCUUUCUCUCUCUCUCUGUUCUUCAACAUCGUGUUUAGAUCCGUCCCUCCCAGCCUUGAAAGAUUCCGUCUUUGACCCUUCUUCGUUGAAUCUAUCAAACAAAUUAGGGUUCCGAUCUGUUACCUGUUGUGUUCGUUUAAAAUUUUUUUUUCUUUGCCUCAAAAUUUCAUCUUCAGAAAGAGAGAGAGAGAGAGAGAGUUUUCGAUUUUCCUUGAUUUUGCUUGAGAUUUAUGUUCUAAUCUGAAAUUCAUUACCUUAAUGAUUUGCUAUAUCGGUUCGAUCUCCAUUACGAUUGCUUGCUUUUUGUAUCGGAUUUGGGGUUAAAUCCAAGCUUGCGUGUUUUUACAUUAAAUCAGUAACCAUCGGCUCAAACUCUACCCCUCUUUCUAUCUGGAAAAUUUUUACAUUAAAACAAACGGAGUUUGAAAGUUAAAAAUUGACAUUCCAUUGAGUUUAAGUUUGAAAGUUUGGCUCAACUCACCGAUUACAGCCGCUUACAUGAAGUAGAAGCCCUUAUUACAUCAAUACAUCUGUGUGUGUGUUUUUUUCCGCUUCCUCUUCUUUCUUUUGGCCUUUUUUUUCCUCUAAAAGCCGCACCUACAGCUUACUCCGUUCCCUGACAUUUGCCCUUAAAAUUACACUGAAAAUGCCCACAUGUUCCCCAAACUUCAUAUAUUACUCAAGUUUCGAUUCCUUGUCUCCGCAUCGAACCGCCACUUUACACAGUCAAACUCUGUGUUACGAAUUACCGCCUGCGCCACCUAUUGGACGAUAUGCCCAAACCAAGUUGAAAGCCCGAAUGAAGAAGCUAUAGAGCAUCCGAGAGUCUCCAUCGAUAUUUUCAACCAAUGGGGUUGCUGUGAAAACGAUUUGUUGAAGAUCUUUUCACGCCAACCUUCUUUGCGCAACGCUCAAGCUACUCCCCUUUUAUCCAAACUCAACUUGCUGAGUAGCUUGGGACUCACCGGUUCCGACAUUGUCAAGAUGGUCAAUUGUCGUCCUCGUUUCUUUUGUUCUCGUAUCAAUAAUUGCUUCGACGAGCGGAUUGAGUUCCUCGUUAACCUGUUCGGGUCGCGAGAAAUGCUUCGUAAAGCACUUGUUAGGAACCCUUCCCCCUUGACCUAUGAUUUUCACAAUGCCAUGAAACCAGUCAUUGCAUUGUACGAAGAGAUUGGCAUUAGAGGAAAUGAUUUGAUUGCUAUGCUCAUCUCACGUCCCACAUUGAUCCCAAGGACUUCUUUCAAUGAGGAGAAGAUGGAAUACAUAAAGAAAACAGGGGUUUCAAAAGGUUCCAAAAUGUACAAGUACAUAGUUUCACUCAUCGGAAUAUCGCGGAUCGAGACUAUACGUGAAAAGGUGACUAACUUGGAGAAAUUCGGAUGUUCAGAGGAAGAGAUUUGGAGUUUGUUGGGACGUUAUCCUCUUAUUUUGACACUUAUUUUGAAACUCUCGGUUGAUAAGGUUCAAAGGAACAUGACCUUUGUUUUGGGAACCAUGAAGCUGUCUCCAAGAGUGGUGCUUGAGCACCCCUUUUCUUGUUGUUCAGCAACCUCGAAGCCGUAUCGAAACCGCGGAUAUCGUUGGCUAGGAAACUAAAGGAAAUGGAGCUUGAUCCGCAGAUUAAAGGACCGAUCAUGUUGGCGGCAUUGAGGAUGACGGAAAAUCGAUUCUUGAAUGUGUUUAUUAAAUGCCAUCCGCAAGAUGUAGCAAAUGAACUGUUGGAGUUCUAUAAACAUGCCAAAGGUCUCAAGCCAUUGGCCGAAUCAUCGAAAAAAAUACUGCGUAAAGGAUUUCCAUUUUGAACAUUUUCGUUUGUUUGUUUGGUGCUGUCUUCGUUUUCUUUUUGUUCAUUCAUGCCAAGGGAUAUUUCGAUUAAAUUUUCAGAUUUAUAACUUUUAUUCUCAAAGGGAUAAUGUGAGACUCAAAAUUUUGGGAUAUAAAAAGGGAUGCCUCUUCGUGUUUCAUUGGUGUUCUCUCUCUGCUUAUAUUCCUUUUACUCCCCGUGAUGAAGAGUUGAAAUUUUUUCUAUGUAUGAUGGCUGGAGGGAAUAUAGAUUAUGGAACUCCACCAUUAUUAACUUUGUAGGCUCAAUUGGCACCAUUGUUGUGGUGCAACUAGAAAUAUGUGGGUUAAAACGUGUUUAAAGGCGUAUUUUCUUUUUAUUUAAGAGUUUAAAGGAGAUUAUAAUUUGUGAACAGUAAUUUUUUAAGGUAAAUCUUAUUCUAUAUAUUUUGACCGAUGAUUAUUUUUAUCCUUAAUAUAAAUUUGUGUUAAUUUUGGUUUGGAUGAUGUUUAUUAUUAUUUUUAAUUACUUUUCAAUGCGGAUAAAAUCUUGCACCAAUUAAAAUUCAUAUAUUAUUAUUAAAAAAGAUAAAUAAACAAAUUAAAUCUUUUUAAACUUCUUAUUUAUUUUCAAAGUUUAUUAAAUAGUAUUAUUUUAUUUUAUAUAAUUAAUGUAAAGUAAUAUAUGGGGCAAAAUAAUAUAAAGCUAAAAUGAAGUGAAAUGUUUCAAACCUCAUACAAUAUUUGAACUUGUUAUCGUACCAAUAUCCAAUGAUUUACUUGACUCAUCAUUAGAGUUCUCACAUGAUGUUUCAAGAGGAAGUUGAUGGAAUGGCUUAGGAGGCAACUCAGGGAGUUCAACAUCAGAUUCAAGCAUCUUCAAGACUUUACUCAUUGAAGGAUGAUUAGAAGGCAAUAAUUGUAUACACCAAAAGGCAGUUAUUCAUCUUCUUCACCAUUACUUUUUCAUCGUCAGAAACAUCUCCUAGCUCUAUGUCCUCUCCUUGAUUUAAUCGGUCAUAAAUCCAAGAUGGAAAAUAGAUCUGACUAGUGUGGUCAGCAAAUGCAUUCACAUUCUUUCUCCUUCCUACCAUUUCCAUCAGUAACAUUGCAAAACUAUAACCAAUUCAGGAGCAAUAUAUCUUAUCGUUCCUCGUGCCGCAGUGAGAGAGACAAUGCUAUCAUCUACUGAAUACAAUUUAGCAAGACCAAAAUCGGAAACUUUUGGAUUAAAAUUCUCAUCAAGAAGAAUAUUGUGUGGCUUGAUAUCAAAAUGUAGAAUUUGCAUGUCACAUCCUUGAUGCAAGUAGUGAAUUCCUUGAGCCACCCCAAGCACAAUAUCAAACAUUUUUUUCCAGCCCAAAGUGUUCUUAUUUUCUUCUGUAAAUAUGAGUUUAUCUAAAGAUCCAUUAGACAUGAAGUCAUAUACCAGAGCUUGCUUUGAUCCCUCCACACAAAAUCCAAUAAGUUUUGCCACAUUGGCAUGAUGAAUUCUACCAAUAGAAGCAACUUCAUUUAUGAAAUCUUGGCCAUUACCUUUUGACUUACCCAACAAUUUUAUUGUCACAUGAUGCCCGCUACGAAGCUUUCCUUUAAACACUGACCCAUAACCCCCUUCACCUAAUUUAUCUUUAAAAUUUUUAGACAUUUUUUUUAUUUCAUUAAAGGAAUACCUUAUCGGCACUAGAUUAUUUUGACUUUGAAGGAACUCUUCGAUUGUAUCAUCCAUGGAUAAAUGUCUUCUUCUCCAUUUGUACGUAACAAGAGAAAACAAACAAACAAAUUAUCCUAGGAAAUGACCUGAAAAAGAUAAUUCCACCUUUAAAGAAAUACAAUGUAAUGCAUCAGUACUUGUGAAAUUAAUCAAAUAAUGUAUAACUUACAUUCUCAAAAAAGUAAAUAAUGUGAUUGUUUUAUGCUGUUUUAUAAUUAACUACUACUUAAAAGAGGGGCAUAUUAUGUAAUGGCCUAAAUUUUCAGUGGUGUCGGAAUGGUGAUUCGAGAUCACUAAAUCUAAAAAAAAUGAGUAGAAAAUAUUAUUAAUUUAGUGAGAAUAAGUAAAUGUGAAGUUGGGAAAAUUUUUGAAAUAGUGAAUAGUGUACUAAGAAUAAAUAUUAAAAUAAUUAAAAUAAAAAAUGAGGUAUCGAGACCUUGAAGAUUUUAAACCGAGCCAUAAAUAUUUUUAGAAAUAUUUUUAGAGUGUCAUUGAGUUGGUAUUAAAGUUUCGUUAGAAAAUUUUAACGUUUGGAUAGUCAAUUAACUAAAAAGGACUAAAUUGAAAAUAGUGUAAAAUUUGUUAAAUUGUGAUUAAAUAGCCUAAGUGAUUAAAAAUGAGGGAUUUAAAAGACAAUUAGGCCCAAACUAUAUGGGCUGGACGGUUGGGCAAGAAAAAUCUGGAAAAGUGAUGUAAUAAGGGUAAAAUUGGAAAUUUUGUAAAAGUUAACAAAUAAAAAUCUCAAUUAAAAGAGUUUCUAGGCAAUUCUUCAUAAUUAUCAGCCAAAAAAUGCCAUUUAAGUGUCCUUCCAAGCCGGUUUUUCAUAUAUUUGAAUCAUGUAAGUUUAAUUCUUGAUUAUUUCUUCUAAUUUUUGUGGUUUUGAUACUUUUACAAUUAGGUCCAACUAAUUGUUUCAUUAGUUAUUGAUUUUAUGGAUGAUUUUGAAAGUUACCAUUGAUGAGUACUGAAUUUUUAUGAUGAAUAAACAUGGAAUUAAAGCUUUGAUUUUGUUAUAUGAUGAUUCUAUUAAAGUAAUUUUGAUAGAAAUUGAUUUUAGGGACCUAAUUGUAAAAAGUUGGGAAUUAGGGUUUGGGGUUGCGGUUUUGAAUAUGGAAGGCUAUGUAGUAGUCUAAAAUAGUUGGAAAAUGUGUUAAUUGAGAAAAAUUAGAUCAAUUGAGGGGUUAAUUGAGUAGAGACCAAAUUGUAAAAAUUGUAAAGCUUGGGGUAAAAGUGUAAUUUUGAGAAUUUAAGGGCAGAAACUGUGAAAUGAAUUAGAAUAGAAUUAAAUGCUGAUGAAUGAAUAAAUUUUAAUUUUAGAUCGAGAACCUGAAACAAGUCGAGGAAAAGAAAAAGUAGCUAAUUAGUCCCUGAACUUUUACAAAUUAAGCAAAUCAACCCAGGUAAGUUCAUAUGGCUGAAAUUUAAUGAUUAAAUGUUAAUUUCAUGAAUUAUGCAAUGUAUGAUGAAAUGUAUUUAUUGUUGAAAUGAGAAUAAAAUAAAAAUGUAAAAAUCGAAUAAAUGAUCAAAUUAAGUGGAACGCCGGAUUUAAGUACUUCUGAUCAAGAGAUAAAGUGAUAAGUGGUAGCUUUAGCUACACUUAUCUGAUCAAGUGAAAAAGUGAUAAGUGCUACACUUAUCUGAUCAAGAGACAAAGUGAUAAGUGGUAGCUUUAGCUACAAUUAUCUGAUCAAGUGAAAAAGUGAUAAGUGCUACACUUAUCUGAUCAAGUGAAAAAGUGAUAAGUGCUAUACUUAUCUGAUAAAGUGAGAAAGUGAUAAGUGCUACACUUAUCUGAUCAAGCGACAAAGUGAUAAGUGAUAGCUUGCUACACUUAUCUGAUCAGGGACGUAAGACCAUAGUUAUACUAUGGCAAAGUGAAAGUGAAGUACUCAAUUUUCUGUAACUGUUCUUUAAUUUUGAUCAAGGAUGGUAAGUGACAAACGGGCCCAAAGGAAUUAUGGUAAAAGAAUAAGUAGUAGUGAGUUCAUACCAAGGAAUUCACCAAAGAUUGUGGUUGACAGGUAAACUUAGUAAUUGUGUAUAUUGUAAGUGUACAAAUGUUUGGUAAGAUUUAUGUUUUAUGCCUAUGAACUUACUAAGCUUUUCUAUAAGCUUACAUGUGUGUGUUUAUUGUCUUUGUAGAUUAACAUAUUUAUACAUUCGGAGGAUCGGAUCUACAUCGAGAAUCACACUAUCCAGAUAUACUCCGGUAGAUUAUGUUAAGCAGCUUUUUGGAUUUAUAUGGCAUGUAUAGGGAAUUGAAGUAAAAAAAGUAAUAGAAUGAAUGACUAAGUAUGCAAAGUAAAUUUGAAUGUGAUGAUUGUGUUAGACAUUGAAAAAUACAUGUUUUUAGUUUGAAAUGGUUGAUUGGUUGAACUUCAUUAGUAUUCAAGCUAAGUAGUUGAAAUACUGAAAUUGGUUGUGAUUUGAAAUUUGCAGGGAAGGUUAGGUAAUUAUAAAGGGGUUAUAUUGAAAUUUUUUUUAAAAUUUCAAUGGAAUUGUUUUUGGACAGCAGCAUUGAUGUAACUUUGAAAAAUCACUAAAAAUAGUGGAAAUAGAAUUAGAAGUUGAGUGAGAUAUGAAAUUAAAGCUGAAUGAGUCUACUUUCACAUAAAAGAAGUAAAGUAAGCAAAAGAAUUAUAUACUUUUAGAUAUUUGAAUUUUAGUGAAACAGGGAAAAAAUGUUUUUGAAGUCCCUUAUUCUGACUUUAAAAAUUCAUUAAAAAUUGUACAGAAGUAAUUAUGAGUUAUAAUUUAUAUUUAUAGACUCCUUAAUGAGUCUAUUUUCAGUAGAAAUAAGUGGAAGCACCAUAUGAAGUCUGUAAUAAGAGAUAAUUGAAUUUUAGUGAUGAGUGGUCAAGAUAGUUGAUCAGUGAAACAGGGGAGACUUCAACUAAUAAAAUUUACUAAUUGGAUAAACCAAAAAUUCUGAAAAAUUUAUGGUGAAUAGAUAUAUGAGUCUAGUUUGAAGAAAAAUUUACGGAUCUAAAUUUCAAGUUUCGUAGCUUGAGUUAUAAUUAUUUUAGUGACUGCUGCGCAGGUGGAUAGCUUUAUUAUGAAUGGUGAAAUUAAUUUUGAAAGUAAAUUUUUAUGCCCGAACUUUUAAGUUAAGUCAAGUAACGCCUCAUGCUCGACUCCGGCAACGGUCUCGGGUAAGGGGUGUUACAUAUUAAUUUCACUACUUUAUGGAAUUAAUUUAGAAAUAACAGUGAUGCCUUGUGUUUACCCUUCUUUACCAAAUGAAAAACUUUGAAAGGUCAUUGAGAACCCAAGAAAAAUAAUUCCGAAUUAUAUGUUAUAGUUUUAUAUUCUAGCAGGUGCACCUCAACAAAUUCAAACUUAGAACUGCACACACAAAGGAGUAAAUCAUUUAAAUUGGAUACCAAUUAUUCUAACCUCACCAUGGUCCAUCAAGGAUACUCAACUUUUAUAUUCAUGUCAAAUAUACUUGAAGAAGGACAAAGUACAUAUCUAAUAACCUUCAAUCUUUUUAAAUGAAACGAAGUCUAUAAUCACCAAAAAAUGCAAAACAACCAAAAAAAAAAUUUUGGGCCGAUUGAAGAGCUAACUUUGUUGAAUGUUUUAGCAAUAUGAAUAUUCACCAAACUUACAACCUUUGGAAGUUCUAAACAAGACCAUUAUGAACACAAACUUAACCAAAACUUCAACAUCAUUAUUUACUUGACAAAAAAAAUUUUCUUUCGUAUAACAGAAGAAGAUUGUUUUCAGCAUUCAAACUCCUUAAAGAGUGCUAGAUUUCUUAGUUUUGCAGUGAAAUUAAAUAUGAACUUGUAUAGUAUGAUAGGCUCCUUAUUCUUCCCCCCCCCCCUCCCCCAAAGAAUAUUGCUAAUAUCUUUUCUUAACUAGUGCUAGAAUUUGUAUCGGAAAAAAUGCAAAUCCAAAAUUAACAAUACCUGUUAUUGCCAAACAGAGAAUAUAAGUUCCUGUAAAAAAACCACGAAUAAAAACGAAAUAUCAUUAUUUCAAGAGAGCAGCGAAAUAGUAAAAUCAAAGCACUUCUAAAUUCUAAUGAAUUUUGGGAAGCAUACUUCUUGGUAUAUAGAAUGAUUGACAAACGUGCUUUUGGCUGAAAAGAACAGAAAUUUGAUUUCUCAAUUUUUUCCACAAACGUGCUUCAGGGUCGAAGGAAGCAUAUGGAAGAUCUCACUGUCUGCAUGCUCGAUCUCCACAUUCCCUUCCCGAGUAUCUCUCUUUCUUCAUAUCUUUUUUUUUUGUGCGGCUUCGUGGUUUUAUUAGAAUGCGUUCAUAGGGGAAUUAGUCUUACGAUUAAUAUUUUCUCUUGUAAAAAGGAUAAAUUGAUGUUGCAAUUUAAUGACAGUUUUUAUGCUAUGGAUUGAGAAUGAGAUUCUAGGGUUUUUCAUUGAAUGAAUUUGCUUUUGGUUGUUUUAUUAACAAACUUUAUCGCUUCGUUUAAGAAAAAAAAUCCUUCUUUUAAGAUUGAAUUUAUGAAGUUUUGUCGGUUAAUUAAAUGCUUAGCUCUUUUCUAAUGACUGUAACCAAUGUAGCAAUGAUAUUAACGUAACCAAAGAAGGUUGAGUUAUAAAAGUGGAGAGAUAUUAUGCUAAACCGAACUACUAACUUCAAUAGUUUACUUCUUAGUGUUCUUAUAGAGGCAAUUUUGUUUGAAAAGGAUCUUUCUAAACAAUGUAAGAUUUGGUAUUUUUACUUAUUUUGUGAUGGUUGAAGAAGUUUGUGCGUAUCACUGAUUUAGUAACUUUGUCUAACGUCUCAUCCUAUGUUUUAUUUUUAAUACAUAAAUUUUUGAUACAUUGGAGCAGGAAAAAUUGGGUUAAGGAAGUUUCAGUCGGAGUUGUUGCAGUUUUUGAUGGUCAUAAUGGUGCUGAAGCUAGUGAGAUGGCUUCAAAACUUUUACUGGAGUAUUUUGCUCUAUAUACAUAUUUCCUUUUGGAUGCAACUUUUUCCUUUGUAUUGAAGAAGCAGUCAAGUAGGUUGCCAAAUGUAGGAGAAGGGGAUAUUGUUUUCCAAGUGCUUAAUUGGGACAAAGAGAUUGGAAAGCGUGGCUUGAACUUUGAAAGGUGAUAUCAUGUGUAACUCAGACCAUAUUUAUGUUUGAGUUCCUUGUUUUAGAAAAUGGAUAUAGCUGUUGCUUGCUGUUGACGAUUCUUAACCCAAAGUAUUAAUGCUUGCUCAGAUUAUUAACCCAAUGUUUAUUUCAUCAUCUUAAAGUUGCUUCCUGUUUGCUUCUACCUGCUAUUCAGCUGGUUGUGGGAAUUAGCCAUCCCUCGUGGAUUUCUCUGACAUUUUUCAUUGGAAGCUGUAUUAGGCUAGUGGAUUGGUCUUUGACUAGCAAUUUUCUAGGACUAUUCAGGUGAUUGCUUCUUGACUCUUUGUACAUUGUUCUAUUUCAUUUUCUUUGUCAAUGAGUUUGGUUUUAUCAUUGGUUAAUGUUUUUAGUAACUUAUGUUCUGUUUCUUUUUUGUCAAGGUUGUGGAAGGCUCUCCAGUUUUAUGCAGGCUUCAGCAUUUUCAUGCUUUAUGUGUAUCAACUCCGUAUAGAGUUCUCAAGUAUGUUACAGUGGAUAGCUGAUUUUGUUGGUCUAUUCAAAAUAUGUUCAACAUCUGAGUGGACUGAAAUUUGCUCUUCUGUUUCUCUUGUACUUUAUUACAUCAUGGUAUGUACUAGUUUUAUUACUAUAGGUCUGAUUCUGUUUAAAAAAUUUAGCUGAACCUUUUAAUGAAAUGCAAUACACUCUUCCCUCUUCCUAGAAUCUUAUAUUAUGAAAUUGACUUCAUUUGAGUCUUUCCUGUGUCUGACAUUUGUCUAUCUAAUAGUCUUUUCCCCAUAUUACUAAUUUAAGAUGGUUUGAAGUGUUUUCUUUCUAUAAGAAAAAUUUCCUGGACAGAUAUGAAGUAUUUAGUUGCAAACUAGACUUUGGAGAUUGAUGACAAUUUUGCCAUUCUGGAUGCAAUUUUUAUUCAAUUUGCUCAAUGAAAUUGCAGUUGAAAAUUUGAGAGCUUCCUAGUUAGAAACCACAUAUUUAUAUAAUAUAUGUUUUUAAUAGUUUUGAACAAGUUAAAUUAAUUAUAAAGAAAUAAUAUAAUUGAGAACAAGAUUAGAGUAGCUCGUUUGUACAUCUCAAUCUUAAUAUUAAGUGAUUGAUGACUCUAAGCUACUUAAAAACAAGAAGACAAUCAAUCUUCACUUUAAUUUGUAUGACGCAAAGUUUUUAAAACCAUUUCAAAGAACCGUUAAGAAAUAAUAGAUACAAGAUCUAAUCAAAACAUCAAGUAACGACCCAACCAAAACCCACCAAAGAGAUAUCCAAAGUCUCAAAUUUGGAAUUAAAGGUCAACGUAAACACAAAAUUCUCCAAAAGUAUUAUGAGUUCUAACUUUUUAAUGGGUAUAAUUUCUAAGGUAUUUACAUGCAAAAUUUGUAGCCCAAAUAAUAAUAAAAUAAUAUAAACUAAUCAAAGUUUAACUAAAAUAAAUAAAUAGAAUUUAGCUGAAAGAUUACCUCUCAAAUUUAAUCGAAAUAUGAGGCAUGCUCAAUAAUAAAGGUAUCACUUCAAUGGUAUAAAGCUACAUAAAAUCUUAGUUAUGUCUUUGAAAUAUUUUGAUAAAGGCAUGUGCAAAAACUUUUUGAUUCUAAACAAAUUCAUUCCCUCAAUAUUAUUUAUUUAAAAUCAAAACCACAUUUAUUUUUAAACAACAUCUAACAAUGUAUUUGGCUCAUCCAACAAUUUAUUUUUAAACGACAUCUAUUUAAAAAGAACCAAAUGAGAAUCAUUAUACAACUUCAUAAAGUUGAUGACACAUCCAACAUUUAAAGCACAAAGAAAUUAGAUAGGCCAACAACAAAACAAUAAUGCCAACAUUCUCAACUACGGCAACAAAUUUGUUCUAAAAACAAAAGUAAGCGCAUCGCACCUAGAGCGUAGAAAUAUUUGAAUUCAAUCAUUGUAACAACGAAAAAGGAAACAAGACAUCCAACAUCCUCAUCACAAUAGAUUCUCCUCUGACCCGCCAACAGCGUUUGCAAUGCAAUAAAACAAAAAGAGGUUAUUGUGAUAGCAAAUCUUAUAAAUAUUCCAAAAUUAACUUUUAGAUGCAUCAAGUCUUAAUCUAAGGGAAAGGGUUUAUCCAAACAUGAAAAAUCUAACCAACUCAAUUCAAUUCAACCCAACCUCAACCUAUCUAUAUAGUUUACUUUUAAUUUAUAUCUAAUUUCAAUUAUGGUUUAAAUUUAAAUAUUUUUUAACAAAAAUUUUAAAUACUUAAUAUUGAACAAAUAGUCAUAUUAAUGAAAAUAUGUAAUUAUGAACAAUAACUUAACACAUAGGUAAAAGUAUUUUUUUUUACUUAAUAAUAUUAUUAGCAAUAGUACGUUAUUAAUUGUAUAUAUGAAAAUAAUGAAGCUUAAAAAUUAAAAUUUAAAGACAAUGUCAUUGUCAAAUUUACUCAAAAUUUAUUUUUAACUAUAGUUAUCUAUGUACAUAUGUGACACACAUAAUAAGAUGCUAAUAUAUAUAAGGCAAAAUAUUAUAAAGUUAAACGGUUAGAUAAUGAAGUGAAAUGUUUCUAACCUUAUGCAAUAUUUGAACUUGUUAAUAUCCAAUGAUGUACUUGGCUCAUCAUUAGAGUUCUCACAGCUAUGAACCUCCAUUGAUGUUUCAAGCGGAAGUUGAUGGAAUGGCUUAGGAGGCAUCUCAAGGAGUUCAACAUCAGAUUCAAGCAUCUUCAAAACUUUACUCAUUGAAGGACGAUCAAAAGGCAGUAAUUGUAUACACCAAAAGGCUGUUAUUACCAUUUUCUUUACCAUUGCUUUUUCAUUGUCAGAAACAUCUCCCAACUCCAAGUCCUCUCCUUGAUCUAAUCGGUCAUAAAUCCAAGAUGGAAAAUAUAUUUGACUAGUGUGGUCUGCAAAUGCAUUCACAUUCUUUCUCCUUCCAACCAUUUCCAUCAGUAACAUUCCAAAACUAUAAAUGUCGGCUUUGUAUGAGAUGCCUCCAAGAUUUUUGUAAACCAAUUCAGGAGCAAUAUAUCCUAUCGUUCCUCGUGCUGCAGUGAGAGAGACAAUGCUAUCAUCUACUGAAUACAAUUUAGCAAGACCAAAAUCGGAAACUUUUGGAUUAAAAUUCUCAUCAAGAAGAAUAUUGUGUGGCUUGAUAUCAAAAUGUAAAAUUUGCAUGUCACAUCCUUGAUGUAAGUAGUGAAUUCCUUGAGCCACCCCAAGUACAAUAUCAAACAUUUUUUUCCAGCCCAAAGUGUUCUUAUUUUCUUCUGUAAAUAUGAUUUUAUCUAAAGAUCCAUUAGACAUGAAGUCAUAUACCAGAGCUUGCUUUGAUCCCUCCACACAAAAUCUAAUAAGUUUUGCCACAUUAGCAUGAUGAAUUCUCCCAAUAGAAGCAACUUCAUUUAUGAAAUCUUGGCCAUUACCCUUUGACUUGCCCAACAAUUUUAUUGCCACAUGAUGGCCACUACGAAGCUUUCCUUUAAACACUGAGCCAUAACCCCCUUCACCUAAUUUAUCUUUAAAAUUUUUAGUCAUUUUUUUAGUUUCUUUAAAAGAAUACCUUAUUGGCACCAAAUUAUUUAGGCUUUGAAGGAACUCUUCGAUCGUAUCAUCCAUGGAUAAAUGUCUUCUUCUCCAUUUGUAUGUGACAAGAGCAAGCAAACAAAUGAUCCCAGCAAACAACCUCAAAAAGAUAACUCCACCUUUAAAGAAAUACAAUGUAACACGUUGAAAUUAAACAAAUAAUAAAUAACUUACAUUCUAAGGAAAAAGUAAAUACUGUGAUAGUUUUAUGUUAACUAGUAUUUGAGACUAGUCUAUGGACUAAGCGAGAGUAGUCUGAAUUAUAUGUAAUGUUUUUGUCAUUAGCAGGCAUAUCUCAACAAAUUAAAAUUCAGAAUUUCAAACACAAAAGGAGUAAAUCAUGCAAAGUGGAUACCAAUUAUUCUAACCUCACACAUUCCAAUAGAUUUGACAGGGUCAUGACAUUCACCCAAAUUAACACAUUCGUAACCCCCUCCAAUUAGCAAAUUCUAAAGAAAGAACAAGAUUCUUAACCAUGAAGGAUACUCAACUGUUGUCUCUAUUCAUGCCAAAUAAACUUGAAGAAGGACAAAUUAAAAAUAUAAUAACCUUCAAAUUUCAUAAAUGAAACAAAAUCUAGAACCACCAAAAGAUGCAAGAGAACCCCCAAAAAACAGAUUUGAUAAAUUCAAGAGCUAAUUUUCUUUACUUGACAAAAAAAUAUUCUUUCGUAUAAUAGAAGAAGAUUGUUUUCAGCAUUCAAACUCCUUGAAGGAUGCUAUAGAUUUCUUAGUUUUGCAGUGAAAUUAAAUAUAAACUUGUAUACUAUGAUAGGCUCAUUAUUCCUUAUUUCCCCCAAGAAUAUUGCUAAUAUUUUUUCUUAACUAGUGCUAGAAUUUGUAUCUGAAAAAAAUGCAAAUCUGCAAAUCCAAAAUUAACAAUACCCGUUAUUGCCAAACAGAGAAUAUAAGUUCCUGUAAAAAAACCACGAGUAAAAACGAAACAUCAUUAUUUCAAGAGAGCAGUGAAAUAACAAAAUCAAAGCACUUCUAUUGAAUUUUGGGAAGCCUACUUCUUGGUGGGUCCAAUGAAUUGUAGUAGACAUGGGGGCCGUGGAAAAGGAAAUGUACAAAGCUGUCCAUAUAGGUACUGGAGGCAAAUUUCAACCUUGACAAUCUGAAUUAUAUAUUCAACAAAUCAAAGUAAAAUUAAUAAAGGGGUGUAAGGAAAAUUCCAAAUUUGUGUAAAAAGACAAAUGGAAGGUAAUUUAAAACAUUAUAUUAUGUUUUGUGGUAUAUACUCAAAAAAAAAAAUACAGCAAUUCUUUACAUAUGUUUGCUUGUAAAAAGUAUGCAACAUGUAUUACAGUAGAAGAGUUUUUAGGUAACUAAAAUGAUUUAAUAUAAUGAAAGGUGAGACAAAUUUUAUUCAAAUUAAUUAAUCCAAAAAGUAUAUAUUAUAGCAUUAAAAGAGUUUUUGCGAAAAAAAUAAACUCAUCCACAAUGGUGGAAUAUUUACGUACUACCAACUAAAUUGAAAAUUCAUCAAAAAUAAAAACAAAAUAAAAAGAUAGACAUAAUCAAAUAUAAUUGUCCAAAAAGAAGACAAAACAGCAGAGAAAGCAGAGGCAGAUACUAAAUUAGAAAUGCUUUUAGUUCAUUUGAUUGUUAGAUGUUGAUCAAUUUUAGAUGCAAAAUCAUCAUACUUAAUUACCAUCAUACAAUUUAAUUGCGAAUAAAGUAACAUAAAAUAAAACAAAACAUAAAGUAGAUGUUGUAACUAAAAAUUCCAGUAUGAUGCACACUCAAAAUGCAAACUUUAAUUAUUAAAGAAACUUACAUUUCUUUCAACCAAACUUUGUUUUUAUUGUAGUAGCAACUCUGGUAAUAGCAUCUAUCCCAUUCGACCCAAAAACCUUCUAAUAGUUUUUUUAGAUAUCCGGCGUAGACAUACCUAUUAUAUUAUCAAUCAUAAUUGGAACCUCCGCUUCGAUAGUGCAAGCUUGAUUGAUAUAAGAUGGGUGGGUGUUUCCAUUUAAAAAAUAGAAAUGGGAAGUUGGAAGGGAUCGAAGAGGAGGUAUUGAAUUUGAUGGUACAACGAGAAACCUCAAUAUAAAGUGAUAAUUUUAUAGGUUUCGUGCAAUUCAUAACAUAAAUAAUGUUGCCCUCUAACCUUCCAUCAUAAGAAUUAUAAAAAUAAUAAUACUUAGAAGAAGAAGAAGAAGAAAGGGAAAAAAAUGAGUGUUCAUAAUGAUAAUAAUAAUUAUCUACAGAACUAAGAGGAAGGGAGUUACAAUCAUCCGUGUCCAAGCUCGCAUCAAUUAUUCGUAUUUUAUAAUUUUCCUAAAAGAUUUGUUAGACAGAGAAUUUCCCUUCUUUAUCGACCAAAAUGGUGAGAUUAUUGUUCUCACACUCAAAUUCAAAGCCAUAAUGAUCACAGUGGGGAGGUUGGUUUUUUAAUCGGAAUGGAAAACUGAUAUUCAAAUUCCCACAGAAAGUAGAGCCGCAGUCUUGGUUAAUAGAUGUAAAAAAUCAAUUGAAUUUGAAGGUAAUCUAAAACACUGUAUUUUGUUUUGUGGUAUAUCUUAUUCUAAAUAUUCCUUUUUUCAGCCAAUAAAUUUUAUUAAAACCUCAAGAGGAAACUGACCAAAAGGUCAUUCAUACACCUAAAUCAUCAAUAGCUCGACAACAAGUAUGAAAAGUUAGAACUCCCAAGGAACAAGUCAGCAUAGAAGAAAACUCAACCCAAAACCCAACAUUGAAGAAGAAACAAAUCGCAUCAUCUAUUCCAUAUUUUUAACCAACCUUAUUCUAAAAAACAUUAUACCAAUUAUUUACCUAUUUUUUUUGUUUCUAAAAAGUAUGCAGCAUCUUUUACAGUAUAAUAAUUUUUACAUAACCAAAAUUAUUUUAUAUGAUGAAAGGUGAGACAAAUUUUAUUCAAAUUAACUAAUCCAAAAAUAUAUAUUAUAUAGCAUUAAAGGAUGUAAUAGUGAAACAUACUCAAACAUAAUGUUAUGUUUUUUUAUAAACAUGCUGUUGUUUAUAUUAGGAGCCAUUUCAAGGAGUUCAACAUCAGAUUCAAGCAUCUUCAAAACUUUACUCAUUGAAGGACGAUCAGAAGGCAGUAAUUGUAUACACCAAAAGGCUGUUAUUACCAUUUUCUUUACCAUUGCUUUUUCAUCGUCAGAAACAUCUCCCAACUCCAAGUCCUCUCCUUGAUCUAAUCGGUCAUGUAAAGCCCAAAAUCUGCCCGGGCCCAUACCAGCAAAAUAGACCCAAAUAAUAAAAUACAACAAACCCAAAAUUCAAUCCCAACUACCCAAACCUUAAGCCCAAACCUAAUAGCCCAUAACAAACUUUCAGCAACAGCAAACCCUAGCCCCAACUGCCCAUGAGCGCCGCAUGUGUGCCGCGCCAUCUCCCCGUCUGCCACGCCCACUCGCACGCCUCUGCCACCAUUGUCGGCCAUGGCCACCUGCAAGAAGCCAAGUAGAAAUAAACAAAUAGAAAAUAAACAAUGGUAAUCGGUUAUAAAAACCGAAAAUCUCACCAUUGCUGGUGGGGGGGAUUUUUGUAUAAAAAAAACAGCGUUUUGAAACAAAGAAAUAAGAAGAAUAUAGAUCGAAUUCUGAGAAAGUUUUUUUUAGGUGCGAAUCUUUCGUUUUUUUUUUCGUUAUUUGGUUUUUAUUUUAUUUUAUAUAUGCAUUUGAUAAAUCAAAAAUAAAAAAGGGAAAAGACGGAGAGUUCUUACCGUGGCGCCGUCGAAGCUCUUCUUCUCUCCGUCCAAAUCGGAGUUGAGGAAGAGUGGCUCUUAGUUUCUCAAGCGGUGGAGAGAAAAAGAAAGGGGGCUAGGGUUUCACAUGUUUGCUUUAUUUUCUUAAAGAAUGGCAGAUUAUAGUGAUUUGAAGGUUUUAUUUUUUUAAAAUAUCAAACGGCGUCUUGUAAAGGAAAGAGGGUUGUGCAUUAUUACCCUAAUGGGUAUUUUACACAGUUAGUCCCUCCAAUUCUGUGACAGAUGCGACGCACUCUUUUAUUUCUUUUAAUUUCGGCCACGUAAUUUCUCGCCUGUUCCAAUCUGGUACCGUGCAAAUCAAUGCGCAUACGGGAUGGGGAAUAUUGCGCAACCGGUCCCCAUGCCCUCAGUGCCUUUUAUUUCAGCUCCUUUACCACCUAUUUCAUAUAUUCGCAGUUUAGGACCUGAUUUUUUAUUCUGUUUCAACCAUGUCCUCGAUAUAUUUAGUUUGUUUUUAAUUUUUUUUAAAAAAAUAGGCUAUUUUAUUAUUAUUUGUUUUAAGUCCUUACAUUUAUUAUUUAAAUUUGUUUUACAUUAAACUCAUCUAUAUUUUUCAUAUAUUUUUGAACUGUUUCUUUUAUCAUUUAUGAUUUUCUUUAUAUAUUAUCUUAUUCUAGAUUGUUUUAGAUUAACUAGUAUUUGUCUCGAGUCUUAUAUUUUAUUUAUUUCAAAUACAUGUGUACAUUUUUAUUUUUAUAAAUACAUACACGUUUAUAUCUUUACAUUCACAUAUAAUAUAUACUUCUUAAAUUUUUACAUAUAUGCAUACAUUUUGUGAAAUAUAUCUGUAUGUAAAUAUUUUAUAUAAACAUGUACUCACUUUCAUAUUUUUACAAUUUGUAUACAUCUCCAUAUAUACCUAUAUACAUUUUAUUUUCAUGAAUAUAAAUAUACGUACCUUUUAUCUAUAUUUAUAUGCAUAUAUUCUUUAUAUUUUAUGAUCUUAAACUAUGCAUACGUCUAUAUAUUUUUGUAAUACACAUACAUACCUAUAUCUUAUAAUUUAUAUAUUUAUUAUAUUUUGUAAUUUUAAAAUAUGUAUAAUAAAAACAUACAUGUUUUAUUUUAUUUUAUUUUUCUUUUACUCGAUGUUUAUUUAUUAAUUUGGCUACAUGUUUAUUAUUAUUUUAAAAGGACAUUUUAAUCCUAUUUGCUUAUUCAUUUGUUAUGAUGCGAUUGAUCCAACUCUUAUUUAUUUAUUUCAUUGUUAAUGUUUGUUUGUAUUGUUUAUCCUUAACUUGCUGCAUUCAUUAUUGUUUCGUCACACAUGUUAACACCAUGCAUCAAAACCUUUUUUCCUAAGUAAGGCAAUAUUUCGCGUUUGGAAAAUUCGAGAAAACGUGCCCUAACGCGCUGGGUUUCGAUUUCUCGUUCGACCAAAUAGCCAAAUAUCCUUUUUAAACUUUCAAUCAAUAUUAUUAGAGUUUUCUUUAAGGAUCGUAUUUUUAAAAUUCUUCAAAGUUUUCAAUCUUCGACACUAAGACACUAAUUAAUCAACUAGGUACCAAUUUUGGGCGCAUCGAGGGUGCUAAUCCUUCCUCGUGCGUAACCGAUUUCCGAACUCGUCUUUCUGAAUUUCGUAGACCAAAAAGUGUUAUUUUAAUAAAUCGAAUCGUUUAUUAAAAAUAGCCAUUUUUCUAAGGUGACCCGAUCACACCUUAUCAAAAAGGAUUGGUGGUGACUCCUGUUUCAUUUUUACUUUUCAAAACCCAAGUCGACCCCGUUUUAUCCAAAAAAAAAUGGUGUCAAUAGCUUGGCGACUCCACUGGGGACUAAUAAGAGAGUCAAGCCACGUGUUGAUUAUUUCUUGUCCUUUUGUUGAAAGUGGAAAAUUCGAUUUAAAUUUACGAUCCUCUCAUUGCAUCUCUUUUGUUUUGAGUUAUAUUUUUUAUCAUGUUCUGUAUUUUAUUUUAUACCUCUGCACAUUGCAUUGCAUGACCGCUGGUCAUACCCUUUUAAGUGGGAGUGAGAAACUACGCCUUCGUGAGGUUUUCACCUCCGCAUGGGAUAGUGAAUCACUUCCGGGAUACAUCCGUACCUAUGUCUUCGUGAGAUUUUCAUCUCCGCAUGGCCAUAGGGAAAUGUAUUCCCCUGAACUGAACUCGGUCCAUAUGAGCCUAUAAUGGGUGAGGAUCGAGGAAUCUGCUGGUUCAGGUACCCUUACUUUAGAACCAAACCACACAUAGCGAGCCAUAAGAACCCACCGAGAUAGAGCUAUUCCAAACCCUAGUGCUUACCGAAUAGAUGCUUUAUUUAUUAUUGUUUACUUUAAAUCCUAGCUCUGAUUUGCUUUGUUUGUGAUUGCAUGGCAUUUUCAUUUCAAAAGAGGUGUCGAUUCACGUUCAGUAUAGAUAGAAAGCUGAUCAUGGAAAAGAGGUUUCUUGAUAAAGUAGAAGACAAUGCAGCUGUAUGAGUGUGGGCUGAGACGAUGUGGAGAGAGAAAGGCGAUAGUCUUGCAGAAGGGUACGUAUCAGAGUUAUGAGACUUCACCCGUAUCAGCGUAAUCCAAAAUGAUCUUCGAGAAAUGAAGGAAAUAUGGGAUCAAUGGGACGAUGGGACCAAGCAGAUGUUUUACUGUGACUACAGGGACUUGCCUUACUUACUUGGUGUCAAAGUGGACAAGCAUUUAUUCCGAGCCCUAGCCCAGUUUUGGAAUCCUGCUUACAGUUGUUUCACUUUUGGAAAAGUGGAUUUGGUGCCCACCGUGGAAGAAUAUACGACCUUGCUUCGGUGUCCAGAGAUUCAAAUUGACAAGGCCUAUUCUAGAGCUGCUAGUGUCCCGACAUUAUUAAAAAAAUUGAUGAGCAUUACAGGGAUGAGCGAACAGUGGGUCGCUGCCCGAAUCCAACAGAAAGGAGACAGUAAAUGCGUUCCUUGGAAAAGCUUGCGAGAUUUAGUAUUAGCACACGCUGAAUAUAUAUUAAAUUAUUUUAUAUGAUGAAAGGUGAGACAAAUUUUAUUCAAAUUAACUAAUCCAAAAAUAUAUAUUAUAUAGCAUUAAAGGAUGUAAUAGUGAAACAUACUCAAACAUAAUAUUAUGUUUUUUUAUAAACAUGCUGUUGUUUAUAUUAAGCACUUUUAAAACAUUUUUUUAUUUUAUUUAUCCAUUAUUUCUUUUGAAAAGAAAGUUUAAUUUUAAUAAUUAUUUUUUAAUUAUUAUUAAUAUAAUUAAAAUUACAAUUAACCCAUGAGACAAUAGAAACUAAAAAAUAAAAAUGUUAGAUUAAGGGUAUUUACCUUUUCCACUGUCUUUUUUUAUAAUUAACUUUAAUGAAAAAUACUCAUCUAAGCGAUAAAAUUGGAGGAAAACUCUUACAUUGAUUGAAAAGGUUUCUCUGUUUCCUCGCGGCAAAAGUCUAAAUUAAGGCCUUCCAAUUCUAAAUCAAAGCCGAGUAAUAGCUUCUCGUAGAUGUCCGAAGUAGACAUGCCGCUGAUAUUGUCAACCAUAAUCGGAACCAGGGCAUCCAUUGUGCAAGAUUCACCGAAAUUUCCAGACGUGGUUUUGCUAUCUAAAAAAUAAAAGUAGGAAGAUAUAGUGGGACAACGGGAGGCAUUAAUAUACGAAGAAGAGUUCAUCGGUUCCGAGCAGUUCACAAGAAACAUGACGCUAGACGGAAUACCCAACAUAUAGGGUACUUUACAGGAGUCAUCAACGCGAAAGGAAUUGCGAGGAAGGGAGCAAUUAUCAUCCUUGCUGAGAUUUGCAUCCAUAGCUUGCAUCGUUUCACAUGAGAUAUUUUGGGAUCCGAGAUUUGGACUGAUAUAGUCGACCGUGCAAAUAUCAUAAGAGAUGUUUUGGACAUAGAAUCUCCCAUACUUCAUGACUAAAUUGGUGUGGUUGUUAUUGUCACACUCCAGUUCGAACCUAUGGUCACCACAGUUGGAAGGUUGGGUUGUUAAUCGAAAAGGGUAGCUGAUGUUAACGUUUCCACACAUUGUAGAGCCGCAAUCCUUGUUUGUGUUUCUACCUAUGCAAGCUUCUGGUAGUAGAAAUAAAGCGAUGACGGCCAUAAGGCCAAACAAUGGCAGUUGGGGUUUUGGUUUUGGCAUGCUGUAAUUUGGGAAGAGACUAAGAAUGAACGAAGGCUAAAACAUUAGCUCUUUUUUUUUGGGAGGGGGGGGGGGGGGGGGAGGAAUAAAUUAAAGCAAGUCCACAUAUUUGAAAACCCAUAUUCAUUUUUUGAUUUUUUUAAAAGACAUUUAUAUUACUUUUAAUUUAAUAUUUAAUAUUUUAAUAUUUUUAUUGAUUAAAAUUAUAAUAUAUAAAAAUAGUUUAUUAUAUUAUAUUAUAAAUACUGAAAAUGGCUUAAUUUUUAUAUUUAUUUGUGAUAUAUUUUUUGAAUUAUGUUAUUUAUUCUUUUAAUAAUAUUAUUUAUAUUUAUAUUGUUUAUUAUUGAUUUAGGGAAUAAUUUGAGAAAAAGACUUUGACUAGUCUUCAGCUUUAUUUGGGAUGAAUAUUUUAUUCUCGAUCAAUUGUUUACACCUAUUUUUUUCUUAUUUUUUUCUGGGAAACACCUCAAUCAAAGCACAUCUGAUUUCAAGAAAGGUAAUGUCACCAAGUUAUUUCUCUAAUGUAUCUGUAUUAUGUUUAAGAGUUUAAUCUUUUCAUUUUAUGGUUGAUUUGAAUAUUUAUUUAAAUUUUACAAUUUAAUACGAUUAAUUUUAUUAUAUUACAAUGAAAAACAAAAGAAAAAGAAGAAUUUAAUAUGGUUCAAAGUUUUUAAAUAAAUCUGGACCAUAUACUUGUAGACAAACCUUUAUCAUUAAUCUAUUCCAACUUCAAUGUGAACGACCAAGACAAUGCAAGUCUCAAGUCCUGUUUGAAACGCAAAAGCAUUCAAGUGGUUGAGAGCAGCGAGCCUGAUCCCUUUUGUCCUUUUGUGUUAUGUAAAUCAAUUGUAGGGCCCUUUUACCCAAAUAACCCAAAAAAAUAUUAUAUUUAUAAAAAUAACCUAGGUUUAAAAACAAUCACUAAAAUAAUCUAAAAUGAACAGUACUCACUCUUUUUUUGCACCAAUGAUUGGCUAAUCAUUGUGUCAGAGUUAAAAAAAUUAUUUUUUUGGGUUCUGGCCUGUCAAUGGCCGGAACCCAUGUAUUUUUUUUAAAAAUUGUGUAAUACUGAAAUACGGAUAUACGAAAAAGAAAAAAACCAAAAAAAAAAUUUUUUUGGGUGCUGGCCUGUCAAUGGCCGGCACCCAGUACACAGUACAAAGGAAAAAAAAAAAUUAUUUUUUCGUAUCAGAAUCAGAUAAAAAAAUACGAAAAAAAUUUAAAAAAAAAUUUUUGGGUGCUGGCCUGUCAAUGGCCGGCACCCAGUACACAGUAGAAAGAAAAAAAAUUAUUUUUUUCGUGUUAGAAUCAGAUAAAAAAAUAUAAAAAAAAUUUUAAAAAAAAAAAUUGGGUGCUGGCCUGUCAAUGGCCGGCACCCAGUACGCAGUACAAAGAAAAAAAAAUUAUUUUUUUUCGUGUCUGAAUCAAAUAAAAAAAUACGAAAAAAAUAAAAAAAAAUUUUUGUACUGUGUACUGGGUGCCGGCCAUUGACAGGCCAGCACCCAAAAAAAAAAAAUUUUUGAUCAUUAUUUUAUGGUUCAAUUUUUUAUAUUUACUCAAAUCUCUGUUUCUAAUAAAUCUCUAAACAUUGAAAGAAUAUAUAGUUUAAUUAAUAACAAAUACGCGUUUUUUAUUUCCAAAAUUAUUGGUUCAAUCGAUUGAUUUAAUUAGAAAUUCAAAUAUUAUUUAUGAUUUUAAUAUAAAAACAAACUUAGUUAGCAGUUUGAUCCAUAAAUAUUGCAAAUUAAAAAUAUAACAUCAUUUUCACUCAAACUUAUUUUUUUUCCAUCAUCACCCAAACUUAAUUGAACACGAAAGAAAUAAUGACAUGUUUGCACAUGAUGUUUAAGGAAGAGUUAGAUACAACAAAAUACAAGAAUGUCAACUUCCCCAACGUGAUCCCCAUGUGAGAACAAAUUCUUCUAAUCCGUCAUGUUAAUUAUUACUUUUAUAUUUUUGUUACACUUUAAAAAACAUUAUUAUAUUCUCUUAUAAUUUUUUUUAAAUUGUAUCCAAAUAGGAAAAACAUUAUUGUUUUAUUAAAUCAAACAUACCAUAAAUGUCUUAAAAGUUAAGAUUUAAGACCAUAAGUACUACUAACAAAUCUAGUAUUAAUUAGAAACGAGUAAAAAUGGUUAACCCUCAUGUCUUUUAUGUACUUAGACAACCCAAAAUCUGAUAAUAUUUUUAUUAAAAAAAUUCAAAAAUAUGCGUUUUAAGGUAUGAGCUCACAUAUUACAUAUACUCUAUUUAAAUUCUGUCUUUAAGCCUAUCAUUAUCCUUUUAUGUGUCUUUAACCUUUUAUCUUGCAAACUUUUAUUCACCUUUAAUAAAAAAAAUCCUUUCAAUCUAUCAUUGUGUUAUAGUGUCUGACAGAAUUACUUAAUUUGGUCAAAUAUAAAUAAAGCAUAUAGCAUGAAAUUACUAAUAUAAAUUUAUGAAGCACGACUAAUGUCACGAAUUAAGUGUGUCGAAACCGUUUUUUGAAAAACAAAAAUUUAGUCGUUGACUUUAAAAAACAAAAUUGGAGUCGCCACCGAUCCUUUAUUAAGGUGUGACCGGCCCACCUUAAAAACUAUUUUGGUCUGCGAAUUUUGAAAACAGGUUCGGGAGUCAGUUACGCACGAGGAAGGGUUAGCACCCUCGUAACGCCCAAAAUCGGUACCAAAUUGAUUAUUUGAUGUCUUUGUGUCGAAAGUUAAAAAGAUUUUAAAAUAAGCUUGAAUGAUGAAAUUUGCAAAAGGAUAACCAAUUGUUUAAGUCAUGUAAAGAAAUCGAGUCCCAAUACGUUAGGGUACAAUUCCUCAAAAUUCCCCAAACUUGAAUAUCACUUUUAUUUUAUACGAAAAUCUUCAUUUCGAGAAAGUAACAUGCCACACCCAAUACGUUAGGGCACAACAAGUUAAGUUCCCAAAAAUGAUUUUUAUGCAUUUUGAAUAAAAAUAUUCUCGGUCAAUUAGGAUUGACAAAGUAAAUCAGAACCCAAUACGUUAGGGCUCAAUUUCCCUCGAAAAUCCCAAACUUCCAAAAAUGCUUUUAUUCAAAAAAAAACCUUUAAAUCAAGAAAAUAACUUUGAUGAAGGGUUAAAACCAAAAUAUAUUUUCAAGAGGGUAUGUUAAAGAGCUAAUAUACAAUAUGAUACAGAUCCUUUAAUUUUCAGCAUACACGAAUAAAUAUUUGCAGAUAUAUAUAUAUACAAAUAUAGUAUACAAGUAAACUAGCAAAUAUGCGUACACAUAUAUUUAAUGCAUACAUAGAAGUGUACAUAUAAAAAGGAAGGUAAAGAAAUAUAUACAACAAGCUCACAAUAGUUUCUAAGAAUAUGCAUGCAAAACACGUGUAUGUAUAUGUGAAAAUUGUGAAGAUCAAAAUAUCAAAAUAUGCAUAUGUAUAUAUUUACAAAGAAAAGUAUAAGUAUAUAGUAAAAAACAAAAUAAAAAUAAAAAACAUAUGUACAUAAAUAAAAAAAUUAAAAUAUAAAAGUUUUAUUUAUAUAUAUGUAAAAGUAAGAAAAUAAAAUAAAAAAUGUAUAAAAUAUAUAGAGGUAUUAUAAAAAAAAGUGCAUAUAUAUAUUAUAUAUAAAAGUCAUGCGUAUGAACAUGUAUUAUAAAAAACAAUGCAUGAAUGUUAUAAAAUAAUAAUAAUUACGUAUAUAACAUAUGCGUAUAAAACAUUUAAAUAUAUAUACAGUAUAUACAUAUUUACAAAAGUAAAAAGGCUUUUGAAAUUAAAAAUAAAAAAAUGUUUGUACGUACAUGAAAAUAAUAAUUACAAUAUUAAUAUUAAUAGUAAUAGUAAAUAAUAAUAAACAAGUAAUAAUACAUUAUAAUAACAACAAAUAAAAAAAUUUAAAUAGUGAAAUAGUUUAAAAAAUGGAUUAAAUUGAAAAAAAGACGAAAAACGGGGAAAUUUUGAAAUAAAUGAAAAAAACCAAUUUGAAUGCGCAGGAAAUAAUGGAGGAUCGAAAGGGAAAUUAUCCCUGCCUUCCCAAAACGCUGCGCAGAUAUGGGCCAGAUUGAAACAAAAAUUAAAUAUGCGGCUCAAUUUAAAAAGAAACAAAGGAGUUCAAUUGAAACACAACGCAAAAAAGGGGGACUAAACACGAAAUUUCCCCAUUCAGGCCAGAACGCGCGGAUCCUCCCCUCCGGUUCGGGUCACUGCACGGGUCUGGCCCCUUCAAAACGGCGUCGUUUGGCUUUUAAUAUAAAAUUAAAAUUUCUUAAAAAAAACCAAUUCUGCUUCAUUUUUUCUUUUCUCAAAACGACAGAGGGAAAAGGGGGAAGGUUGCUCUGCUAGGUUUUCUUAACCUAGCUUCGCGCCGCCGCUUGGCCUGCACCUCCACGCCUCGAUUUCGCUGGAGAAGACACCGGCCUGACAACUCCGGCGACCAGGUAAGUCUCUCCUCCUUUCUUUAUACCUUAAUUGAAAAAAAAAUAAAACAAAAAGGGAAAAAAAAUAGACUCGCCUUCAAAAAUAUCUUUGUCUCAGUAUAUUUUUCUCUCUAUAUUUGUCUCUGUUAAACUGAAAAUUCCCCCCCCAUUACACAAAAUUUGACUCGGUUUUAUAGCCGACCUAGAGAAAUAACAAUAAAAUCAAUAAAAAAUCCCUUGAUUCUCUGUAUUCUGUUGUUAUUUGUUUUUGAGUCUCGUUACAGGUACUGUUGGAGGAGAAUGCGCGCGACGUGCGCGGAGUAAUGUGCGCAACAUGCGGAGGCAACAGACGUGACGUGCGGGGGGCUGUUGCGGCGUGCGUGUAGGAGCUACUGCGGCGCGAGUUUGCUGCAGCGCCUAGGGUUUUUUUGGUUUUAGGCUAAUGGGGCUUGGGUUAAUUUUUAUUGGGCCAUACGGGUUGUAUGUUUAUUUGGGCCCGGGCAUAUUUGGGCUUGUAAAAAAAACUUGGACUGCCUUAUUUUUUGUUUUGUAAGGGCCCGGGCCAAUUGGGCCUGUUACAAAGUGCUAUGUUGAAUUUUGUUGGAAUAUUGUAGGUGUUACACAUUGUUAUAUUGAGUGGUACAAGUAUUUGAGUGCACCACAAGAGUUGUGAUUAUGUUGGUAAUUUUAUCUUAUAAUAAUAAUAAUAAUAAUAAUAAUUUUCUAUUUGAAGAUUUAGUAGUAACAAAUAUAUAGAUUAUAUUUGUAUUAGAAAUUAGAUUAUAUAGAGUGAAUUCUUGAAAUGGAUAAUUUGAAGGACAUUCAACUAAUAAGAAACCUAUGUCGAAUACAUCUCAGUUUGUAGUGGCUCGUGAUGUGAAAAUGUUGAUUCAUAAACAAUGGAAAAUUAAGGUUCAACAAGUUAACAAGGAAGGUAAUAGAGUUGCAGAUGCAUUGACUAAACAAAUUCUUAGUUGGGAGAUAUGUCUUUAUAGUUUUCUACAACCAUUCGUGUCUUGUCUCUUGUUCAUGACAACUUAAUCGAAGAUGACAAAAACAAUAUGACUUUGAUGUAAUGAAUCAAUUUGCUUUAUUUACCAAAAUAAACAUAUCAUUCUUUAUAUGAAGCACAAAAAAAGUUGAUGUAUUUACUGGGUAAAUAAUUUUUAUUGUUUUUAAUGAAUCAAUUUGUUUAUAUAUUUAUUGUUUUAUUUUUUUAUUUAAAAAGUGUAAUAUUUCAACACAUAAAAUUAUGAACAGCCACUCAAAAAGUUAUACUUAUUAAAUAAUUUUAAUUGAUUAAGAAUAUGUACAUUAGAGUCUUAUCCCUUACUAGAUAUAGUUGAAGAGUCAUCUUAUACAUAAAUGAAAGUGGAACUGAAAAUCUAUUUGUAGCUAAAAUGGUCAAUAAUUUCUUACAAUGCUCAAAUUAAAUGUAUUACAACGUAAAUUUAUCUUUUAUUAUAUUUUGAUAUACUAUCAUAAAUGUUUAAAUCUAACCUCACUUAUUUUCUUUUUCAAAUAAUUUUAAAAAAAUUUAAAAUUAUUCAAUUUAUAUAAAAAUUUCAAGUGACAUUAAUUAACACACUAAAACUUAUAUAUUUUGUAUUGACAAUAAUACUAAAAUCAAUCGAGAUGGAUUGUUAAGUUAAAAUAUUGAUUCCAAAAUUUAUAAAUAUUUAAUUAUUCUAAAGUAUAAAAUAAAAUAUUAGCUCCCAAGUCCCAACAUUUUAUCCCACAAAAGUUAAAUAAAAAUAAAAGAGUACGUUUCCCUAAACACUUCUUACAUUUCCCAACCAAAAAUGCAGUUCGUUUAGUUUGCUUCGGUAAUACGGUAGCGUUUUCCUAUGAGGAAAUCAGUCAAACUCCAUCACCAUACUCAAAACGAUUUCUUUAAAUUAAAUAUAAUUACUUAAUAUUUAAUUAAAUUAAAAAGAAAAACAACUCUGAUCAAAUGUAUAUAAGAAGAAAGUUUUGCUUAGUGUAAUCUGACUGUCAUUCAAGAUUUACGCAUUCAUUUCAGACAUAGCAGACCAUUUUGAAAUUCAAGUCUUUGGUUCAGAUUCUUUUUUCUUUCUUUUUUUGAAUAAAAUCUCUAGGAAAGUUCUUUUUUUUUUUUGGUGAAAUAAAAACAUCAGUUACAUACAGCAACCAUUCGUUUUAUCUACUUGUAAUAAAUCUAAAAGAUCCUUAGGAGCCUCAUCAAUAACUUGCAAGCUUGAUUUCCAACUCAAACUGAGUUUAGCAAGACGAUCUGCUACCAAAUUUUGAUUUCUUGGAAUGUGUUUUAUCCUCCACUCCCCUUCUGAAUGCAUAAUACGAAGAGUUCUUCGAAGCAUAGCAAUCCCUGAAUCUUCCAAAUCCAUAUUAGACAAGAUCUGAGCAACUUUAAGAUUAUCUGUCAUAAUAGUGAUUCGUUUAUAGCCCUUAUUAAGUAAAAUGAGGAUCACGUCAAGAAUAGCCCAAAAUUCAGCUUCGAACGAGGAGCACAUGCCAAGGAAUCGGUUAAAACCCACUAUCCAAUUUCCAUCUCGGUCCUGAGCCACUCCUCCUGUUGCAGCAUAGGCAGAAUCUCUUGCUACAGCUCCGUCAAUAAAAACACCCAAUUGUCAGCUGAAUUGAUCAUCAAGGAAGAGCCCUGCUUGCUCUUAAAGUGAUCUCCAAUAUGGUAGGUGUAGUGUCGGCCCCAACAAUAAGAGACUUUCACCACUUCCGUUGCUGUCCAAGAUAUAUGCUGGAAGAUGAAUAGAUUUCUAUUCUUCCAUAUACAAACCAAGCGACUAACCCAAACAGGCAUGACCACAUGAGACCAUAAUCCUGCAAUCUUUCAUGAAAACAAAGGUUAAGAAUAAGCCAAUCCUGAAAAGAAAUGGAAAAAAACCUUUGUUUUAACUGAUCAGGAAUCACAAGCCGCCACACAUCUUGCGCGGAGGGACAAUCUUUGAGAACAUGAACCAAAUCUUCAAUAUCAUGACCACAAAUAGAACAAGAGCUACAAUGAUAGAUUCCCCUUCUAGCUCAUUCUGAAUUUGUAAGAAGUUUUUGAUUGAAAGCAAGCCAAAGGAAGACUCAUACUCUCUGAGGACCUCGAUAUUUCCAAACAAUCUUCCAGUAAUCCUCCUGCGGAUUCCAAGAAUUCUCUUUCAAAUACCAAUAAGCACUACGAACUGAGAAGACACCAGACGCAGACUGAGUCCAAAUAAUCCUAUCCGAACCAGAGUUAGGGUGAGGAGGAGGAAUGCUAACAAUUCUAUUUAUUAUAACUUCAGGCACCCAGACACGAAAUAAAUCCAAAUUCCAGCUACCAUCUGAAUUGACCAUCUCCCUAACACAACAAUCCAAAUCAAGGUUAGCAGAAGGAUGAAUUUUUGAAAUUAAAGGGCCCAUACCUGGAAUCCAAGGAUCUUUCCAACAUCGAGCACUAGCACCGUCUCCAAUAGACCAAGCAAUAUUUUCUCUAAGAAGUGGCCAUAUCUUAGAAAGUGCCCUCCAUAAAAGAGAACAUUGGUUUCUUUUUAUAGAAUCCGGGAAUUGAUCUUUCCAACCAUAUUUGGCACGAAGAACACGGACCCAUAGUGCAUUACUUUUAGAAAUAAGAUUAAAUCCAAUCUUCAUAAGAAAAGAUAAAUUUUGAUCUUCCAAAUGUCUGAAACCAAGGCCUCCUCGAGACCUUGGUUGGAAAAUAGAAUUCCAACCCACCAAAGACAUUUUGGGAUGCCCAUCAGUACUACCCCAAAUAAACUGCCUGACCAAUCUUUCAAUGUCUGCACAAACACCUUUCGGAAUCAUCAAGGACUGCAUGAAAUAAUUAGGAAUAGAAAGAAGAACUGAUUGGGCCAAAGUGAUUCUACCAGCAAUGGAUAAAUUCCUAGCGUCCCAACUCUGUAAUUUCUUCCUCACUUUAUCCACAAUGAAGCUCAAGGUACUUUUUGAAAUCCUUUCGUGUAAAAGAGGAACACCUAAAUAAAUGCCAAGAUUUCGGACUUCCUGAAAUCCAAAAAGUUGGUUAAUUUGAUUACGAACAUUACCUUCUGUGUCUUUGGAAUAGAAAAUGCUACUUUUCCUAACACUUAUUUUGUGACCUGAAAUCACACAAAAUUGAGUUAGAAUAUUAUCCAGGAGACUAGCUUGAUCAAGCUGAGCUUUACAAAAGAUCACUAAAUCAUCCACAAAGAACAAAUGAGAAACUGAAGGACCUGUACAAGAAAGAUGAAUUGGAUCCCAUUUCCUAGAGUCAAUUUCAGUCCAAAUAAAAUGUCCUAACCAUUCCAUGCAAAGCACAAAGAGAUAAGGCGAUAAAGGACAACCUUGACGAAUACCUCUCUUAGGUAUGAACUUUUGAGUAGGUGUCACAUUCCAUAGAAUUUGCAUAGAAGAGGAAGAAAUAGCGGACAUGAUUACAUUCCUUAAGAAGACAGGAAUUCCAGCAUCAACCAAAGAAGCUCUUAUAAAGUCCCAACUAACUCUGUCGUAAGGUUUCUCCAAACCUAACUUAAUAGCCAUCCACUUUCUUACUUUCCUAUUACAACGCAUAAAAUGAAUGAUCUCUUGAGCUAAGAUAAUAUUAUCAAAAAUGUUACACCCAGCUAUGAACCCAGCUUGUUCUUGGGAUAUAAGCUUAGGAAAUAUAACUUUGAACCGAUUCGCAAUUAUUUUCAUUACCAACUUGUAGAGAACAGAACAAAGACUAAUAGGCCUAAAGUGGCUAAAGUCCUCAGGGUUCUCUUUUUUAGGAAUUAACACAAUCAGCGUAUUGUUCAAUUCAGCUUCAAUCGGACGUCCAUCAAAAAUAUCUUUGACCCACUGACAAACAUCAUUCCCAAGAAUAUCCCAUUGGCUUUGGAAAAAGUGAGCAUGGAAGCCAUCACUUCCAAGAGCUUUCAAAGGAGCCAUAUCAAACAAAGCCCUUUUAAUCUCCUCAUUAGAAAUAGGAGUCUCUAGGAAAGUAAUCUUAGAAGAGUUAAAGCGAGGAAAACCAAUAUUUGGAAUAUCCCUCGAUGUAGAAGAAAUCUCUCCAAAAAGUCCUUCAAAGAAUUCCACCGCCUUAGCCUGCAGAAUAUCUUGAUUAGUACACCAAUCCCCAUUAUCAACGCGUAAGGUUAUGAUAUGAUUGAAUUUCCUUCUCCUCAUCGUGCGACUAUGAAAAAACUUUGUAUUUCGGUCCCCCAAUUGAAGCCAAUCACAGUGAGCCUUUUGUCUCCAAAGUAAAUCUUCAUGAUCAAGCACAUUUUCCAGCUCAUCCCGAAUUUCCAAUUCUUUUCCAGCUAAAUACGUAGAGGAAGAAUGGUCCAUGGUUUUUUGGAUAUUAUUAAGAGAUCUCAUAAGAUUUCUCUUACGAGUACCCAUAAAACCAUAAAUAUUCUUGUUCCAAUCUUUAGCAAAAAAAGUGAAGUUAUUCAAAGAUUCAAACAUAUUACCUGCAAAAUUCCACUUUUCUUUAACAAGGUUAGAGAAAUUACGAUGUUUCGUCCAUCCCGCUAAAAACCUGAACGGUCUGCUUUGAGAAAUGUUAAGGUCGGAUGCAGUAGAUAACAAGAGGGGCCUAUGAUCUGACUUGAUACGAGUAAGAUGAUGGACAGAGAAUUGAGGAAAAGCAGACACCCAAGCAUCAUUAGCUAAGGCCCGAUCAAGUCUAACAAAGGUACCACCUCUUUGCCAAGUGAAAGCAGGUCCAUUAAACCCCAAAUCCUGCAACUCACAAGAUUCAACAAAAUUACCAAAUAAAUCACAGUGUUUACCAAUAGAGAUAGGACUCUUUUUAUCAAAAGAAGAUAAGAUAGCAUUGAAAUCUCCCAUAAUUAACCAAGGAGAAGAAAGAUUAGAAUUAGUUGAUUUUAAGUCAUCUCAAAGAAGCUUUCUUUUAGACCUAUCCGGACUGCCAUAAACAAAAGAAAUAAAAAAGAUUUAUUAGGAAUAAUAUUAUUAACACGUAAGAAAAUAAAUUGCAGAUGAUUUCGAACAAUAUGAAUUUGGAUAAAAUCUUUCCAACCAAUCCAUAUGCCACCUGAAAAACCAAUAGCUUCAACCCGAUGUGAAUAGUUAAACCCCAAUUUUUCAAUAAUAAGAUUAGCCUUAAUACCACUCACUCUCGGUUCCACCAAACAAACAAUAUCAGGCCUGUGCUCUGCAUUGUAUUCUUGAAAGGCUCGUAAAAACUUCCUGCUAGCACACCCUUGACAAUUCCAUGUAAAAUUUUUUAAAUUUAAAGGCAUAAUAAAAUAUAAAAAUAAAGAAAAUAAAGUAAAAUGAACCAAAACCCCAAUAUCAAAUUAUCAAAAUAAAACAAAACCUAUAAGGACUAAAAGAACAUCCUUACUGUCCAGGAGCAUUAGCUCCCUCUAUCUGCACAACAGAAUCCCCUCUAUUUACAACCCCAAGGUUAGGAGAUGCAAAGGUCGAGAUGCUCUCGGCUAGAUGUUCCAUCGACUCCUUCAAAGAUGUUCACUGGGAACCUGAAAUUUUGAAGCGAGUAUUGCUGCCAUGAAGGAUCUUAGACUGUUUUUUAGCUUGACCUCUUCCUCUGUUUUUAAGAGCUUUACCCGAACCGGAGGAUAGUACCAGAGAAGAAACAAAAUUUUUAGGUGAAUGGACAUUGUUAUUUUCCUUGCUUUGAAGGCUUUUAUGAAAUACCACCGCCGAGUGUCGACCAGAAUCUAGAUUACCAACAUCUAGAGAAACAGCAAAACUAUCUAAUUUUUAGAACUUUCUCCUUCAGGCCUGAACCCCACUCCGUCGCCCGGGAUUGUUUGUAUUUCAGCUGCAGCAAAAGACCGACUGCCGCUUCCAUCAGUAGUAAAGAGUUGCUGGGCUUCCAGUUCCAGAGUAGGUGAGCCCAAAGCUCCUCGGGCCUGACCCGCAGAUAAGUCCCCAUUGCCCAAACUGCUAACAGACUUAUCUAUAUUGCGAGAAUUUUCCUUCAGAACAGAAUUGGAUUUGUUGGGCUCCGAAAUUGGCCUGCCAUUAACUUUAGAGUUGGGUCCACCAAUCUCCUUCAAACCCACCUCCUUUGAAUUAUUUUUACUGUUUUUUCUCCACUCUAUUCGGCCAUUAAAGAAGGCAGUAGAAUCUUUACCCAUAGAAAUAUCUUGUGAAAUCUCUUUACGUUUGUCACGCUUGGAAUCCAGCAAAAAACCUUCAUCAUCCUUUUUGUACGAAUCUUUAUCAUUAAGGACUCUAAAACGAGAUCCUUCUUUUCCACUCUGUAGGCUAUUGAAGGAAUUAUUCACGUUUUCUCUAAUUUUCCUCCUUGAUUUCUUUUCAACGAUCAUCCAAGGACCGAAAUUCCCGUUUUCCUUCUCCACGCCAACCUUGUUCGUGUUCUGAAACUCCGAUGACAAUUCCGAUGGAGCAUUCUCCUUUUCACUAAGGCUUUUAGAGAUUUUAAAAGGGCAAGAAUUCUCCACAUGCCCAAAUCUCCCACAGUGAAAACAAAUUGUAGAUAAAGAUUCAUAUUCAACAUUCUGCUUUCGGCCGUUGAUCAAAAUAUAGGAUACCAACGGCUUUUCCAGGUCAACAUAAACAGCCAAUCUAGCAAAACGUCCCCUAGUCCUAUUAUCCGUGUUCAUAUCCAAUAUAACCACUUUUCCAGCCGUUUCCCCUAUCUCAGUGAUGAUCUUAUGAUUGUAUAAAUACCCAGGUAACCAGGGAAUCUAAUCCAUGCCAUCACAACAUUAGGGUAAGCUUGUGUGGGAUCAAAGGUUGGACUGUCAAGUAUUGACCAAAGAUGAUCCAAGGACCUUCAGAAAGCGCCUUUUCACAGUCCAACUUAUUCUGAAAUUUAACCAAGAAAUAUCCAUUUUCUAUGUCCAUCAUAUGUAACGCCGCUGAAGGUUUCCACAGAUUAUACAGUUUAUUCUGUAAAACCGAAAAACCAAUAUUACGACCAAGAAGCUUUAAAAUCACUGUGUUAUCCAUACCUUGAAUAAAGAUUUUGUGAAUCCUAUCCGAGAAGGAAAUAGAGGGUACGCCAUUCACAAAAGAUUUUUGAAUAUCCCCUUCCAAAAUAUCUAGAUCAUCUUUUCCUUCCAAAUCAUUGAAAGUCUCCUUUGACGAUUGGCCAACAAGCAUGUCCUUCCACGAGAUAGGUUUUUCCGGGGACGAGUCGAUCAUCAUAAUAUUAUUUGUAUCAACAUCUUCGCCUCUGAAACGAACUUUCUUAGGAAUCAACUCCUCAGAAAUAGAUUUUUCAAAGUCAAAAUUUUCACAGAGAGAACUCGUUCUUUUUUUUGUCCCCUCUUUUUUUUUUUUAAUUCCUUAACGAUAGUGAUUUCGGUUAUGGAGAAAAGGAGUGAAAAGUUGUGAUUUAUGUUGAAGUGGGCUUUUUUUUUCCUCUUUUACUAGUUUUAGAAAUGGGUUUGAUGGAGAUUUCAAUAAUGCUCCAUGUUGGAUUAGUUUUGUUCCUGCUUUGGACGCUUUCUCAAUUCAAACUUUGCCAUCCGGUUGCUUAUUUCGUGUCUCUCAUCUACCUCUAUUUGGUAAUUCAUUCAUCUUCUUCUAAGAAUAAAAAUGAAUCUUUUUUUCUUUAUUUUUGAACUUGGAUUGAACUUUUUUUUUAUUGCUUUGUUACAAAAAUUCCUUUUAUUUCUUUGUUCAUCAAAGGUUCAUGAAAUGUAUGUGACGAGAUUGAGGAAGAAAUUGGAGUUCGAGGAAAAGCGGCAACAAUUUAGGAGAAGGGUGAUUCUCCAAAUUUUAUUUUUUUCUUCUUUUUUUGCUUUACUUUUUAAGUUCUUAAAAAAUAUUGAUUUAUGCUGAUUGUUAUUGUAUUAUUUAUCAAUCAUUUUGGAUGUAUUUUUCCUUCUGGGUAAUUCUAAUUCUGAUACUUAGGGCACGUUUGGUUCGCUCUAAUAGAAUAGAGUUGUAAUUGAAUAGAGUUAUAAUGGAAUAGAAGCGUAAUAGUAAUUUAAUUGUUUGGUUGAAUGGAAUGGAAUAGAACUGUAAUAGCAUUCUUGUCUCUGGUUGAAUAGAAUAAUGUUGUAAUAGCAUAAGAAAAAAACUAAAAUGAGUAGAAUACCCUUAGCAGAAUUGUUUUAGUAAGAUGAUUAUUGUUAUUGUUAUUAAACUUUAAUAUAAAUAAUAAAUAAUAAAUAAUUUAAUCAUAUUUUAACAAAACUAUUAGUAAAUAUAAUUUAAUAAAAAUCUAUAAUUUAAUAAAAUUCUUAAUAAAAUUAUUCUUAUAUGAAUUUACUAAAAUCAUAAUAUAUAAUAAUAUAAAAUAUAAUUUAAAAUAAUUAUUAUUAAAUAUAAUUUAAUAAAAAUAUAUAAUUUAAUAAAAUUCUUAAUAUAAUUAUCCUUAUAUGAAUUUACUAAAAUCAUAAUAUAUAAUACUAUAAAAAUAAUAUAUAAUCUACUUUAUUAUUUUUAAACUAUAAUACAUAUUUAAUGUGCUAAAACAUCAUUAGUGAAAUAAAUAAUUUAAUUAUUUUACAAUAAAAAAUAUGAACAGUAAUAAAUAACUUAAGAAUUAUAUGCAAGGAGGAUGAUACAUGAAAAAAUUAAAGUACAAUUCAUCCGUAAUGAGUGUUUUAUUUUACAAAAGAUAAUGAUUAAAGAAAAUUCGUAAUUCAUUUUAUAACCAUUAAUGGCUUUUCUGUGUUUAAUAAAUUGAAAUUGACGAGAAAAAAAUGGAUCGGAGAGGGAAAAUAUCCUACAAUUGUCAAGGUGAUAAGGUAUUUUAAGAUUAUAAAAUACCUUAAGUUGGAUAAUAGCUCAAGGUUUCUUCUUCGGUACAAGUUAAACAACCAAUAGACGGAUCAAAUUGAAUGACUUAAUACAAACCUGAGCUAAAUUAUUUAAUUCAAACCAUAAUUUUAGUUGACUAGAAUGCAAUAAUUAAAUAACUUGAAUUAUUUAAUUUCACGAAAACAUAAAAAAUAAAAUUUAAGACAAUUUUCCCGUACAACAAAUCAUGUAAAAGGAGAUGAUCGACUCAUAAGCUCUAAAUAUUAUUCCCUAUAAAAUUUAGGACUCACAACCAACAGGUGUCUGUACCAUUUAAGAGGCAGUAAUUAUAUUUCAUUUAAGCUCUCUCCAAUCAGCACAUAAAAUAGGCUAGAAUACAUGCAAAUAAAAGUUUGAACAAGUCAUUUUUCAUCUAUUUUGAUUCGGGUACAAUCUUUUUAAAAUAAUUGAAAUAGUCAUAUUUUCAAAUUAUACUGGGAUAAAUAAGAACUUAAAAUAAUCCAAUCCACUAAUUUUAAACGCGGAACGAUAUUCAUUGACUGGAGUUCCUGAAAAAAUGACAUGAAAGGGGAAAGAUGUUGGGUAACAGGGGAAAAAAAAGCAAUGAAUGCAUAAGAAAAGAAAAAUAGUACAGACGUCAAAAAAAGACAAUGGAAUUGAAAAGUAUUCUUAUUAAAUGUGACAUGACUUUAGAAACAAUAUUAACCUCCUCUAUCUCCUUUAACAUGUUUUUAUUCAGAAACCAAAUUGAAUGACAACCAAUAUCUGUAUUUGUAUCACUGUUGGACAUAACUAACACAACCCUUCAACAAGCAAACAAAAGUACAUAGCUUCAUCUCAUAUGAAAUUCUUCACUUUUCUUUAAAUACCACAAAAGAUCAUGAAAAAAACAUUCAAAGAGUUGAACGUACCCGUAUCUGACUUAAUCAAACUCCAAGUAACAUAGAUGAAAUGCAUGCCUUUCGACUACAUGUGUUCAGGAGUGGUACUAACAAGUGCCAUAUGCAUCGACAAGCAUUAUAGAACAAAUGCCCUUUAAUUUCAGUAAGCAUUCUACUUUUUUUUUUUUCAAGAAAAAAAACCCCAUAUUUUAUUUGAGUAGGUCAGAGUGCGGCGUGAUACUUUCAAACAUGUCAUUUGUAUAACAAAAAUGUUUGCCAAAGUCUACCUGGAUUAAAAGCUUGCAUGCGUAUGGUAGUUUCAUGCUAGAAACAUUUUCUCCAAUUUUACAUGAAAAACAAAACCCAAUUUUCAGCUUAUGGCUGUAGUAUCCUAUCAAACCACAUUUUCGGCAAACCUGUGUCAAAAGAUGGUUAUUAUGAGAUUGAAGCUGAUUCCAAUCAAGCAGUAAAAGUGUAAAAAGAAAGCACCAUAACAAAGAUAUUACAUCCGAGCCAUUGCAAAGUACAAAUUGAACAUAUAACCGUAAACCAAAUUAACUCUGGACAGGCCAAAAUAAAUCUGACAGAGACCACACAUGAUUUACAUAAGGUGAAACUCAACCCGGACCCUCACCCUUUCGCAGCUGUGCCAACGCCUCAUUGGCCCCAUCACCGGAAAAUUAUAAAUAAAAAAUAUUCAAGCUUAAUAAUUAAACCAAUGUCAAGAAAUAUGAAAAUAACAGCUAUUUGUGAACUACAACGAUUAAUAUGAGCAACAUCAACGAGAAUUUUACUCUGGGUUUUCCAGACUAGAAAAAGCAAGAGACUUUUGCAACCUCUGGUCUUUAAGAGACUAGAUAGAAUUCAAGUACGCACAAAGGCAAACUUUUGAGUAGUUAUAUCCGGAAGUGGUUUGAUGCUGGAUUUAACUUCUUAAGUGAAUUACGUGUGGAAAAUAUUACAAUAUAUGCUAAGUACCUUAAGCAUUAUUUUUGCUGCUAUUUCUCAAUCAGUAAAACAUAACAUUCCAAUCCAAUGCUCCAUAAUUCAAAACAAAUCAUGAACAGCACAUGCACGUAGAAUCCAAUAACAUAAUUCACAUCCACCAAAACCAUAAUCAAAUACCUGGACAUCAUAUGGAUCGCUGGAUAGCAUCAUUACAGCUUUUCUGUAAUGUUAUUACAGCCAACCAAACGCCCGUUUGGUUCACAAAAUCUAAACAGAGAAAUGUUAUUCCGAAAUCUUACAUUACACUUGAGAAUGUGAAAUUACUUGAACCAAAAGCACUUAAUAUUUAGAGGCUACCUGUUAACCAUUUGAUUGCUAAUCUUUAAAAGCUAUUUGAACAAGAAGGAAAUAUUAAAAGUGCCACAAAAUUGCUGCCACUCUUGCUACACAUUUGACUUCUUCACCAUUAACAAUCGACGUUUUCAAUAGUAAACGAACAAGACAGUAGCGAAUACAAAGGUCCUAUUACUUAAAUUCUGGCUAUAAAUAUUGCCGAAAAGGAAAAAAACCUUGGAGUGUUGCUGGAAGAGUUGCCUCCUGUACCAAGGUGAUCUUCUCGUAUCCAAGAUCCUUUACUCCAUUCAGUAAUAUAGAUGAAAGUGAAAGUCGAUCAAAUCUGCAAGCGUAGCAAGGAAAAGAAACCAGACACUUAUAAAAAUCCUAGAUAAUAAGAAUCAUGUCUCAGAAAACUGAUAAUUAAAAAAAAAAGGCCUUGUUUCACUCAAAAAAGACUCGAAUUUCUCUGGUGAACCUCUUGGAUUCUCUGUCUCCGGUCCCGGUGUGGAACUAGCAUUCGUAUUUCCAGAAUCGAAACCAGUCUUAAUUCUUUUUCCGUCCAACGAAUACAAAUUAGCAGAGGGGUCCCCAGUUCCAUCAUGUUCGACUCAAGACUCACUCUUUCUUUUCCUCUUCGAUGAACCCAUAUCUCCCUCUCUACCUCUACUCCUAUUUCUAUUUCGUGCUCUAUCCGCAGCUAAUCCUCGUCUUCGCUAGUAAGUCAGUCAAGGAACAAGCGGUUCCCAACUCGCGAACCCAGUCACUGAAUUGGACUAGUCCUCGACAACGACCUUCGAGGCUCGGAUAUCUUCUCUAUUUUCAGUGGCCUACGGGCAGUCAGAGGCUCCGAUUACUGAUGUCCCGCAAUAAAGGCUGUAAGCCGAAAACUUGAGUGCGAGCAUUUUUCGUUGUUGAUAAAAUGGAGAAAAGAAAAGAAAUGUGAGAAGAAAAGAAACGUACGAGAAGAAGAAGCAGAAACGAUGGAAGGGAAAAAAAUUACCUUGCAAUUCUUCUAGAAACGUCGGAGAGGAUGAGGGCAGAAAACAGAAGAGAAAAUUCGGAAUUGGGGGGAAUCCCUAAUCGGCGCUUAAACAUCAGAAUGGCUAUUACAGCCAAUUUGGAUAAUAGGGGCGGAAACAAAAAAAGAAACUUCAUAGAAGUCGAAAUAUGAAGAAAUAUAUAUGCCUAGAUACUUUAUUCUAUGGAUAAAGAUCUAAUUGAUAGAGGAAGUGCCGUAAAGAUCAAUUAGCGAAGUUUUGAGCAGAUACAAUAAAUAAGAACUGCUUAUUUAUGUCAUGAUAAGAGAUAAAAAUUAGAAAUCGACUUAUGUAAUAGAGCCGAUCCCCUAAGUUAUUAAAUAGCGGUGUAACAUCAGAUCCCAAAUACAGUAAGUCUUUUUUAUGAGGAAGAAGUUUUUUUCAAGGAUUCUAUAUAAAUUUCUAUAUGAAACCGAGAUAGUUACCUUUCAGGUAAUAACAUUACACCCAACUAAACACCCGUUUGAUGGUGGGUCCGGGGAAUUGGGUGGAAUGCAUACCGAUUCCCCCAACCAAACAUGCCGACUGUACCAGAUCAUUUUUCUUCUUUAAUGGAUGUUUUAGCUUUCUUUAUUUGGUUCAAAUGGUUACUUUUUUUGCGGUCAAUUUUAGUCUUGGAUGUUGAGAAAAAAUGUUUAGAAUUAACCUUUUUAUGAAAACAAGAAAAAGCAUAUGAUUUGCAGCUUUUUAUGUUGUUUUAUUUUCUUUGUGUAGUAUACAUAGGCAGAUUGAAGUUUUAGAAUCUUAAUUUUAAAUUCUGAUCUUGUAAAGUCUGUCCCUUUAAUGCUUUGUUGGCCUUUUUCAUUAGGUACUUUCGGAUUCCAAAUCUGUUCGGUGGCUAAGGCUUAGUUUGAAUGGGCGGUGUGUUUAGCUCUGGUGAGGUUAAAAACAGCGGUGGCGGUGAAAUUGGGUACUGUAGCGGUGAGAUUGGGUACUGUAGCAGUGAGAUUAGAAACAGCGGUGGAGUGUGUGUUUGGAUUCAAACGCAGCUAUAACAGUGAGGUGAAAAUAGAAAAUGACUUUUAAAGAUAUUUGAUUAAAAAUGAUAUAUAAUAGAAGUUUUUAAAAUUAUUUAACAAUUACAAAAUUAAUAAAUGAUUAAAAAUUAUUACAAUUAUAUUUAUUUUUAAUAAUAAAUAAUUAAAAAUGAAUUAAAACUAGAGAAAAAUUCAAAAAUUUAUUUUAUUUAAUAUUUCAAAAUUAAUCAUAUAUUUAAUUAUAGGGGCUCAAUUCAUUAUUGAAAGAUUAUUGAAAUUAUUGAGCCUUUAGAAAAAUAAAACAUUAUUGAAAGAUAAAAUAAUAAAACAACACUAAAAUAAGGGUCUUAAUGCAUGUUAUUUCAAAUGUUUGUCAUUAGUAACUCAAUGCAAGACAUUGCUAGCACCAAAUAACUUUAAAACUAAAAUCAACCGUUGGCUAGUAACUGAAAUAGCCUAUGGCCACCAUGUAGAAUGUGCAAUGUCGAGCAUUGAGCUGGUCAUCAAUGCUAAAGGGAAGAGUUAAAAAUCACAUCUGAUGGGGUUUUGACAACAGAGGAAGAAAACAGAAGCAAGUAACUCGGAUGAUGUAAAGAUUAACUUCAUUACUUGAAUAAGCAAUAUGCCAUAUACAUAAGUAGUCCGGAUUACAUGUGUUGGUUUUUUUAGCAGAAAACUAAGGAGAAAAAAAAAACGAAUGCAAAGAAGUUUGAACAAUAAGAAAACUGAAUUUGAUUUCCAAAAAUCAGAUCUUUUUCAUUGACUUGAGAAGCAUUUAUGUUACAAUGAAACAUGGCAGUUAACUAAUGUAUAACUGCUCCCACUAAUACAUGACUAAAGCCUAGAUAGAAUUACAAACAAAAUGUAGCUGACAUACCAGCUAUAACAUCAAACAUAAAUCCAACCCUAUCAAAAUGUAUUAUAACAAGAGAUAGAUGUCUAAGGUGUCAUGCUACUAAAGACAUCUAAAAUUGAACGUCCAAGUAAAGAAGCACAAAUCUAUGAAUGUUUAUUUAGGUACAAAAAAAUUCCUGAAAAAUGCAGGCACAAAAGAUGAAAAGAUAUUAUCUUUGCAUACUGCAUGCCAAACUAGUUUAAAACCUUCUGUCCAAAAAUACUAAACCUUUUAAGGAAGCAGUUUUCAACUGAUCUUAACAAUGGAAAUUGAGUUGUAGCAAAGUAAGGUCAUAAUAAAUGGUUGCUAACAUGAAAGCAAAAAUAACCAUGAAGAAAUAAAUCUAUCAAGUGAACCUCCUCAAUUGCCGAGGUAUGUUCCUCUAGGCGCAAAUCAUGUACUUUUGGAAGAGCACUAGCUGCACAUUUUCUAACAUAGACAGAUGGAUCUCUAGCACACUUGCCCACAGCCACCAGAACAAGAGGCGCAAUAACAUGAAGACGAAUUCCAGCCAUGGUGCGAAGUGCCCAUGCUCUCACCAAGGGAUUAGGGUCCACCAAAUCCUCCUGGAAACAAUUAAUUGACAAUAAUGCUUCGUUGGGACGCCUACAAAAUUAAACACAGAAACAUUAACAAUAAGUUCAAUCUACCUGCUUAAAUACAAGAAAUACAAUCCAGGUCACUCGUCACCUCUCCUUUGAGCCACUAUUAUUUUAAACUAAUGAGUUUCCACCAUCUCAAGCACUGCUUUUAUUAAGAAAAAGAACAAUUCUUCAAAAUGAAUUGUAAUUAAUUAAACUUGAAAAGUGCUUAAAAACAAUGAUCUAAUAACUACUCUUAUCUAAUAACUAGUUAAACUUGAUACCGUUUCUAUCCGGUGCAAUUAGAGAUAGAUUUCAAGCAAACAUGUUCUUUGUUCAUACUAAUAAUUCCCUCAUUUACUAAUAUUGCUUCUUAACAUAUGGAAGCAACCAUUGGAAAAUAAAAAGAAUAUUGUAAGAGAAGUUUGCGAAACAUACUUUUCAGCAUAAUGCAGUAGAUACAAAUAAACAAGUUUCUUUACUUCCAAAGAUUGAGAUGCCACGUUUUUAACAACCUGUAAUUCAAGCAACCAGAGAGAUGAAAAACAUAUAUACACCUCAAUUAACAAACAAAUAUAAUAUUUAAAAGUAUCCAUUACCAAACCCUGAUUUCAUAUCAUGAAUGUAAUUAUGAACAGCUAUCUGUAUUUUAUCCACAGUCCUAGACCCGAUUCAACCAUUUCUUCACUAAACAGAGUACAUCUAUCAAUAAAGAUCCAAUGAAUUAUAACUACAACACUCGAUAGCUUAAUUUUCUUUCUCAAUUAUCCUGUGAUAAGUUCACUACACCUAUUAAACAAUGAUAUUUAAACUUUUAGACACUUAAAUUUAUUUACACUUUCCAGAAACCUUAUCAGCUGUCAAAACGGUGCUCUGAAUGAAAUUACAAAAUCCAGAUCACUUCAAUAUUAAAUUUUAAGUAAUUUUUUCAGAGUUCAUUCAAUAAAAAGAAACCAAAAAUGAAAAACAAAUUACCUGAGGGAAGUAAUUGGAGACGUCGAAGCCUUGAGCGAUGAGAGCGAGGAGUCACUUGAGAGCCUCACACUUCUCCGAAUCGAAUUUACUAUCUAAAAGCGGAGCUAUGCUGACAUCAUCCGGAUCGUCGUAGAGGUGAGCAUCGGUUCCGAUCCGGAACACCAUCGUCGACGCCUUGCUCAACGUCUCCGCCGUCGCUCCGAACUGUGGAAACAUUUCCGAUUAGUUUUUCCUUUUUCUUCUUUACACAAAUUAAGAAUUCAUCAAAAUUGAAUUUGAAAAAUUAAUUUCAAGGGGGAAAUUGAGAAGACUUUGUGAUCUCUUGAUGUACUAAUGGAAGCAUUCAUGGUAGAUUUGCCUGAGAAAGAGAGAAAGAGAGGAAACAAAACAGAAUAUGCUGAGAAGAGAAGAUGAAGAACGGAAGAAGAAAAAGGAAUAAAGAACGGAAGAAGGAGAAGGAGCCUUACCUGGAUGAAGGAGGAACCGGAAGAAGUCCUUGACCAAACUGAUUUGCAACCCAAGGGGAAGGGGAAAGGGAAGGGGAAGGGGAAAGGGGAGAAGCAGGUAACUAAACAUCAGAAAAGCCUGAAGAAUGCAACUGAAGAAUAUAUGGGUAAAAGAGGAAAACAAAAAGUAAUUGAAGUUGCUUAAUUUUUACUGGAACAAAAGGCUCCAGUCUGGAUUUGAGACUCCGGCAAGGUGAAAUGCAUUUUCAACGCACUAAACAAAGCUUUCCAAACAGCCUUGCGUUUACUAAUAUUUCAGUUGUAAUUUUUUUUAGCGUUAAAAAACUAACGUACUGAGAUGCAGUUGCAUCCAAAGGGAGCCUAAACCAUGCUGUUGAAAAAAUAUGGCCUAUUUGUAUGAAACAGAUUGCAUCACAGAAGAUUCUGCUUCCCAUCAUACCUUGGUUCUUGGCUAAGUACAAACCUUGGACUGCUGUAUGAAUUUUGCUUCUCUUGGCUAUCUCUGGAAAAUUAGUACAUAAAGAUUCUGAUUUAGUUAAAUGUUCAAUUUAGUGCAAGAAUUAUGAGCAAUUUGUACUUUUUCAAGACUUGCAUUAGCUCCUAUGAAGUUACUUUCAAUGACCAUCAGAUGAUUAUUUUUUGAUCCAUUUUGGGUGUGCUUAAAAACUUAAUAUUUUAAUUUUUCCUUAAUUUUGUCUGUUGACACCAUUUUUUGGAUGAAAACGGGGUCGACUUGGGUUUUGACGAAAACGAAAAAAACGGGAGUCGCCACCGAUCUUUUUGAUGAGGCGUGAUCGGGUCACCUUGAAAAAUGGUUGUUUUUAAUAAACAAUUUAAUUUUAUUAAAAACAACGAGUUUGGUCCACGAAAUUCAGAAAAUGGGUCCGGGAGUCAGUUACGUACGAGGAAGGAUUAGCACCCUCGUAGCACCCAAAAAUUGGUACCUAGUUGAUUAGUUAAUGUCUUAAUGUCGAAAAACUGAGAACUUUAAAGAAAUUUAAAAAUACAAUCCUUAUUUUGAAAUAAAAUUUAUAAAAAUCGAGCUGCUUAUUAAGACUUUUUCGUUUCAGAAAGAGAAAAUGUCAUACCCAAUACGUUAGGGUACGAUAUCUUACCUUUUCAGAAAUGAGCAAGUCUAAACUCGCAUAGAAAAGUUUAAAAGAGUGUUUAAUUGUUUAAGUCAUAUGAAAAAAUUGCAACCCAAUACGUUAGGGUACAAUUUCUUCAACUAUUAAACAUUGAAUAUUGCAUUUAUUUUGAAAAAUCCUCGUCUCGAGAAAUCGAUGUAUCAUGUCCAAUACAUUAGGACACGACGUAUUGAAUUCUCGUUAAAGAGUUUUCGUUUAUGUCUUUUUUAUAAAAAAAGGUAAUCUCGAUUAUUUAGAUUCAAUAAAGAAAAUCGAAACCCAAUACGUUAGGGCUCGAUUCUCUCGAAGAUCCCAAAUACCGAGUGUUGUUUUUAUUUUUGAAUUUUCCGUUUUUUUUUAUAAAUAAAUAAGAUGGCAAACAUAUAAUAAAAAGAAAUCAAUAAAUAAAAGUAAAUGAACAAAUAAAAAUUAAAGCACCUAAGCAAAUAAUAAUAAGCAUGUAGAUAAAUAAAUUAAUUAACACCAAAUGAAACAAUAGUAAUGGAUAACAUUAUAGUAUAUAUAUAUAUAUGUAUGUGUAUGUGUGUGUAUUAGAAUUAUAAAGCAUAAAAAUAUACGUAUGUGCAUAUAAGAAUAUGUAAGCAUGUAUUUGUGAAAAUUAAAAAUAUGCAUAUAUAAGAUUAUUAAACAUAUAUAUAUGAAAAUUAGAACGUAUAUAGGACAUACAUAAUAUAUUAUAUAAAAUAUAGUAUAUAUUAGGGAAAUAUAUAAAUACAUAAAUAUGUACAUGAAUAAUAACAAAGGGAUAAAUGUACACUUGUAUAUAUAUAUAUAUCCUAAAACAUGUACGUAUAUAUUAAGAUAAUAAAAAUACAUGCAUAUAUAUAGAUUGUAAGAUAGAUAUGUAUAUAAAAAUGAGUAUUUGUAUUAAAUAAGUUAAAAAAAGAAGAUAUAUAUAUACGCAUAUAUAUAAACAAUUAUAUAAUAAAAAUAAUAUAAUAAAACAUAUAUAUCUAAGACUUUCAUAAGAAAAUAGAAAUAAAAAAAACAUAACAAUAAUAUCAAUAAUAUUAAUAAAUAUACUAAUAACAAUAAUAAUAAUAAUAAUAAAAUUGCUAAAUAUGGACUUAAUCGAAAUAAAAACGAAAGUACUGGGCGAAAUCGAAAUAAAAAAACAAAUAAGGAUUAAAUUGUAACUCGCGCCAAACAGAGAGGGACCAAAACAGUAAAUAGACGGAGUUCUAAAAACGCGGCGUUGCAUUGGACUAAAUUGAAACAAAAAUAAAAUUGUAGGGCUAGAUUGAAAAUAAAAGAAAAUAGCAAAAGGGGGCUUGAUUGAAACGCGCUGCAGAGUCGAAGGUCUGCGCGCGCAAUUAUACCCUUUAAAGAAAACACGCGAAUCCUCCCCCUGGGUCGGGUCACCGCGCGGGUCAAGGCCAAAACGGCGUCGUUUUGGCACCUGACCCCUAAGGGCAAAACGGCGUCGUUUUAAAAGGGCUAUUUAAGCCCAAAAAUUUUCUAAAAACUCAUUUCAACCCCCCCAUCUUUAAAAAAAAACAACAGAGCUCCCCUCCUCCUCUCAAGGCUCCGGCUUGGAUCCGAUCAAACGCUCCGGCGUUCCUCCGUCGUAUCCUCGCCGCAGGCGGUGGCCGGAGGUACAAAAUGGAACCUUUUCGGUUCCUUUUUGAUGCCGAAGGCCUCCUAAACACGGAUCCAACGCCGAAUCUUGUAAAAGGCGAGCCUAACCCCACAAAACGAGGAGUAACCGUCCGUCUCCUCUUCCUCCGGCGCGGCGCUAAAAGGUAUUUUUUACUCCUUUUUUGUUUUUUAAAGAAAUAAAUCGAAAAAUAAUGAUAUUUUUAUGAAAAGUGUAAGAAAAACAGAGAAGUGAAAGGCGAAAAUCACCUUCAAUCGCUUUGUUUGCUUUUGAUUUCUGAGAAUAUUUGUAAAAGAGGGGAAUCCGACCCCUUACAAUGAUAAUCACUAGCUUUUUAUAGCCCAAAAAUUACAUGUUUUUUAUAUUCUAUUAUUUCUCUCUCUUUGGUUGCUGUGGCUUUCUUUGUUUUCUUCCUUGCAGGUGACGGCGCAAGUGGGACGAUGGGACAGUGGCGGUGCAAGGCGAUGGCGGUGGCGGCUGAAAUCUAGGGGUCAAAGACCCUAGAUGCGGCGUUAGGGUUUCAGACUUUCUGAAACCCUAAGUAACUUUUUUAGGAUGUUGGGCCUGAGCUAUUGGGCUCCGAGUUUGCUGGGUUAGGGCCACUUGAGUUUGAUGGGCUGUUCGGGUUUGGGCUGGUCUGUUUGAGUUUUGUAAUGGGCCCGGUUUUGGGCAAAAUUGGGUUGUACAUUGUCCAUUCAAACAUAUUAAGACUAUUUGGUUUGGUUUGCCUGUCGGUACGUAAGCGCUUAUUCAUGCAAAAGUAUCCUUUUAUCAAUUAAAAAGAACAGCAAUAAGGUAAAACGUCAAUCUCUAAUAGGGUUUGCGGCGUCGGCAAACGAGUGUAGAAUCUUCUACGGUAAGCAAUAGCAUGCUAUCCUAUUUUCCUCCAAUAGCAUAUUUAUUUAUCAUUAAUAAUUAAUUUUAUUUUAAUUGUAAUAAAAAAAUUAUGACAUAAUUCAUCGUUUACAAACACCAUCUUCAUAUAAUAUUUAAAUUUUAUUUUAGAUAAUUUAUGAUUGUAAUUCUUGAACACAUAUGACAUAAUGGAUGAUUAUUUGAUAAAGCUGAUAGUAAAUUUUUUAAUUUCAUAAAUAGAUUUGAAAGUUCGAUAUAUAUUUUAAGUUGUAUUUAAAAAAAAUAGGAUAUAUGAAAAUUUUUCAAUCUCGCUUAUUGAGUUAAUUAAUAAUCCAUAAAAAAUAUUACUUUGUAUGUUUUAAUUCUUAAUUAAUUUUAGAUAUUUGACUUCUAUUAAUUUAAAUGUUUUAAUGUUUUUUUUGAAUUAAAAAAAGUGUGUAUUUAAUUCUUCAUAAAACAAAUUAUUUGUACAUAAUCAUAAAUCGGUAUAAGAAGAUCAAACCUAAUAUAUCAAAGCAACUAAUUAAGCGGAUUGAUUGUUUGAUUCCAAAUGUUUAAAUUUGAUAAUCAAUGAAUUUAAAGAUAUAAUGAGAUGUAAUUUUGUAAAUUAGAUAUCUCAAUCUUAAUAUUAAGUGAAUGGUGACUCUAACCUACUUAAAAACAAGAAAACAAUCAAUCUUCACUUUAAUUUGUAUGACGCAAAGUUCUUAAAACCAUUUCAAAGAACCGUUAAAAAAUAAUAGAUACAAGAUUUAAUCAAAACAUCAAGUAACGACUCAACCAAAACCCACCAAAGAGAUAUCUAAAGUCUCAAAUCUGGAAUUAAAGGUCAACGUAAACACAAAAUUCUCCAAAAGUAUUAUGAGUUCUAACCUUUUAAUGGGUAUAAUUUCUAAGGUUUUACAAUAGUCUAUUUACAUGCAAAAUUUGUAGCCCAAAUAAAAAUAAAAUAAUAUAGACUAAUCAAAGUUUAACUAAAAUAAAUAAACAGAGUUUAACUGAAAGAUUACCUCUCAAAUUUAAUCGAAAUAUGAGGCAUGCUCAAUAAUAAAGGUAUCACUUCAUGAUAUAAAGGUAUCACUCCUUCAAUGGUAUAAAGCUACAUAAAAUCUUAGUUAUGUCUUUGAAAUAUUUUCAUAAAGGCAUGUGCAAAAACUUUUUCAUUCUAAACAAAUUCAUUCCCUCAAUAUUUUUUAUUUAAAAUCAAAACCACAUUUAUUUUUAAACAACAUCUAACAAUAUAUUUGGCUCAUCCAACAAUUUAUUUUUAAAUGAAAUUUAUUUUAAAAAACCAAAUGAGAAUCAUUAUACAACUUCAUAAAGUCGAUGACACAUCCAACAUUUAAAGCACAAAAAAACUAGAUAGGCCAACAACAAAACAAUAAUGCCAACAUUCUCAAAUACCGCAACAAAUUUGUUCUAAAAACAAAAGAUAGCGCAUCGAACCUAGAGCGUAGAAAUACUUGAAUUCAAUCAUUGUAACAACGAAAAAGGAAAUAAGACAUCCAACAUCCUCAUCACAAUAGAUUCUCCUCUGACCCGCCAACAGCGUUUGCAAUGCAAUAAAACAAAAAAAAGAGGUUAUUGUGAUAGCAACUCUUAUAAAUAUUCCAAAAUUAACUUUUAGAUGCAUCAAGUCUUAAUCUAAGGGAAAGGGUUUAUCCAAACAUGAAAAAUCUAACCAACUCAAUUCAAUUCAACCCAACCUCAACCUAUCUAUAUAGUUUACUUUUAAUUUAUAUCUAAUUUCAAUUAUGGUUUAAAUUUAAAUAUUUUUUAACAAAAAUUUUAAAUACUUAAUAUUGAACAAAUAGUCAUAUUAAUGAAAAUAUGUAAUUAUGAACAAUAACUUAACACAUAGGUAAAAGUAUUUUUUUUUACUUAAUAAUAUUAUUAGCAAUAGUACGUUAUUAAUUGUAUAUAUGAAAAUAAUGAAGCUUAAAAAUUAAAAUUUAAAGACAAUGUCAUUGUCAAAUUUACUCAAAAUUUAUUUUUAACUAUAGUUAUCUAUGUACAUAUGUGACACACAUAAUAAGAUGCUAAUAUAUUUAAGGCAAAAUAUUAUAAAGUUAAACGGUUAGAUAAUGAAGUGAAAUGUUUCUAACCUUAUGCAAUAUUUGAACUUGUUAUAGUAACAGUAUCCAAUGAUGUACUUGGCUCAUCAUUAGAGUUCUCACACCUAUGAACCUCCAUUGAUGUUUCAAGCGGCAGUUGAUGGAAUGGCUUAGGAGCCAUUUCAAGGAGUUCAACAUCAGAUUCAAGCAUCUUCAAAACUUUACUCAUUGAAGGACGAUCAGAAGGCAGUAAUUGUAUACACCAAAAGGCUGUUAUUACCAUUUUCUUUACCAUUGCUUUUUCAUCGUCAGAAACAUCUCCCAACUCCAAGUCCUCUCCUUGAUCUAAUCGGUCAUAAAUCCAAGAUGGAAAAUAUAUUUGACUAGUGUGGUCAGCAAAUGCAUUCACAUUCUUUCUCCUUCCAACUAUUUCCAUCAGUAACAUUCCAAAACUAUAAACAUCGGCUUUGUAUGAGAUGCCUCCAAGAUUUUUGUAAACCAAUUCAGGAGCAAUAUAUCCUAUCGUUCCUCGUGCCGCAGUGAGAGAGACAAUGCUAUUAUCUACUGAAUACAAUUUAGCAAGACCAAAAUCCGAAACUUUUGGAUUAAAAUUCUCAUCAAGAAGAAUAUUGUGUGGCUUGAUAUCAAAAUGUAGAAUUUGCAUGUCACAUCCUUGAUGUAAGUAGUGAAUUCCUUGAGCCACCCCAAGUACAAUAUCAAACAUUUUUUUCCAGCCCAAAGUGUUCUUAUUUUCUUCUGUAAAUAUGAUUUUAUCUAAAGAUCCAUUAGACAUGAAGUCAUAUACCAGAGCUUGCUUUGAUCCCUCCACACAAAAUCCGAUAAGUUUUGCCACAUUAGCAUGAUGAAUUGUCCCAAUGGAAGCAACUUCGUUUAUGAAAUCUUGGCCAUUACCCUUUGACUUGCCCAACAAUUUUAUUGCCACAUGAUGGCCGCUACGAAGCUUUCCUUUAAACACUGAGCCAUAACCCCCUUCACCUAAUUUAUCUUUAAAAUUUUUAGUCAUUUUUUUAAUUUCUUUAAAAGAAUACCUUAUUGGCACCAAAUUAUUUAGGCUUUGAAGGAACUCUUCGAUCCUAUCAUCCAUGGAUAAAUGUCUUCUUCUCCAUUUGUAUGUGACAAGAGCAAGCAAACAAAUGAUCCCAGAAAACAACCUCAAAAAGAUAACUCCACCUUUAAAGAAAUACAAUGUAACAGUUAAAAUUAAUCAAAUAAUAUAUAACUUACAUUCUCAGAAAAAAGUAUAUAGUGUGAUAGUUUUAUGUUAACUAGUAUUUGAGAGAGUGGCAUAUUUCACUAGUCUAUGGACUUAACCGAGAGUAGUCCAAAUUAUAUGUUAUGUUUUUGUCAUUAGCAGGUAUAUCUCAACAGUUUAAAAUUCAGUAUUUCAAACAAAAAAAGAGUAAAUCAUGCAAAGUGGAUACCAAUUCUAACCUCACACAUUCCAACAGAUUGACAGGAUCAUGACAUUCACCCAAAUUCUAAAGAAAGAACAUGAUUCUUAACCAUGAAGGAUACUCAACUGUUGUCUCUAUUCAUGCCAAAUAAACUUGAGGAAGGACAAAUUAAAAAUAUAAUAACCUUCAAAUUUCAUAAAUGAAACAAAAUCUAGAACCACCAAAAGAUGCAAGAGAACUCCCCCAAAAAAAAAAGAUUUGAUAAAUUCAAGAGCUAACUUUCUUUACUUGACAAAAAAAAUAUUCUUUCGUAUAAUAGAAGAAGAUUGUUUUCGGCAUUCAAACUCCUUAAAGAAUGCUAUAGAUUUCUUAGUUUUGCAGUGAAAUUAAAUAUAAACUUGUAUACUAUGAUAGGCUCCUUAUUCUUUUUUUCCCCCCAAGAAAAUUGCUAAUAUCUUUUCUUAACUAGUGCUAGAAUUUGUAUCUGAAAAAAUGCAAAUCUGCAAAUCCAAAAUUAACAAUACCUGUUAUUGCCAAACAAAGACUAUAAGUUCCUGUAAAAAAAACCACGAAUAAAAACGAAAUAUCAUUAUUUCAAGAGAACAGCGAAAUACUAAAAUCAAAGCACUUCUAUUGAAUUUUGGGAAGCCAUAUUUGUUCUCAACUAGUGAAAAUGCAAAUCUGCAAAUCUAAAAUUAAAUAUACCUGUUAUUAGCAAACAGAGACGAUAAGCUCCGAAGAAUCUGGAUUAUAUAUUCAACAAAUCAAAGUAAAAUUAAUAAAGGGGUGUAAAGAAAAAUUCCAAAUUUGUAUAAAAAAAUCAAUGGAAGGUAAUUUAAAAAAUUAUAUUAUGUUUUGUGGUAUAUACUCAAAAAAGAAAUACAACAAUUCUUUACAUAUGUUUGCUUGUAAAAAGUAUGCAACAUGUGUUACAGUAUAAGAGUUUUUAGGUAACUAAUAUGAUUUAAUAUAAUGAAAGGUGAGACAAAAUUUAUUCAAAUUAAUUAAUCCAAAAAGUAUAUAUUAUAGCAUUAAAAGAGUUUUUGCCAAAAAAAAUAAACUCAUCCACAAUGGUGGAAUAUUUACGUACUACCAACUAAAUUGAAAAUUCAUCAAAAAUAAAGACAAAAUAAAAAGAUAGACAUAAUCAAAUAUAAUUGUCCAAAAAGAAGACAAAACAGCAGAGAAAGCAGAGGCAGAUACUAAAUUAGAAAUGCUUUUAGUUCAUUUGAUUGUUAGAUGUUGAUCAAUUUUAGAUGCAAAAUCAUCAUACUUAAUUACCAUCAUAAUAUUUAAUUGUGAUAAAUGUAACAUAAAAUAAAACAAAACAAAAAGUAGAUGUUGUAACUAAAAAUUCCAGUAUGAUUCACACUCAAAAUGCAAACUUAAAUUAUUAAAGAAACUUACAUAUCUUUAAACCAAACUUUGUUUUUAUUGUAGUAGCUACUCUCGCUAUCCCAUCAACUCCAUUGGACCCAAAAACCCUCCAAUAAUUUUUUGUAUAUAUCCAGCGUAGACAUGCCUAUUAUAUUAUCAAUCAUAAUUGGAACCUCCGCUUCGAUAGUGCAAGCUUGAUUGAAAUCAGAUGGGUCGGUGUUUCCAUUUAAAAAAUAGAAAUGGGAAGUUGGAAGGGAAGAGGAGGUAUUGGAUUUGAUGGUACAACGAGAAGCCUCAAUAUAAUAUAAUGAUUUUAUAAGUGUCGUGCAAUUUAAAACAUAAAUAAUGCUACCCUCAAACGAAUUAAAAUAAUAACGAUUAUAAUAAUUAUUAAAAUAAUAAUUAUCUAUAGAAGUAAGAGGAAGGGAGUUGCAAUCAUCCGUGUCCAAGCUCGCAUCCACCAUUUGUAUUGUAUAAUUUUCGUAAAAGAUUUGUUGGACAGAGAAUUUCCCUCCUCUCCCAACAAAAGUGGUGCGAUUAUUGUUCUCACACUCAAGUUCCAAGACAGGAGAACCACAGUGGGGAGGUUGGUUUUUUAAUCGGAAUGGAAAACUGAUAUUCAAAUUCCCACAGAAAGUAGAGCCGCAGUCAAGAUGCCUAGCAAAACAAACAGCAGGAAAUAGAAUUACAAAUAAAGCAAAAGCGGGCAUUAGGUGACCCAACAAUGGCAGUUUUGCUUUUAAUUUUGGCAUGCUAAAAUUUUGGGUAAGGAAGAAGAACAAUAAUGGGGGUUAAUGAUUAAGUUUCUAACUAAAUCAGGGAAAUAUAUAAGAAAACUUCAGUGGGAGAAGAAGCAUUAAUGGGGACACAAGACUUUGACUACUCUUCAGCUUUAUUUGGG
RNAcentral lists this long non-coding RNA (200566 nucleotides) under Gossypium barbadense (sea-island cotton). RNAcentral's name for it is "long non-coding RNA (GBAR_LNC013159)". The record is from RNAcentral. Lineage: Eukaryota; Viridiplantae; Streptophyta; Magnoliopsida; Malvales; Malvaceae.